UUUAAGAGACAUCUUUUAAGGUUUGACAUAUUAAUAUUUAGAUAAAAAAUAUGCCUCUAAUUACAGAGAUCUUCCCGCCGUCUAUACUCAGUUUCGUAUAUUGUCAGCUAGGAGGGUAAAUUAGUAAAAGCGCAUUUAAAAUUGAAAUAAGUAAAAAGCUAAUUUGAAGAUAAGCCCACUGAAACACUCAAAAAAUCCCGAUGAAAAUCAGUUACCACUAACUAGAGGAUGGAUGAAUGCUUGCUCUCUUUCAUCAACCUAACUCAUCACAAAACCAUUUUCUCUUUCAAUCAACCGAGGCCCACAUGCACUCCUCAUCUCUAAAUGCUUUGAAGAUGAAAAAAAUCAGAUUUUUAUUGCCAAGUUCCGCAACUUUAGCUUAGAUUUAUUAACAAGAAAAGCAUCGAUGGUGGCCUAAGGGUGGUGUCAGGUGAAAAUAGCUGACUAUUCGGCGUCGGACAUGACUGUUAUUGACUUGAAUUCAAAGAAGGUUAGUCUUUGAAACAAUUUUGGAUUUAAUUUUUUUUUUGUUUUAAUAUGUUUUAUAUUUUAAAAUAAAAUUGAAAUUUUAUUUCAUUUUAAUCAUAGAUUGUUUUUUUUUUGUUUGAAAAUGAAAAUGGGCUGAAGUGUUGGAGAACAGUUGGCAUUGUGUUGUUCAUAAAAAAAAAAGAUAUCAAAUUGUUGAUGUAUUAGAGAAGAUGCAUGUUGUUUGUUACUUUCAGACCGUAGCUAUUUGGAUUUUUCAAGUUAAGAGCUAAUCAUAACAUAUGUGUUGGAAAUUAGUGAUUUUUAUGUGACUUCUUUGUCAAAUGAAAAUGGGUUAGCACUGUUAUGAAGAAUAUGGAUGCUAUUUGGAGGAAUUAACUUCUUAACAUGUGCUUGAACUAAAAAUACCAAUGCAUAUUAGAAAUUAGUGAAGUUAUAUGCAUUAAUAAUAUUGGAAAUAAGGGUUUGUUUGUGAUGCUUUAAAGAAGCUGAAAAGGGUAUUGCUUGUGCUCCUUAAUAUGGAGAAUUUUUAGUUGCUUGAUAAAAAAAGCAUUAGUGACAAAUAAAAUGAAGAAAUUUUGGAUGAUGUUUGUGUAAAAGAUUUAAAUUAUUUAUUUUAUUGAAGCUGUACUGUGUUUUUAUUUGUGAUUUAACCAUUAAAACGGCUCUGUAACAUUGAUUAGAGGCUGCAUGUGCUCUUUUUAUAAAAAAAGUAGUGGCAUUCCUAAGUGGAGUAAUGAGAUGCUAAGAUGGGAAUGUAUGAAUAUUUAAUUUUGUUCUUGCUUUAAACUAUGACUAUAAAUCCUAAGUCUUCUAAAAUGAAACUCAAUUAUGCUUUUAAGAUGUAAAAAGGCAUCAUUGCCAUUUUUAAGUGACUUUGAUAAUGCUUCAAAUGGAAGUUCGCAUUGGUUUGUCAAAAUCUUUUGUUAAGCAGGGUGAAAUGAUUCAAUUUGCAUUGAAUAUGCGAAAGUUUCUAAGCGAAUAACUUGUGGUCUCAUGUUAUUUUUUUUCAGAUGAUGCUCUAGUGGAGGUCGAAAAGGAAAAGAGAGUCUUUGUUAAAAAAAAAAAAAGCAGGGAACAAAUAUGCCUUUCUAUAAUUGUCUUCCUUUUAACAUGUAUGUCAGGAUUGGUGUGCAUAAAUGGCCUUUAUUGACUAAAUAAUAUAAUCAUGAACAAGUAAAAAUAUAAUUUUUUUUAGUACUUUUCCUACUGAUCAUAUGUGAAUUGAAUCAAUUGUGUUGAAAAUGUUGAUCAAGGCAAAAAAGCUCUCAGCCUUUGCUACAUUCGAAAAUAGCAAGAAGGAAUUUUGUAAGCCCAAUUGAAAAAGAUUGAGGUAACCUGUCUCUUCUUAUUCUAGAUUCUUUUUUUUUUCUUUGUUUUACUUCCCAUUUCAUCUUCAACAAAUCUAGUAAUUGGCAGGAAAUAAUUGGAAGGAAAGAAGGCUGAAUAUGCUGAAAAUCUAAAAAAUAAGGCAGCUAUACGUCACAAAGAAAUAGAAGAGAAAAGGGCAACGGUUGAAGUUAGUGGUGGAGAUUGAAUUCUUAAGUUAAAGGAGAUGGUUGAAAAAAUCGGUGUAACUAAGAGCAUUUUAAUGAUCAAUGGAAUUAAACAAAUGUUAACAAUAGGUUGUUGUCUAUUAGAUAUACCAAAUUUGACUUUGAACUGUUGUAUUAUGUUAAAUUUCUAAAUUUUAUUUCACUGUAUAGUAUCGCUAGCCCUAGUUUCCCUACGAUAUUUUUUUUUUACAAUUGAUGAAUAUUUGAUGUCAAAUUUUUAUUUCCCAAGAGUGGUAAAGUGUAAUGAUUAAUUUGAUAUUUAGUACUACUAAAUUUUUAAAUUUUAGUUCACUGUAUACUAUCGCUAGCCCUAGUUUCCUAGUAAUUUUUUUUACUUUUAACAAUUGAUGAAUAUUUGAUGUCAAAUCUUUGUUUCCCAAGUGUGUUAAAGUGUGAUGAUUAAUUUGAUAGUUAGCAAUAAGGCUGUUUAGGUCUUUUCUCAAAUCAAGGGUAAUUUUUACAUAUCACUAGUCAACUAACAUUCAAGGAAACUGAGUACAGACAGUAGGGGAGGUCUCUGUAAUUAUGAUUAUACUUUCUAUUUAAGUGUCAAUAUGUCAAAUCUCCGAGGAGGUCCCUAAAAAUUAUCCAAAAGAAAUCGAGACUUUGAGCUGGUUUGGAACAAAUUAUAUUUUCAAUUGAAAUUGAAAAGAAGAAAAAAAAAUAUAUAAGAGAGGUUUUAUAAGAUUAAUGAAGGGGUUCCAAUAAUCCAAUAUUUUCACAAUUUUUUCUUUUAAGUUUUAUUCAUCACCCCAUAGGCCCAAUUUAUUUUCGUUAUUAUGUAGGUGUGGUGUUACUAGAAAUCAAAUGUUGCCUUUUUUUCUUUUUCUUUUUUUCCUCUCCUCUCCUCACUUAUGGUGGAAUGUGGAGAAUUAAACAAAACCAAUAUCCUAAUAUAUAAUUAAUAUUUUGAAAUGACCCGCCCCGAAUCCCCCUAAGCAAGUCUAUCUAGUCUCAUCAAAACAGACUUGAUAAAAAUUCUAUUAGUAAAGAUUCUGCCAAAAAUUCGGCAGAAUCUCCUUUAUAUAUAUAACACUCCCAAUCUAUAAAUAUGAAUAUAACACUCCCAAUACAAUUCAAUAUACAACAAACUCCAGUGAUUAACAUCCUCAACUAAAAUGCUGAGUUUUAUAUCUCCAGAGUCUCAAAAGAUAAUAUUAUAACUAAUAUUAAUAUAUCAGUUUAUUCUUAAUCCCAAAAGAAUAGUAUAACAAAAUUAUACAAUCCCAACAGAACGAGAUAACCAAGAUGUCCUAACAAAAACAUUUAUAUCUUCUAACACCAUCACGUGGCCAAGACUCAAAAUAUAUUUACAGUCGCUGGGUCGGUCUGGUGUACCUGCAACCUCCUGGUGAGGGAGGGAAAAUAUAAUAAAAACGAGGUGAGUUUAAAACUUAGUGAGAUCAGUGAGUGGAUAGUAGUUUUGAAAAUUAAUUCUUACUUUAAAAGAAAUAAUCAUAUCAUUUCCAAACACGAUUUCAUUAAACCAUAAGCGAGAAACCAGUAAUAAAUCAUUAAACAUUUAAAUCAGAUUACUAACCAUGGAAAUCAUAUCACAAUAUCAUAUAGAAUUCACAAAUCUGAAAAUCAUCGCCAAACAAGUACCCAGGGAAAUAAUCUCGUCAUAUCCGAAUCUCAACGGAUGGGCAAUGAUGUACUAUCUGGGUAACGUCACGCCCCGGAGCUACACGGAUAGAUAGGGAAAUCUCAUAUCUCAUCAUAUCUGUGCAUGCAUAAUCUAGUCCCCAAGGGACAAAAGCGCCCAAGCACACGGCCCAAAACCUCUGUGUGUACUCAGACGGGCCCCAAAGGCCUAUAUCUCAUUUGUAUCAUAUGUAUUAUUUGUAUCAUAUGUAUUAUUUGUAUCUCAAUAUCUGUCUGUAUCUCAUAUCAGUAUAUCUGUAAUCAUCAUACCGCAUGCAUAUGGCCCCAAAAGGCAAAAGCACCCAAACACACGGCCUAAAGCCUCUAUGUGUCAAAGGCCUCUCAUCUCAUCUCAUCUGUAUCACUGUAUCUGGAGGGAAGGGUACUGUCUAAUGAUUUCAAAAACAAUCAUUAUACUCAUUCACAUACCUCUUAACCAUAUUUUAAAUCAUACCACAUUUGAAUCCACUUUUCUUAUCUUUAAAAUACUAUCAUGCUUAUUCAAAGUCGAUACGCAAAAUCAUUAACCAAACAUUUUAAUAAAAUAUCAAUGCGUGAAUAAAAUCCAUUUCGAGAAAUCAUUAAAUCAGAACAUUUAAAAUACUUAUUUCGCAAACAUGCUUUACUAUCAUCGCUAACUAUGAAAAUAAGUUUUGUAUAUUCCACUCACAGUGACGGUGUUCACGGUCGGUUAUCGUCCACGUCCGCGGACCGGUUCUCGCUCGCAAAUCCUCCUAAAUUAAGGAAACGACAUAAUUAUUUUCCGUAAAUCGGAAUUAUGACUAAAUUUUAUGCAAUAAACUCGAAACGAACAUCUAUCCAUAAUUUACAACUCCUGUGUCCAUAAAAUUUCUAAAAUGCCCUUGAGUCCGUAGAUCAUUAACAUGCUCUGAAAUCGUAAAUCACCGAAUUACCCUCGGAAUCGUAAUUACACCCAAUCCUCAAUUCUAGGAAUUACUAAAAUAUCCACAGGCUCAGAAAUUACAAAAUUGCCCUCAUAGUGUGAAAUUACCAAAAUGCCCUUGCCGAUCAACGGUCACCGGAAUUUGGUCAACACUGGCUAGGAAGCUCAAAUCUUAAAGUUCCAAUCACGCUGAGUUCAAUGGUACCGACGGUGAGCUCCAACGCGCGGCAACGACGCCGGAAUCUAGCUCGGCAGCCGUGAAUUCCAAGAAUCGACCGGCGGCAAAACAGUGACUCUCGGUGCCUAUGAAUGGUCGGAAAUGGAAGAGGGAAUCGUGGGGAACAAAAUCCAACUGGUGGUGUCACCCAAAACCGGCGAAAAUCCCGGCGGAGUAAAGUGAAACAGUCGCGGGUUUCAAGCUUCGAUCUCCGGUGUUCCGGUUGGUUUUCGGCGGAGAGGAUGGCAUGGGAACGACGGUCGGCUUCUAAGCUUCAGAUUGGUACCAAGCUCGGCCAAAACGGUGGCCGGAAAUGGGAGAUAUGGCCGGGUCACGUUCGCAGGUCAGGUCGGGUUUUUUCGGGUCUGUAGUUGGGUUGGUUUGGUAGCUUCUCUCUCACUCUCUGUUACACGUGCAUAUGUUUCCUUUGUUUCUAGCUUAUUCUUUUACUUAUAAAAUCCUUAACCGCCUCAUUUUCAUUUUAAAUUCACAUAUGUUACAUAUUUAUUAACAGAUUUCAGAAAAAAUUAAUAUUUUAAAAUAUUGCAAACUGCCAAAAAGUCAAACUUUUAUUUGCUACAUAAAUAUAAUCUAUUUUAGAUAUCAAUAUCAAAUUUGUUAGGUUAAAUUCUAGGUUCAAAUCUUAGCAGGCAGAAGUUUGAGUUAAAUUGGUAAAUGAAUUAUUUUUUAAUUAAUUUCUUCUUUUUGAUUUUGAAAAAAACAUUCGAGAGAAAGAGAGGAAGUUGAAACUGAAGCCGAAUCAACUGGAGCAGCAUCAAGCAUCUUUUGAAAUUCUUCUACAUGCUGCUUUUUUUCAGCUUUUGUUUUCAAAUGUUAUUGAGGGCAAAUAAAGUCUGUAUGCUUGAUAUUGAACAUAAUUUUUAACAAAUAAAAACUAACACUGACGUUGUGCCAAAGAAUUUGUUUCUAGCUUAACUGGGCCCAUUUAGGAUAGCUAAGAUAGCUGCGCUGCCAAACAGGGCUUUGAUUUCAUUGCUAUAAGUAUUUAUCAAGUAUUUUUAAUAGAUUUUUUUGGGUGGGCUGAAUGGUUAAGUAAAUUAAUUAAAUGGUUUAAAUAAGGAUAUUUUUUUAUAUUUUAAAAAAUGUACGUAUUAAAAUUUUAUAUAUUAAAUAUACAAAAUAAUAGAAUGUUUAGAAUAAUUUUUAGACAGCAAGCAGCCCUACUCAUUUUAUUAAUCAAGACUUAAGUGUCACUAAACUAAACCUCCAUAUUCCAAAUCUAUAGAAAAAAACGAGAAAAGGUACCGAAUGCAAGCGAUCUGCUGUUCAUCAAUAUUAUCUGGUGCUGUUGCAGAUCAUUUUGUUAUUCUGGUCCAUCAAAGCAUCAAAACAAUUUGUCUGUGAAAACGAUUGUGGAAACGUGUAGAUGAUAUUCCCCUUUGGAAUUGGAGAAGGGUGCCACUUUGGUAAGAGUUAUCACGUAAUAUUCACUCUUCUGGCUCUCCCAAAGGUUUUCAUCCUAGUAUCAAGACGGAAUAUCGUACCGUUACUCCGUAACUAAAACUGGAGCAACAUUCCUAUAGUUUCUAUACACAGUGCUAUUGCCACAAGCAAUAAUAUUGCUAGAGCAGUCAAUAUAUAUGGUAGUCCUUUUACCUUUCCCUGGGGGCUCAAUAAAUUUACAGCCAUAGGCUGUGACAAUUAUGCAAUUAACCUGGACAAUGAUAAUGAUUCAGCUGUGCCUGUAUGUCUGCACUUGCGAUCCUUCUCAGAAAAGUGGUUGCUUUAUUUGUUCAGAGUAAAAUUUGGAAUGUAAAAAAUUCCAUCCAAAACUUUAUCAUCGAACAAUUUGUAUGAAUUCCUGUAAGGAAUACGUUGGCAUAUCACAGAAGCCCAAUUACAAAUACAUCCGCAAAAUAUCUACCAAAGAUAUUUCAGCAAGCUUGUCAAGUAGUGGGACAGGGAAUGGCUCUCUGUUCCUGAGGCAUGAAUUGACGUCCUGCCCAUCGUCCCCCUUUGCCUCCCCACCAUACAAAUAACAAAUGAAAAUUAGGCCAAUUAAAUUAAAGGCAAGACGGGAUGGAAAUAUGGAAUCGUUGAUUAUUAUACCCAUGACCCCUCUAAUUAAUGGUUCUUUCCCUUCGAUAUUAUUGUACGUGUUUGGAAGGAAACCUCCUCUAUCUUUUUUUCCAAUUAAGACUAUUGAAUGUCCAAUUAAUGUAAAUUGUUUUUGAACGUGUAGAGGAUAACAUGACAAUGCGGAGACAUUUAAAGUUGAUUGACAGAAUGAACAAAAUAUCCUAAAUAAUGAGGCUAAUUGAAAAAUUUUUAAAUUAACAAAACUAGAGUUUUAGAUCUUUUUAUAUAAUAACUUUAAAUAUAAUAAAAUUCUCUUAAUCUGAAUAAAAAAUCCAAAACAAAUAGUGCUCAAAUCUAUUAUUUAGGGAAAAAAAGAAAUUAGAAAAAAUAGAAGAAUAUCUUAAAAAUCGAAAAAUGAUAAGGAAAGAAAUAAUUUUUCAGGCUCAAGCAAGGCCCAAAAUGGCAUAAGCUUUGUAGGCUUGAUUUGUCUUCUCGCAAACUUUAAAACGAUAUAUUAUACACUCAAAACAGACACAUGUAGCCUAAGUUAUACCCUUUGGAAAGUACCCUUCUCAUCCCACACACCCAUCAUACAGUAGUCCCUCUCACUUGGAAAAGAACUUGCCCUCGAGUUUGACUUGUACAAUGCCUCAUCAUCUAGAUGAUAUUUAAAUAGAUUAGCCAUAUUGAAUGUGUAAGAGAUCUUCUAGUUGUCCGGCAGUUAGAGCACAUAAGCAUUAUUAUUAAUCUUCCUUGCCACACGAAACGGUCCAUACUUGAUGUGGACAUGCAUCACUUUCCCGUGUCGAUGCAUGUUCACAUCGACCUUGUACAUAGCGUUUGCAGCCUCCAAAUGAGCUCGUUCCUUGACAUGAAUCUGUAGAGCUCUUUUUACCACAUUAUUCACUAUUUUACUCCCUCCAGUUGCUAUGGGCAUGAUAGCUAAAUCAUAAACAUGGGGUAGGGAACAAGUGUAGACAAUCUCAAAAAGGGUCUUACCACCAUGUUAUUGAAAGCAAACUUGACUUGAGGCAAGAUAGUUUCCCAAUUCCGUUGCUUGUCACCACAAACAUAGUGCAACAUGUUAACCAGAGUGCGAUUAACCACAUCCAUUUGACCAUUUGUUUGCUAAUGAAAAGCACUACUAAAUUGUACUGAACUUAUCCUAGAGAUGAUGCCAAAACUUACUGAUAAACUUCACAUUCAUGUCAGAAGUAAUAGUCUUUAGCAUACCAUACAAACUUACCACUUCUUCAGAGAACAAAUGCGCAGCUAAAGCAGCAUCUUUAGUAUUCUUGCAAGCAAUAAAAUGCAUGAUCUUUGAAAACCUGUUGAUCACAACCUAUCAAUUUGUUCCCUUAGAAUUUCGAGGCAUAUAUAACUAAUUAGAAUUGAACAGAUACCCAUCUUGAAUAAGGAAAUCUUUUACAUUUUGAUGAUUAAUGCAUCGAUCUUAAAUAUGCGCAAAGUCUUCAUCCUUAGCGUACAACUCCUUCAAGCAUUCAAAACCAGUACCUUUAAUGACGAGAGUAGUAAAGUUGCUCGCCUACUGAGUGCAUCUGCUAUCUUAUUAUGUUGCCCAAAUUUAUACUUAACAAUAAAAGUGAACUUUUACGUAUAGCGCACCCAUCUUGCAUGCAUCUUGCUCAGAUAUUGCUGGUUAUUAAAGUACUUGAAUGCUUGAUGAUCACUAUAAAGUACGAACUCUUUAUGAAUCAAGUAAUGCUCCUAUGACUUCAACACCCUAAGGAUUUGAUAAAAUUCUUAGUCGUAAGUAGACCAUUUCUGUUAUAUUUUAUUUAACUUCUCACUCAUAUACCUAAGUAGUCGUCCCUCUUGAGAAAUAACAGCCCAAUACUAUUACCAUAAGCAUCACAUUCAACCUCAAACAACUUGAUGAAGUUUAGUAAGGCUAACACAGGAGUAGUAAAAAAAUUCUCUUUUAAUAAAACAAAACUGCACUCUGUAAUAAGUGGGGCUAUGUUACUAAAACUAUAAAUAAAUCUCUUAUAAAACAUCGUCAACCCAUGAAAACUCCUAACUUCACCCACUAUCUUCGGCAUAGGCCAUUCAUUAAUGGCUUGUAUCCUCGACUCAAUAACUCGAAUCCUAUCUACAUCAGUUAUAAAACUAUAAAUUCCACAUUACUCUACAGAAAGCUACACUUCUUUAGAUUAAUAUAAAGUUUAUUUUUUUUUUGCAACAUCUUUAUAAUCAUUCUCAAAUGUUCUAGGUGUGCCACUGCAUUAACAAAAUAAACUAAGAUAUUGUCAAAAUUCACCACAAUAAAUUUGCAGGAAAAAGACUUAAGAACUUGAUUCAUUAAGUGCAUAAAAGUGCUUAACACAUUAGACAACCGGAAUGGCAUAAAAUACCACUCAUACAGCCCUUUUUUUAAUUUUAAAUGUUGUCUUCCACUCACCAUCAGGCCUAAUUAUGAUAUUAUGAUAUUAUGAUAUCCAUUACACAAAUCUAUCUUUGAGAAAACCCGAGCAUCAUUUAGUUGAUCUAAUAACUCUUAAAACGUGGAAUAAGAAAUCGAUUCUUCACUAUAAUAUGGUUAAUUAGCAUACUAUCUGUAUAUAUAUGCCAACUCUCAUCCUUUUUCGAUACCAACAAAGCUAGUAUAGUACAUUAACUCAUGCUCUCAUGAAUGAAACCUUUCCCUAACAAUUCAUCAACCUACCCUUGUAAGAUCACAUGCUCGUGAGGGCUCAUACGAUAAUGAAGCAAGUUAGGUAAACUCGCACCAUAUCUCAUAAAGGUGGCAGCCCAUCCAACAACUUUAAUGGUCUAAUAUCAACAAACUCAAUUAAUAAUGGCUAUACUUUUUUCAAGAACAAUCUUCACCUUUAAUUCUUCUUUUUUCUCUAGCUUCUAGCAAUCAUCGCAAUCAUCCUCUUGAUGAUUUUUAACAACCUUAGUAUUCUUCUUGUUGUUCGUUAAAGGCAUCAACGAACCUUCUUGUUAUUUCACUAAAACUCAUACACAUUAUCCUCUCUUCUAUACUGUAUCAACAUCAAAUUACUAAAGUCUACCAAAUAAUAGAUGGCACACAUCCAUAUUCUUUACAUCGCUCAACACAUCACUCUUAUAAAUCUUCCCAAUGGAGAAAAGAACACGACGGUCCUUUAUUACUUGCAUUUUUGUCUCUCUAUUUAUCAAUCAUAUUCUGUUAGAUACUGGAUUUUUUUGGUUGAAAGUCCUAUCAUGUCAAAUAGCACCUUUGAAAAUAUGUUCUCGCUAUUGCCACUAUUAAUUAUAAUGUUGUACACCUUAUCGUUGAUAGUGCCACAUGUUUUAAAAAUCUUAUUGCGCUGAUUAUCCUCUUUAAAUUUUCAAUGAUAAUAAAAUCUUCUAUAUAAUACAAUUUAGUUUCUCCUUCAUUUGCUUUCAACUCUAAAGCUUCUUUGGCAUCCCCAUUCUCAACGUCGUUCAGCUCUGUCUUGCUGACUUUACCCUCUACUAAAUUCAAAAUUUUAAAAUGAUAGUUACUCGAUCGAUGGCCUAGCUCCCUACACUUCAAACACUUGUCCAGCAUAGGCUUCACUAUAAGUGAUUGUAUCUACUAUCUCAUCUUAUAUCUCUUGUUUUAAUCUGCCAAUAUAUUUCGUAACUAUUCAAAAUUCUGGCUCAUCCAUAUUAUUUUGAGUGUGUAGACAAUAAAAUUCGUUUAUAUAUUCAUUGACACUAUGAUUUCCUUACCUGCAGUUCUGAUAUUUAAAACUGCUGCCAGUAUUCUACUGGCAGGAAAUACUCUCUCAUCAUCCUUUGCAUUCCAGGCCACUAUUUGAUAAUUUUUUUUGCAACUUUUCUUUAAUUAUGUAUGUAUUGCCAUUAUGCAGAAGCUGGACAAGCUUAAUUCACUUCUCUUGAGGAAUCUCCAUAUACUCGAGAAAAUUAUCCACUUGUGAUAUCCAGUCUAAAAAUUUUUCAACAUGCAUCCCACCAAAAAAAUUCAGAAUAUUAACAUUAAUCUUGUAAUCUAAACUCUUUUUGGGCCCCUAUCAUCCUCCAUAUAUUUUUCUUCUUCUAAAUCGUUUCUUAGCUCCUUACGCACGUGUACUGGUAUUCAUCACGUAGGACCUAAAUUUUGAGGUACUACUUCAUGAUUGAUGCCUUGAGGUUUUAUUUCAUGACCGACCCCUUGAGGUAUCUCCAUGUAGUUGUAAUCUUCAGGUUGUACACCACGAUUGACUCUUUGAAGUUCUUCCUCGUGAUUAACUUUUUGUUGUUGACCUCUCUUUCUGUUUUUGUUCAAGGAAAACUUAAGACUCAUAAUUGUCUUGCUCUAUCACCACUAAUCCCGAGUUAUAAGCUUCCUCAAUUGCUUCCAAGGUUGCUUCUCGAGCCGCCCGUUUCACAGCCUCCACAGUCUUUGGCUACAUCCCUUUGUUAACAUGUAUGUGUCUAUAAUAAUGAUUUUGAUGAUAACAAACAAGAUUAAGAAUGAUUAAGUUUUUAAAAGCUCAAGUUAUUUUUCAUACAUUUUAAAUAAAUCAUUAUUUUCAUAUAAUAAAGGUUUUUUUUUCAAAGAAAACGUGAUUUCAUGAAAUUGGUUGUUUUUCAAGCUCAUGGUCUAAUUGAAAAAAUUUUGAGAACUUUGAAAUCAACAAGUAUUGCUUAAAAUUCUAAAAAUGGACUUGUUUGAAAAGUAUCAUAAAGUUUUGGGCCAUAGUACAAGUAUAUAAAAUUUUGGGGCAAAAAUAUAAUUUUAGAAAAUAGUUUCAUUGUAGCAGUCGCUGUAGCAAAUAGCUAGCUGUUUGGAAGAUAACAGCUAACUUACAUUGAACAGAAUUGAAGAUUAGUGUUUGUAUACUAACGGCAAACCGACUUCUUGAAAAUGGUAAAUCGACAUCUUCUUUGCAAGUUACUGGACGAUAAUGGCGAUCCGACAUUUCAAUAACGGUGAUCUGACAAUUUGAAAUUCUGUCUAAUGGUAACUUGCUCAAGUCAAAACGGCAAUCCAACUUCUAUUUAACGUUGAUCCAACUUCGAGUAAAUUAUCUCUAACGACUAUUCUUCAGCUCAAACUAUAAAAAGGCUCAUUUAAACACAAAUAAUAGUGAUUGCAACUACUAUCAAUGAGCCAUGUAGAUGCUGUGGUUCAAAACGAAAAUAGAAGAGUGUGGAGAUGUACCAGUAUUUAUGGCCAUCCAAAAUUGACCUAAAAGCACCAUACUUGAACUCUCUUGAAAAGGUUAGCAGCUCUCUCUUUUCACCCCUGGUGUUGCUUUGGAGACUUCAAUGAGAUUUUGUAUUUGCAUGAGAAAAAAAGAGGGAAUGAUAGAAACCGAAAUGUGAUAGCUGAUUUUAGAGAAGCUGUCCAAGCUUAGAAUUUGGUUGAUAUUGGGUAUCACGAGUAUCCUUAUACAUGGUUGAAUAGGAGAUUUGGCCCUCACCACAUAGAAGAGAGGCUAGAUAGAUUCCUGUGCAACAAGGAUUGGUGUGAUAAUUUUCAAGCGUCAACAACAAUUAAUCUGGUGAAUUGGGUUUCAGAUCACUACGCAGUUGUUUUUUAUUGUAAUGAGAGAGGUAGAAACAAAAGCUAGAGGAAACAACAUCCCACUCGAGAGCAUUACGAAGACACGUGGAGUCCCUAUAAAGACUGUAAGAGAAUAGUUAGUGAAGAAUGGGCUCACUAUGGAGAGAAAUCUUGGGAGAAUCUGGCGCAACAAUUCCAAAGGGUAGCUAAAAAUUCUUUAGCUCAGCUCAAGUUGUGGAGUAAAGAUGAGUUUGAAGGCAACCAAAAAAAAACAAGAAAAGCUUAUCAAACAGCUGGAGAACCUCAGACAGAGCAACGAUCAAAUGAGGGAAGGGCUGAAAUUAGAAGAAUUGAGAAUCAAAUUAAUAACAUGCUGAUUGAUAAAGAAGUCUAUUGGAAGUAAAGAUCAAGGGCUGAUUUGCUUAGAUAGGGAGAUAAAAACACCAAGUUCUUCCACUCCAAUGCUUCAGAUCGGGGGGUAGAAAACAAUCAAGGCCAAUGGACAGCGAAGCAGGAUGAAGUCGAGAGGGAGUUCUGCAAUUAGUUCCAAAGCUUAUUGACAUCAUCCAGCCCAACCUACAACCAAAUUUAAGCUGCCUUAGAGAAACUUCCAGCAAAGGUCACCCCAGAGAUAAACGCCUAUCUGGAAGAGCCUUUCAGUCUUGAGGAGAUUGUCAAAUCUCUAUCUCAGAUGCCGCCCACAAAAGCUCCAGGCCCUGAUGGACUUCCUGCUGCUUUUUUCCAAAAGCACUGGAAAUCAGUUCAUAAAGGAGUGGAAGAGACUUGUUUAUACAUCCUUAAUGAGCAAGGUAACCUCGCUCCUCUAAAUCAUACUUUCAUUGCUCUUAUUCCUAAGACAAACAAGCCAAGGAAAGUCUCUGAGUUUAGGCUAAUCAAUCUCUGCAAUGUAGUGUACAGAAUAGUUGCCAAAGUUAUUGCAAAUAGACUGAAACCAAUACUCUCCCAAAUUAUCUUCCCCACCCAGAAUGCCUUUAUUCCAAAUCGGAUAAUUACGGACAAUGUGAUAAUUGGCUAUGAAUGCAUGCAUAAGAUCAGAAGCAGUAGAGGGAAAAGAAAGGGUUUGGUAGCUCUAAAGUUGGAUAUGAGUAAGGCAUACGAUAGGAUUGAGUGGCCUUUUCUGAAGCUCACAAUGGCUAAGCUCGGCUUCUCUCAAAAGUGGGCAAAGUUGAUAAUGAACUACAUACAACAACAGCCACCUUCUCAGUCUUAAUCAACGGCAGUCCCAAAGGUUUUAUCCAACCUGAGAGAGGUCUGAGAUAGGGCUGUCCCCUUUCCUAUUAUUUAUUUAUUUUGUGUGCUGAGGUUUUCUCAAAUUUAUUGCUCCAAGCAGAGAAAAAUCAGCUGAUCAGGGGCUUGAGGUUUGCCAAAGAAGUCACAAUUUCUCACAUACUGUUUGCAUAUGAUAGCCUUAUCUUCUCAAGGGCUACAAAAUCCGAUUGCAGGCACUUGAAGAGAAUAUUUGACUGUUAUGCUAAAGCCUCUGGGCAGAUCUUUAAUUUUGAAAAGUCAUCUAUGGUGUUUAGUGGCAAAGUGCCGAACAACCAGAUUACAGCAAUCAAAGAUAUCCUCAACUUAAAGGUAGUCUUCAGCCAUGAAAAAUAUCUCGGCCUCCUAUCCAUGAUAGGCAGAAAGAAAACCAAUUUUUUCAAGGACAUCAAGCUGAAAAUCCUGAGUAAAAUUUCAAGCUGGUAUCACAAGAUGUUCUCAAGUGGUGGGAAUGAAACUCUUAUUAAAGCGGUAGCCCAAGCAGUCCCAGCCUAUGCCAUGAGCACAUUUAAGCUUCCAAAGAGCUUAUGUGAAGACAUACAAAGAGCCAUUGCAAAGUUCUGGUGGGGAUCUAAGGAGGAAAAACAAGGCAUCCAUUAGGCAAAAUAGAGCAGACUCAGCCGUGCAAAGAGUAGAGGGGGUAUGGGAUUUAGAGAUCUCUUCAGCUUUAAUCAAGCUUUGGUGGCCAAACAAGGCUAGAGGUUGAUGCAGUAUCCUAACUCUCUGGUUUCCAAAGUGCUGCAGGCACGAUAUUACAAAAACUCCACCUUCUUAAAUGCAAGCAUAUGAUCCAACCCAUCUUAUAUAUGGAGGAGUAUCAUAUGGGGGCGGCAAAUCAUCAAGGAAUGAGCUAGAUGGAGAAUAGGUAAUGGUAAAAAUAUUCGGAUUUACAAGAUUGCUGGAUUCCAAGACCAACCUCUUUCAAGCCGAUAUCUCUACCAAGCUUGUCUACAGAUGCUAUCGUGGCAGACUUGAUAAACGCAGAAAACCAAUGGGAUGUGGAAACAUUAAACCAGCACUUCAUGCCAUCAGAUGCCGAUUUGAUCUUGAAGAUCCAUUUGCCACAUAGGCAAUCCGAAGAUGAAUUAAUGUGGCAUUUUGAUAAGAAAUGAGAUUAUUCAGUGAAAAACGGCUACCAAAUAGCUUUAAAAAUAAAUCUUCCAGAAGAGCCUGGCUGCUCAGGAAGCAAUUCAAACCAAUGGAAAGGAAUAUGGUCUCUUGCUUUGUCCGAAAAGAUUAAAAUUUUCUUAUGGAGAGCUUCAAUAACCUGCUGCCAACAGCUGAGAAUUUGUGGAGGAGAAAAAUCAUUCAAGAUCCAAUUUUUCAAAGGUGCAGAAGGUCCAUUGAAUCAAUAAGUCAUGCGCUCCUAAUCUGUAAAUCAGCAAAGAAAAUCUGGAACCAUGCCCCUUUUCCAGUGAACAAACAUGAAUUUUAUUCCCAGGACAUCUUCACUAUCAUCCAGGACAUGAGCAUCAGAUUUAGGAAGGCUGAUAUAGAGCUAAUGGCAGCAUACUUGUGGGUUUCAUGGUAUGCAAGAAACAAGUUCUUGUUCGAUGGGAAGAACCUGAAGCCAAGCAUCUUAACAGCUAAGGCAUAAUCAACAGUGGAAGCAUACCAGAGGGUAAGGAAGAUAGGGCUUUCUCAUAUUAGCAAUACCAUCAACAAGAAGCAGGAAAGAUAGAUCCCCAUCCAGACAACUCUUUCAAAGUCAACGUUGAUGCAGCCAUAAACAGCAAGAACCAAACAGUGGGCAUAGGUGCAGUUAUCAGGGAUUCAAAAGGCAUUGUGAUAGUAGCAGGCAUCCAGUAGACCACGCUAAAAGGAGAAGUCAGCUUUGCCAAAGCAGAGGCUAUGAGGUGGGGUUUGCAGAUUGCAAAGGAAGCAGCCUUAUCGAAUCUAAUAGUUGAGACAGAUUGUCAAGAGGUGGCUGAGUUGGUUAACAACACAAAGGGCAGCAAAACUGAAAUUUUCUGGAUUGUGUCUGAUAUCCAAGACCAGAGAAAGUAUUUCCAGAAGACUACAGUGCAAUAUGUUCCUAGAUAUUGUAAUGCUUAUGCCCAUUCCUUAGCAAAAUUUGCGUUAGGAAGAAAAACAUCUGCGAUCUAGUUUUAUCCAUUACCAGCAGAGAUAAUGAAUGUAUUUGACAGUGUUGUUUGAAGUAAUGAAAGUCUUUACUUUCUUUUAAAAAAAAAAACUACUAUCAUUGAGCAAACUAUUGAGCAUACAACUUUCAUUGAGUUUUAAAUUCUUAUAUUCAUCUCAUUUACUAACAUUUUAAGAUUUCAUUUGUAAUCGAACACAAUGUGUGAGAGGGAUUUAUUUGUAAUCCCUUUUGUAAAAUUAAGUUGAGAGGUUAUAAGUAUUGGGAUACACUUGGGUUAAGAAAUUGGGGAUAAUCUCUUGUUGUAAAGGUCUAUUGGUAUCUUGGAAGUCAAUUGUAAAAAGUUAUUGAAGCCUUGGAGGCUUACUUAGUGAAAUCUUCAAGUCCGAUGAGCUUAGAGGCAUGGACAUAGGCACGGGUGGCCAAACCAAGUAAAAAUCACGUGUUUGCUCUCUCUUACCCUAUUUCCUUAUUUUUUAUUACACAUUAAUUUGUUUAUUUCAAAUUUGAUUGCCUUGUUUAAAUUGCAUUAAGUUUCUUAGUUGCUUAAAUUUUUUAGAAACUCAAUUCACCAUCCCUUUUGGGUUGUCUAGUUAGUAUUUCACCAUUGAUUAUCGUCUUCCGGGCAAUUGCUCCUAUGAUCGUGUGGUUGCACCAUAAUGAUAAGCGAACUUGCUUUGAUACUAAUUAAAGAUGCGGAAAUGUUUAAAUUUGAUUGAUAGAAGAAACAAAAGUUUCUAAAUGAUAAAAUUUAAAUGUCUGAAAUUAAUAAAAUUAGGGUUUUGGGCCCCUUUAUAUAAUAAUCCAAAAAAUUUUGAAUUUACCAAAUAGGUAAAUCUAAAAAAUUAUUUUAUAAUAAAAUUCUCCUAAUCUGAAUAAAAAAAUCUAAAACAAAUGGUGCCCAAAUCUAAGAUCUUAAAAAAAGAUAAAAAUCAUAAAAGAAAUAGAAAAAAAAAUAAGAAAAUAUCUUAAAACUAAAAAAACGACAAGGAAAGAAAUGGAUUUUUAGGCUCGAACACUGCCCAUGCAACAAUUCUAGUUUUGAUUCGUCUCGUCACAAGCUUCAAAAUAAUAUAUAAUAGGCCUAAUAUCUCAUUCGUCCUAUGCAUCCAUCCUACAUCAUAACAGCUUGAAGACUUGGGAGGGCCAACUUAAUUCAAAGUCAACACUAGCUUAUUACCUUGCGGGAUUUUUAAUUGUGAGGGGAAAAAACUGUUGAAAGAUGUUGGGUUUAAAGUUUAUAAAACUUUAAUUAUUUCAUAAAAUUGUUUUAUUUUUUAUUCGUCAUCACGUUGGGAUUAUCCCCAAUGGCCAAUUUUAUUUUCAUUUUUUUAUAGGUCAAUAAAUGCUACUAGAAAUUGAUUAUUACCUCUCUUUUUCUCAUUUAUUGAUGACUAUGAAGAAUUAGAUAAAACUCAUAAAUGACCUAAUAUAUAUAAUGAAUAUUUAGAUUUUGUUUCAUAUCCAUACGAUAUCUGGGAGUAUGACAUAGUCUCCAAAAAUAGCCAAAUAUUUCACAUCUAUCACAAGUGCUUUCUUGAAUAUUAUCUUGUGGCAGGUGUUUCAUCCUCAAUUUUUUUCCUUUUCUAUGGUUCUUAUAACCACCGUGAGGUCGACAAUAAUUUUUUUUUUCAUGACCUCAAUCUUAAUAAUAGCCAUGACCACAACCAUGACUACAUCUACGGGCAUAGUUAUGCCCACGACCAUGCCCAUUUUCAUCAUGAUCACAUAGACAACAUUUGCUCCAAGAACUUGUUUUGUAUCAAUAGGAUGGGCUUAAUAAUUGAAUAUUCUUUUCUACCAAAAGAAAGCAUGCAAUCAAAUCAGAAUAUUUUGUAUACCGACGAGCUCUAUAUUGUUGUUAUAGAACUGUAUUGGAAGGAUGAAAUUUUAUAAUUUUUUUUCAACAUAUCCCCAUCAGUAAUAUUUUCCCCACAUAGUUUUAAUUAUUUAGUAAUUUUGUACAAUGUAGAAUUAUAUGUGUUGGAGAAAAAUCAGUUUUUUAAAUUUUUAUAAAACAUUUUAAGAUCGCUCUCAUACAAUAUAUAAGAAUUUGUAAUCUAGAAAUCGUACCUUGAAAAUCCGAUUUGGCUUUUUCCACUGAAUUGAUUUAGGCUCCCAGAUCACGAUCCGUCACCACCACUCCUGUUAGAUCACGAUCCGUCACCACCACGCUUGUUAGAUCACGAACUGUUACCAAUGAUCUUCCAGGUUAUGAUUCAGGUUUGAUCUGCACUUGACGUGUGGGUGCCUUUAUCACUACCAAAGCAGCUAGCACGAGAAAAUUUUUCUCUCAACAAUAGAGAGAAAAAUCUUUUUCUCUGAUCUGUAUAAAGUAGCUGCUCCCCUUUUCUUUAGAGAAAAUAAACCUUUUUAUAUCUCCCUUUAGUGAAAACCCUAGACUCCAAAUAAUGAAAAUCAAAACUCACGUUACUUGCUUUUUCUAUAGGGGAUCCACCUUGUAAAAUAACAUAAGGCCCCUUACACACAAGCUAAUAAAAUAGAGCCUCCCACUAAAUGAUAUAUUUAGGUUUUUGACCCAAAUAACCAGUUAUCUUUUUUAUUAAUCCAGUAGUGGUGCAGUCAAUUAAAUGAGCUAACCAGGGGAUCAUUUGGGAACAUACAAUAGUGGCUAUAACAAUUAAGCAUGUAAUUAAAAUAGCCUAAUUUUUUAAUUCCAAAUCUACUCCACUAAAAGAUUGGAAUUGACCUCCAUAAUUGUAUACUCGAAUAAUAAUUCGUCCCAAGCCACAUUGAUUUCUUUACUGCACAAUCCUUUGUACCACAUCAUUAAUUAAAUCGAUAUCUCAACUGUCCAAUCAAUUUAAUUACAUCUUGUUCCUUAAUACUUACUGGUUUUCUCUAAUGAUCAUUUUCAACAUACUAAAUAUGUUGACACACUCUGGCUAGAGAAUUCUAUGAUCAAGUACCGAAAACCCAUCAAGAGAUAUGUUGUACAAAUUAUUGUUAAUUCAUAACUCCAAUCCUCAUAAUUGCUCCCACCAAGAUACCGGGUAAUCUUGACCACAAGUAUUUGUCGUGCCCAUUGGUAACUCAAAUGGAAUAACAAUUACAAUCAUGAAAUCGUAAUUAACUCAAGAUUAAGAUUACAGUAAAAUCAAUGCCUAUGAGAUUUAAUAAGUAUGACAGUUAUUACAAAGUUAAUUAAAUCUCAUAUGUGAUCAUGUUCAAUGUAGGCGUACUACAUCAAUAAAUUCAUACAUGAUUAAGACAAAUCAUUCAAUGAAUUCAUUACAGUCUAUACCUAAAUAAAGUGCCCAACUUUAUUUAUCAACUGCGAACUAAAUUUAUUUAAUCAUAAGAUAACUUGUAUUUAUGUCUUCUGUGAAUCCACAUAGUGAUCACAUAAAUACAUAUACUAUGAUUAAAUAGAUUUUAAUCAAAAUAUUAAUUUAAUUAAGAUAUUUGAAUAAAAUACCUCAUUUAUUUUAUUAAUUAGAAAAAUUAUUUAUUACAAUUAAAUAAACACAUAUGUUUUUAAAGAGCACAUUUUCCCAACAAUCUCCUAAUAGCUCUCAAAGCAUAUUUGGCAUCUCACGCAUGCCCAUGGAUUCUAAGUGCAAGUUAAAAGGUUUCCCAGGUAUGGCCUUAGUAAAAGGAUUUGCCAAGUUUUGCUCUGACGCAAUCUGAGUAACCUCCACAUCACCUCUCUGCACUAUAUCCCUUAUAAGAUGAUACUUCCUCUCAAUAUGUUUUGUUUCUUGUGGUUCCUUGGUUCCUUAGAUUGAGCUACUGUACCACUAUUAUCGCAAAGUAGUUUAAGGGGUGCAGUUAUAACAGGUACCACCUCAAGAUCUUGUAGGAACUUGCGGAGCCAUACAACUUCUUUUGCAGCUUCGGAUGCAGCCAUAUAUUCAGCUUCAGUUGUGGGGUCUGCGAUACAAGAUUGUUUCACACUCCUCCAACUAAUAGCUCCACUUCCCAAUGUAAACACAUAGCCGGAAGUUGAUUUUCUGGAAUCCUUAUCUGACAUAAAGUCAGAAUCAGUAUAACCCAUUGGAAUGAGUUCAUCACCAGAAUACACAAGCAUAUAAUUUUUAAUUCUUUUCAGAUACUUCAUUAUAUGCUUGACCGCAGACCAGUGUUUAGGUCCAGGAUUAGAUUGAUAUCUACUAACCAUCCUUAUUGCAAAACAAAUGUCUGGCCUAGUGCAAAGCAUGGCAUACAUGAGACUUCCCACAGCUUCUGCAUAGGGAGCUUGUCUCAUUUUCUCUAUCUCUUCAGAUGUUUUAGGUGAUUAAUCCUUAGAGAAUGUAAUUCCAUGUCUGAAUGGUAAUAAACCAGUCUUGGAAUUUUCCAUGCUAAAUCUAGCUAAUAUCUUAUCGAUAUAGACCGCUUGAGACAAGGCUAAAGUUUUAUUCUUCCGGUCUCGUACUAACUUGAUAUCAAGAAUAUAACUUGCCUCUCCUAGGUCUUUCAUAUCAAAUUGUUUUGCUAACCAACUCUUUGUUGUAGUCAAUACUCCUAUAUCAUUUCCAAUUAGGAGAAUAUCGUCUAUAUAAAGAAUUAGGAAGGCUACAUAUUUUUCUUGAAUCUUCUUGUACACACAUGGUUCAUCAAUGUUCUGAAUGAAUCCAAACGAUUUAAUCGCUUGAUCAAAUAUGAUGUUCCAUGACCGGGAUGCUUGCUUCAAUCUAUAAAUGGAUCUCUGCAACUUACAUACCAUGUGUUCUUGGCCUUUUUGUAUAAAUCCAUCUGGUUGCUGCAUAUAGAUGUUUUUUUCAAGAUGCCCGUUAAGAAAGGCAGUCUUGACAUCCAUUUGCCAAAUUUCAUAAUCUAGCACUGCAGCAAUAGAGAGCAGAAUCCUGAUGGAUUUAAGCAUAGCAACCGGAGAAAAAGUUUCCUCAUAAUCGAUUCCCUCUUUCUGAGUAAACCUUUUGGCUACCAAUCUUACUUUAAAUGUUUCCACCCUUCUGUCUACUUCUCUUUUUCUCUUGUAGAUCCACUUGCACCCUAUAGGUUUUACCCCAUUUGGUGCCUCAACAAGUUCCCAGACUUUAUUGGAAUACAUAGAUUCCAUUUCUUGAUUCAUGGCCUUUUUCCAAAAUUCAACAUCUCUAUCUAUUAGAGCUUCAUUGUAACUAGUGAGAUCUUGUACAUGUUCAUAUGAGAUAGCUGUAUAGGUUUCUCCCAAAAGUAUGUAUCUCAUAGGUAACCUAGUUACCCUCCCACUACGACGAGGUUCUAAAAGUGAUGGUUGUUCAGGGAUAAUCCUGUAUUGAUCAUCUGGUUGUUGAUGUUCUUCCUGUUCUGUAACAGGCGUUGAAAGCUGACCAUCAACUUGAUCACCUGACAGUUCUUCAAGUAUUACCUUACUCUUAGGUUUAAAGUUAUUCAUAUAGUCUUCCUCGAGGGAAGUGAAAUGUGUGCUCACGAUCACUUUCCUAUCUUGAUGACUAUAAAAUAAACCUCUCCUUGUUCCUUUGGGAUACCCCACAAACAUACAAAUCUCAGAACGUGAAUCCAUUUUGUCUGCCUUUGGUUUCAGUACAUGUGCUGGUGAUCCCUAAAUACGAACAUGUCGUAAACUUAGUUUGCGACCUGACCAUAAUUCUAUUAGGGUUUUAGGCACUAACUUAGAUGGAACUAAGUUCAAGAGGUAAACUGCAGUUUCUAGUGCUAGUCCCCAAAAAGAGAUUGGUAAUAACGAAUAACUAAGCAUAGAUCUCACCAUAUCCAAAAGAGUUCUAUUUCUUCUUUCAACUACCCCAUUUUGUUGUGGUGUUCCCGGGGCAAUCAACUGAGAUAUAAUCUCAUUUUCAACCAGAUACUCUUUGAAAUCUCCUGAGAGAAAUUCACCACCUCGAUCAAAUCGAAGUUUCUUUAUGUUCUUAUCUAAUUGCUUUUCUGUCUCAGCCUUAUACUCUUUGAAUUUCUCAAGAGCUUCAGACUUAUGAUGCAUCAGAUAAACAUAAUCGUAUCUCGAGUAAUCAUCAGUGAAAGUGAUGAAAUACUCAUAACCUCCUCGAACUUGUACAUUGAUUGGUCCAUAUACAUCUGUAUGAACUAAGUCAAGUGGUACUGUUGCACGUACUCCUUUGGCCGAGAAUGGCCUUUUGGUCAUUUUCCCUUCUAAAUAGGAUUCACAGAGUGGAAAUGAUUCAUUUUCUAAUGGACCCAAAAUCCCAUCUUUGAUCAUUCUCUGUAUCCUAUUUUGGUUUAUAUGACCCAAACGUAAAUGCCAGAGGUAACAUUGGUUGGAAGAAAUAUUUAUUUUCUUAGAUAAAUGUGUAUGCUCAUCAUUAUUUAUCACUGUGUCGUGCAUAGAAUGGAUCAUUGGACUUAAAUGAUAUAAAUUAUCUUCCAAUGUACCAGAACAAAUAAGUCUUUUAUUAUAAAAAAUAAAAACAGAGGAUCCAAAAUUUACAGUGUACCAUUGCUUUGACAAACAAGCUACUGAAAUUAAAUUCUUCUUUAUGUCUGGAACAUAAAGAAAAUUAUUCAAAAUUAAAGUCUCAUUAUUAAAAGAUAAUAAAACAGAUCCGGUCUUCACUGCUGACACGAACUAUCUUGUCCCUAACUGCAGCUUGACGCUUCCUUCACUUAUUUUCCUGGUUUCCUGAAACCAAUAAAGUGAAUUACAAAUAUGAUUAGUUGCUCCUGAAUCCAACACCCAAGUGUCAAUAGGAUUCUGAACUAAACAUGCCUCAAUUACAAAAAGAUUUCCCAUACCUGAUUUCACAAUCGUAGGGCAAUCCUUUUUCCAGUGACCUUUCUGUCCACACUUGAAGCAUUUGCCUUUUGGAAUUGACCUCCAUAAUUGUAUGCUCGAAUAAUAAUUCGUCCCAAGCCAUAUUGAUUUCUUUACUGCACAAUCAUUUGUACCACAUCAUUAAUUAAAUCGCUAUCUCAACUGUCCAAUCAAUUUAAUUACAUUUUGUUCCUUAAUACUUACUGGUUUUCUCUAAUGAUCAUUUUCAACAUACUAAAUAUGUUGCACACUCUGGCCAGAGAAUUCUAUGGUCAAGUGCCGAAAGUCCAUCAAUAGAUGUGUUGUACAAAUUCUAUAUUGUUAAUCCAUAACUCCAAUACUCAUAAUUGCUCCCACCAAGAUACCGGGUAAUCUUGACCACAAGUAUGUGUCGUGCCCAUUGGUAACUCAAAUGGAAUAACAAUUACAAUCAUGAAAUCAUAAUUAACUCAAGAUUAAGAUUACAGUAAAAUUAAUGCCUAUGAGAUUUAAUAAGUCUGACAGUUAUUACAAAGUUAAUUAAAUCUCAUAUGUGAUCCUAUUCAAUGUAGUCGUACUACAUCAAUAAAUUCAUACAUGAUUAAGACAAAUCAUUCACUGAAUUCAUUACAGUCUAUACCUAAAUAAAGUGCCCAACUUGAUUUAUCAACUGCGAGCUAAAUUUAUUUAAUCAUAAGAUAACUUGUAUUUAUGUCUUCUGUGAAUCCACAUGGUGAUCACAUAAAUACAUAUAAUAUGAUUAAAUGGAUUUUAGUCAAAAUAUUAAUUCAAUUAAGAUAUUUGAAUAAAAUACCUCAUUUAUUUUAUUAAUUAGAAAAAUUAUUUAUUACAAUUAAAUAAACACAUAUGCUUUUAAAGAGCACAUUUUCCCAACAAUAUGUUGGAUCAUAAACUUGAUCCAUACAACUUUGAAACGCAAAUGACUCUUGAUCUAGUUCAUGCAAGCUUCUUUGGGUAGUUAAGAUUUGGGGUGUUAAAUGUGGUAAUAUGGGAAGUAGAAUUUGUGGUGUUGAGUAUGUUGUUAGGUUUGGUUUGUGGUUAUGAUUUAUGUGGUAGUUAAGUCAACGUAUGGUUGUGAUUAAAUUGUAACAAGUAUAAAUAUCUACUCUCUCAGUUGGUUUAAGUAACAAGAAGUAGUAAAGCUUAUUAAUUGCAAAAGAGUCGUAAUUAAGGAGUUAUAUUGAGUUAAUAAGAAAAGAGUGUUUUGAGUGUUUGAUUAUUCAAAUUCUCUACUAUUAUGUUCAUGAACUGACUUAAAAUCCUACAACUUAAGGGCAUUCCAUUCAUUACAAGUAUUUGGAAGAAUUACUAACCUUAAAUUACUAUAUCUCUCAUCAAGCUAUUUCAUAUGACAUAUAUGUCCUUUAUAGGAAGAUAUCUUGUUUUGAGUGCUAGAUGGAGAUGGUGACAUUGAUAAAUCGUGGUCUUCUCUUGAUCUUGAAGAGAUGAGUCAUUAUUAUUUUUCAUUGUAUCACUAAGCAUCAAGAUAAAUUUCAGCAACAUCAAGUAUUUUUGGAAAUCCUUCUUGUUCUUGUUUUUUUAUUUCUUUUUUUUGUCAAGAUGACCAUUUUUUCCCCGAAUGUUAUCGAGGGCAAAUAAAGCAUAUAUGCUUAACAUUGAAUAUAUUUUUAUAAAUAAAAGCUAACACGAACGUUAUGCCAAAGAAUCUGUUUAUAGGUAAACUAGGCCCAUUUAGGAUAGUAGCGUUGCCGAACAAGGCUUUGAUUUGAUUACUGUAAGUAUAUACUAAAUAUUUUUAAUAGAAUUUUUGGUUGGGCUGAAUGGUUGAGUAAAAUAAUUCAAAUGGUUUAAGUAACGAUUUUUUUAAUAUUUUAAAGAGUGCACAUGUUUUUUUUUUUGAAAAGAAACUUCCAUUAAAUCGAAGAAGAGAAUAAAUACAUCAAUUGUGAAGGGUAAGAACCCAUCCAAACAACAUUUUCACAUUUCUCUAAUGCUAACUUAGAUAGAGAAUGGGCAAUGGCAUUACAAGAUCUAUGAGUAUAUUUAAUGCUAACUAGCUCAAAAUUCCUCAUUAAGUUUUGAAUCUUCAAAAUUAUCCAAAAGAUCUCAGAAUUGCCGCCUUGCUUGUUGUUAACUAACUUGACUACGCUUUGAGCGUCUGAUUCAACAAUUAAAGCCUUUGCACUUGCAUUCCUAGCAAUCUGUAAUCCCUAUUCCAAGGCUUCUGCUUCAGCAAAGGAAACAUCUCCAUGAAAUUUCCAAAUCUUGAUUGCAGCUGCUAUGACAUUCCCCCGAUCAUCUCGGAUUAUAGCUCCGAGCCCUGCAAGGUGCUUUUCUGAGUUUGUAGCAGCAUCCACAUUGACUUUAACAAAUCCACUUCGGGGGGGAUUCCAAAUUCACUAAGCCUGAACCUACUGAAUUUCAUUUUGAGCUUGCUCUGGUUUUUGAACUCUUUUGUAAGCCUCCAUUACUGCUUCAGCUUUAGCAACCAGAGCCUGGGGGUAAAGAGUGCACAUGUUAAAAUUUAAUAGAUUAGUGUACAAAAUAAUAGAAAAUGGAACUAUCGUACUCUUACUCCGAAACUGCAAUUAGAGUCAACAUUCCAGUAAUUUCUUUACACAGUACUAUAUUACAACAAGCAAUAAUAGAGCAAUAAUAGAGUAAUAAUAUAGUUACAAAUUCUUGUAUAAAUAUUUUUGUAUACAAAUUGAUGUAGCAUGAUUUAAUUGGUUGGAUUAAAUAUCUAUUAGUUUGAAUGAUUUGUUUUUAUUAUUUUCUAUUUUCACUUAACCAAUGAGUUAAUGUCAAAUUAAUUUAUGCAAAAUAAGUUUGUGUAAGAGUUUAUAACUAUAUCAACGCUCACAAUAAUAUUGCUAGAGGAGUUGACUAUUACUUUUCCCUGGAGGCAUAAUAAGUUUACAGCCAUAGGUUGUGACAAUUACGCAAUUAACCUGGAGAAUGUUAAUGAUUCAACUGUGCCUAUGUUUGCACUUGGGAUCCCACUCAGAAAAGUGGUUGCUACGAUUUCCUGUGCUCUAUUCCUCCAAGUAUUAGUAAAUUUUUCAAUGCAAAAUAUGAAUUUCUAUGAAGAAUCCGUUGGCAUUUCACAGAAGCCCAAUAACAAAUACAUCCUCAAAAUAUCCAUCAAAGAUAUUUCAACAAGCUAGUCAAGUAAUGGGACAGGGAAUGGCUCUGUUCCUCAGAAUGAAUUGACGUCCUGUCCAGUGUCCCCCGUUGGCUUCUCAUCACAGAGAUGAAAAUUGAAAUUAGGCCAAUUAGAUUAAAGGCAAGACGGAAUGGAAAUAUUGAACCGUUAAUUAUUAUAGCCAUGACCCCUCUAAUUAAUGGCCCUUUGCCUUUCAAUAUUAUUGUAGGUAUUUGCAAGGAAACCUCCUCUAUCUUUCUUCCAAUUAAGACUUCUUGUGUCCAAUUACUGUCGAUUCUUUUUGAACGUGUAAAGGAUAGCAUCUUGAAGACUUGAGAGGGCCAGCGUUUAUUCAAAGUCAAGUACAGGGACAGGAAAUGGCCCUGUUCCUGAAGUAUGAACUGACGUCCCGUCCGGUGUCCCCUUGCCUACUCAUCAUACAAACAAAAAUUGAAAUUAGGCCAUUUAGAAUAAAGAUAAGACGGAAUGGAAAUAUGGGAUCGUUAAUUAUUAUAGCUAUGACCCAUCUAAUUUGCAAAUGGUUCUUUCCCUUUCAAUAUUAUCGUACGUAUUUGCAAGGAAACCUCCUCUCCCUUUCUUCCAAUUAAGACUUCUUCUGUCCAAUUACUGUCAAUUCUUUUUGAACGUGUAGAGAGGAUAAUAACUUGAAGACUUGAGGGCGCCGGCGUUUAUUCAAAGUCAAGACUUAAUUAGCCUGCAGGACUCUUGAUGGUGAGGGGAAGAGAAAAAGAUGAAAGGCGCUGGGUAUAAGACAUAUAAAACUUCAAUUACUUCAUAAAAUUGUUUUAUUUUUCAUUCGUCGUCACGUUGGGGAUUACCGCAAAUGACCCAUUUUAUUUUCAUCUCUAUGUAGGUCAGUAGGGUCACUGGAAAUCAACUGUUGUCUCUUUUUUCUCACUUACUGAGGAAUUUGGACAAUUAAACAAAACACAUCAAUUACCUCAAAUAUAUGAUGAAUAUCUAGAUUUUUUCGAAUCCACAUGAAGUGUGGAAAUACGACAUUCUCUCCAAAAAUAACCAGAUAUUUCACAUCUAUUACAAAUAUUUUCUUGAAUAUUAUGUUGGCCAGAUAUUUUCUCCUCAUUUUUCUCUUUUCCAUCGAUAAUAAUUUUUUUCAUAACCUCAACCUUGAUAAAAGCCACGACCAUGGUUACAACUAUGUCCACAGUCAAUAAUAAUCUUGCUGAGAAAUUAUUUCUAAUUAAUUUUUUUGUGGUGCUUUUAAUGACACAACAUAAUAACCUUUUUUUAUCUUUAUUUUGUUCCCAAUAAAUCUCAAAACUCACAAAUUUGCACCAUUAUACAUAUGAUAUCUUUUUUCUUCCGUUUAUUAGCUUUAUAGAAUUUUGAUAUAAUACGUGCGUCGCACUCAUAACAUGUACGGCCUGGCGCAUUAGAUUAUUUUUCUAACUUUAUAUAAGUAAAGUAUCUCUCUUAGCGUACAAAUAUAAUUUGAUGCGACGUGGCGCACUGGUCGCACUAGAUGAGUGCUCUAACUUUGUUUAAGUAAAAGCGUCUCCCUUAUUGUGCAAGCAUAAUUUGUAGUGGUUCGGCCCCAAAAUGGCAAAAUUUAUCACUCCAUCGCCUCAAAUUUUAAAAUCCGCAACUAUUGGGCUGUGUGGCGGGCUCGCCAAAGUCACAACCCAACCUUUAUCAUGGGCCCUUUCCAAAGCUAACUUGCACUCUCCAUAUUCUUCCUCUAUUAAAUAAAACCGAAUAUGAUGCAUAUUAACAGACUCUCACCAUUCACGUAUUUUAUAAUGAAUCUCGCACCAAUUCUAAGUUUUCAUUUUUUUCCUACAAAGAAGAAACUUUGGAGUCUUAGGCCCCGUUUGGUACUGUUUUGCAAGUUAUGUUUUCGUUUUCAUUUUUAUAAUACACACAUAAAUCAUGUUUGGUGGAUUUAUUUCACAAAAUAAAUUACAAAACACAAAAUCCGGAUUCAAUAUUAUAACUAUACAACUGAAAACAAGUUAAACAUGUUCUCCAAAUUUUACAAACUAAAUCCAAAAAUGAAUUAAAAAACAACAAAAAAAUCGUGACCCUGCAGCCCUCACUUUUCUCUUCACUGCAGCCCUCACUCUCAAUCCAGUUCACUGCAGCUCCCUCUUUCCCCUCAAUUUUCUCAAUCUAGUUGCAGCAAAUCUCUCUCUUGGUCGCUCUUGGUGUGCUAGCCACUGCCGCAGCUCUUUCUCCGCCGUAACCGCUGCUGCUCCGACUCCGUCCAGCUGCUGCUACUUCGUCUUUGCUCUCUCGGAUCUGCACUUGCUCUCUUGGUUCUUUGCUCUCUCGGAUCUUCGUCUACUGCUACUUCGUUGUUGCUCACUCGGAUCUGCACUUGCCCAACCAUUGUUGCUCUCCCGGAUCUGUCACUUGCUGGUGGGCAGUUGAAGCAUGUUAUCGGAAGGCCAAUAUUUAAAACUGAUCAGAAAGAAGAUUGCAUUUCAAUGGCAGUUCUGUAUUCACCUCCAAGCAUCACUAGCAGCAGCAGCAGCAGCAUCACCUACAUUCCUGAGAAGGGAAAAACUAUUUCCCUUGGCCAACAAUUUAUGAUUGCAAUAUUUUUAACUCUUUUGUAUCACUUUUUGGUUUAUGUUUACAAAAAAUUCUGAUUCUGUCAAGAUUUUUAUUUUUUAUUUUUUCCUUUCAAUUGAUGAAAAUCACACACAUUCACGUCCAUCAAUCAUGAUCCACAUUGUCUAUUGCCCUUUUUUUUUUAAAAAAAAAGUAAAGCUUUCAUUAUCAUUUAGAAUAAAUUUGUAAACAUACUUUGCUCAUUAUAAAAUUAUUGUUAUUAAAUAAUUUAUUUUUUCAUUGUUUUAAAAUUAUUUUCAUUUUAUCAAUAGAAUUGAUUAUAUCAAAUAUUAGGAUUAAAAUAUAGUUAGGGUCCAUAAUUAAUAAAGACAUUUUAGUGGGGAUAAUAUAAGGAUCUUAAAGGAGUGUGAAAAGCAUUACUCUAAUUUUUUUAAAAGAAUAUAUACAGUAUAUGAAUAGGCAUAUAAAAUUAAAGCCAACACCAAAUACACAAUUAAAGCCCAAAUUAAAAAAAAAUGAAAAGACUCAAAUUCUCCACCAAUCCGCCUAAAAAGAUAAGAAAAUAAGGUCUUAAUCAAAAACACUACACUAGCAUACCAAAUAUCUGGGUGGGUAUUUCCGUGGUAAAUGAUUCCCAAAUCUUCAAGUUGUAAGCUGUCCGCAUUGAGUAACAAAUAACCAAGUUCAAAAAGCAAGUUCAGGCUUUUAGUUAUCAAUAUUAAUGCAAAAAGUCAUAGCAAUGCAACCUUUAUGCUGAUUACAUUACUGAAAUUGAGUGGGGGAUUAAUAGCAUGUACUGAAAAUUGUAUGUUAUAAUAUUGAAUCCGGAUUUUGUGUUUAUUAGCUAAAUAAUUAAUGUUAAUUCUUAAAAUUUAUUAUCGUGUAAUUUUUUUAUAUUAAAUUUGGUUAAAUUAUUUUGUUGUAUUUGUGUGUAUUAGGUAAAUAAUUAUUUUAUGACUAUAAAUAUAAUGUAAAUGAUUAGUAAAAACUGUUUUUAAAAAAAGCAUUACCAAACGCAUAUUCUCUGUUUUAAUCAUUUUCAACUGUGUCUACCAAACGCAUAUUACUGUUUUCAGUUUUAAAAUAUAGGAUACAGAAAAUGAUACCAGACGCAUAUUUAAAUUCGAAAUACAGUAACUGCAAAACACCAUUUUCAUUUUCGUUUUUAUUCUCAGAAAAUACAAAUUCAAAAACAAUACCAAACAGACCCUUAGUGACUGCCUAUUUUUUUUUCUUAUCUCGAGGAAAAGAAAAAUGCUAUAAUAACCUAUCAAAUUAUCCAUUAAACCUAUUUAUUAAAUAAAUCACCGAUUAAAAUUUAAAAAUUCAAAUUUUUAUCUAAACUUACGUAUUUCAUUUCAUCAAUAAAUAAAAUUGUGGACUUUUGCCUCUAGUGUCUUAUUUGGUAACAAUUUUUGACUCUAGAACCAAACAUGCAGAGUUUGAUGUUCAUUUUAUAAGGUAUAAAGUACUCAAUGGAGAAAUGGAAGUGGUAGAUAUAUACCAACAAAGCAUAAUAAGAUGGGAAACAUGUUGUGCGCAAAAUGCGGAAUCAAACGCACCGAAUAAUCACAGAAAGGACACAAGAAUUAUGUGGUUCAACAAUAUGCCUACGUCCACGGGAGUAAGAGAAAAAAUAAUUGUAUUAUUAACAAUUAUUUGAAUACAAAUUUGAGUAAAGAAACCUCACUUUCCCAGAACCCAAAUACACCCAAUACUCUCACACACACUCUACAAUUGCUCACACUCUCAGAACUCUCAAAAGCUUAGAAACUUAUAAGCUUAACAAAUUUUUAGGAUGCAAAAACCUCUAUGAAUGAAGCUCUAUUUAUAGUUAAGCUUCAUUGCAAAAAGUCUUAAAGUAGUUGGCAAAAGUCCUAUAAUUUGGUGCCGACUUGAAAAACAAAAGAAAUGCAUGUGGGUCACCUUUUCUUUUUCAACCAAUUUGAAUAAACUCACCAAAAAUCUUUGACUUUUUAACAAUUCUCCACCUCGUCAAAGAUUUGUCCAAAUAUGAGUCGACUACCAAUAAACCAUCAUUCUCAAAGUGAUCAUUCAAUAAGGAUCCAGAAUGGCUGUGUCGCUUUGACUGCCUACGUACCCAAAAUUUGGGAUCAAGCCAACCGUAGUUCAAAAUUCCCGAAUGACAUAACUUAAUACAAUCGAAGGAUUUGAAUUAGUUUUAAGCAAUGUUGAAACUUAACUCUAGAAACUACCUUCGUCAACAUAUCUGAUGGAUUAUCUUUGGUAUCGAUCUUUCUCAACAACACAACACCGCUCUCGAUAAUCUCCCUCACAUAAUGAUAUUUCACAUCUAUGUGCUUUGACCGAGCGUGAUAUGUUUGAUUAUUCGCAAGGAAUAUCGCACUUUGAUUAUCGCAGAAGACCGCAAUGUUCUCUUGGAUUAUUCCUAAUUCACCUAACAAGCUUUUCAACCAGAUAGCUUCUUUUACAGCUUCAGUUGCUACCAUAUACUCUGCUUCCGUAGUGGACAGAGCAAUUGUCGAUUGUAAAAUCGACCUCCAGCUAACCGGACCUCCAUCCAAUGUGAAUAAGUAGCCCGUUGUUGAUCUUCGCUUAUCUAGGUCUUCGGCGAAAUCAGAAUCACAAUACCCAACACAUUGUUGACCACAAUCCUUCUUGAACAAUAACCCAACAUCAACUGUCCCAUACAGAUAUCAGAGAAUCCACUUUACCACAAGCCAGUAAUUUUUACCCGAAUUGUGCAUGUAUCUACUAACUAUGCUCACUAAUUGAGAUAUAUCGGGCCUUGUGCAUACCAUAGCAUACAUAAGACUACUCACAACACUAGCAUAUGGAACACGAGCCAUGUAAUCACGCUCUUUUUGAGAUCUAGGAUAUGAAGAAGAGCUUAAUUUGAAAUGAGGAGCUAGAGGUGUACAUACUGGUUUAGUUUUGUCAUCCAUACCGAAUCUUUCUAGCACUUUUUUCAAAUAAGACUUUUAAGUCAACCAUACGCUCCCAUUCUUCUUGUCUCUACGAAUCUCCAUCCCAAGUAUUCUCUGUGCAUCACCCAAGUCUUUCAUCUCGAACUCAAAAGCCAGCUGCUUCUUUAAUCUUUCGAUCUCAUCUCUAUUCUUCGAAGCUAUAAGUAUAUUGUCGACAUAGAGUAACAAAUAGAUGAAAGCUCCAUCUAGUAGUUUUCUGAAGUAAACACAAUGAUCGUGUUCACUUCUGGUGAAUUUCUGCCCUUGUAUAAAUUGAUCAAAUCUUUUGUACCACUGCCUUGGCAAUUGCUUCAGUCCGUACAAAAAUUUAAUCAACUUACACAAAUGAUUCUCCUUUCCAGCAACUCUAAAACCACAAAGCUGAGUCAUAUAGAUUUCCUCCUCCAAAUCUCCAUGUAAGAACGUUGUCUUAACAUCUAAUUGAGCCAACUCUAACUCAUAUUCUGCAAUUAAGGCAAGUAGGAUACGAAUGCACGUAUGUUUUAUAAUUGGAGAGAAAACUUCAUUGUAGUCAAUACAUUCCUUUUGAGCAAAACCUUUUGCAAGGAGCCUUGCCUUGUAUUGAAGAGUUGAUUGAUUUAGAGAUCCUUGCUUCUUGGUGUAGACCCAUUUAUUGCCAAUACCCUUUUUCCCCUUUGGUAACUCCACAAGUUCCCAAGUCUGGUUUUGAUGGAGAGAUUUCAUCUCUUCUUCCACGGCUAACUUCCAUUGAUCACUUUCACUGCUGCAUAAUGCUUCACCGAAAGUGUUGGGGAUGUCAUCAUUAAUAACUGGAAGUGCAUAGGCUACUACCAUAUCUUUAAUAAGCCAUCCAGAUUUUUUUAUCUCUCUUUUUAGCCUCCUUGUUGCUAUAAAAUCAUCGUUUUCUACAUCAUCAAUUGUUUCUUCAUUUUGGGGGACAUCAGAAGAAAUAACCUCUUCUUCAACUCUAAGUGUCACCUCCAUAGUUGAACCAUUCUUUGAUGUAGAACUAACUGGUACAUAUGAAGUUACAUCAAACUCUACCUGCUGCAAUACCUCUUUGGUCUUGUUCUCCACUUGCUGAGAACUUGAAGCUUCAUCAAACGUGACAUCUCUACUACACACAAACUUUUUAUCUUCGAGAUCCCAAAGCUUGAAGCCCUUUACUCCAUCUUUGAAUCCCACAAAGAUAACUUUUCUAGCACGAGGAUCGAAUUUACCAUUUUUGACAUGAUAAUAAGUUGGACACUCGAAUAUACGAAGGGAAUCAUAGUUUUGUGCAUGUUUUCCAGACCACAUUUCCAUAGGAUUUUUACCUCCAAUUACAGCAGAAGGAAACCGGUUUAUUAAGUGACUUGCGUAGCUCACAGCUUCAGCCCAAAACUUUUUAUCUAAACCAGCAUUAGAUAACAUACACUGUACUUUCUCCAGCAAAGUACGAUUCAUACACUCAACCACACCGUUCUGUUGCGGAGUAUGUCUCACCGUGAAAUGUCUUUUAAUACCCUUAUUCUGGCAUACUUGCAAGAAUAGAUCAGAAGUAUAUUCACCCCCAUUAUCAGAUCGUAAUACUUUGAUCUUUCUAUCAGUUUGAGUCUCCACCAAUUUCUUCCAUUUCACAAAAAUCUCUAGAACCUCAUCCUUUGCUCGCAUGGUAUACACCCACACACGUCUAGAGAAAUCAUCAACAAAUGUAACAAAAUAAUAGUUUCCACCAAUUGAUGCAGUCUUGGUUGGUCCCCAUACAUCACUGUGAACAUAUUCAAAGAUCUCACGAGUAUCGUGAUUAGCCGUACCAAACUUGACCCUUAUUUUCUUGCCUACUACACCAUGCUCACAGAAAUUUAAUUUACAGGUUUUGGUACCUUUUAGAAGUUCAUACCUCAUCAGAGUUUUCAAAGACUUCUCUCAAGCAUGUCCUAGUAGAACAUGCCAUAACUUGGUGGUGUCACUGUGGGCCUCAGCAACAUUUGCUUCAUCAGUUGUACCUCCCUUCAAAUAGUACAAAUUGUGACGCCAAACUCCCUGCAGAAUGACUAUAGCCCUAUGUGCAAACUUCAUUGUGCCAUCUUCAAUAGUAACCUUGUAGCCUUUAGCUUCCAACGCACCCACAUAAAUUAGAUUUUUCUUUAAAGCUGGAACAAAUCUAAUCUCUUUAAGUUCUCUAAUCGUUCCAUCAAACAUUUUGAGCCGAAUUGUUCCUAUCCCCAUUGUACGACAAUGUUGAUCAUUCCUCAUCACAACAGCACCGGAUUCCAGAUUACGAAAAUCCGUAAACUAUUCUUUAAUAGGACACAAAUGAUAGGUUGCCCCAGUAUCAAGUAUCCACUCGCUCGAACUAGCCACGUAUGCUGCAGGAGUAAUAAUUAGUGAAUAAUCAAAGUCCUCAUCUUUUCGUGCCAUGUUUGUUGAUGCGGGUUUCUUCCCAUCUCUCUUUUGAGCUUUUGGACAAUUUUUCCUCCAAUGGCUUUUUUCAUGACAAAAGCCACACUCGUCUCGAGCUAUAUUUCUACUUCUCGAUUUAGAUCGAAAAUUCUUUCCACCAUGCUUAUUCUUUUUCUCCAUCGCCUAAUCUCUGCUCACCAAAGCUUCAGACGAUGCAUGUUCAUAAUUUUUAUCAUUAUUUCAAAUCUCUAAGUUAGUCAAUGCUGUGCAAACAUCUUUGAAGAUGAUCACACUUUUCCCAUAUAUCAAGGUAGUCACAAAAUGGCUAUAUUCCUCUGGUAGUGAGUGUAACAAAAUCAUAACCUUGACUUCAUCCUUAAUAUCUUCAUCAAGAUUCUUCAAAUCAGCAAGUAACUCUGGUAGUGUGUGAUGGUGCUAAGUCUUCACUUAGCCAGUCACUCAACAAUAUCUAGCGGAAGCAAAUAAAGUAACAAGCAUGCAAAGAUCCACAAUGGAGGUUUACGUAAGAGACUAAUUGAUGGUAUUCGAAGUCAGCAAAAAUAAAUACAUACUCUAAAUAAAUUGUGUAUAGUGAUUGAGUAGGGUCGUGUCCACAGAGAUUGGUAAUUAUUUAAAUCUUUUUAAAAUGAAAAAUGCAAAAUGGGGGAAUUGUUGACAAUAAUAAAAAUCAAAUUAAAAUAACAAGAAUGCAAAUUAAAAUUGUAAUUCAAAUUGGGAAAAGCUUUGGUUGAAGGAAUUAACUCAGCUUGAUUCGACUACUGAUCAUUGAUUCAAAUAUAAAUCAUUACUAUUAUGAAUAGACCAGUUAUAGCUACUGAGACCCUCUAAUAGCCAAUCUCUCCUUAACUAGUCGAUAACCAAGGUACGACCAUUGGUUAUUUCCCUAAUCAAUAGACAACCCUAGAUACGAUCAUAGGGUUUAAUCAAUUGACAGCCUGAAAAACCAGAGAGACCCAAAUCCUAAUCAACAAACGCAUACGAUGGUUCAUUUAAAUUAGAUUGUUUAUUCUCAUAACACAACGCACUGCUAUGCUAUUUUGUCACAAACAUUAAAAUCUUCAUACGAUGAAUCUUUUAAUUGACAAUAGAUUAAGUUGAUAAUUAAAUAGUGGCCAAUUAUCUAAUUAACAAACAUAAUCAUGACAAUAAUUUAGAGAAUGAACAAAUAUCCAAAAAGUAAUAAAACAAUUAAAGCAUAAGAAAGAUCUCACAGUAAUGAUGAAUCAAAGCUUUAUUAACCUUCAACCAGAAUAAUAGAUUUAGUUCUUCAUAGAGAGAAGAGAAAAAUUUAGAUCUAGAGUUUCUUUUUCUUCCCUCCUCUUGAAAAAUUCUCCUCCCCUUUGUUUUUCAUGUCUCCUUUCUCUUAUAGAGUUUUUCCAAAAAUAAAAUACUAAUAUCUAAAAUAUUAUCUAAAUAUUAAAUUCAAAAUUACAAAAAUAACCAAAAAGGUAAAACACGUUAAAAUAAAAACUGCAGGUCCUUAGUCGACAGCACGCGCCCAUGCCUUAUCAACAAAGUUCUUCUGAAGCUCAUAAUUUCUCUAGGAAAACAAUCAUCUUCAAACAUCAUCUUGUAGCUCAAUUUUAGCACCAAUCAAUAGAAUUGUACCUACAAAAAUAAAACAGAAGUAAAUCACUAUUAUUAAGUGCAAAACAUCGAUAUUAAAGGAAGUAAACAAUGCAAAAUUAGUGCAUAGAUUGCACUCUAACAAAUUCCCCCACACCAAGAUAAUGCUUGUCCUCAAGCAUAUAACUCAAGACUAAUCUCAAAUCUCCACUCAAUUCUCAUCUCAACUCAUCCAAAAACAAUCUUAAGCAAAUAUAUCUUAAGAAUUUAAGUCAAUCAACAUUCGAGAGACAAGGAUUUUAAAGCAUAGGAUCUCAUAAGCUAGUAUAAAAACAUUCAACCACCCAGAAAAUCCAUUCAAAAUUCAAGUGCAACAAGUUUUAAUAGCCCUCUCAUUGACUUCACUCCAUCUCAAAGUGUUUAGGGUAUCAUUUAUGCACUCCAAUCAAAUCAAAGAAUGCUAUUACCGUAAGCUUGCUCAUAUAUCACAUCUCAAUCCACAAAACAAGAAUUAAAUGCAAAAAUUUAAGGGUCUUAAAAAGGUUGUAACGGGGUUAAAUGGGUUGAAUGAAAAAUAAAGGUCUAUGAAAGAAAAAGAGGUCAAAAUGAGAAGAAUGAACUCAUUGAAUGAACCUUAUGAUAUCAAAAUGCUUAUUUCUACUCAAGUCGCCAAGAAUGUAAACACUUUUUUUUUCAUUCAUUUUUUUUUCAGUAAUGGUGAACCAAACAAAAGAAAUGAACCUUGCAUAAUUUAAUUCAAGCAUAAUGCUUGUUGAUCUAAUUGAGAAACUUUAAUUCAAGGUAGCAAGAGCAACAAAAUAUAUACAAAAUAUAUCCAAACAAUGAGUCCAAAAAUCUCCUUAAAUUGAGGCUCAAAAAGAAGGAAAAUGGGUAAGUAGUUGGAGAGAAUUAGAUGGGUAAAAAUAAUAAUAAUAAUAAAACAAGUGAAGAGAAUGCUUAAGGCUCAAACAAAGAUAACAAAUAAAGGUCUUCGGGUGGAGAAAAAGAAGAAAAAUGCGAAAAUAGAAAAAUGGAAAUUGGUUUGCCCUUAUCAUUUUAGUGCAUAAAAUCCCGUAAUGCAGCUUCAACAUGCAUAACAAAGCAAGUUCUAGCAUAAACAAACUAAGAUUGAUAUUCACAUAACAAAAAUAAUUAGAGCAAAGUGGUUGCUCAUAGGCUCAAAUCCUCACAAAGUUGGUAAAUUUGCCAUCAAAUCAUGUACACUCUUCAAAUGAAUCAACCAUCAAUAGUGGUGUAGAAUGAAAAGAAGAUAUGAGUGAUAUAUAAAAGGAAAGGUAAAAAGGAUAAGAAGCGAGAAAGAUAUAUGUAGUAAUAUAAAAAAUAAAAAUAGAUGUAAAUAAUUUGAAAUAGAUGGGAAAAGAGUAGUGAGAAAGAAAAGAAAAUUAAAAAUAAUAUAUGAAGCAUACUAACUCCAAAAUCAUUUAAGGAUGAACAGAGUGAAAAUAAUACUUUCAGACAUCAAUAUUGCAAAAAUCCCUCCCCCACACCAUGAACUCACAUUGUCCUCAAUGUAUGAUAAUCAAAGCUCACAUAAAGAAAUAAAGCGUAAGGAUACAAGAUUAAAGGCAAAACGUCCCUGAAUUGUGAGCUUUGAUCCACAUAACGUAUAUGGGCUUGGCGGAAAUGGUGGGAUAAAUCCCACACUCUCGAAGUAUGCGGCCAAAUUCUGCUCCAUCUUGUUCAGCUUGUGCUCCAUUUUCUCUAACUAAAUGCUCAAAGGUGGUGCAGAUGUAGAAGGAAUAGUUGGUGGGGCAGCAGUUUCGUCGUCAAACUUGUCAUCAGAGGUAGCACCACUCCUAGCAUAAAGCUUCUUUAGAAGUUGAGUGGGUCCUGGUUCAGUAAACUGAAAUCUCCCCUCCUUGAAUUCGACCACACCUGUUUUUUCAAACAAAGACAUAUCCAAAAAUUCCUUUUUGCAAGCAGGAUGUAAAUCAUUAUUGUUAGGAUCAAGCACACAUAAGUUUAUAGCUAACAGAGUAAUGUAUGGACCAAGAAAUAAAGUCCUAUACCUUUUAAGCACACUCUGAAAUUGAUCUGCUAACCAAAAACCUAGAUUAGGCCUCACAUAAUUUAACAUGCACCAGAUAAAAUAAAACUCAGUUUGAGAGAAAACUUCAGAGUAAUCUUUCUUUCAUAAAAAGUUAUAUGCUAAGAACCGAUGCACACAUUUCAAAAUAUGAUCACGUAAGAAAGAGCUCUUUGAUUUACUCGGGUCAUAGGCAUUGUGAUCAAAAGAUAAAUUACGCCAAAGACCAUAAGGCUCAAAAUUUUCUCUAAAAUCACAAGUUGUCCCUAAAGAUGCAUCAUUAGAAGAAUAAUCAUCAUCAAUGAAUCCUAAAGCUAGGUUAAAAUCUGUGAUAGAUUAUGAAAAAUUUCGUCCCAUUAACCUAAACUUUAUAACAUUCGGAGUAUGCAAAGUAAAAUUAUUUGGUAUAUUAAAUUGAAAAGUAGCAUAGAACUCCCUAAUCAACUCAACAUAACCGAAACAAUCAACAUCAACAAAAUUACGCAAACCAAUCUUAUCUAUCAAAGAAUUAAAAUUAUCUUUAACAUUCAAUUAUUCAAGAGUCGGGUAAUGAAUAUACUUAGCUGGAAGUAUUUUUCGCUUGGAAAUAUCUUUGUACUUUUCUUUCUUUUGUUGAGCCGUGAAUGUGAGGCACCCUCCGAGGUUGGAUUUAGCAAGUGGCAAAACACUCAUGCCUUUUCCAUGUUUCGAUCUUUGUCUCACGGCUCGGCGUGAAUUUGAAACUGUGUUCCAUGGGACCGUAGUGGGAGCAGCAGUCUUGGAUUUCUUUGCGACGGGUUUUGUUUUAGACGUUGAUGACUUGGAAGUUGAUGCUUUCCUCUUCGGCAUUGUUACAGUAAUUUCACUCACGGGUUUUGUUUGAAUGCGAAAAGCGGCGGUUCUUUGAACAGAGGAGAGUGAGGCUGUGCGAGUUGCUGGACGCGGCAAGGAUGUGCUGGAAACCGAUUGCAACGCGCUGGAAACACUGGUACAGUUGGUUGCUGGACUGGUUGUGCUGCUGGAGUGAGGAGAUGCGGCUGGUGCUGCGCUGCUGGUUGCUGGAGAUGCGGCUGCUGGAGUGAGGAGACGCGGCUGGGGACGCGAGACGUGGCUACUGACGGGAUGUUGGAUGCGGCUGCUGCUGGGAUGCCAGUCAUACGUUAGGGAUUAAAACCCUGAAAAAAAAACCUUUUUUCCGAUUAAUUUUUCAAAUAAAAUAAAAAAAAACCUUUUUUUUUCGAUUUUUUUGUAUCAAAUAAAAUAAAAAAAUAAAAUAUAUAAAAAAAACCUUUUUUAUUUUUUUAUUAUUGAAACUAAAAACUAAAAGAGACUUGAGACAUAAAAAAAAAUUCCAGAAGUACUUUUUUAAUAAGCAUAUGGGCAGCCCUUAAAACUAUUUUACUUUAAAAUCACAAAACUACUUAUUAGUAAAAACAUGGGCACGCCUAACCAAAAAUUUUCUUCUGGCCAAAAUAAGAAAAAACAUUAUUUAAACAAUCUGAAUCAAAAUUAAAACAAAUGAUAUAACAAAAAUCAAAAUAAAUAAAUCAUUUGGGUUGCCUUCCAAAAAGCGCAUUUGUUUUAUGUCUUUGGCUAGACACAUUCAUGCAUCAAUCUUCAUAAAUUGGACUCUCGAGAGCCACUUCCUCCACAAUAUACACCAAAAAACCUUUAUAAAAAGGUUUUAAGCGAUGUCCAUUAACCUUAAAAACUUUGUCAGAGGUUGGACUCCGAAUCUCAACUGCACCAUGAGGAAAAAUAUUAGUAACAAUAAAAGGUCCUACCCAACAAGAGCGUAAUUUACCAGGAAAAAGUUUAAGCUUAGAAUGAAAAAGAAGAACUUUUUGACCAACAAAGAACUCCUUUCUCAAAAUCAUUCUGUCAUGAAAUGUCUUCGUCUUUUCCUUGUAAAAUCGCGAACUCUCAUACGAUUUGUUUCGAAUCUCCUCCAACUCUUGCAGCUGCAACUUUCUCUGCUUUCCCGCUUCAUCCAUCCGCAUAUUGCAUUGUUUAACCGCCCAGUAUGCUCUGUGCUCAAGCUCUACAGGUAAAUGACAAGGAUUACCAAAUACUAAACGAUAAGGAGACAUACCUAUGAGAGUUUUGUACGUGGUGCGAUACACCCACAAUGCAUCAUCUAAUCGUAAGCUCCAAUCCUUUCGAUUUAGACCAACCGUCUUUUCAAGAAUAGACUUGAUUUCUUUGUUUGAUAUCUCAGCUUGUCCACUUGUUUGUGGAUGAUAGGCGGUAGUCACUCGGUGGGUAACAUGAUAUCUCUUAAACAAAGCCUCCACCACCCGAUUACAGAAAUGAGUGUCUCUAUCACUUAUCACUGCUCUCGGUACACCAAACCUGAGAAAAAUAUUAGACUCGACAAAAUCUACAACUUCAUCAUUGUUAGUCCGGGUGGCCUUAGCCUCUACCCACUUAGAAACGUAAUCCACUGCUAAAAGAAUGUAAGCAUUGCCAAAAGAUGAGAGAAAAGGUCCCAUAAAAUCAAUGCCCCACACAUCGAAUAUUUCACACACAAGAAUAAGGGUAAGUGGCAUUUGAUUCUUAUGACUUAAAUUGCCAGCCUUUUAACAAUUCUCACACGACUUACAAAACAUGUAUGAAUCAUAAAAUAAAGUAGGCCAAAAUAUACCACAUUCUAACACCUUAGAUGCUGUCCUUUUGGGACCAAAAUGACCACCACAUGCAUAUGAGUGACAAAACUGAAGAAUAAAAGUUAUUUCAAACUCAGAUACGCACCUUCUGAUGACUUGGUCAGAGCAAUGUUUCCACAAGUAAGGGUCAUCCCAAACAUAGUACUUAGCAUCGCUUUUAAUCUUAUCUUUUUGAGCCCUCGUCAGAUCACUAGGUAGAGUUCUUGUAACUAAGUAAUUGACAAUGUCAGCGUACCAAGGAACCAUACCUUGAGUUACAAAGAGAUGCUCAUUUGGAAAAUCAUCCUUCAAAGGUGUUACUUCUUCACUCGUGGUCAAUCUACUAAGGUGGUCUGCAACCAAGUUUUCUGCUCCUUUCUUGUCACGGAUCUCCAAGUUGAACUCUUGAAGUAGUAGGAUCUAGCGGACGAGUCUCGGUUUCGCUUCCUUCUUGGCGAGCAAAUAUUUGAGAGCUGCAUGGUCAGAAAAAAUAAUCACUUUAGUGCCCAAUAAAUAUGAACGGAAAUUUUCUAAAGCAAAAACCAUAGCCAAAAUUUCUUUUUCCGUUGUUGCGUAAUAUAUCACAUGAGCAGCUCUUCCAACCAUUUGUCGGAGAACAACACCAACAGCAUAGUUACUGGCGUCGCACAUUAUCUCACAAGGGAGGCUCCAGUCGGGUGGCUGUAUAAUUGGAGCUGAAGUCAAUAACUCCUUGAGCUUAUCAAAUACUACCUUGCAUGCUUCAUUAAAAUCAAACGUCACAUCUUUCUGAAGCAGCUUGCAUAGAGGCUGAGCUAUCUUCGAAAAAUCCUUGAUAAAACGUCGAUAGAAACUUGCGUGACCAAGGAAAAAACGAACUUCCCGCACACAUGUGGGAUAGGGUAAAGAUUUAAUAACAUUUAUCUUACCUUUAUCUAUCUCAAUUCUUCUAGCAGAGACUACAUGACUUAAAAUAAUGCCUUGAUCUACCAUAAAAUGACAUUUUUCAUAAUUCAAGAUAAGGUUUGUUUCAAUGCAUCUUUCAAGCACUUUCUUCAGAUUAUAGAGACAAUCAUCAAAAGAAUCAGCAUAGACAGUAAAAUCAUCCAUAAAUACCUCUAUAAUGUUCUCUACAUAGUCUAAAAAAAUACUGACCAUGCACCUCUGAAAAGUGGCGGGAGCGUUACAAAGACCCAAUGGCAUACGUCAGUAUGCAAAGGUUCCGAAAGGACAUGUAAAGGUAGUCUUCUUCUGAUCCUCAAGGGCAACUGGUAUCUGAUGAAAACCUGAAUAGCCAUCAAGACAACAAAAGUGAGAUUUUCUGCCAACCUUUCAAGCAUCUGAUGAAUAAAAGAAAUAGGAAAAUGAUCAUUCCUUGUGAGUGAAUUAAGCUUUCUAAAAUCAAUACAAACCCUCCACCCAUUCUGAACUCGGGUGGGUACUAACUCACCAUAAGAAUUCUCAACAAUUGUUAUAUCAGUUUUCUUCGGUACCACUUGUACCGAACUUACCCAUUUGCUAUCCGAAAUUGGAUAGAUUAUACCUGCAUUAAGAACUUUCAGAAUUUCUUUCUUCACUACUUCCAUCAUGAGUGGAUUCAAACGGCGUUGAGCUUGAAUCGAAGGUUUGGCAUCUUCCUCCAGCAGUAUUCUAUGCAUGCACGUGGAUGGACUUAUCCCUUUAAUAUCAGCAAUUGUCCACCCAAUAGCCUUUUUGUAAUCCUUCAACACUCUAAUAAGCUUUUCUUCCUCUAAAGUAUUAAGCUUUGAAGAGAUGAUCACCAGAAGUGUCUCACUAUCUCCUAGAAACAUGUACUUUAGAUGACUCGGCAGUGGUUUAAGCUCUAUUUUCGGUGCCUGCAAAAUAGAUGGAAGAAGUUUUACAUGAGAUAAAAGUAAUUCAAUAUAAGACAUAUGAUGAGUUAAAGUUCUCAAAGAAUUUAAUUCAUAAAUUGUCUCUUGCAAUACAGAAUUUAAAACAAACUCAUUUUCAUCAUUUUGCAAUCCUUUGAGGCCUAAACUGUUAUUUAAAGCAGCUAUCAAUGAAUCUUCAACAUCCAAAUAAAAAACUUCCUGCACUAUAGGGUUAAUAACAUCCACAGAAAAUACCGAAUGUUCCUCACGAGGAUAUUUCAUGGCAUAAUUCAUAUUGAACUCUAUAACCUCUCUAUCAAACUCCAUAGUGAGAGUGCCUUUAUGUACAUCCAUUUUAGUCCUAGCAGUCUUAAGAAAAGGUCUUCCUAGCAAAAUUAGGACAUAAUUAGAAGAGUUAUCCUCUUCCAUAUCAAGUACAUAAAAAUCAGUAGGAAAAACCAACUCAUUAACUUGUACUAAGACAUCUUCUAAUACCCCAUCAUGAUAUGCAUUAGACUUAUUAGCUAGUUGAAUUAUCACGCCAGUUUCUUUUAAUGGACCAACAUUCAAAGAUGAAUAAAUAGAAUGAGACAUGACAUUAAUAGAAGCUCCUAGAUCUAACAUAGCCUUUUCAACUCUAACACUACCAAUUUUGCAAGGGAUAGUAAACAUACCUAGAUCCUUGCACUUAGGAGGUAGUUUCUUUUGGAGAACUGCUGAAACAUUCUCCCCCAUGUGAACUCUUUCAUCUCCUCUUAAUUUUCUCUUGGAGGUGCACAGCUCCUUAAGGAAUUUAGCAUAUCGAGGUAUUUUUUUAUAGCAUCUAAUAAAGGAAUAUUUACCUCAACCUUGCGAAAUGUCUCAAGAAUGUCUUUCUCUUGUUCCUCCUUCUUGGAUUUUGCAAACUGGCUUGGAAAAAGAAGAGGUAUCACCACAAGUAGGGGUUUUGCUCUGGUGGGUUGAGCAUCUUGAGAUUUAGGCAUCAAUUCAUUCUUCUCAAGCUCAUCUUCUACAUGCUUUGUCACUUUCUUACUAGGCUCUUGCAACUCCUUCCCACUUUUAAGGAUGACAGCACUAGCGUUUUGCUUUGGAUUCACCUAAGAUUGUGAAGGCAAUCUCCCUGAUGCUUGAGACUCCAGGCGGCUUAUUGUAGUCGCCAAUUGACUAAUUUGGUUCUCCAAAUUCUAAAUGCUUGUUGUAGUUGCCUGAUAAAAUUGUUGAGUAUUAGUCCAAGUGAUUUAAUAAUUUCUUCAAGAGAUAUACCUGACUUGGAGUUUGACUGUGGAGGGGCUGGUUGUCUUGGUGAGUAUUGUUGUGGGAAUCCUGAUGGUCUAACUCCAUAGCUGAAGUUGGGAUGAUCCUUCCAUCCCGGAUUGUAUGUUUGUGCAUAAGGAUCAUACCUCCUCUGAGGCAUGCCUGGAAAUCCUCCAACUACAUUGGCUUGUUCAACGAGUUCUUCUUGAAGUGUCGGACACAUAUCAGUUGAAUGACCAUAUUAGAACAAAUGCCACAAGUCUUCACCUGUUGCACAUUACCUACAAUAAACUUUUUCACAAGAGAAGUAAGUUUAUCUAAACGUUGUUCAAUAGAAGAAAUAUUUACCUCAUUCACCUUCCUUAAAGUGGGAUCUUGCAUGCUGCCAAACUGUUGUGCAUUGGCAGCCAUAUUUAAGAUCAACUCCCUUACUUGAGUAGGGGUCUUGUUCACCAAUACACCUCCACUAGCAGCAUCUAUCAUACUCCUAUCCAUCAAUGACAGUCCUUCGUAAAAGUAUUGAAUAAGAAGUUGAUAAAAAAUCUGAUGCUGAGGACAACUAGCACACAAUUGUUUGAAUCGCUCCCAAUACUCAUACAAAGUCUCCCUAGGAAGUUGUCUGAUCCUAAAAAUAUCUUUUCUGAUGUUAGCAGCUCUUGAAGCAGAAAAGUACUUCUUAAGGAACUGCUUCUUCAAACCAUUCCACAUUGUAAUCGAUCCAGGAGGCAAGUAGUACAACCAGUCUUUAGCUAGCCCAUCUAAAAAGAAAGGAAAAUCACGCAGCUUAAUCUGCUCUUCAGUCACGCCUUGUGGCCUCAUACUUGAAUAGACAACAUGAAACUCCUUGAGAUGUUUAUGAGAAUCUUCACCGGCAAAACCAUGAAACUUGGGUAACAAAUGAAUAAGACCAGACUUUAAUUCAAAAUUUACCUCCAAGUCUACAUAUUGAAUGCAGAGUGGUUGCUGAUUCAAGUUUGGUUCAGCUAACUCUCUAAGAGUUCUUUCUACAAGUGUAACUCUAUCCAUCACUUGUUCUUCUGAAUCGCUAGAUGAUUCAACCAAAUCAGGCACCGUAUCUGUUUCAUAAAGCAAAGGCGACGAGGAUUGUUACUUAGCUCACUUCGUCUGCUGUCUCAGCUGGUGAGCUGUCUUCUUAAUUUCAGGAUCAAACGAAAGUGUACCUGUACGAGAAGUACGAACCAUACACCAAGUAAAACGUAAAAAGGAUUAAAUAAACGACACCAAUCCCCGGCAACGGCGCCAAAAUUUGAUGGUUGUCGAAGCCUGCAAAAAUAAAUAACUACUCUAAAUAAAUUGUGUAUAGUGAUUGAGCAGGGUCGUGUCCACAGAGAUUGAUAAUUAUUUAAAUCCUUUUAAAAUGAAAAAUGCAAAAUGGGGGAAUUGUUGACAAUAAUAAAAAUCAAAUUAAAAUAACAAGAAUGCAAAUUAAAAUUGUAAUUCAAAUUGGGAAAAGCUCUAGUUGAAGGAAUUAACUCAGCUUGAUUCGACUACUGAUCAUUGAUUCAAAUAUAAAUCAUUACUACUUAUGAAUAGACCGGUUAUAGCUACUGAGACCCUCUAAUAGCCAAUCUCUCCUUAACUAGUUGAUAGCCAAGGUACGACCAUUGGUUAUUUCCCUAAUCAAUAGACAACCCUAGAUACGAUCAUAGGGUUUAAUCAAUUGACAGUCUGAAAAACCAGAGAGACCCAAAUCUUAAUCAACAAACGCAUACGAUGAUUCAUUUAAAUUAGAUUAUUUAUUCUCAUAACACAACGCACUGCUAUGCUAUUUGUCACAAACAUUAAAAUCUUCAUACGAUGAAUCUUUUAAUUGACAAUAGAUUAAGCUGAUAAUUAAAUAGUGGCCAAUUAUCUAAUUAACAAACAUAAUCAUGACAAUAAUUUAGAGAAUAAACAAAUACCCAAAAAGUAAUAAAACAAUUAAAGCAUAAGAAAGAUCUCACAGUAAUGAUGAAUCAAAGCUUUAUUAACCUUCAACCAGAAUAAUAAGUUUAGUUCUUCAUAGAGAGAAGAGAAAAAUUUAGAUCUAGGGUUUCUUUUUCUUUCCUCCUCUAGAAAAAUUCUCAUCCCCUUUGUGUUUCAUGUCUCCUUUCUCUUAUAGAGUUUUUCCAAAAAUAAAAUACUAAUAUCUAAAAUAUUAUCUAAAUAUUAAAUUCAAAAUUACAAAAAUAACCAAAAAGGUAAAACACGUUAAAAUAAAAACUGCAGGUCCUUAGUCGACAGCACGCGUCCAUGCCUUAUCAACAAAGUUCUUCUGAAGCUCAUAAUUUCUCCAGGAAAACAAUCAUCCUCAAACAUCAUCUUAUAGCUUAAUUUUAGCACCAAUCAAUAGAAUUGCACCUACAAAAAUAAAAUACAAGUAAAUCACUAUUAUUAAGUGCAAAACAUUGAUAUUAAAGGAAGUAAACAAUGCAAAAGUAGUGCAUAGAUUGCACUCUAACACUAAUUCCACCAACAACAAAGAACUAAAACCACAAGGAUUAAAAUACACAAAAAUACACACAUUUGCUUUUUACGGAGGUCCCAACAGUGAAUUUUCUAUUUCUGUAAAUUUGAAAAGAUAACAAAUAACUCAGGGUUUUGCAUGCUCAAGGACACCACUCUAUUUACCAAAACUCAGGAUCCCCAAAACAUACUUUCCCAUCACUAUAUAUAAGGCGAGGAGGCACACUGCCCUCGUUCCAUCUCAAUUAUUUCUUCUAAUGUUUAGGCACUACUAAGCAUGUUGUGAGGAAGCACAUCUCCACUCCCCCUUGAGUAAAACAACCGCUACCCACUUAGCCUAGAAGUAAGGAUGUCAUGGAGUGUAACCGUCGCUGCCCACCUUUCUUGAUGAGUAACCGUCACAGCCUACUUCCUUUGCCCCCAUUUUCUAGGCAUGUUAUCCAAGGUCAUGCUCUCUCAUUAGUUACACCCACAACUACCUACUUCAUGCUUAAUUUUAGGUCUCAUUUUUAUUUAUAGCCAAUAAGCUCCACAUUCAACUGCCAUUGUUUGCACACAGAGUGCGUGCAAACGCCUCUUAUCUUUGCAUAGUUUGGCCCCUGUGCAUUCCCUAUUGUGAUACGCUACCUCUACAUACGUUUGCGCUACUGCCACGCGUCAUCCCGUGCGUCCUUUGGGCCCUAUGCGUCCUGCGGUCCUGCACCAUAUGCGUCCUACGUUCACGACCUACACGUCCACACACUUAUGAGAUGUUGCGUGCGUUGUCGAUGGCUUCAAACCCGACAUAAAUUUGAAGAGCUUGUCCUCAUCUAACUCGUUCUUAAUGUACAACAUUAGUGAACUGAAUUCCUUAAUGUAAUACCUCAUUAAUUCAUUAUGCCUUAGCUUUUUCUUCAAGCUUUCUCUCGCGAGCCAGCUAGUAUAUCCUGGUAGGAACUGACCCUUUAGUUUUCAUUUGAGUUUGUCCUAUAUUUCUAUUGCUGAUCACUGCACUUCAACAUCUUCUUAAAGUCUGCUCCAUAUCCCACAUAAAACUCUUCAACUCUUUGGCAUUCCGAGUCCCAUUAUAAGUCUUAGGUUUGGGCACCUUAACUUUCAAAAGUCCAUCCUUCGAACGAGAAGUGUUGUUUGCUGCCCGCUUCAACAACCCAACUUCCGUUUCGAGAUCCCCAAUGUCAACUUUCAGCACCUUCGCUAAUGCAGCAACAUCCUUAUCAUCUUAUUUAGCUUGUCCAAAAACUCAUUCACAAACUCUGUGCAAGUUAGUCUCACACUUGGUAUCUUGAUGGAGUUGAUUUCUUUGUUCUCAGCCAAACUCUCCAAGUCAGGUUGUAAAAUACCUACAAUUGCCUCCAAGUGCACUGACUUGUCCUUUGUUGAUGGCCUCAUCAUUUUGGUUUCUGUCAUUGUUAAUUUCUCCGAAAUUAUACAACUUUACUAUUGCACCGUAGCUUCCCUAAAACCACACAAUCAGCUGUUUGCAAACUAAUUUUAAUUGAAGCUUGCAAUCAAUUGCCACCUACAACAAGUUAUAAUCGUGCUUUGUAACUGAAUUCUGCAAACCCAACUAUGCCUUCUAAUAUUAGUUUCUUCUCAAAAUGAAGCAACCUUUUCUUUGAUACUAGUUGUCACCGAGACUUAUCUUAAGGAUGUGGCAACCCCACGUGAUGGUGUUAAGUCUCUGUUUAGCCAGCCACUCAACAAUGCUAACGAAAGCAAAUAAAGCAACAAGCAUGCAAAGACUCAUAAUGGAGGUCUUACAUGAAAGAUUGAUUCCACCAACAAAAGGAAACUAAAAUAGCGAGUAUUAAAGUUCACAAAAAUGCAUACUAUUUGCUUUUUACGAAGGUCCCAACCCCUAAAUUUUCUAUUUCUGCAAAUAAGAAAAGAUUACAAAUAGCUCAAGGGUUUUGUAUGCUCAACAACACUACUCUCUCUACCAAGACCUGGGAUCGCCAAGACAUACAUUCCCAUCACUAUAUAUACUAGUUUGCAAAUGACGCCCCCGUUUGCUAAGGCAAGGUGGAGCACAACCCUCGCACUACCUCAAUUCUUCUCCUAAAGUUUAGGCAUCAUUAAACAUGUUGUGAGGAAGCACAUCUCUACUCCCUCUCGAAUAAAGCAACCACUACUCGCUUAGCCUAGUUGUAAGGAUAUUAUAGAGUGUAACCAGCAGUGCCCACCUCUCUUGAUAAGUAACCACCACUGCCUACUUCUUUUACCCCUAUUUUCUACGCAUGUGAUCCAAGGCCAUGUUCUCCCAUUAGUUGCACCCACAACUACCCACUUCAUGUUUGAUUUUAGGUCCUACUUUCGAAGAAUUUGUAGCUAACAUGCUCUGCAUUCAACCACCACUGUCCCCACACAGUGAGUGCGCGAACGCCUCUUAUCUUCGCAUAGUUUGGCCCCCGUAUAUGUCCCACUGUGCUGCAAGUUUGUACGCAACCCCCGCAUGCAUUUGCGCUACUGCCUCGCGCCAUCCUGCAUUCUACCCACAUGGCCUGUGCGUGUCCUAUACGUCCCGCACGCCCCAUGCAUCCCCUGCCCGCAUGCCCCAUGCUUCCAGUGCUCGCACACCUGCAUUUCCAUGCGCUUAUGAGAUAUUGUGUGCAUUGCCACUGCAUGCCCUUGCGCACGCUUUCUCACUCUCUCUGUGCUUUUCCUUUAGCUUACGCUUGUUACCGUGCCCCAAUCUACGCAUUAGCCUUGCCUUACUUUCGUGUUUGCCUAGGAGCAUGCUCAUGUUGCUUCCACGCUUGGCAUAAGGCGACAAGCCAAGCCUAGGCAUUUGGUCAUCAUGACUCACGACAACGACACUCACCUACUAUACAAUGCAAAACCAAACAAACAAGUUACACCUCUCUAGUCACUAGUCUUGACGUACAAGUCUUUCAAUUCAUGUCUCAACUCUCCCUCAAACACUCCAUUCCAUACGUCAGUGUGUUUGAAAAAUAUGAGUUAUUUAAUGUUGUAUGAUAUUAAUUGGUUUUAUUAUUAAUUAUCAACUUAUUAUUUUUGCAAUUUGUUAUGACACAUAAAAGAUCAUAUUAUUCAAUAUCUCAAUUGAAUAUAUGAAGUGAGUAAGUAUAAUAUUACUCUUUCCAUAAUUGAUAAGUAAGGAUGGCAAAAAGACCAGACCCCGUCCUUGUCUGAUUAACCUAAUUUAAUUUUUAGGAUCUUUAAUUGAAUUUAAAGGGUCAAGGAUUAGGUUUCGGCCCGAUUACAUUCAAGUCUAGGUUAGGACUUUACUAAAAAUUCCUAACUCAACCUUUGACCCUUCAAUUAAUUUUCAAAAUUAAAAAAUAUAAUACUUAAAAAUUAAAGCACAUACACUACAAAUAUGGUCAGAACUCACUCCUCAAAUUAAUAGUAUUUUGUAUUCGAUUUAUUUACUUGUUAAUUUGGUUAGAUUUUUACAUGUUGUAUUUUCGUUAAAGCUAAAUAAAAAGUUAAUUUAUUAAAUUCCUUACAACCAAAUUUAUCAUAAAAUGGAACAAUAAUAGUACAAUAUAAUUAAUAAAGAAUGAAGAGUUGGAGUCUUACUCUAAAAAAGUAUCUAAAAAUUAAAAAGGUUAUUGCAAGGUGCGGAUAAAGCCCAAGGCUGAACCUGACCUGAAAAAGGUUGACCCUGGCCCAACCCUCAGUUUUGAGGAUCAAACUUUUGAAAACUAAGACCCUUUAUUUUUAAUCAUAGGGGCAAGGCUAGGGGUUGGCCAAGCUUGAGCUCAACUAGAUCGAUUGCCAAACUUAUUGAUAAGAAAAUAAUUAAUAGAGUUGUGAUAUUUGACCCUUCGUUGUAUCUCACCAGCCCCCACUAAUUACUUUUAUAUAAUAUUAUUUUAUCUUUGUAUGAAAUAAUUUAAAAGGGUAAAUGACUUUUAAGUGCACCCACAUGAUAAUUUUCAUUAAUAUAUAAUUUAAGUAAUCUAUUUUCUUAAACCUUAAUUUCUUUAAAUUUUUUAAAUUAUUAUUUCUUCUUAAAUAUUGUAUACUUUACUUUUGGAAGAAAUUAAUUUAUAGCACUCAAUAGAAGAUGAUGAAGAAAUAUUUUUUUUUAUGGUUAUGGUAAUGAUGGAUAAAUCUUUAAAGAGAGAGAGAGAGAAAGAGAAAGAGAUUAUAGUGAUUUUGAGAUUUUGAGAUUUUUUUUUCUUUUUGAAGUAGAUUUUAUAAAUUUCAUUCGGUGGGUGCUUGGAAAAAAAGAUAAAAAAAUCAUAAUAAAGAUAAAUUUGCGAUUCAAUGGAGUAAUAGACAAAAAUUAGUUUAAAAUUUUUAAUAACGUUAACUGAAAAGGGAUUGGUAAAAGGGUCAGGCUACAGUGCAACGGGUGGUACCGUGCCACAGUUUCACCAGCCGUUGGGUUCACUCAAAUGCGUGGGGUCUACUUGAAUAAGUGGGAAUCCAACGGUUGGGUGCAACUGUGGCACGGUACCACAGUUGCACCACAAUUUUAUCCUUGGUAAAAUAUAAUAAGAGGGUCAAAUCUACCACUCUAAUUAGUAUCGUUUUACUCAAAAGUUUUGCUUAAAAGUUUUACUUAUAAAUUUUGGAUUUUGACCAGCUUUAAAUAUAAAAAAAAAAUUGAGAAAAAGUUACUUUAAAAUAUCCAUACAUCAUCCCAAAAAGUUGUACCCAAAAAAAAAAAAAGGCCCAUUCUGGUUAAAUUCAAAAUUAAAAACCCGGCCCGUUUCCCCACUUAAGACCCUCCUAGCAGUUUUAAAAUUUUUUCCCAGCGAAGAAUAGAAGUGAUGGCAGCUGCUCUAGCUUCCGACGCAUCGCAAUGGGAAUUUAGCUGGUUUUAAUUCUCUCUCUUAGCUAUUUCUGUUUCUUUAUUUAACAUUGUGAUAUAUAUUUAUUAUGCUAGAGGUUCUACUAAGUCUCCCUUUACUGGGACUUUUCUCAUCUUGGGAAAUGUUAAUUUUGCCUUAUUUAUUCAAUAUUGUUAUCUUCCACUGUCAAUAAAUUUUAUGCUUUGGUUGGUUAUUCAAUGUGGGUUUGUUCCAUUUUGUUCUUACGCUGUUUGUAUAAAUAUUGAAGGUUUGUUUUUGAAGAUGGCUUUCAGUUAAUUGCCUUCAAAGCUUUAUUUCCUAAAAGAGGAAAGAAAAAUAUACCAAAAUGUUUAAUUUCUACUGCUAUAUGUUUGCGUUUUUAGCUUCUGCUAUGCUUUGUAUUGUGUUGUUUGUGUUGGUAUUAAUGCUAGAAAGAUGUUUUCUUUUCUAAUCUGAUUGCCUAGAAUGAAUAUGAGGUGGUUAUUGAGUUGCAAUAUAUCAAAUCAAUUGAAGUCAUCUGCUUCGUAGGUUUUGAUUCUAUAAAUUGUUUUCAUUUCAGUUACGACACAAUUGCAUGGGUGUUCGAGGAAAUCUAGUACUUCAAAAUAGUAUUGAUUAUUUGAGAAACCAAUAAACUCCCAAAAUACAAUUUACAAGUUGCGAAAAUAAUAGUACUCAAGACACUCUUUUAUUGAAGGAAAAUUAUCAGUCAUAUAUUUUUAAAUGACACCUGUAUCAAAUAUGUGUGAACAUUUUUCAAGUGUAUAACUCGUAUAUCCUAAGUUGAUAAAACACUUCUGCCGUCCACUAAUCCAUUAACUUCUGUUAGAAAAUGAAUAGAAUUAUGGUAAAUUGACUAUUUCGCCCUUGAAACUCAAAAUGAGGUAAAAAAAAAAUUUACCCCAAAAAUUAACAUAAAUUUUUAAUACACAUUUUUUUUUAUUUUGUUAUUAACAAUACAUUUUUUUGAUUAAAAAAAUGAAUUAUUAAUGGUACAUAUUAUUAACAAUUAUCCGUCAAAAUAUCUAUAUUAUACCAUAAAAAUUAUUAACAACAUAUAAUUUACAAUUAUACAUAUUAUACCAUAAAAAAUUCCAGUUGGAGCUUGGAGGAGUAGAUCUUCAAAAAUUUAGAUUAAAUUUUGGAGUAGAUUCGGUUGUAAAGUAAUAUUUUUUUAGCAAUUAUUAACAAUUAUCCAAUAAAGGGAAUGACAUGUCAUUUUUAUCAAUAUAUAUCAUAUGACAUGUCAUUUUUUACUAGGUAAAUGGGAUGACAUGUCUUUUUUUAAUCAAAGUUUCGUCCAUCUUAAAAGACUAGAUUACCCUUAUGAUGUCAGCGUUUACAAACGGCAGUUAACGGAUUGGUGGACGACAGAGGUAUUUUGUCAACUUAGGGUAUACGAGUGAUAUACCUUAAAAGUGUUCACACACGUUUGAUACAUGUGUCAUUUAAGAGUAUAUGACUGAUAAUUUCCCUUUAUUGAAUAACAUCAAACUUUAAAUAGAACUUUAGUUCAAAGUUACAAGCAUAAAAAUAGCAAGCAUUAAGCAUGUUCUCCAUCAUUCUUUAUGAAUCCACAAAAUAAGGGACCAACUAACAACUUAAUUUUGACUUAUUAAAAAACAGCUACACUUAAAAUAUAAAGUAAAUAAUUAAAACCAAUAUUAAAAUAGAAAGAUUGUAACAGCUUUUCUAUUUUUCUGUUAUUGUGUUUACUUUAAUCAAUGGGCCGUGGCACAUAUUGUUAAAUUGUGGAUCGGGUAGUUUACUGGACACGUGAACUAAUUUGUAAUUUAGUUAUAAGUUGUGUGAACCAUAAAAAAAUAAAGUCAGUGGUACUAUUAUUGGAAUAUUGGAUAGUUCUGAAAGGUUUUUGAAUAAGCUGGCAUUGAGGAUAAUAUACUAUUGGAAGUUGAGGGGGUGAACUGUUCUCAGUUCUGUUUGUUGAGGAACAGGACAGAGCAUCUGUGUAGAAAAUAUAAAUUGAACAAAGAAUUGCUGUUUGGCAGCUAGGAAAAUGAAAGGAAAAUUUCUUAUUUCAUUUGAUGAACUGAUAUUUUGCACAUACUGAAAAAUCCAGAAUAUGUAGCUAUUUAUAUAUGCAUUACACACGCUAACUAAUUGAGAACUAACUAACUAUUAGUAAAACUAACUUUCACUCAGCUCACACUCAACACAUAUACAGAGGCUGUAUAAUAGAGUUAGUUAGGCUGUUAGCUGCUGCUGAUUUGGAUUCUCUGACGUGGCACUAAUGACAGCUGGCAACUUGACAUUCUUGAUACGAGACUUGAAAACAGACUGAUUCUUCUUCUUCACUUCUGCAUAAUGAGCUAUCUUCACAAUCUGUAAUUCCUCUGUUGUUUACGAGUUAUCUAUUUUUUUCCCAUGACAGUGUAGUGCUCUUUGUCCACCUUUCAGAAAGUUUUUAGAGGAACUGUACCUGAAAUGUUUUGUUGUUUCUUAGAAAAUGGUUUUUCCCAUGCAGUGACUUUGAAGUGGAUUACGAGUCCAAUGAGAAUGCAUCAAUUGUGCAUGCAGCAUUAGCUAUUGAUAAGGAGGUGAUCCACCACGAUCAUAUUCCUAAGAUCAUACUUUGCUCCUUUAACUUUAUUGCUUGUUCAAUAAAUUCUUACUUGAUAAGGAGGUGAUCCACCACGAUCCUAUUCCUAAGAUCAUACUUUGCUCCUUUAACUUUAUUGCUUGUUCAAUAAAUUCUUACUUGAAUUCAAUUUCCAAGUGCAGUUGCAACCAGACAAAGUGAAAAGGCAGAUAUCUGUGAUUAAUGGGAAACUUUUAGUGUAAAUUUCUAUUCUUUGGUCAUUCUUAUAACUGAUUUUUCAUUCUUGUCCAAUAUUUAUUCAAUUUGCAUCUAUCAGUUUAUCCUAUGAGACAAUAUUCAUUUGGAACUUUUGUGUGGCCCGUUCAACAAUCAUUUUUCCCCUUUUCCUGAAAAAUUUUCAAAUAUGUUACUUCAGAAGAGUUCUUCCUCUAAGAUACCAUUGUUCUUUAGUAUCUCAACUUUGCUUGGACUUUGCAGUUUACAAGUUUCUACAUUUUGUUUAUUUUCUCAUCUGAUUCAGGCACUUUGAGGCAGUUGAGGCCAGGAUUCUUCGUGCAUCAUUUUCUGCUUUUGUAGAUGUGCUUACACUUGCGACAAAAACUAUCGUACAGUUUGGUCAUGGAACGGAAUUGUAACAUCAUACUAUCUUUGGCAGUUGGAGAAUCAUUCUUAGUAGGAACUGUAUUACUUUAAUUCGCCUUCUUGUUUCGGAUUAGUUGACGUUUUUGUAACAAGAGAAUCUAUAGUGUUCGUUUUAUAAUGUAAAUCUUCAAAUUAUCGGAAACCUGUAACAAAUUCUUCAAAGCUGUGAAUUAUAAGUUUUUUUUUUUUUUUUUUUUUAAUCAUUGGGUUUUAUCAAGAGGUUGCAGCUGUAAAUGUUAUAAUCCUCCCUUAGACCUUUUCAAUAAAGUUAUUGACAAGCUAUCUCCAACUCUUUCAGUUUGGGCCAAGCUAGAUCGCCAGACCUCACUUCUAGGGCUUUUCUGUUUACCCCUCAAACAGUUCAAUCUGAUAUUGAUUUCGUAGAGUGAGUAGAAUGAAGAAUUCAUUUGUGCUAAUAUUCUUCCAGCCGUUGAUGCAAUUCUUUACCAUUGUGUGACACAGGAGGUACCUACUUGGCUACCAAGUGGCCCUCAGCUUAACGCACCUCGAUAGCCUUCAUGCUUUUAGAAUUCAUCUAGCUGGUGGAAUCCUAUCUGGAGUCUCUCUAUAAGUUCGAAAAUCAAGAUUUUUCUAUAGCAAGCGUCAAGGUCAAGGGAUUUCUUGUCACCCAAAAGGAACCCAGAAAAGAUAAAAUCGUAGACAGCACUGUUUCACAUGCUGGAAUUCUGGGGAGGGUGCUUAUCAUGUGCUUGUGGCUAUAAAUAUGCUCGAAAAAAUUGGAAAUUGAUGCUGCAAUCCCUCUGCCUGGAGCCUCAAAGAAAAAAAAAAAAAAAAAGCCCUUUUAUAGCUUUGCUAAGAUGAAAGAUUACAGACUUAGCAAGGCUGACACUCAGCAACAAUUUUCUGCAUACACUUUAUCUUGGGCAGAAUCACCAAAAGUCGAUGCAUCUUUAAAUUUAGAAUAAAAGCAGAUUCGACUUGUAUUAUAAGAAAUUCAAAUGGGGUGUCACGGCUGCUUCCAUCUCUAGGAAAACUUGCUUAGAAAAUAUGCUGAAUGCUUUGGCAAUUCUUGAUGGCGUCAAAAUGGCAGUUGAUUCUGGACUGCAACCACCACUAACUGUUGAAUCUGACUAUUUUAAUGCAGCGAAAUCAAUCUUAAAGAAGAGACUUCGGAUGGAUGAUCAAAGGAAUGCUCGGUUAUGUAAGAAAAGGAAAACAAUUUAUAGUUGCAAUACACUCAUCAAUAAUCUCAGGAACCUCUGAUGAUUGAAUUACAAUUUUUUUAAAUCCAUUCCAGAAUACAAGCAUACCUGCUCAUGCAAGAUAUUCGAUGCUCUGUUGGAAAAUUUUCAAAAUAAAUGGUGUCUUAUGGUAAAGAUAUGUCCUAUUAAUUGUGCCUUAUAGAAAAUGUAUCUUCACUAAAGACAUGUCUAAUUAAAUGAUGUCUUAUUGUAAGAACAUGUCAAUUUAAUUGUGUCUUAUAGAAAAUGUAUCUUUUUACUAAAUAAUCUAACUUUUCAUGGUAACAUUUCACUUAGAGAUGCAUCAUUUCAUGGUGACAUUUCAUUUGAAAUGGUGAUGGUUCAAUUUGGACCAUUGAUUAAAAUUAAAUCUAGAUCCAAUGGCCAUGAAUGAAAGGAUAUCAUGAAAGAUGACAACCCGAAUGAAGGGGCACAAGUAUAUCUAUAAAUAGGGGUCAUGUUUAAGCCAUUUAGACAUGAAAUUAAUGAUCCUACACCACUCUUUUCUUGGCAUUCCUUUCUAGUACGAAUUUCAACACAAAACACCCAUUUCUUUUGUGCAUUAAAAAUCCAAUAUAUUGUUUUCUGCAGGAACAAUAUAUUGUUUCUUGGCAGACUUGCAACAUUCAAGAGUAUUCUGGUUUGCUUUCGUCGAUGCAUAACGCAAGCAAACAAACAAGUGCUUCAUUGUAUCCUGAAGGCGUAUUUGCUUAACCCAUGUGCAUCACUCAAUUGGUGGGGGCAAAUAACGUCUUAAGGAAAGCGACAUUUGUAACGUGCCUUGAAACACACAAAUUUUCUGCAGUUUACUUAUUAAUAUUAUUUUUCUUCCUACAUACAGAGUUAGUUGUAAACACAUUACUUUACGUAAUAAAGUUCCACCAUUAUUGUUGCAUUUCUCUACAUUUGCCAUUCCCCACAAUUUCAACCACCAACAAUCUUAAGACGUUAUUUAUGCAACAAUGGCACCAAGUUCAUCUUUUCGACAAUUCGCAAUAGAUUUUGUUAAAUUGGAGCGAUUCGAUGGUGGCAACUUUAUUCGUUGGCAGAAAAAGUUGCAUUUCUUGUUGACAAGCCUCAAUGUGGUCUAUGUUCUCACAACACCAAAGCCUCAAGAACGUGAGGGUGAGACAUUAGCAUAAACCAGAGUGCGGUAGAAGUGGGAGCAAGAUGACUAUGUGUGCAAGGGACACAUUUGCAAUGCAAUGUCUGAUACUUUGUUUGAUCAAUAUCACAACAAAACUACAGCAAAAGAAAUAUGGGACUCAUUAGAGACUAAGUACAUGAUGGAAGAAGCCACAAGUAAGAAAUUCUUGGUUUCUAAAUUUUUUAAUUAUAGAAUGGUUGAUAAUAGACUUGUGGUUGAACAAUAUAAUGAGAUUUUGCAUAUUCUUGAUCAAUUCAACCAACAUAACAUGAAAAUGGAUGAGUCUAUUAUUGUCUCUUCAAUUAUUGAUAAACUUCCUCCCUCUUGGAAAGACUAUAAGAAAAGUCUUAAACAUAGCAAAGAGGAAAUUAGUCUGGAUGGCUUAGGCCAAAGUCUUCGUAUUGAAGAGGAACUCAAACUUAAUAGUCUUGAGGACCAGGCUACUAUGUCCUCUAAAAUUAAUGUUGUGGAGGAGAGGAAGGAGUUUAAGCAUUUUAAUCACCCUAAGAAUAAGCAAAAGAGAAAGUUUGAUUCCAACGAGAAUCAAAACAAUAAGAGGAAAAAGAAGGGUACAUGCCACCACUGCGGAAAACUUGGCCACUUCAAAAGAGAUUAUUGACUUCUGAAGAAACAAAAGGAAGUUUCGAACACAAAUUUUGUGGCCAUGAUAUUUGAGAUUAAUGUUUUCGAAGAUGAUAAUGCAUGGUGGAUAGAUUCUGGUGCAACUAAGCGUGUAUGCAAAGAUCGUAGCCUUUUCAAAUCUUAUAAAGCAAUGGAUGAUGGAAGUGUUCUUUACAUGGGAAAUUCCUCCAUUGCAAUAGUUAAAGGAAAAGGCAAUGUGCAACUACAGUUUACUUCUGGAAAAACUUUAACUCUUACUGAUGUUUAUCAUGUUCCUGAAGUUAGGAAAAACCUUGUAUCUAGUGGGCUUCUUGAUAAGUUUGGCUUCAAACUUAUUUUUGAGUCAAACAAAUUUAUAUUGUCUAAGGGUGGUACCUUUGUUGGGAAAGGAUACAUGUAUGAAGGAAUAUUUAAACUCAAUAUCAAUAAUAUGAAUGUUUCUUUUGCUUAUAUGGUUGAUUCAUUAUCUUUGUGGCAUAAUCGUCUAGGACAUGUGAAUGUUAGAAGAUUGCAUGAUAUGGCUAAUUUGGAGUUAUUUCCUAAGCAUGAAAAUGAUAUGCAUGAAAAAUGUAAAGUAUGUGCACAGACUAAAUCACAAGAUCUCCUUUUUCCAAAAAUUGAAAAAACAUCUUCUUUAUUGCAUUUAAUUCAUAGUGAUGUGUGUGAUAUGCAUAGUAAUCCUACUAAAGGUGGUAAAAAAUAUUUUGUAACAUUUAUUGAUGAUUUUUUAAAAUAUUGCUAUGUAUAUUUAUUACAUUCUAAAGAUCAAGUGUUAGAGAAAUUUAAAACUUAUAAAAUGAAGUUGAGAAUUUUUGUGACACUAAAAUUAAAUGCCUUAGAAGUGAUAAAGGAGGUGAAUAUGCUUUUUUUGAAUUUUGUGAAUCUGUUGGCAUUGUACAUGAAACUAGCACUGCAUAUACUCCACAACAAAAUGGCGUAGCUGAAAGGAAAAAUAGAACAUUAAUAGAAAUGGUUAAUGCUAUGCUUUUUACUGCUGGGCUUGGUAAAGGUUUUUGGGGUGAAGCUAUUUUAACUGCAUGUCAUAUCUUAAAUAGAGUGCCUAAUAACAAGACAAAGGUGACCCCAUAUGAAUUAUGGAAAAAGAGAAAGCCUAAUAUUUCUUAUCUAAGAGUUUGGGGUUGCCGAGCCAUUGUAAGACUACCUGAACCUAAGAUAAAGAAAUUAGGAGAAAGGGGCAUUGAAUGCAUAUUCUUGGGAUAUGCUAAGCAUAGUAAAGCUUAUAGGUUUCUUGUAAAAGAACCUAAUAACUUUGUUGAGAUCAAUACUAUAGUGGAAUCUAGAGAUGCAAUAUUCUAUGAAAAUAGAUUUUUCACUAUACCAAAAAGUAUUGAUUCUCAAGAGAAUGAUAAACAAAUAGAAAUUAGUCAAAAGUGUGAUGCUAAUAAUGAGCAAAAUCAUUUGAGAAGAAGUAAAAGAAUAAGGACUAUAAAAUCUUUUGGACCAGAUUUUAUAGUCUAUUUAGUGUAAGGGACAAGAGACUUACAAUCAAAACAGACCAUGAUCACACCUACUGUAAAGUCUGAUCCCCUCACCUAUGAAGAGGCAAUGAAGUCUCAAGAUGCUGCUUUUUGGAAAAAGGCCAUUAAUGAUGAAAUGGACUCUAUUAUGGGUAAUAAGACUUUGAAAUUAGUUGAUUUACCACCUGACUCUAAUCCUAUAGGUUGUAAAUGGAUUUUCAAAAAGAAGAAGAAAGUUGAUGGAACAAUUGAAGGAUUUAAAGCAAGACUAGUAGCAAAAGACUUUACACAAAAAGAAGGCCUUGAUUAUUUUGAUACUUAUGCACUUGUUGCAAGAAUUGCUACUAUUAGAGUCUUGAUUGCUUUGGCUUCAAUUUAUCAUUUUGAAAUCCAGCAAAUGGAUGUAAAAACAGCUUUCUUAAAUAGAGAAUUAGAUGAGGAAAUUUACAUGAAACAACUAGAAGGGUUUGUUAUGCCAGGACAAGAACAUAAAGUUUGUAAACUAGUCAAGUCUUUAUAUGGUCUUAAACAAGCUCCAAAGCAGUGGCACGAAAAGUUUGACAAAGUGAUUGUCUCAAAUGAAUUUAAUAUUUAUGAAUCUGAUAAAUGUGUCUAUAGCAGAUUCAAUGGAAAUAAAGGUGUGAUUAUUUGUUUAUAUGUAGAUGACAUGUUAAUUUUUAGUAUUGAUAGUGAGAGCAUUGAACUCACUAAAUCAUUAUUGUCAUCUAAUUUUGAUAUGAAAGACAUGGGACUUGCUGAUAUGAUUUUAGGGAUUAAAAUUAUAAAAAAUAAGAAUGGCCUAGUAUUGACCCAAUCACAUUAUAUUGAGAAAAUUUUAAAGAAAUUUAAUUAUUAUGAUUGUAAGCCUGUGUCAACACCUUUUGAUUCAAACAUAAGAUUGUAUCCUAACACUGGCAGAUCAGUAUCCCAAUUAGAAUAUGCACGUGUUAUUGGGUGUCUUAUGUAUGCGAUGACUUGUACUAGGCCUGAUAUUGCUUUCGCUGUUGGAAAACUGAGUAGAUAUACUAGUAAUCCAAGCCAAGCACACUGGCAAGCAGUGUACAAAAUUCUAAAAUAUUUAAAACAUGCAAUGGAUUAUGGUAUAUACUACAUUGGAUAUCCUUCUGUUUUGGAAGGAUUUUCGGAUGCUAGUUGGAUUACUGAUCGAGAUGAUCAUACAUCCACAAGUGGUUGGAUUUUUAAUCUUGUUGGAGGAUCUAUUUCAUGGGGCUCAAAGAAGCAAACUUGUAUAGCAGACUCCACCAUGGCUGCAGAAUUUGUAGCUUUGGCUUCAUGUUGCACGGAAGCUGAAUGGUUAAGGAAUUUGCUUAUAGAAAUUCCUAUUUGGCCUAAACCAAUGCCUCCUAUGUCCAUUCAUUGUGAUAGUGAGGCAACUUUGUCAAGGCCAUAUAGUAAAAAAGAAUUGUGUAUUUUUGAAAAAGUUAAAAAAAACAGGUGGACGGUGGAUAUUUUCCCAUGGAGUUAUCAUAAUUGACUUUGUGAAAUCAUGCCAAAAUUUGGUGGACCCCUUAACUAAAGGCCUUAUAAGGGAUAUUGUAUUUAAACCUUCUAAGGGGAUGGGACUGAAGCCAGCAUCAUCUUAUUACCAAUGAUGGAAACUCAACCAAACACUUGAAAUAUCAAGAUCUUGGGUUCAAUGAGCAAAAGUACAUCAUAUGUUGUGAUAGCAAAUACUAUAAUAUUUUUAGAUGUAUCCCAAAGGUUAGUGCUUGAUACCUGUAACAUAUGGGAAAGGUUAAGCUACUUAACUUUUAAUAGACUUAUAAAUGUUUUAGUUACAGGGACAUUUUAGAUAAGUCUACCUAUAUGAGUGUAGGAGAUGGUGCCACUUCCUAUGUAACUUGGCUGGUUACUAAAGCGCUCAUGAAAACAGGAUAUAGACACAGGGCCAAUCCACGUGUCGGCUAAAGAAUAGUUGAGAAUUUGAAAACUUAUGUGUGAGAUAUAUCCGGUUAGUCGAUUAAGGUCGCUGGUUCAAAGCUUUUCUACCAUGCCACCUUGAUUAACCUUGAUGUAUUGUCACUAAGUGAAGGUUCAAGUCCAAAAGACACCUUUAUCUAUGCAUAAGUUUUCCAAGCCUGUGCAAGAUAAUUUUUUAAAAUUCAUUUAUUUUGAAAAUGGUGGGGGAUUGUUGGAAAAUUUUCAAAAUAAAUGGUGUCUUAUGGUAAAGAUAUGUCCUAUUAAUUGUGCCUUAUAGAAAAGAUACCUUUCACUAAAGACAUGUCUAAUUAAAUGAUGUUUUGUUGUAAGGACAUGUCAAUUUAAUUGUGUCUUAUAGAAAAAAGGUAUCUUUUUACUAAAUGAUAUAACUUUUCAUGGUAACAUUUCACUUAGAGAUGCAUCAUUUCAUGGUGACAUUUCAUUUGAAAUGGUGAUGGUUCAAUUUGGACCAUUGAUUAAAAUUAAAUCUAGAUCCAAUGGCCAUGAAGAAAGGGGUAUCAUGAAAGAUGACAACCCAAAUGAAGGGGCACAAGUAUAUCUAUAAAUAGGGGUCAUGUUUAAGCCAUUUAGACAUGAAAUUAAUGAUCCUACACCACUCUUUUCUUAGCAUUCCUUUCUAGUACGAAUUUCAACACAAAACACCCAUUUCUUUUGUGCAUUAAAAAUCCAAUAUAUUGUUUUCUGCAAGAACAAUAUAUUGUUUCUUGGCAGGCUUGCAACAUUCAAGAGUAUUCUGGUUUGCUUUCGUCGAUGCACAACGCAAGCAAACAAACAAGUGCUUCAUUGUAUCCUGGAGGCGUAUUUGCUUAACCCAUGUGCAUCACUCAAUUGGUGGGGGCAAAUAACGUCUUAAGGAAAGCGACAUUUGUAAUGUGCCUUGAAGCACACAAAUUUUAUGCAGUUUACUUAUUACUAUUAUUUUUCUUCCUACAUAUAGAGUUAGUUGUAAACACAUUACUUUACGUAAUAAAGUUCCACCAUUAUUGUUGCAUUUCUCUACAUUUGCCAUUCCCCACAAUUUCAACCACCAACAUGCUCUGCAUCCGAAACUUCGUCGACCUUUGCAUCUAAGAGAUCAUUAACCUUACAGAACUCAAAUGGUCCACAGUAUUCACAAUGAUCUUUCAAUGUUUCCACCACUCUGCGUAAAUAUGAAGAUGGUUUGUUUUCUCAAUAGAAAAUUGAAAUUAUCAGCUGUAAUUAGAGCAACUCACAUUUGCUUUUGGUCAUCACUGGUGUACCAUAGUUCAAGAUAUUCGGUCGCUGAGUAUAACUGUGUUCUCAGGUUUUUCAAAUCUUGAAAGUAAAGUCGCUUGAGUUAAAAAAAAGACCACAGUAAAUAUUUCCAUAAGAACUUAAAUGUUUUACAAAUUGGUGCUUUUGUAUUUCCAUAACUGUGCUUUUGUAAGGCUAGUCGAAAAAUGAGUAAAAUUUGGAAAUUGACACACGAUCCACCGUUUAAAUCAUAUAAACAAGUAUCGCGCGAUGAAACAAGAGUUACCCUUGAAGACAUAUGCCCCUAUUUGCCACAAUCCUUUUUUUUUUUACUUUUUCUUUUCUUAAAAGUGAAUGUUGAGGUGGGUGCAACUUUUAGUAAUAGCUAUUAGUAGCAUAAAACAAAGAUUGCACGCUCUAAAACAAUUGUAAUAGGGAAACGGGUAUAGACAUACAAUCCAACAGAUUAAAACAAAAUAGAGAAACAGUAGUACCUUGAGACUAUCAGAGAAUAGCAAGCUCCGCUACCCUUUUCUUAAAAGUGAUUGAUUAUGAUGAAACAUUCAGCCUUGUAAUUAAGCUUGCUCCGGUUUGCUUUGUGUUUGGCAUUACUACAAGGAUGGUAUUUGCGACAACUUCGGUGUGAGCAAUGCUUUUUUACAUGGGCACCUAUCAAAGGAGGUAUUUAUGCCUCAGCUACCUCGUUUUAUUGAUCCCACGUAUCCUACUUAUGUUUGCUAACUUAAAAAGGCACUCUCUGGCCUUAAGCAAGCUCACGUUCUUGGAACAACACUGAGCUUCGAAACUUUUUUUCUAUCGACGGGAUUUUUCACUUUACUAUCAGAUUCUUCUUUAUGUAUCUAAUCUCAUGCUAGUGUGCAUGAGAUUAUCUUUGUGGGUAAAUAAACUUUCAUCUGUCGCCAUAAUGUAGCUAGGCACCAAUUAUCCUGUAUAUUACUGUCGCAUGAAACACAUAGCCAUUGACUUUCACUUUGUUCAUCACAAAAUUCAAAAUGGUGUUCUCCGGGUGUCUCAUUUAUCAUCUCAAGACCAAUUAGCAGAUGCCGUCACCAAAACUCCAUCUCAUCAACGAAUAAGUCUUCUUUGUUCCAAGCUCGGUGUCGCAAAUGGUAGCGCCAUCUUACAGGGGCAUAUUAGAGAUACUCUCAAAGGCACGGUGUAAUUGUACAACCUUUUUAUCAUUUGUAUAUACGACUUUCAUAACUUUAAACUGCAAUUGUGUACUUACUAUAAUUAACUAGCUUUAGUUGUGUAUAUAUUGAAAUCAUAUCAAUAGAAACAGUAAGCUGCGUUGUUAUUUCCUUUCUCUAUAUUAUUUAUUGUAUAAACCUAACUUUUUUCAGCCCUUUUUUUCCCCCAAAUCUGACACUUUUUUUUUAAUAAAUUUAUUUACCCACACCUGUGUCGUUUGUCUCACCUUUUUUUUUUUUUUUUCACUUAUUUCGUUACCCAGGCCACACUUUUAUAAACUUUGUCCUGGCCCCGCACUCUACUUUUGUUAGUUUUAUCAAAUGAGCAGCACUAGCAGCACCGUAUGAUUAUCUUUUCAGACCCCUUCUGGUAUAUCAAAGAAGCCCUAUAACAAAUACAUCCGUAAAAUAUCUACCAAAGAUACCUCAACAAGCUAGUGAAGCAGGGAAUGACUCCAUUCCUUAAGCCCAUGUUUGGUUGGGAGAAAUGAUAGAAGAGGAGAGGAAUAGAAAGGAAAGAAUGAGGGAAAAAUGAGUGUAAAUGAUGGUCAAAUUCAUUUGCAUUGUUUGGUUGGAUAUGGAAUUCAUCUUUUUUUCCUAUUUCUUUCCUCUCUCUUUUCCUCUCCUCUUCUCUCCUCAUAUUUCUUAAAACCAAACAUGCCAAUUGACGACCUGUCUGGUGUCCCCUUGCCUACAAUAAAAAUUGAAAUUAGGCCAUUUAGAUUAAAGAUAAGACGGAAUGGAAAUAUGGAAUCGUUAACAAUUAUAGCUAUGACCCAUCUAAUUUGCAAAUGGUUCUUUCCCUUUCAAUAUUAUUGUACGUAUUUGCAAGGAAACCUCUUCUAUCUUUCUUGCAAUUAAGACUUUUGCGUAUCCAAUUACUGUCAACUGUUUUUGAACGUGUAGAAGAUAACAACUUGAAGACUUGAGAGAGAGCCAGCGUUAAUUCAACGUCAAGAGUAGCUUAUUAGUUUGCAGGAUUCAAGAGUAGCUUACUGUCAACUGUUUUUGAACGUGUAGAAGAUAACAACUUGAAGACUUGAGUGAGAGCCAGAUGCUGGGUAUAAGGUCUAUAAAACUUUACUAUUAUUUCAUAAAAUUGUUUUAUUUUUUAUUCCUCAUCACAUUGGGGAUUACGCCCCCAAUGACCCAUUUGAUUUUCAUUUUUAUGUAGGUUAGUAGUGUUACUGAAAAUCAAAUAUUGUCUCUUUUUUUCCACUUAUUGAGGACUAUGGAAUUAAACAAAACUCACCAAUGGCAUAAAAUAUACACACUACUAGAAAAAUAAGCUACUAUGACAGAAUUUUUGUGAUAGAUAUUCAAAAAUUAGUCAUUUAUCACAAAAAUAUGAUAGAUUCGUGAUAGAAUUUUUAUAUAUCAUAAAGGCAUGAUAAAUUUGUGAUAGUUUAUUUAUUUAUCACAUACACAUGAUAGCAUAUUAAUAUUUAAUGAAACGAUGAGUUUUGAAUGGGUUAAUUUAGACAUAGAACGACACCGUAUCUUAAAAAAAAAAAUCAUAAGUGGUAGACUCUCCUUUCACUUCAAUUGGCAAACCCUAAUUUCCAAAUCAUACACAAAAACAAAAUCACGCUGCCGACAAAAAAUUUGGUCCUCUGCUGCGCUGCUUGCCGACAACAAAUUUCUACUCUUCGUCUUCGUCCUUACUCUUUAAUCUGCUGCUGCUACUACUUGCCGAUGAACAACACGCUCAAGUUCAGCUAGGUCUUUACUUCCUCUUUUUCUUAUAUUAUAUUCUUUUGAUUUGAUUUGAUUUUUCUGUGAUCUAAACGCCGUUCUUGCUGAUAUUGGUGAUGAACAGUCCUUGUCACAAUUUUGACCGAUCUGAUUGCUAUUCAUAUAAGUGAUUAUUCUACUAUUAUAUAACCUGCACUGGGUUACUCAAUAUGCAAGCCUUUACGUUUUAUCUUCAGAAUAUGCAAAGGUUCCUUGGUUUGAUUCAGUUCUUGCUGAUAUUGGUGAUGAACAGUCCUUGUCACAAUCUUUAUCUACCUUCUCUAGCCACUUGAAACAAAUAGGUGUAAGGAUAUUCACCUUUCAGAAGCAGUUAAUCAAGUUUGUUUGGAACAAAUGCCCCUUUUUCAACGCUAUUCUUUCUCAUUUUUGUAUUAUGUCAACAAUCUUUAUAAACUGCUUUGAUUCUUUGCAGAUAAUUUUGUUUUCUUAUAAAUUAUUAAGACAUUUAACAAGAAAAGGCACAAGCUCUUGUUGGGAUGUACUUAAUACGAUUUGCAACUUGUGUCAGUGAUGGAUCUCAUGAACUCCUAAGCUUAGUUACUAUAUUGUCAGUCCUGAAUCACUUAUGAUAAUGCUGGUUUUAUUUAUUUAUUUAGUUAUUUUUGGGAUAUUACUAGUUUGUAUUAUAAUACAUUCAUAGUACUGUUGUAGUUUUAUGAUUCCAAUUUAAGUUGACUGAAGCCAAAUUGCUCCUUUGGCAGUAACUACUUCUUCGAGAAUGCUUGUAUGGAGUUCGAUAAAGUUAAAUUAAAGCCAACUUACAAGGUCCUUUGGGGGUACCAGGUUACAUAAUUAUAACUUCUAUUUAUUUGAUGUCUGAAGUGUUAAUGAGUUUAUUAAUUUGGUUUUUUCAAGCCUUAGUGAUUAGAGCUGUAACUAUAAGUUGGCUUCUCCUAUAAAUUACUUCUUGUAGAUAUUAUAUGAAUUGCUAAGAACUUACUUAUGCAAUCUCUAGGUACGUAGAUAUUUGUUUACUUUUCUCCAGAUAAAUGCCAACUGAAACAACUAUUAAAUGCCCAGACUGAAUAUUAAAUGUUACUUAAACAAUUGAAAAUUUUUAUUCUCUUGUAAAUUUCGCUUUAGAAGUAUUGUAUAUUCCCUCUUUGAGCUAAUAAUACUAGUUGGUAGUCGUGCUCUGAACUUUUGGAAACUAAUAUUUUUCCCCGAGGAACUAGUGAUAGCCGGCUUUCUUUGAUGGUAUCAAAAUGAUUUAUUUUUUGUUUAUUUAUUUAUUUAUUCUUUUGUUUGGGCAGCAGCUUCAUGUAAAAUGACUUAAGAGUGUGGUACUGAUUGCAGGUUGUUCAAAAUGCAACUCUACGGUGCUGCUAGUGCUGAGAUUAAUAAGGUAAUAUGCCUUAGAGGUAAUGCAUGUGUAAAAACUUAGCAUCUUUUUUAGCUAAUAAAAAGUUUACAUGUUAUUUUUUCCUUUUGUAAACAGAAGCAAAAUUUUAGUUUUAAGUCUCACAUGUUGUGACUUAAGCAACAGACAACCAGUUUACCUGGUAGGCUAAUUAAUUACCUUUGGGAAUUAUAUGGUCAAAAGAAAAUUCAUACAUAAAACAAAUGUGAUCAGGUAAUAGUCAGUACAUGAUGAGCUUACAUGAUGGAAUUAUGGUCAAAAGAAAAUUCAUACAUAAAACAAAUGUGAUCAGGUAAUAGUCAGUACAUGAUGAGCUUACAUGAUGGAAUUAUGGGAAUCUAAUUUUUUGCCAGUAUAGCAAAGGCCACAGAUAACUUCUCAAGUUGCAAUAAACUGGGAGAAAUUAGAUUUGGGCCAAUGUCCAAGGUAAUAUUGUGGCAUUCUACUGAAAUUAGAUCAUAUUUUCUUUUUAUACUAACUAAUAGGCAGAUCUAUGGUACAUAAAUAGAAAGGCAAGAAAUUACAGUUAAAAGGCUGUCAAAAGGUUCCAGACAAGGAAUGGAAGAGUUCAAAAAUGAAGUUACAUUGAUUUUUGUUAGUAAUUAUAGGUUUUUGUUACACGUGUGAAAUUCUUCAUUAUUCUUGAUUAUUGAACUGUGUGAUGACACCUUAUGAAUUUGAUUAACUAUAAGUGGCCGAUAUGUUAAUUUGCAUUUUUUUGGUACUCAUCUUAAUGUCAUCUGCUUUUCAGGUGAUGUUGGUGGCUUUUGGGAAUUUACCAUCAAUGUUUUUUUUAUGGAUUAAUUAUUUUUCUAGGAUGGGUUGGUGAUUGGAUAUUUUAGGUGAUUAGAUAUUGUAAAUGAUUUAUGAGAUAUUAUUGUGGAUUUGAUUCACCAUGUAUUUUGAUGAUGCUAUUUGAUGGAAGUUUCCAGUGAUUAAAUAUAUGAUGCCCAAAAAGCUAAGUGGUAGUGAAUUUUUUGUAUGCUGGUAUUGUUCUAGAUGAUAGUGAAUCUUGAUAAAGUCUAAGUGGUAGUGAAAUUUGUAUGCUGAUAUUGUUUGAUAAAGUCUUAAGUAGUAGUGAAUCUUGAUCAGCCUGGUAGUGUUUCAGAUGAUAUAUAGUGUUGUGAUGUUUUUGUAUGCUGGUAAUGAUCCAGAUGGUAGUGUUGGGAUGUAGAUUUGUGAUAAUUGAAUAGAUGAUGUUUUGACAAUGUUAUGGUUAUUUCAAGUGAUGAUUUAGUGAUGUUUUGAUAAUAUCGUUGAGAUAAUUUGGAUGUAUUGAUUUUAUACAUAUUUUGAUUUUUAAAUUUCAAUGGAAUUUAUAAAAUAAUAAAAUAAUAAUAUUAUUAUUUAAAAUAUUAAAAAUUAUUUUCUAAUUUAACAAUAUUAAAAAUGAUUUAAAAUAUUAUUAUUAUUUAAAAUAUUAAAAAAUUUUGAUUUUAAAAAAAUUAAAAAGUCUUUUAAUAAUAUUAUUAUUUAAAAAAAAUUCUCAUCAUGACACCAUAUUAGCAUCAUAAAGCUGCGACACAUAAUUACACGCCAUAAUUUAAAAUUGAAUUCAUAAUACCCGCCAAAUGUUUUUUCACAAUAAAACAAAUUUACCACUAAAAUAUUAAAACGAUGUUGCUUUUGUUGUGACACAUUUGUGAUAGCUAUAAGCUGUCACAUACACCUGUGAUAAAUAAAUUAUUGUCACGGAUUUAUGAGAGGGGCUACAAUGAUAGAUAAAAACUCUGUCAUAAACAGGGUCGGAUGAUAGAUAUUCUCUGUCAUGGUAGCCCAUUUUUCUAGUAGUGACAAUGAAUAUUUAUUAACAGAUUUGACAUAAAAUUAAUUUUUGAACCGAUUGAAACUUCCAAAAACUAAAAUUUCGAAUUUGUUAUAAGAAUAUAAUCUAUUUUAAUUAUCAUUGUCAAGUCCUCCUCUAUGGAACAUUAGCAAAUUUGCAACCUUUCUAGCUUAAAUUCUAGGUUCAAAACCUCGCGGCGGAGUUAAAUUUUGUUAUAUUUAAAAGCUAAAUCUUGAAGAUGAAUUAUUUUCUAAUUAAUUUUUUUGUGGUUCUUUUAUAACGAUGGCAAAAUUCUCUACAGGUUUCGGACCCCACCCCAAAUGGCGUGAAUUUUGAAUAUUUUUUAGAAAUGGGGUGAGAAAUGGAUAAAAAUUAAUCCCUAAGUUUUUAAUGGGGUGAACUUUUAAUUAGAUAGAAACCUAUCCGUUCAAUUGAUGCUGAAAAAAUAAAAGUUUUGCAGGAUGUUUUCUCCUAGUAAUGAAAGAGAACCGUUUGUUUGAUGUACUUGAUGCUCCAGCAAUGAAAGAACCUUAGAAGAGAAUGAAAUGACAACAACAUCAGAGAAUCAAGGCAGAGAACAGCCUAUUGAUAAUAAAUAAUUUAAAAAAUAUAAUGACUAAUUGUGUAAUUCAAUCAAACCUUAUAGACCAAAGGAACAUUUGCCAAAGAUUAAAAUAUGUAUAUAUAUAUAUAUAUAUAUAUAUAUUAAGGCUACAUUUUGUUUAAUCCAAAUGAAGCUAAUCAAUCUAUAUUUUAUUCCAAUAAAACUAUGGCUUCGUUUCAUAUCUUAAUUAAAUUAUAUAAUGAUGAAAUAUUAUAUUCUGAACUUAACUGAAUCCAAUAUCAUUUCACCAAUCGGUCAUAUGAGAUGAAAGAAAAAAAUCUGUUGAAAUUAAUUUUAAAUUAAAGUUGAAGAAUGGUGAUAUGAUACAUACAUAUACAUGACUCUGAAUUUAUUAAAUUGAAGAUGUACUGAUCGUCUUGACGAUGUGACAAAAUACUGGAAUGUGAGAAUGGUCUUUGGACUUUGGUGAAGACUUGAGAGGGCCCAGAGUAAUUAAAAGUCAAGAUUGGCAAUCUGAAAUUAAUCUCUGGCUUUAACAUGCAGGACUUUCUAGUCGGUGAGAAAAGUUUCUGAAUUAAUAUAGGAGCUAAUACAUGCACUUUCUGAACUAAAGAAAACUGAGUUUAAGCGGCGAAUGGCUGUGCAUCUUUGUCUGGUGUUGCUGCAGAUUAUUGUUUUGCGCCUCAGGCCGAUCAUAGCAUCAGAAAGAUUUCCCUGUCCAACUGAAUGUGGAAAUGUCAGCAUCAGCUACCCCUUCGGAAUCGGAGAAGGGUGCUACUUUGACAAGGGUUACGAAGUUAUCUGCGAUCACCCUUCUGGCAUUCCCAAAGCUUUUCUUCCUGGCGUCAACAGGCUAGAAUUAGUGGAUAUUCUCUCUAAUGAUUCAAGAGCCGCGGUUAGAGUCAACGUUCCUGCGAUUUUUUUAAACAGCAGUAGUAAGCGAACAAGCAAUAUUGCUAAAGGCGUCAACUUAUCAGGUACCCCUUUCUCCUUUUCGACUGACAAUAAAUUCGCUGCCAUAGGCUGCAAAAUGAGAUAUCACCAAGGGAACGGUUCAUCUGUGUUUGAUGGGUGUCUGUCGAUUUGUACUUGUGAUCCUACUGUCUACCCUGCUUGCUAUGAUUUCCUAUGCCCCCUUCGUCCAAAUAUUACUCAUCUUUUCAAUCUAAAUAAAUCAUACUUGUUUUCUCAAAGUAUUCCUCAGAAAUGUCAGUCUGUUUUCCUGGUUGAUGAAGAUUGGGUCAACAGCAAGUACCUUGAAGAUCCUCAUGAUUUGGAAGAUCAACGAGAAGUUCCUGCAGUGUUGAAGUGGGGAGAAAAGAUAGGCAGUUGUUUUGAAGAAUAUAACUCAUAUUCUAUUUUUUGUAAUUCGGAUAAAACAGGUUGCUUAACACAAUUAAGCUCAGGCCAUUUAUGUCUUUGCUCUGCUGGCUACAACCUAGAGAAAGCAUACUGCUCAGGUACUUGUUGGAUUAUGUGUUAAAGAGAAUUUUUUUUUUUUUUCAAAGAAAAUAUCCGAACGACAAGACUUGGUGCUCCAGGAGCAUUUAGAUGCUAUUUCCGUAUGAACAUUAGCAAUAAGUGUGAUGAGAAACGGAAAAUGCUAUUGGAGAACCCUAGAGUUUACUAGAGUUAAAUGUCAAAUGAUGUAACAGUCCUCCGUUGGAUGGUAAGAUGAUCAGAAAAGAGUUGUAAAAUUUAUCAUCCAAUAGAUGAUUGAAAUUAUUGAUUUUUAAAAUAUCUAUCGAAUUACCUGUAAAUGAGUAAAGUUUUCCCAUUACUGUAACUAUCUUUGUAAACAGAGAAUUAGAGACUAAAAAUGGUGGAGUUUUAUUUAGUUGUAGCCAUGAUUUAGUUUGAUCUUCCCUUUGAUUUAUUUUUAUUUGUUAUUUUCCGGGCAUGUGACUUGAUCUGUAAUAUCUCAAGCGGCUACAGUUGCUCCAAUUGUCCCGAGGGUUGUAAUCGUCUCUCAUAUCGUUGCAUUAAAAUUUUCAACAAAUCUAACAGAUCUAACAAAUCUCGGGUUAAAUUCAUUAUUAUAGGUAUGCAUGGCGAUCGUUUAUUUUACAUCAUAAUAAAUUAAUAAUAUUUUUCAACAUAUAUUUCAAAUGAAAAUACUAAGUGUUCAUACGUUCAUUUAGAUUGAUGAUAUCUUUCCUAUCAUGAUAUCUUUCAUUAUUGUCCUCGAGAGCCGCAGGUUGCGGUGGUGGGCUUGCGUUAUUCUUUCUACUCAUUGGAAUAUGGUGGUUGUACAAGUUUACAAAAAGAAGAAGGGAAAUCAAGCUCAAGCAUAAGUUCUUUAAAAAAAAUGGUGGUUUAUUAUUACAACAAGAAUUGUCUUCCAAUGAAGGUAAUAUUGAGAAAAUGAAGUUAUUUACUUCAAAAGACUUGGAGAAAGCCACCGACAACUACAAUGCCAAUCGAAUCCUUGGUCAAGGAGGUCAAGGUAUUGUAUACAAAGGAAUGUUAGUAGAUGGACGAAUUGUGGCGGUUAAAAAAGCUAAAAUAUUGGAUGAGAGAAAUCUCGAGCAAUUCAUCAAUGAGGUAGUAAUUUUAUCUCAAAUUGACCCCAGAAAUGUUGUUAAGUUGUUGGGAUGUUGCUUGGAGACAGAAGUUCCUCUUUUGGUGUAUGAAUUUAUUCCAAAUGGAAGUCUCAAUCAAUACAUACACUAUCGAUCCGAGGAGUUUCCAAUCACAUGGGAAAUGUAUUUAUCCAUUGCUUUUGAAGUUUCAGGUGCUCUAUCUUAUCUGCAUUCAGCUGCAUCUAUUCCUAUUUAUCAUCGAGGCAUCAAGUCUGCAAACAUACUUUUGGACGAUAAAUAUCAAGCCAAAGUUUCAAAUUUUGGGGCUUCUAGAUCUAUAACAAUUGAUCAAACUCACUUGACCACUCAAGUACAAGGAACUUUUGGAUAUGUAGAUCCAGAAUACUUUCGGUCAAGUUAUUUUACAGAAAAAAGUGAUGUUUAUAGUUUUGGUGUAGUUCUUGUUGAGCUUUUAACUGGACAGAAACCUAUCCGUUCAACUGACGCUGAAGAAGAUAAGAGUUUAGCAAGAUAUUUUAUCCAAGCAAUGAAAGAGAACCGUCUGUUUGAAGUCCUUGAUGAUCGAGUUCUUAAGGAAGCUGAGAAAGAAGAGAUUAUUACCGUUGCUAUGCUUGCCAAAAGAUGCUUGAACUUGAAUGGGAGAAAGAGACCUACGAUGAAAGAAGUGGCAUUUGAAUUACGGGGUAUAAGAGAAUCAAUUGGAGCUUCCAUUUUGCAGCAAAAUUGUGAAGAGACUGAUUUUGUGGAUGGUGACAUUAUUGGACAUGAUUUCGGAAGAAAUUCAUCUUCUAGUGGGUCAAGUUUAAAUAGUGUCUCAGUUUCUGUAGAUGCCGACCCUUUAAUUUCAAACAAAUGGUGAUAAAGAGAAGAAUUGCCUUGAAACUGUUUGUCUUUCAUAAAUAAGAUUGUGAGACUUUUCCAAUAUUAUCAUUCUUGUAUCGCUAGAGUUUCUUUGGGUACCAUCAUUUGUAAUUAAAAACUUCCAAGUCAUUUCAAUCAAAUUUUCCACUAUUUCAUUGCAUGCGCUGCAUUUUCCUUUUUUUCUUUUUUAGGCAAAUAGAGGAGAUCAAGGAAAAAUCUUUUGAAAUUAAUUUCUUAGUUGAAGUUUACAAAUGCAAGAUGAUAUGAUCUCUCGGUCUAAAGUGCAAGCACUUUAGCACUAUGCCACCUAAUAUCUCUGAGUAAAUAGGAGAGAACAACUUGAGCACUUAAGAGGGCCAACGUUAAAUAAACUCCAGAGUAGCAUGUUGGAAUUUUUGGCUUAUUGUUAUGCAGGACUUUCUUGGUAGUGAAAUAAAGUCAAAAGGAAGAUGGGAGGAAAUAAAGAUCAAUGCAAAUUGAUAGAUAAAAUACCCUACAUCAUUUGUGAGUGCAUCUUAGGUCAAAUAUGUAAAGUUUGAACGAUCCUCAAUUUUUUAGUUAGAUUUUGAGUAUGGCUUAAACCCAUGAAUUUUCUAAUAUUUUAUUAGAGUUAAAUUUAUCUAGAUUAGGCCCAUGCUACUUCCCACAGUACCUUAUCACUUUACGCCCUUCACAUGGAGGCAUUAUAAAAGAGUAAUGCUAAGGGGAUCCCAACUUGAGUUCUAAUGGAUGUGAUAUUUAUCUAGUAGAUAGUAAAAUAUUUAUUUUAUCAAUUAUAAAAUUUAUUAUCCAAUACAUGAACUACAUAUAAAAUUUGAGAUUCAAAACUUAAUUGGUGGGUCACAAUCAUUAUUGGUUAAAAAUGAUAUCCAGAGAUAACUAGAGGUAAAUCAAAAACUCUCUCUCUCUCUCUGUGCUAAGACCCUUUCUGCCACAGGCUAAAAUUCACCAGCUUUGAUCAAUCAACCUGCCUGAAUUACACAGCCAUCACAUUUUCAAACCUCCAAUCUUUCAAAUCUAUUUUUCAACUCUUUGUUUCCAGCCACCGUAGCCGCGAACCAACGACACCUCUCCACUGCUACCUCUCGCCACCAUGUCGCCAAUUGCCCAUCACUAUAGCAAAAAAUUAUGCUAAAGGAGUUUAGGCCGGGGAGGGAACCAGUAGGUCUUUUCUUUUUUCUUAUUUUCUAUUUCUCUUCUAUAUUUCUUUUGUUUUAUUUUUGUAUUUGCUUCUGUUAUUGUACGUUUUUAUGUUUUGUUGUUUUGUAAGAUUUUAUACUGCUCGUACGGUGGUCUACAUAGGCGGUGUUGUUUCAAUGUCCAGAUCGGGAUUGUGUCAGUAUUUGGAUUGGAAUAGUAUGACUACAUUGAAGCUGUUGAGGGCUUUAAUAGUGGUACAUUGAGGUUCCGAUGACCUCAGGCGAAGUUCUGAUGGCCUAGGUCAAGGGCUUAUUGAGAGAUUUUCUAGUGAAUCGUAAGGUUGGUUUUUUUUGUUGCAUUUUGUGGAUUUUUUUUUUUGGUUGUUUGUUUGCAUUUUAUUGUUAGAAUUGUGUUUUCUUGUGUUUUGUUGUAUUAUCGGACACUAGGGGGUAUUUGAACUAUAGUAGCUAAGGUUUGUUCCUCUAGUGUUUCUUUAGAUUUUAAUUUGAGAAAAAGGACACCUACACCUUAAAGUUUGAGGAAAUGAUCGCAAAACUCCUAAGUUUUUAAAAAGGACACUAAAAUUCUUUUUUUACCAUAUUAUCCUUUGAAUUUAGUAAUUAGAAAAUUGACUUUAAAGUUUUUGUAAUUAAUACAAAUUUAAUAUAAAUAAUAUAAUCUAUCUAGUAGAUUAAUAAUAUUAAAUUAUUUUUAAAAUUUAAAAUAAUAUUAAAAUUUUAAAUUAUUAUAUUUAUUUUAAUAAUAUAUUUGUAUUUACUAUAAAGAUUUUAAAUAAAUCUUUGGGUUAAAUAAAUUUUUCAAUUAACAAAUAAUAUCCCUAUUAAUAAGAUCAAAAUUAUUUUUUACAUAAUAUUCAAAAUAAUUUUAAUUUUUAAUUUAUUUUUUUAAUAUUAUGUUUCUAUUUAUUAUUAAAAAUUACUUUAAUAUAAUAAAAUAAGUCUAAUAGAUUGUAAAAUAUUAAAAUAUUUUUUAAAUAUUAAAAUUAUUUUAAAAUGCAUAUAUUAUUACAUUUAUUUUGAUGCCAUAUUUCUAUUUAUUAUAAAAUUUUGGCGUCAAAAGUCAAAGGAUAUCACUGUCAAAAAGGAAUCUUGGCGUCAAUUAUUGAAAAUUUGGGGUUUUUUGUGACUAUUUCCUCGAACUUUGAGAACGUAGGUGUUCUUUUUCCCUUAAUUUGAGAAACAAAUUGGUCUCCUUUGAUUUUAAAAUUUGUUUUAUGUACUGUACUUAAACUUGAUAUAACUCUUAUUUAUAUUAUUAUUAUUAUUGGUCCUUAAUGAAAGUCACGUUUUCUUAAAGAAAGAAAAGAAAAGAAAAGAAAAGUUGGAAGAUAUACGGAGGAGAACUUGUNNNNNNNNNNNNNNNNNNNNNNNNNNNNNNNNNNNNNNNNNNNNNNNNNNNNNNNNNNNNNNNNNNNNNNNNNNNNNNNNNNNNNNNNNNNNNNNNNNNNNNNNNNNNNNNNNNNNNNNNNNNNNNNNNNNNNNNNNNNNNNNNNNNNNNNNNNNNNNNNNNNNNNNAUCAUUAUCUGGUGUUGUUGCAAUCGAUGUUUUUGCCAUUAUGGCCAAUCAAAGCAUCAAAAGAUUUAUGCCAAUAUGAUUGUGGGAAUGCCACUAUCAGGUACCCCUUCGGAAUCGGAGAGGGUUGCUAUUUUGAUAAGAGUUUUGAAGUAAUCUGCGAUUACUCUUCUGGCUCCCCAAAAGCUUUUCUUGCGAGCAUCAACAACCUGCAAGUAUUGGACAAUCAUGUUUAUGGUGUAUCCAACAUUAGGGUAAACAUUCCUGUAAUUUCUUUGAAGAGCAGCAACAUGACAAGCAAUGCUAAAGGGGUCAGUCUUUCAGUUAGCCCUUUUACAUUUUCUCCGUGGGACAAUAGAUUCACAGCCAUAGGUUGCAACAACUAUACUACGAUUAUUAAGCGACAGAAUGAUUCAUCCGUUUUUGGUGGGUGCCUUUCGAUUAGCACUUGUGAUCCUGCUCUCAACCCUGGUUGCUACGAUUUCCUGUGCGCCCUUCCUCAAAAUAUUACUCAGGUUUCCAAUGCAGAAAUAUCUAGUUUUUAUCCGAAAAGUAUUCCUCAGGAAUGUCACUCUGUUUCCCAUUGUUGAAGAAGAUUGGGUCAACUCAAAGUACAUGAAGAAUCCUCACGUUUUGAAAGAUCUCGGACAAGUUCCUGCACUGUUGAAGUGGGCUGAGUCUAGAGGAUAUUUGAUACACCUCUUUGCAACCAAGGAUGUAUCGAUAAGAUUUGCACUCUUCGAGUGAGGGCUGACUCCAAAAGAAAUUCGCGAAGAUGAGCAAGAAUGGAGAGAGAGAUUGAGAGUGAGAGAAGAGUAGAGAAAAGUUAAAAAGAAAUGAUUCAUUCUUGAUUUCCCUUACACGAAUUAGUUAUGCUAUACAUAUACUCCUCUGUCUUUUGGCGUUUAAAAGAAUACAGCUCAGCAUAACUUUGUAACAGAAAAUAUGACAGCAAUAUAUACCAGCAAAAUAUAAAGCCCUAUCAAUUUCACUAUACGACAUAAUCUUUAAACCACCCAGGGGGCCUUCUCACUCUUGUGCCUGUGUACCCUUCCUUACGAGCUACUUCUACUUCAACUUGUGAUGAGGCUUCCUUCAUGGGCUGCGCACAAUUAGACUCAUCGAUGGGCUGCCCUUCUCGUAAACAAUCCGGUUGAUCCAGCUGAAUGUGGGGGGUUGUAUCAUCCCCUCCAGCUUCAAAACUCACCUUGUCCUCAAGGUGAAAAUUAGGAUAAAGCUCACAGAAGGUUUCAAACUCUUCCCAAGUAGAAUCUUCAGGCGAAUUGUUCUGCCAUUGAACCAGAAUUUGGCGACAUCGCGUGCCUUAUUUAAGCACGGUUCUAAUAGCGCAAACUGCAGCAGGGAGAUAUAAUGGCUGAUUGUCCACACUAGUUGAUGGCAAGGAAUGGUGAUCAGGGGUAUGAGAACCAAGAAAGGGUUUGAGAAGUGAAAUGUGAAACACUGGAUGGAUCUUGGAACUGCUGGGCAAGGCAAGCUUAUAAGCUACAGGGCCAACUCGAGCUAGUACAGGAAAGGGGCCAUAAUACCGUUUAGCUAGCUUUUGACAAGAACGAGAUGCCACUGUCUUUUGGCGGUAUGGCUGAAGCUUCACUAGAACUUGGUCCCCAACAGCAAACUGAGCUUUGCGUCUAUGUGCAUUAGCCUUUUGAAUCAUGCGAUGUUGAGCUUGACGCAAAUUCUCUUUCAAGGAACGAAGUAAUGCAUCCUGUUCACUUAAAGCUUCAUCAAGAGCUUAGAUUGAAGUAGAGCCCUUUGAGUAAGGAGGAAUUGCUGGAGGUGGUCGCCUAAAAAGAGCUUGAAAAGGAGACAUUUUGAUGCUGCUGUGAUAAGUAGAAUUGUAGGAAAACUCAGCCCACCCAAGUAGAGAUACCCAUGAGUGUGGUUUGUCUUGGGUGAAAGUGCGAAGAUAUUGCUCCAAGCCGCGAUUGACAACCUCCGAUUGCCCAUCUGUUUGUGGGUGAUAGGCUGUACUGUGUCGAAGGGUAGUGCCACUUAACUCCAAAAAUUGCUUAAGAACACAAGGUCGCGAUCGGAAAUAAUAGAGGUCGGAAACCCAUGAAGCUUUAUUACCAUAUCCACGAACAAUUUGGCGGUCUUUAUGCUGUAAAUUGAGUGGGAAGGGAUCCAAAGUGUGCCGAUUUCGUAAGGCGAUCAACCACUACCAAUAUCACCGUGAAACCUCGCGAAACUGGAAGGCCAGUAAUGAAAUCCAUAGUGAGUUCGUCCCAAACUAAAGUGAGGAUAUGAAGAGGCUGCAGUGGACCUGCUGGUGCUUGAGUAGAAUAUUUAGUCUGUUGGCACACAAGGCAUUUGACCACAAAUCGCUCAACGUCCAUACGCAUUUUAGGUAAAAAAAAAUUAGAUGCCAAGCAGACCAGCGUGCGUUUGAUGCCUACAUGCUCUGCAAGUGGAGUAGAGUGGAAUUCAGCCAAUAGAACCGCUUUAAAGGAUGAUGAUGGACUGAUAUAGUAACGAUUGUGAUAAAAAAGGACCCCAUUAUGCCGCGAAUAAUCCCGUGAAAGAGAUCUCGUAGCAAACUGACGAUGAAGAUCAAUCAUUUCCGGAAGUGUGGAAUUCUCUAGUUUUAGAGUUGCUAACAACUCAAACGACGGGUGACUAAGGAGAGGCAAACAAGAAGCAGUCACUGUUGGUGUUUCCUCACUAGCCUCGUCAUGCAUUCGUGAUAAGGCGUCGGCUGCAAGAUUGGUACAGCCCGGUUUAUACUCAAUGCGGAAGUGAUAGCCUAGUAAUUUUCUGAUGUAGACUUGCCGAUCCGGAGUUUGAACUACCUGCUGGAGAAGUUCCUUAAUGCUCUUAUGGUCAGUUCAGAUUACAAAAAAUCUGCCUAAUAAGUAUUGUCGCCAUUUGUGCACCGCUUCAACAAUAGCGGUUAAUUCCUUGAUGUAGGUAGAAGAAGCACGAAGUCAAGGACCUAAUUUCUUACUGAAAUAAGAUAUGGGGUGCCCCGAUUGCAUAAGCAUAGCCCCGAUACCCACAUUAGAGGUAUCAGUCUCAAGAAUGAAGUCGGAGUCAAAAUCUGGUAGCUGCAACACAGGGGCUUCCACCAUUGCUCUUUUAAGAGCUUCAAAUGCCUCAGCUGCUGCUGGUGUCCACUGGAAGGCAUCUUUACAAAGAAAAUAAGUAAGUGGGGCUGCGAAAGACGCAUAUCCACGAAUAAACCGCCGGUAAUAACCCGUCAAACCCAAAAAAACCUCGAAGUUGUUUUGUAGUCUGAGGAGUUGGCCAACGAACCAUAGUUGUAAUUUUCUGAGGAUCGGCCCGCACACCAGAGGCCGAAACAAUGUGGCCUAGGUAAUCGAUAGCGUCUUGGCAAAACAAGCAUUUGGAUAGCUUGACAAAGAAGUGGUGAAAAUGAAGGCACCACAAGACUUGCUGAAGGUACCGCAAAUGUUCCUCUGCUGUAGCACUAUAAACCAAAAUGUCAUAAAAAAAAAUCACAAAUUUACGCAAAAAUGAAGCGAAAAUCUGGUUCAUAGUAGCUUGGAAGGUAGAAGGCGCGUUUGUUAACCCAAAUGGCAUGACGAGGAACUCAUAGUGGCCCUGAUGAGUGCGAAAAGCCAUUUUAUAAAUGUCGCGGUGGUGCACGCGAAUCUGAUGGUAACUAGCCUGCAAAUCCAACUUGCUAAAGAUUACUGCCCCACCUAAUUCAUCAAAUAAUUCGUCGAUAGUCGGAAUGGGGAAUUUAUCUUUAAUGGUGGCGGCAUUCAAAGCCCUGUAAUCAACACAGAAACGAUAGGUCCCAUCUUUUUUUUUUACCAACAAGACCGAUGAAGAAAAUGGACUUUGACUCGGUUGAAUGAUGCGUUGUUCUAACAUUUCACGGAUCAGUUUUUCCAUCUCAUUUUUUUGGAAGUGGGGGUAGCGAUAUGGGCGGACAUUUAUGGGAGUGGUGUUGGGGAGGAGAUGGAUUUUAUGAUCAAUUGUGCGAUGUGGCGGUAGGGUAGUAGGUGGAAGAAAUAAGUUGAGGUAGGUGUGUAGAAGGCCAACAAAGGGUGCGGUUAAAUGUGGAGGUAAUUCGAAGGAAGAACUCUUGGGAUUACUUUCUGAUUCCUCCCCGGGUACAGGUACCUGUUGCAGAGCGAACAAACUAUAAAUGUCAGCACUGUGGAUUAGAGAUUGCAACUGAUGAAAGGUGAUUAAGGAGGGAGUAGUGGAUAGUUCGCUGUGAAGAGUCACUGGUGCCCCAUUCCAACAAAAUUCCAUAGAGAGGGCAGAGUAAUCAUGAGAGACACGGCCCAAGAAUUGCAGCCAUUGUAUUCCCAACACCACAUCAGGCCCCUCAAUGGGCAGAACAAAGAGGUCCAAAGUGAAGAUCGUUCCCUGCAUCGUGAGAGCAACUUGAGGGCAAAAAUAUUUGCACACUAGAAAAUCCCCAUUGCCAAUAUAAACACGGAAAUGUGUUGUUGGCUGUAUCGGUAAGCCUAAACGCUCUAUCACUGUUGGUUUGAUAAAGUUGUGGGUACUUCUGCUAUCGAUCAAUACUUGAAAGCUGUGAGAACCAACUUCGCCAACCAAACGAAAUGAGUGGGGAUUUAUUUGACCCGCCAAAGCAUUCAAACUGGAAAUAUCCCCUGUUAUGAUCUCUUCGACAGAAUCCAGUGGCAAUUCUUGUUCACAAGAAACAAGCUCAUUAUCAUCAGUACCCAUAAGAAGCAAAAACUUACUACGACAGCGAUGAUUAGCGCUAUAUUUUUUAUCGCAGUUAUAACACAAUCCCUUCUCACGCUUGUCACGUAGCUCUGCUGGAGUAAGGCGGCGAAUCGGUAAGUUGGGUGUGGGUAGAAGUGGUGGUAACGUGUUUGGUUUCGGGGGUGGGGAAGUAUUGUGGGAAUGAGAUAUUGUUUGGGCCAUACCAGUGGAAUGGUGCGGUUGGGUUGAAGCAAGGGGAUAUGUGGUAGGCUGAAAUUUGUGUGACGGGGAGGUUGUGGUAGGAGUAGGUGACAUGGUGUUCCAUUUUGGCAAAAAAGGUGUCCUUGUUUGGCCUCCUCAGCACAGGCUUCAUACGCACGAGCUAGUGCAAAUGCUUCCAUUAGAGAAGAAGGCCGAUCAAAAAGCAGCUCACGACGAAUAUCGAGUUUCAAUCCCGUGAUAAAAAAACUUAUCAGAAGUGGUUCUAAAAUUCCAGUCACUCGAUUCAUUAAAUCUUCAAAAGAGGUCUGAAAUUCUGCCACUGUUGUGGUUUGGGAUAACUUAGACAAAUUUCCUUGAGGAUCUUCAUAGAGGGAGGCACCAAAACGAUGUUUAAGGUUCUGCAAAAAUUCUUUCCAGGUUGUCAACAAGCUGUUCAUUUUCAUCCAUUGAUACAACGCUGUCGCGCGUCCUUCCAUAUGAAAAGAAACAAUCCGCAAACGAAGAGUUUUCGGUGUACCGUGGAAAUCAAAGAACUCCUCAAUUCGAAAAACCCACCCGUUUGGGUAAGAUCCAUCAAACUUACGCACCUCCAUCCUCAUAGAACGGAGCACUGGGGACAACUCAAUACCACUGGAAUUUACCUCAUUAGAAGAAGAGGAUGGGUGUGGUGGAUUAGAAACCCGACCUAAGUGAUUGGAAGACCCAUGGAUCUAUGAACGCAAAUCAUCAAAGCGAGAAUCUACCGUGGCCAUAUAUUGUUGCAGCGUUUGAUGCAAGGACAAUGUUUGGCUCUCGAACUGUUCUUGGAUCGUCUUUAAAAGUUCAGAAUCCGUCAUUACGAUAGCAAUGAAAGCACCAAUGAUACACCUCUCUGCAACCAAGGAUGUAUGGAUAAGAUUUGCACUCUUCGAGUGAGGGCUGACUCCAAAAGAAACUCAUGAAGAUGAGCAAGAAUGGGGAGAGAGAUUGAGAGUGAGAGAAGAGUAGAGAAAGUUAAAAAGAAAUGAUUCAUUCUCGAUUCCCCUUACACGAAUUAGUUAUGCUAUACAUAUAUUCCUCUGUCUUUUGGCGUUUAAAAGAAUACAGCUCAGCAUAACUUUGUAACAGAAAAUAUGACAGCAACAUAUACCAGCAAAAUAUAAAGCCCUAUCAAUUUCACUAUACGACAUAAUCUUUAAACCACCUAGGGGGCCUUCUCACUCUUGUGCCUGUGUACCCUUUCUUACGAGCUACUUCUACUUCAACUUGUGAUGAGGCUUCCUUCAUGGGCUGCACACAAUUAGACUCAUCGAUGGGCUGCCCUUCUUGUAAACAAUCCGGUUGAUCCAACUGAAUAUGGGGGGUUGUAUCAAUAUUGUUAUGAAGAAUAUAAUUCGAAAACUACUCGUAACAAGGACAAUAUAUGUUUUAACACAAUUAAGCUCAGACCUCUUUUGCCUUUGCAAUAGGGAAACAAGCGUUGGCCCACACCGCCAUGGAUAUUGCUUAGGUACAGUUUCGACUACUAAUUAAAUUAAUUUCAUAUAUGAAGUGUAAUUACUUUAUUUCCUCGAACCAACUACGUAUCUAACACAAAAUUAGGGACGGUAAUUGCAGAAUUCGCAUAUGUAAAGAAGGCAAGAUUUAUGUAUAGCCGUGAUUUAAUUUGAUAUUCUAUUUCAUUUUUUUGGUUUGUUUAGGAGACUUGCUCUGUAAUACCACAAGCCGCGACAAUUGCUCAUUGGAAUGUCCCAAAGGUUACUUUUCAAAUCCGAGCGUUGGAUACUGCAACCAAAAUCUUAGUAUGCACAAAAAUUCUCUCAAAUUCAUUAUUAUAGGUAAGUAUUGGAAUUUGCAGAUUUUAUCGACAGAAUAACUUACCCCAUAUAUAUAGGCUCACAAACUUAACAGACUAAACAGUUCCUUGGCAUAAAUCACCUCGAAUGUGCAUUAAAUAUUCUUAGCCUGAAGUGUUGCAGGUUGCAGUAGUGGGCUUGGAAUGUUGUUCUUACUAAUUGGAACAUGGUGGUUAUACAAGUUCGUUAAAAGAAGAAGAGAAACCCAGCUCAAGCAAAAUUUCUUUAAAAGAAAUGGUGGUUUAUUAUUGCAACAACAGUCCUCAUCAAAUGAAGGUAAUACUGAGAAAACAAAAUUGUUUACUUCAAUGGAAUUAGAAAUAGCUGCUGACAACUUCAAUACCAAUCGAAUCCUUGGUCAAGGAGUCCAGGGCACAGUGUACAAAGGAAUGUUGGCAGAUGGAAGAAUUGCGGCUGUGAAAAAAUCCAAAUUAGUGGAUGAGGGUAAUGUUGAGCAAUUCAUCAAUGAGGUGGUAGUUUUAACUCAAAUUAACCACAUAAAUAUUGUUAAAUUGUUCAGAUGCUGCUUGGAGACAGAGGUUCCUCUUUUGGUGUAUGAAUUUAUUCCAAAUGGAACUCUCUAUCGAUAUAUACACGACCAAACUGAGGAGUUCACAAUCACAUGGGAACGUUUACGCAUUGAUGUAGAAGUUUCAGGUGCUUUGUCCUAUUUGCAUUCAACUACUUCUAUUCCUAUUUAUCAUCGAGACAUCAAGUCUGCAAAUAUACUUUUGGAUGAUAAAUUUCGAGCAAAAAUUUCAGAUUUUGGGGCUUCUAGAUAUGUCACGAUUGAUCAAACUCAUUUGACCACACGAGUACAAGGAACUUUUGGAUAUCUAGAUCUAGUGUACUUUCAGUCAAGUCAAUUUACAAAGAACGGUGAUGUUUAUAGUUUUGGAGUUGUUUUUGUUGGGCUUUUAACUGGACAAAAACCUAUCCGUUCAACUGACAUCGAAGAAGAUAAAAGUUUAGCAGGGUAUUUUCUCCGAGCAAUGAAAGAGAACUGUUUGUUUGAUAUGCUUGAUGCUUAAGUUCUUAAGGAAGCCAAGGAAGAAGAGAUUAUUACCAUUGCUAUGCUUGCAAAAAGAUGCUUGAACUUGAAUGGGAGGAAGAGACCUACAAUGAAAGAAGUAGCAUUUGAAUUAGGGGGCAUUAGAGCUUCAAUCGGACCUCAAAAUUGUGAAGGCAUUGAUUUUGUGGGUGGCAAUUUUAAAACUGGUUCAUCUUCCACAGGGGCAAUUUUAAAUGCUGUUGCUUUUUCUGUAGAUGCUGACCCUUUGUUUUCAAACAAGUGGUGAUUAAAGGGAAAUUCUUCCCUUUGAAAUGUAAUUAUUUCAUUUCAAAAUAAAUUUAGUUGUGGACUUUUGCAUUAUGCUUCUCUUAUGGUUAAAAUUUUUCACUCUAGAUCAAAAUAUACAGAGUUUGAUGUUCACUUUGUAAGUAGUCAGUGGAGAAAUAAAUUUACAAGGUAGAUUCCAAAAAAGCAUCUGGUGGCAGACAUAUUUAAAGAUUUAAGAAGUAAACCUCUAAUGCUACCAUUAUUUAGGGGCCCUGUGCAUCAAGAAACAGAGGACCCUGCACUCGAACUUUGAAGCUGAAGGAGUUGGACAUCUCAGCAUCUGAGUCUGCAUACAAGUGGAACAGGAGAUGCUGACAUGACAUCCUACGUGGAACUUAUGCGACACAUAUAAUGAGUCCAAUUCGUUCCUAGUUCAUACGCUUACAUUGUAACCCCGUUCUGUGUUUCCAGUACCAUUGGUGAAUCAUCACUUCGUGCCAUUGUAUUGCUAAUAGCACCUUUGCCUUGAUUGAUUUUGCUGACAAUAUGUAGGUUGCAUUUGGAACUGAGGUGCUAUAACUUUUAAUCUGCAGUUAUUGUGGAGUAAAAGUCAUAGUUGUGGUGUACAAGCUAAUGGUGUUGGGUAAAUUUUAAUAGUUGUGGAGUGGAAGCUAUAGUGUUUGGUAAAUUUUAAUACAUGUAGAGUGGAAAUUGAUGAAUAUUUGUAAUAAUUAAUUUUAAAUAAUAUUAUUUUUAAUUAUUAAUUAAUCAAAUUAGUUUUCAUAUUUUGAAUUAUUAGAUUAACAUAUGAUUGUGUUUAUUACUUUGACAAAUUAAAUUAAUAUUUAAUUAAUCAAAUUUAUUUUUCUAUACAAGUUGUAAUAAAUAUUUUUUAAAACAAAAUAAUUUAAAAUUGAAAAUAAAUAAAUUCUAAUUUUACACAUUGAUUGAAGAAAUAAAUUAUACUAAAUAUGUCUAAUAAAGAUCAUACAACAUAACAUUAUAAAAUUAAAAUGUAAUUAAUUACAAAAUUCUUAUAAACAUUUCCAUUGUCAUGCCUCCAUUAAACUUGCAGCAACGCCAUCUCUGAAGAUUAUUUUAUCUUGAGUUAUGUUAUCGACUGUAUCAUAACUUUUUGUGGGAGAUGCAAUAUAGCUUAUAUGUUCACUAUUAUUAUGAUUUAGCUUAUCCAUUGUUUCAUCAAAAUGAUCAUGAUUUUGUGAAUAUCCUUUGAUGUAAUUAUGUAAGGCCAUGGUAGUAAUAACUAUCUUCACCUGCUUCUUUAAUGUAUGGCUUGGCAUAUUUUGUAAAAUCUUCCUUAUUUGUUUUAAACCCCAAAAGAACUUGUUAGAAUGAACAAUACUCUCAACAUUAAGAGAUUCAAAUGCCUCAUUACUCUUUAAAGGAAAACUAGAUGAGGGAAACCAAACAAGGUCACUUGUAGCCACUGCAUUUGAAUAGUUAAUUUAGUUUUUUCUCCAACUAUGAAUCAAUACCAUUUUUUUGAAUUCUAUUGAAUUGCAAAUUUUCAUUUAUUUUCUUUUCCUACCGGUCCUCACUUGCAUCAACUAUACUUAACUAUGAUUCCACCUUAAAUAUGUUUCCUAGUCAAUCAUAUUCUUCCACAAUUUCCAAUUAGUUCUAAGAGAAUCCUAUUUGUUUUUCAUUUGAGUUCUAUUAUAAUCCAAUCCAAUUUCUUCAGUGAAUUCCUUAAUGAAAUAUUUAUAUGCUUGGAAAGUAGCCUUACUAGCUGAGCUACUAGACCUAAUUUCGUACACUUACACCUAGAAUAAAGAAUAAUAUUUCUUUGUCAAACAACAAUACCGGAAAGAGAUUAAUUAAGAGCAAUACCCAAUUUUUUUAAAAACAAAUAACACUAAUUAAGGAUGAAUUAUGUGUAGCAGCAAUGAACUAUGUCUAACGUUACACACCUGUAACACCCCAGCCCAACUUUGAGGACAAAUCUAACCACAACUCACCUAUGUACUUAAAUAUCUCUUUACAAUCAACAACAAUUCAAGUCUUAAAUACAAUAUUUAAAUAGCAGGAGACUUUAAAGAUUUUGCACAAUCAUCUACCAUCCUCAAUUUAAGUCUUCUCCUCACUCAUCACGAAUAAAUCUUGACUUCUGAAAACUGAAUCACAAUAAACUAUAAUGAGUACAAAACUCAAUAAGUAAACUGGUUUUUCAUAUACCAAAAUAGAUACAUACUUAUAUACAAUGUAAAUAGAUAAUAUGCCAUGAUAUUUUCAAAACACUAUAAAAUAAAUUCAUCAAAAUCUCUUUCUGUUGCUUUCAAACUUUCACAUUUUCUUUCAAUAAAAUACAUAUCAUGCAUAAGGCAUUUUGCGCAAUACUUGGCACUUUGCACUAUGCGUUGCACUUCACGACACUCUGACCCUCGAGAGGUGGCCCCUACAUAGUCUCAAAAGGUGGCCCCCACACGGCUUCAAGAGGUGGCCCCCAAUGCAAACUCUCAUAAAACUAAGUAUAAUAGCAAAAUUCAUGUACAAAUCAUAAAAUUAUAAAAUGCAAUAUUAUUAAACAUACUUUUUAUAAAAGCUUUGCAUGUUCAUGCUUAUGCCAAUGAACUUUCAUGCACACAUAUGCCCAUGCAUAUAAUCAUGUUCAACACAUAACAACACAUCACAUAAACACAUGGGUAGAAACAUAUAAAUCAUAUAUGUGCAUAUAAAAAAUAGGUUUUUCAAACAUGUCAAACAUAUACAUAUUAAUUUAUUGUGAUCCAUUUAGAAGUUUAGUUUACUUACCUCUUGGCAUCCACAUGUAACAAAUGCGUAUUGAUAUCAUCAACCUAAAAAUCAUUUAUAAACUCUCAUUAGAUAUAAUCAAGUCCUAAUCAUAAUUCUAAUGUCCUCAAAUUUCUCAUUUUAAACAUAUCCUAAACUCAACCUCAAAUACUCUCAAUAUUCGAUCCCAAAACAGAACAACCCAUGUUCUCUGAUUUUUGAUAAUUUAUUAUCUUAUUGGAAAAGUCCCAAAUUUUCAAGAGUAUAUGCUAACAUACUAGAAAUUCAUUGAUUAAAAUUUCAUAACUUAAUUCUUUCAAAAACUAUUGAAAAUAAUUUACGUUUCAGAUAUCAUUAAUUCUGUCAAACAACUUUCUAUUUUAAACAUACUUGUUUUAAAAAUACAAAACAAUUUAUUGUUUUAUCAUAAAAUCAUGAAAAUUUCCAAAAUCACACUAGACAAAUAUAAAAGUUGCUAAUCCAAGUUUCAUAAUUUUGGAAGAAAUCUAGCUAUGGUAAGAUAAAUUCGUAAUUCAUGUUCUUCAUUGAAAUUAGAAAUUUCCAUGUUUUCAAACUUGAGUUUAAAAAUUGUAAUUAAUUGAAAUCUUAUCCGGUUAGCUUGAAACAAGUUCCAAACAUUCUUCUAGUUUAAGAUAUUCAAAAUCUAGAAUCAAAAUCAAUUUGUACAAAUGGCUAUGAUUUUCGAAAUAACACUCUGUCAGCAUAUUUUCUGUGAAAUCUUAAGUUCUACUUCUAUUACUACUAUCUAACCAUGCUUCUCUAUAACAAUUAACACACUCUCAGCAUAGUUUCUGUGAAAUUUACCUCCAAUUCUCUCUCGACAUAAUAUCCAAUUCAAAAGCCACUACUUUGAUCUCAUGUGUCGCUCAUGGCUAACAAAGAAGAAGACUUUCUUUUUCUUCUUCUCUUCUUCUUUUUCAUGUGUUCUUUUUUUUUUUAACUCGCUCUCUCUCUCUCUCUCUCUCUCUCACAUUAAUAGCAAAGGAAGGCAUCUAUUGGGGUAUUACGCGUUUACCCCUUAAAAGAAUUUCGUCCUCGAAAUUCGCUUUUAGUUAUGCUCAAAAGAAUCUAAACCUCAAAAUCACUUAUGACCAAUAAAUCCUUAUAAAGACUAAAAAGAAACAUAUCAUGCUGUCGUUGCGCUACUCUGAUGCCUCAAUUAUAUAUUUCUUGGAAACAAAAUCACAAAGCGUAAAGGUGUGGUAUAGACCUAAUUCUAUUCAUCCUUACAACAUCCUUUCCAAGCGAUGUAGGAUGUCACAAAUGUCCACACAUUCUUGAUUGGGAAUGCUCUAAUACCAUUUGUAACAUCUCAACCUAAACUCUAAGGACAAAUUAAUCUAACAAUAACUCACAUAUGUACUUAAAUAUCUCUUUACAAUCAACAAUAAUUCAAGCCUCAAAUACAAUAUUUAAAUAGCGGGCGACUUUAAAAAUUUUGUCAAACCAUCUACCAUCCUUAAUUCAAGUAUUCUUCUCACUCAUCACGAAUAAAUCUUGACUUUUGGAAAUUGAAUCACAAUAAACUAUAAUGAGUACAAAACUUAAAAAGCAAACUAGUUUUUCAUAUACAUAGAUACUUAUAUAUAAUAUAAAUAGAUGAUAUGCCAUGAUCAAUUCAAAAUAUUGUAAAACAAAUUCAUCAAAAUCUCUUUCUGUCGUUUUCAAACUUUCACAUUUUCUUUCAAUAAAAUACAUAUCAUGCAUCUAGUAAUUUACGCAAUGUGUGGUACUUUGGACUAUGCGUAGCACUUCGCGGCACUCUAUCCCUCGAGAGGUGGUGCAACACCUUGGCAAAUCCUACAUUGACAAAGCAUAGAAGAGAUGUUGGGUUUAUAAGAGGUGUUUCAUGACACGACACAAAAGCGUAUUACUCACAAGUAUAAGAGUGUCUAGUUAUAAUAUAACCCGGUGAGUCUAGGGUCGAACCAUAGGGAAUUUUAAAAUCUAGUUGUCAAUUUGUUAAACAGAGAAAAUAAUUCUGGGGAAAUAAAUUAUUUGAAAACAAUUUAAAAAUAUGCUAAGGUUACGGGAUCCACUCUCAGUAUUCAAACUAUAAUUUUUAUACUCUCUCAUUUAUAUUUUGCCUCACUUUUACUAGUUAAUUAUUAUAUCACUUAAUUCUAUGUGUGAGGAUAAAUAUGGAAUAAAGUACCCAAAUUUUGACAUGGAAGAACUGGUUGGAAAGGCUGUGCAUGAUUGUCAUUUGUCCAACUGAAAUUUGGGUGGUUUCUCCAACCAAAGUUGUAAGUUUGGGAGUAUUGAUUUGAAUUUGGCCUUUUGAAAUUGUCAACGACAUUUACUUGUUCAUGCAAACUUUCUCUCAGAGCUGGCAAAGUUGGACAGUCCUGCAUAGAAUGGUCAGUAGAAUUGCAAACAUAACGUGAAAUAUUUUGAACAGACUUUACAUGAUCAUUCCUUUUCAACUCUAAUGCUUCGACUUUUCUAGCUAAGAAUGCAAAUGUGGCUUGAAAAUCACGGUCUUCCCUAAGGUUGUGCAUGCCUCCACUAAAUGGAGAUGACUGAGGCUUACUUGAUGACUCAUAAGAACCAACUGUAUCCCAGUGUUGUGCAUUCUCUGCUAUAUAGUUAAGAUAGUCUAAUGCAUUUUCAAGACUUUUAUCCCUAAACUCACCAUUACACAUCAUUUCAACGACUUGUCUGCCUUGGGAUGUUAAUCCCUCGUAGAAAUAAGACACUAAUCUCCAUGUUUCAAAAUCGUGGUGUGGGCAAAUGUUAAGUAGUUCUUUAAACCUAUCCCAACAUUGGUAGAGGGUUUCUCCUGGUUUUUGAGUGAAUGUGGUGAUUUGUCUUUUGAAAGAAUUUGUUAUGUGGGGUGGGAAUAAUGUUUUCAAAAAUUAUACUUGCAUUUCAUCCCAAGUUCUGAUAGAUCAUGACCUAAUGUUAGAGUGCAAUUUAUGCACUAGUUUUGUAUUGUUUACUUCCUUUAAUAUCGAUGUUUUGUACUUAAUGAUAGUGAUUUACUUGUCUUUUAUUUUUGUAGGUGCAAUUCUAUUGAUUGGUGCUAAAAUUGAGCUACAAGAUGAUGUUUGAGGAUGAUUGUUUUCCUGGAGAAAUUAUGAGCUUUAAAAGAACUUUGUUGAUAAGGCGUGGGCGCGUGCUGUCAACUAAGGACUUGCAGUUUUUAUUUUAACGUGUUUUAUAUUUUUGGUUAUUUUUGUAAUUUCAAAUUUAAUAUUUACAUAAUAUUUUAGAUAUUAGUAUUUUAUUUUGGGAGAAACGCUAGAAGAGGGGGGAGAGAGAUUUUUGGAAAAAGAAGAAAAAGUAACCCUAAAUCUAAUUUUUCUCUUCUCUCUAUGAAGAACUAAACCUAUUAUUCUGGUUAAAGGUUAAUAAAGCUUUGAUUCAUCAUUAUUGUGAGAUCUUUCUUAUGCUUUAAUUGUUUUAUUGCUUUUUGGGUAUUUGUUUAUUCUCUAAAUUAUUGUCAUGAUUAUGUUUGUUAAUUAGAUAAUUGGCCACUACUUAAUUAUCAACUUAAUCUAUUAUCAAUUAAAAGAUUCAUCGUAUGAAGAUUUUAAUGUUUAUGACAAAUAAUAUAGUAGUGCGUUGUGUUAUGAGAAUAAACAAUCUAAUUUAAAUGAAGUAUCGUAUGCGUUUGUUGAUUAGGAUUUGGGUCUCUCUGGUUUUUCAGGCUGUCAAUUGAUUAAAUCCUAUGAUCGUAUCUAGGGUUGUCUAUUGUUUAGGGAAAUAACCAAUGGUCGUACCUUGGUUAUAGACUAGUUAAGGAGAGAUUGACUAUUAGAGAGUCUCAGUAGCUAUAACCGGUCUAUUCAUAAGUAGUAGUGAUUUAUAUUUGAAUCAAUGAUUAGUAGUUGAAUUAAGCUGAGUUAAUUCCUUCAACCAGAGCUUUUCCUAAUUUGAAUUAAAAUUUGAAUUUGCAUUUUUGUUAUUUUAAUUUGAUUUUUAUUAUUGUCAACAAUCCCCCCCAUUUUGCAUUUUACAUUUUAAAAUAAUUUAAAUAAUUAUCGAUAUCUGUGGACACGACCUUAUGAAGGUUUUUCGGUGAAUAUUGUGGAGGAAGUGACUCUCGAGAGUCCCAUUUAUGCAGAUUGAUGCAUGAAUGUGUCUAACCAAAGAUAUAAAACAAAGGCGCUUUUUGGGAGGAAACCCAAAUGAUUUAUUUAUUUUGAAUUUUGUUAUAUCUUUUGUUUUUAAUUUUGAUUCAGAUUGUUUAAAUAAUGUUUUUGCUUAUUUUGGCCAGAAGAAAUUUUUUGGUUAGGCGUGCCCACGUUUUAACUAAUAAGAACUUCUAUGAUUUUAAAGUACAAUGGUUUUAAGGCUUGCCCAUAUGCUUAUUAAAAAAGUACUUCUGUAAAUUUUUUUGGUGUCUCAAGUGUCUCUUUUAGUUUUUAGUUUCAAUAAAAAAAAUAUUUGAAAAUAAAAAGGUUUUUUAAAAAAUUUUAUUUGAUAAAAAAAAUUGAAAUUUUUUUUUCAGGUUUUAAUCCCUAGCGCGCAGCUCUAGCCCGCGUCUCCAGUGCAAGCAGCCGCGUCUGCACCAGCCCAGCAUCCUGCGCGCAGUACCAGCCUUGAAACCAGCACCAGCGUCUCCAGCGCGCGUUUGCACCAGCCCUGCAAGCAGUCCAAGCCCAGCAACCCGCACAGCCUCACUCUCCUCUGUUCAAAGGACCGCCGCUUUUCGCAUUCAAACAAAACCCGUGAGUGAAAUUACUGUAACAAUGCCAAAGAGGAAAGCAUCAACUUCCAAGUUAUCAACGUCUAAAAAAAACUCGUUGCAAAGAAAUCCAAGAUUGCCGCUCCCACUACGGUCCCAUGGAACACAGUUUCAGAUUCACGCCAAGCCGUGAGACAAAGAUCGAAAUAUGGAAAAGGCAUGAGUGUUUUGCCACUUGCUGAAUCUAAUCUCAGAGGGUGCCUCACAUUCACGACUCAACAAGAGAAAGAAAUGUACAAAGAUAUUUCCAAGUGAAAAAUACUUCCAGCUAAGUAUAUUCAUUACCCGACUCUUGAAAAAUUGAAUGUUAAGGAUAAUUUUAAUUCUUUGAUAGAUAAGAUUGGUUUGCGUAAGUUUGUUGAUGUUGAUUGUUUGGGUUAUGUUGAGUUGAUUAGGGAGUUCUAUGCUACUUUUCAAUUUAAUAUACCGAAUGAUUUUACUUUGCAUACUCUGAAUGUUAUAAAGUUUAGGUUAAUGCGACGAAAUUUUUCACAAUCUAUUACAGAUUUUAACCUAGCUUUAGGAUUCAUUGAUGAUGAUUAUUCUUCUAGUGAUGCAUAUUUAGGGACAAAUUGUGACUUUAGCAAAAAUUUUGAGCCUUAUGGUCUUUGGCGUAAUUUAUUUUUUGAUCACAAUGCCUACGACCCGAGUAAAUCAAAGAGCUCUUUUUUACGUGAUCCUGUUUUGAAAUGUGUGCAUCGGUUCUUAGCAUUAGGAAAUAAAGAUCACUCGAGAGUUUUCUCUAAAAUUGAGUUUUAUUUUAUUUGGUGCAUGUUAAAUGAUGUGAGGCCUAAUCUAGGUUUUUAGUUAGCAGAUCAAUUUUAGAGUGUGCUUAAACGGUAUAGGACUUUAUUUCUUGGUCCAUACAUUACUCUGUUAGCUAUAAACUUAUGUGUACUUGAUCUUGACAAUAAUGAUUUACAUCUUGCUUGCAAAAAGGAAUUUUUGGAUAUGUCUUUGUUUGAAAGAGCAGGUUUGGUCUAAUUCGAGGGGAGAUUUCAGUUUACUGAACCAGGACCCACUCAAAUUCCAAAGAAGCUUUAUGCUAGGAGUCGUGCUACCUCUGAUGACGUGUUUGGCGACGAAAUUGCUGCCCCACCAACUAUUCCUGCUACAUCUGCACCACCUUUGAGCAUUUAGUUAGAGAAAAUGGAGCACAUGCUAAACAAGAUGAAGCAGAAUUUGGCCGCAUACUUCGAGAGUGUGGGAUUUAUCCCACCAUUUCCGUCAAGCCCAUAAACGUUAUGUGGAUCAAAGCUCACAAUUCAGAGAAGUUUUGCCUUUAAUCUUUUAUCCUUAUGCUUUAUUUCUUUAUGUGAGCUUUGAUUAUCAUACAUUGAGGACAAUGUAAGUUCUUGGUGUGGGGGAGGGAUUUUUGCAAUAUUGAUAUCUGGAAGUAUUAUUUUCACUCUGCUCAUCUUUAAAUGAUUUUGGAGUUAGUAUGCUUCAUAUAUUAUUCUUAAUUUUUUUCUUUUCUUUUCUUUCUCAAUACUCUUUUCCCAUCUAUCUCAAAUUAUUUACAUCUAUUUUUAUUUUAUCAUACUCUUUCAUCACUCACAUUUUAUAUUUCACUUUUUAUAUUACUACAUACAUCUUUCUCGCUUCUUAUCCUCUUGACCUUUCCUUUUAUAUAUCACUCAUACCUUCUUCUCAUUCUACACCACUAUUGAUGGUUGUUUCAUUUGAAGAGUGUACAUGAUUUGAUGGCAAAUUUACCAACUUUGUGAGGAUUUGAGCCUAUGAGCAACCAUUUUGCUCUAAUUAUUUUUGUUAUGUGAAUAUCAAUCUUAGUUUGUUUAUUCUAGAACUUGCUUUGUUAUGCAUGUUGAAGCCAUAUUACGGGAUUUUAUGCAUUAAAAUGAUAAGGGCAAACCACUUUCCAUUUCUCUAUUUUCGAAUUUUUCUUCUUUUUCUCCAUCCGAAGACCUUUAUUUGUUAUCUUUGUUUGAGCCUUAACCAUUCUCUUCACUUGUUUUAUUAUUAUUACUUUUGACCAUCUAAUUCUCUCCAUCUACUUACCCAUUUUCCUUUUUUUUGAGCUCCAAUUUAAGGAGAUUUUUGGACUCAUUGUUUGGAUAUAUUUUGUAUAUAUUCUGUUGCUUUUGCUACAUUGAAUUAAAGUUUCUCAAUUAGAUCAACAAGCAUUAUGCUUGAAUUAAAUUGUGCAAGGUUCAUUUCUUUUGUUUGGUUCACCAUUACUGUGAAAAAAGAAAAAAAAGAAAAAAAACAUUAAAAAAAAGUGUUUAUAUUCUUGGCGAUUUGAGUAGAAAUAAGUGUUUUGAUAUUAUAAGGUUCAUUCAAUGAGUUCAUUCUUCUCGGUUUGAUCUCUUUUUCUUUCAUAGACCUUUCUUUUUUAUUUAACCCAUUUAACCUUGUUACAACCUUUUUAAGACCCUUAGAUUUUUUCAUUUAAUUCAUGUUUUGUGGAUUGAGAUGUGAUAUAUGAGCAAUCUUAUGGUAAUAGCAUUCUUUGAUUUGAUUUGAGUGCAUAAAUGAUACCCUAAACACUUUGAGUGCAUGAAGUGAAGUCAAUGAGAGGGCUAUUAAAUCUUGUUGCACUUGAAUUUUGAAUGGAUCUUCUUGGUGGAUUGAAUGCUUUUAUACUAGCUUAUGAGAUCCUAUACUUUAAAAUCCUUGUCUCUCGAAUGUUGAUUGACUUAAAUUCUUGAGGUAUGCUUGCUUAAAUUUGUUUUUGGAUGAGUUGAGAUGAGAAUUGAGUGGAGAUUUGGGAUUAGUCUUGAGUUAUAUGCUUGAGGACAAGUAUUAUCUUGGUGUGGGGGAAUUUGUUAGAGUGCAAUUUAUGCACUAGUUUUGUAUUGUUUACUUCCUUUAAUAUCGAUGUUUUGCACUUAAUAAUAGUGAUUUACUUGUAUUUUAUUUUUGUAGGUGCAAUUCUAUUGAUUGAUGCUAAAAUUGAGCUACAAGAUGAUGUUUGAGGAUGAUUGUUUUCCUGGAGAAAUUAUGAGCUUCAGAAGAACUUUGUUGAUAAGGCGUGGGCAUGUGCAGUCAACUAAGGACCUGCGGUUUUUAUUUUAACGAGUUUUAUCUUUUUGGUUAUUUUUGUAAUUUUGAAUUUAAUAUUUAGAUAAUAUUUUAGAUAUUAGUAUUUUAUUUUGGGAGAAAUGCUAGAAGAGGGGGGAGAGAGAUUUUUGGAAAAAGAAGAAAAAGAAACCCUAAAUCUAAUUUGUCUCUUUUCUCUAUGAAGAACUAAACUUAUUAUUCUGGUUGAAGGUUAAUAAAGCUUUGAUUCAUCAUUACUGUGAGAACUUUUUUAUGCUUUAAUUGUUUUAUAGCUUUUUGGGUAUUUAUUUAUUCUCUAAAUUAUUGUCAUGAUUAUGUUUGUUAAUUAGAUAAUUGGCCACUACUUAAUUAUCAACAUAAUCUAUUGUCAAUUAAAAGAUUCAUCGUAUGAAGAUUUUAAUGUUUGUGACAAAUAGCAUAGCAGUGCGUUGUGUUAUGAGAAUAAACAAUCUAAUUGAAAUGAACCAUCGUAUGCAUUUGUUAAUUAGGAUUUGGAUCUCUCUGGUUUUUCAGGCUGUCAAUUGAUUAAACCCUAUGAUCGUAUCUAGGGUUGUCUAUUGAUUAGGGAAAUAACCAAUGGUCGUACCUUGGUUAUCGACUAGUUAAGGAGAGAUUGGCUAUUAGAGGGUCUCAGUAGCUAUAACCGGUCUAUUCAUAAGUAUUAGUGAUUCAUAUUUGAAUCAAUGAUCAGUAGUCGAAUCAAACUGAGUUAAUUCCUUCGACCAGAGCUUUUCACAAUUUGAAUUACAAUUUUAAUUUGCAUUCUUGUUAUUUUAAUUUGAUUUUUAUUAUUGUCAACAAUCCCCCCCCCAUUUUGCAUUUUACAUUUUAAAAUGAUUUAAAUAAUUACUGAUCUCUGUGGACACGACCCUGCUUAAUCACUAUACACAAUUUAUUUAGAGUAGGUAUUUAUUUUUGCUGGCUUCGACAACCAUCACCUAAGAUUUUGUAGCCAAGUUUUAUCUUUAUCCUUUAGUAAGAAAAGAAAAAACUUAAGCCUGAUUAUAUUCAUGCUACAAUUUUGAUCAGUACAUGUGUUACAGACUUCCUCAAAUUCCCUUAAAUGCAAAUAUGGAUUUUCAGACACAAAACCAUGAAAAAUAGGAAGAAGUUGAAUGAUACCAGGUUUGAAAUUAAAACGUGAUGCAUCAGGAGGGAAAACUAUGCAUGAUGGUGAUCUUGUUCUAGUGGGAUGCAUGAAGUCUUUAAGGGUCCUAGGCUGUUCAUGAAGAUUUUGCAAGACUUGGUCAUUUUCGUACUCCGAAAAUUUUUUAGCUCCUAUGUCAGCCAUAUCUAAGGGUGGUGAAGGUGAUCUCCUAAUUAAUCUGCCACUAUUUGUACGAGACCAACAAUGCAUGCAAUGCUAAUGAUGUGUGCUAAACCAAUGAUGCAUAAAAUGCUAAAUGAAAAUUGUAGAAAAUAAAAAUAAACUGGAAAUUAAAUAAGUAAAAAUGCGAAAUAAAAAUAAACAAAUUGAAAAUAAAUUAGGUGGUGAAACCAGCCAUAAACAAAGAAAUUACAAAAAUAAAUAAAUUUGGCAGUGAAACCAACCAUAAACAAAGAAAUUAAAAAAAACAGUUUAGGCGGUAUUUUAAAACCAGCCAUAUAAUAAAACAUAAAAUUAAAUUAAUUAAUGUACAAGAAUAAAUAAACUGAAAUUAAAAUGAUAGGCCGUAAAACCAACCAUAUCAAUAAAUUAACAAAUUGAAAUUAAAAUUCUAGGCGGUAGAACCGAACAUUUAAAAUAAAUGCGGAAAGUAAAUUGUAGAAAUUUGGGAACUGAUUUGCAAAGGUUUUUGGGCUAAAAUGAAGUUUCUCACAAAUUUUAUAGAUAAUGUUAAAGUUUGAAAAGAGGAGGGGCACUGACUGAAGUUUUACAAAAAGAGAAUAAAAUAGAAUCACAGAAAGAUAGUAACGACAAAAAAAUAUUAAAAUAAACUAAAGUAAAGAUAAACUGACACCAAAUUUAGAAAACUCCGCGGUAACGGCGCAAAAAACCUGACACGACUUAAAAGUGUAUUACUCCCAAGUAUGAAAAUGUCUAGUUAUAAUAUAACUCGGUGAGUUUGGGGUCGAACCACAGGAAAUUUUAAAAUCUAGUUGUCAAUUUGUUAAACAAAGAAAAUAAUUGUGGGGAAAAUAAAUUAUUUGAAAACAAUUUAAAAAUAUGCCAAGGUUAUGAGAUCCACUCUCAGUAUUCAAACUAUAAUUUUAAUACUUUCUCAUUUAUAUUUUGCCUCACUUUUACUAGUUAAUUAUUAUAUCAUUUAAUUUUAUGUGUGUGGAUAAAUAUUGAAUAAAGUACCUAAUGUGCCACACUAUAUUAAUGUGUCGACAUUAUGUCAAAAUACCAUACAAAUCCAAAGAAAUUUAUAAAUUAACAUGACAUAAAAAUAACUAGAAAAGAAUAAAAUAAACUUAAAAACUCAUUUGAGAAAAUAAUAAAUUUAAUAGUUUGAAAUAUUGAGUUUCACCCUUCACUUCAACUUAAUAAAAUUAGUCACUCAUAUUGAAAGAAAACACAAUACUCUUUUUAUUUCUUGUACUUUUGAAAUAUGUUACAAAGAAAAUUGAUACAGACGAAAACAAGAAAAGAAAAGAAAAGAAAAGAAAAGAAAAGAAAAGAAACAAAGAAACAAAGAAAUUCUUCAACUACACCCUUAGCUAUCACUCUCUCUCAGAACUCGGCUCCGUCCCCCAAUGGCUUGUAUCUCCUUGCAUUUUAUAGGCAAGGGAAGCAUCUUCUUUUCUUUUAUUUCAUUAAUAUUAAUAUUUUAUUUUAUUUUUAUAUUAUAAAUAUGUUAAUUGAAAUGUGUGAUGGCCUCCUGACCAUCACCAACAUGCUUGCCAAUCCUUUUUUUUAUUUGUUUUAUUUUUAAUAACAUCUCCUCGAUUGAUGAAUUCUAAAUUGCUCCAGCUGUCUUUCUUUAUUCUCGCUUUUAACUCCAAUUCCAUCUUUAUUCCUGAAAAAUAUUUAUAAGGUAAAAAUUAACAUAUUGCAAAUUAAUUUAACAAAAAAAUAUAUUUGGGGAAUAUUAAAAUAAUUUAAAAAUAAUGAGCGCAUUAAUUGACACAAUAAGUGAAAUACUAAUAAUUUUAUCCUUAUUAAAUGUGCACUUUUUAGUGUCAAUCACACCCCCCAACCAGCCCCAACCUGCUUAUUGCUAGGUAUUAGCAAUUUAAGCGAUAAAAGUUUAGUAAAAUUCAAACUCAAAUUGAAUUUUUUUUAAAAAAAUUGUAUUUACUUCUUUCAUCAGAUUAAUGACAACAAUCAAAUAAAAGUAUACUCAUUAUCUUUAACCUAAAGAAAAUCACACCUGCACAAAAAAGUUAAGUAAAAUCACGUAAAAUAAUCAAUUAUCAGAGCUAUAUUAAUCAAGUCACUUUUAAGAAUGAUACAUCAAAUCUCAAAACCUCACAAAUAAGAGUGACUCUCUCAAAAAAAAAUAUUCCCAAAAUUAAAUUGUCACUCUAAACAUGGUAGAUUUGAGAGAAUAAUAAAAUAAUAUCACACGCUCUCACUAAGAUGAAAAAAUAAUGUCUACAGCUUAAAAAUAAAAUGAUCUCAAGUCCAAGGAAUUACUAGCAAAAUUUAUUUUUAUUUUUAUGCAUCACCACAUCUUUUAGUCCAUAUUACCAGCUUUUACUUCAGACUAUAGUUCCGAAAAAUCGAGAAGGACUUUUAUUAGGACGUAACGUAGGCUAAGAUUAUCGCUAACAAAAAAGGUAAUAGGGAAAACAAAAAUAUAUGUUUAAAAAAUAAGGGACUUUUUGGAGAUUACAAGAUUCUUUUUUUUUCUUGGAUUUGUUUUCUCUUUUUUUGUUUUUUUUUUCAUUUUUAUUUUUAUAUACAUAUCCUCUCUUUUUUUUCAUAACACCAUUAUUAGAAAUACAUAAUCAUCCCUAUUUUCAAACAUAAUUGGGUGGUGGAAAACAUAAUAUAUAAGGUGAUACUCCACAUUGGAGUGGGAUAAUAUAAUAGGUUAUCAAAGGAAAAGUUUUUUUUUUUCAAAAGCUCAAAGGGGUUAACUAUGGACUCUUUAUAAUAGAGUUUGAUACAAAAGGCUUAAACAAAUCAAAGAUAGCCUUCUGUCAUUUUUUAGAGCUCUAAAUAAUCUUUCAUAUCUACUAGUUCAAUGGACUUUUAGAUGCAGCUGCACAAACUUUCUUUUUUUCACUCUUUUUUUUAAUAAAAAAUAUUGAGAUCUUGUACAAUAAAUUGUGAAGCUGUAUAGGCAAACAUGGUUACUCUCCAAGGAUAAUAGGCUCAAAAACUCGCUUGAACUUUUCAUAACAUGUACAUUCAUCCAAAUAGCUUAAUCAAAUUUACUCAUCAAAUUUCUCAAUUUAUGUUUCAACAUGCAACGGGGAAAACAUAGUGUAACAUAACUCCAGGCCAACGAUAAUACAAAUACCAAAAUUUGAAAAUCAUCAUGUUAUCCAAUGUUAAAAGAUCAUAUUGAAAAAGAAAACUCUUUUUUUUUUGUUAAAGAAACACUAAAAACAAUCUGGACUGAUUACAGAAACUUAAGGGAGAUGAUUAAGAGAAAAAGAGAAAAAGACAAAAAACAAAAAGUUAGAAAACAAUUUUUUUUUUAAGAACAAAACACUAAAAUUAAGAAGAUGCGUUUCUAGAGAUACUACAUUCUAUAUUUUGAUAUCUUCGACUCAAAUUUUUAUCUAAAGUUAGUCUUUACAACACAAAUUAGUAAAAACAUCACCAGGACUGAGACAUUCCACAAUUGUCGACUAUUCCCUCCCCCCAACCUGAAGGAGACAUUGUCCUCAAUGUCUAAAGAAAGAAGUAGAGUUUAGAAGAUAUCACCCGGCCACUGCUGAAAAUAUUUACAAACAGAGAGUUAAAUCUAAUUUAUAAUUUUUACGAGAGUUACUGCCAUCGUCAUCAGUUGCCCAAUCUAACGCCAAAGUCAUGGGAUCUGGCUCUAAUUUGUAAGCUUGCAAAAGAUCAAGUAACUCAUUAGCAGUAGGAGCACAAAUGAAGAGUUUUUUCGCUGAGGGUGGAAUGAAAUAAUUUUUAAUUGCAUGAUUAAGAAAUGUUAUUAAGCCAUCAUAAAAGUUAUUAACAUUUAACAAACCGAUGAGUUCAAGAAGCAAAUGUAAUUAGCGCCUCUAAAGUUGCAAGAUCUCCUGGCAAGAAAAUGAAAGCAUCAACAUGAUUUAACAUUUCAAAUAUUCUUUCUUGCAUACCUGAGACAACUAACUCUUCUCCAGUUGGUGGGUCUGGUAGACAUCCUAAAGGUUUUAAGGUUUUUGGAAUGAUUCCUAGCACUUGGCUUCCUCGAACGAAAGCAGCUUCAGAGACAAGCUUUGAUAACCCUCGGUCAUCUCCUCCAUAUAUAAGAUGUAGUUUCUUCUCUACUAUAACACGACCAAGAUCUAUCGCUGCCUGAACGAACUCCUUAUACUUUCCAUAGCGAAAUCCAGAAAGCACACAAAUGUUCUUUAAUUGUUUGCUUGAAGUUGUUGCCAUUAGAAAAAUUAUAAAAAGAAACAAUUUGUGAGUGCUUGAAAAGGAGGUCCUAUUUAAAGAUCUUGGUGACGGACAUAAUGAUAUACAUUUGUAAAUGGGGUGGUGUGUUUAUCAAAUGACGCGUGAAGCUUUUAGCUUAAUAAUUCAAAGGCAUAUAGUAAAAAGAAAAAGCAAACAGUGAUUAGAUAUAAAAAAGACACACAAUAAUAAUAAUAAUGCAAAAUAUAAAAGAACAAUAAAAUAAAAGGAUAUUUACUAGUAGUUGUGAUUGUGGCUUACAUCUUCCUCUGGUUUUACAUCCAGUAACGGCUUGAACGCCCUCUGUGGGUCGAGGAUAGGCUUCCCAUCCAGUUUUCUUAUAAACUGGCAAAUAGGGUCUUUUAGGAACAACUUCCACAAAUUUUGAAUUUCACAUUGAACAUAUCCGCUCGGAUGUGUCUCAAGAGAUCGUAAGAUAUCAUCCAACGAUUCUUUACUUAUGCCAUCCUUAACGAAUUUGAUUUUAUCUUCAUGAUUUACAGAAACCAUUCCUAAAGUUUUACAACAUGGUUUUCUACAAGCAAGUCUUACAUAGUUAGGACAUUUAGAGCCAAGUCUCUUAGCUCUUCUUUUCUUAGCAAAUGUACUUUUACCAAAACCAGGCAUGUAGGAAAUGAAUGGAUCAGAAAACUCACAUGCCAGUCGGACCUUUGCUUCAAUUAACCGGCGAAUGUCAGCAAGAAUCCCAUUGAUCAUUAACAAACGCAGUCGUUCACAACGAGUUUUGUAAAUCUUCUUAAGAGCAUUUUGAGGGAGAGAAGGAAAAUGUUGAUGCAAUUUUCGUUGUAUUUCUUCCAUGCUUGACAUUGAGGUUUCAGUUAUUGUGGAAAACUGAGAAUACCAACUUAAAAUGUCACAAAGUACUGUUAUCCGCCAUUUAUAUUGGAGAGUGAAUCAAAACAAAACGAAUCAAAUCUGCAAAAUCAAAUCAAAAGUGAAGAACAACAACAAAAUAAAACAAAAACCCACAAGGAAUAUUACUCACCUUCGUCCUUUUAUUGAAUUUACCUCCAGUUCCAAUUGCAGAUUAUAAAUACCAUCAUCUAUUUUCUUGAGUUGUCUUUCUAGAUCUUUCACGUGGUAUACCAACUCUGGUUGUUGUAGAUCCCAAAUGGGAUGUGAUUUACAAAAUCUGAGCAAUUUCCUCAAGUGAAAUUUUACAUGUAAAAGUUCUUUAAAAUGUUCGAAAAUGAUACUUCUCAUGGAGGUACUCAUGAUAAGUAUAACAAUUUGGUGAGCUAAAGCACAAUUGUCAAACAACACACAAUUAAAAACAAUGCAAUGCACUCCAUUCAAGACAUAAGGAAAAGGAAAAAAUCAACAAUUCAAACGAUAAAGUAACAGUAAAUCAAAUUCACAAAAAGUUGAAAUGAAAAAAGCUUAAUUAAAAUUUGGUGGGUCACUCAAAUUGAUUUCGGUAUCUGCUUCACGCGGUUGGUAUUCCAGAUAUGGUUUCAAUCUUUGACCAUUAACUUUAAAUAAGGCACCAUAAUUUGGAUUCUCAAUUUCUACGGCUCCAUAUGGAUAUACAUUUUUUACAACAAAUGGACCAUUCUACUUUGACUUUAAUUUUCCUGAAAAUAAAUGAAGACGAGAAUUAUAAAGCAACACUUUUUGACCAAUGUUUUCCGAAAAAUUCUUUUGCCAUGAAAAAAUUUGGUUCUUGCCUUAAUAAUUCUGGAAUUCUCAUAUGCAUUAUUCUUUAAUUCCUCAAGUUCAUUUAAUUGCAAUUUACGCACAUUACCAGCAUCAUCAAGAUUUGAAUUAAAAGCUUUAAUGGCCCAAAAUGAUUUAUGUUCAAGUUCAACUGGUAAGUGGCAAGAUUUUCCAUAAACAAGCCGAUAAGGUGACAUUCCUAAAGAUGUUUUAAAAACAGUACGAUAUGCCCAAAGUGUAUCAGUUAGUCGAAGAGACCAAUAUUUACGGUUUGGAUUAACUAUCUUUUCUAAAAUUUAUUUUAUCUCCCUAUUUGCUAAUUUAAGUUGACCACUUGUUUGAGGGUGAUAAGGGGUAGCAACUUUAUGUGUAAUUCUAUAUUUCUUCAUUAAGGACUAAAGUAGCUUAUUACAAAAAUGCUUACCCUAUCACUGAUAAUGACUCGAGGUAUUCCAAAUCUGCUCAAAAUAUUUUCUUUUAAAAAGCGAAUCACAAUCUUGUGAUCAUUGUGCCGACAAGGAAUUGCCUCGAUCCAUUUUGAAACAUAAUCAACAGCAACCAAAAUGUAUACAAAUCCAAAUGAUGAUGGAAAAGGGCCCAUAAAAUCAAUUCCCCAACAAUCAAAUAUUUCAAUGACAAGGAUGGGGUUUAAAGGCAUCAUGUUUCGCUUUGAAAUAGACCAUACCAUUUGACAAUUCUUACACACUUUACAGAAUGCAUGUGAAUCUUUAAAUAAUGUAGGCCAAUAAAAUCUACACUGUAAUAUUUUUACAGCUGUCUUUUUUCAAGAAAAAUGGCCACCGCAUGCUUCAGAAUGACAAAAUUGAAAGACCCUACUUACCUCGUCGUCUGGUAUGCAUCUUCAAAAAAUUUGAUCAGAGUAGUACUUAAACAGGUAUGGAUCAUCCCAGUAAAAGCUUCUCACUUUUGUUAAGAAUUUCUUCUUGUCCUGGGAACUCCAGUCACAUGGAAUUUCACCUGUUGAAAGAUAAUUAACAAUAUUAGCAUACUAAGGCAUUUUGUUUAUAGAAAAUAAAAAUUCAUCAAGGAAAGAAUCAUUGAUGGGUGUUGUUUCAAUUGAAGACUCAUUCGUAAGUAUUGAAAGAUGAUCUGUAACAACAUUUUCAACGCCUUUUUUGUCCUUGAUUGUCAAGUUAAAUUCUUGAAGUAGCAAAAUCUAUCGUAUCAACCUUGGUUUGACAUCCUGUUUUGACAUUAAAUAUCUCACAACAACAUGAUCAGAAUAAACAAUAGUGGAUGAACUAAUUAAAUACGAACGAAAUUUAUUCAAUGCAAAUAUUACAGCAAGUAGUUUUUUAUCAGUUGUAGUGUAAUUCAUUUGAUCACUAUUCAAAUACGAACGAAAUUUAUUCAAUGCAAAUAUUACAGCAAGUAGUUUUUUCUCAAUUGUAGUGUAAUUCAUUUUAUCACUAUUGAAAGUUCUACUUGCGUAAUAGAUGACAAAGGGCUUACCUUCCUUUUUUUUUUACCCCGAACAAUGCAAACGGUAUAACCACUAGCAUCACACAUUAGCUCAAAAGGUAAAGACCAAUCAGGGGGUUGCAUUAUUAGGGCUGAUGUCAAAAGAGUAGUUAUUCAUUUGAUCACUAUUCAAAUACGAACGAAAUUUAUUCAAUGCAAAUAUUACAGCAAGUAGUUUAAUUAAAUACGAACGAAAUUUAUUCAAUGCAAAUAUUACAGCAAGUAGUUUUUUCUCAAUUGUAGUGUAAUUCAUUUGAUCACUAUUGAAAGUUCUACUUGCGUAAUAGAUGACAAAUGGCUUACCUUCCUUUUUUUUUUACCCUGAACAAUGCAAACGGUAUAACCACUAGCAUCACACAUUAGCUCAAAAGGUAAAGACCAAUCAGGGGGUUGCAUUAUUAGGGCUGAUGUCAAAAGAGUAGUUAUUCAUUUGAUCACUAUUCAAAUACGAACGAAAUUUAUUCAAUGCAAAUAUUACAGCAAGUAGUUUUUUCUCAAUUAUAGUGUAAUUCAUUUGAUCACUAUUGAAAGUUCUACUUGCGUAAUAGAUGACAAAGGGCUUACCUUCUUUUUUUUUUUACCUCGAACAAUGCAAACGGUAUAAUCACUAGCAUCACACAUUAGCUCAAAAGGUAAAGACCAAUCAGGGGGUUGCAUUAUUAAAGCUGAUGUCAAAAGAGUAGUUAUUUUUUCAAAAACUUGUUGACAAUCUUUAGUCCAUUCAAAAGGUUUGUCUUUUAUUAUGAGGUUACAAAGUGGUCUAGAUAUGACACUAAAGUCUUUUAUAAACCUCCUAUAAAAUUCUGCGUGUCCUAAAAAUGAACGGACUUCUUUAAUUGUCUUUGGUGAGGGUAAUUUUGAAAUGACUUCAACUUUGUCUUUGUCAACUUCAAUUCCUUUUGAAGACACAACAUGGCCCAAGACAAUUCCAGAAGUGGUCAUGAAAUGACAUUUUUUCCAAUUUAAAAUUAGUCAUUUUUCUUUGUACCUUUCCAAAAUUUUUUCUAGAUUAUCAAGACAUGUAUCAAAAGAAUUACCAAAUACAGUUAAAUCAUCCAUAAAACCCUCUAGACAAUUUUCAACCAUAUUACUAAAAAUGCUUAGCAUGCACCUUUGAAAUGUUGCAGGAGCAUUACAAAGUCCAAAGGGCAUUCUCCUAAAUGCAAAUUUUCCAAAUGGGCAUGUGAAUGUGGUCUUUUCCUGGUCUUCUAAGUCUAUAGGGAUUUGAUAAUAGCCAGAGUAGCCAUCAAGAAAGCAAUAGUAAGGAUGUCCAACUACUCUUUCGAGAAUUUGGUCUAAAAAUGGAAUGGGAAAAUGAUAUUUUCUAGUGGCAUCAUUUAAUUUUCUAUAAUCAAUGCACAUGCGCCAACUAGAUGGAAUUUGUGUUGGGAUUGGUUCACCUUUUUCAUUUUUUACAACGGUUAUUCCAGAUUUCUUUGGCACUACUUGUGUUGGACUUACCCAUUUACUAUAAGAGAUAGGAUAGAUAAUUCCUACAUCUAGUAGUUUAAGGACCUCAUUCUUUACCACUUCUUCCAUAUGAGGGUUUAGUCUUCUUUGUGGUUGACGGGUUGUUUUGGCAUUUUCCUCUAAGUGUAUUCGGUGUGUACAAAUUAAAGGAUUAAUGUCUUUUAUGUCUUUUAAGGUCCAACCAAAUGCAGUUUUAUGCCUUUUGAGUACAAAUAACAACUUACUUUCUUGAUCAUGCAUGAGCUGGGAAGAAAUUACCACCAGAUUUGUCUUCUGCUCUCCAAGAUAAGCAUAUUUCAAUUCUUCUGGUAAGGGCUUUAAUUCGAGCUCUGGUGCUUCCUCUUCGUUUGAUUCUUCAGGUUGUACCGUAUCUUUAAAGUUCGAUUGGCCAUCGUCACCUGUAGGUACCUGCAUAGAAUCAAGUGUAGAACAUAUGUUAGCAGUAUUAUAAUUUAAUUCUUUACUUGAUCCAAAAGAACCAGCAAAAUAAAUUUCCAUAAAGUUUGUAAAAUUCUCAUCCUGAAUGUGUUCCUCAAUGAUUGGCUUGAUAAGAUCAAUCUUCUCAUUCUCAUUAUCAUCAUAUUCUUGGUGGUGGGGUUGUUUACACAUGUUGGACACAUUGAGUUCUAAUGUCAUGUUGCCGAAAGAUAAAUUCAUUACUUUAUAUUCCUGCAAUUAAUUAAAGUAUUAGUAGUAGUUAAAAAUGGUCGACCCAAUAUAAUAGGAAUUUGUUUGCAUUCAUUAGCAAUUGGUUCCGUUUCCAAAACAAUAAAAUCCAUAGGGUAUAUGAAUUUAUCGACUCGGACUAAUACAUCUUCAAUUAUUAUUCUUGGAACUUUAAUCGAUCUAUCAGCAAGUAAAAGAGUGGUAGAAGUUGGUUUUAACUCAUUGAGAUUGAGUUGUUGGUACAUUGAGUAAGGAAGCUAAUUAACACUAGCACCAAGAUCAAGUAGAGCAUGUCCAAUUUUAUGAUCCCCAAUAAUGCAAGAAAUAGUUGGACAACCAGGAUCCUUGUAUUUCAAAGCACUAUUGGUUGAGAGAAUGGAACUUUCCUGUACUACUAGAAACGCUUUCUUUUGCACUUUAUGUUUCCUUUUCACCGUGCACAAAUCUUUCAGAAAUUUAGCAUAAGAAGAUAUUUGUUUAAUGGUGUCCAGCAAAGGAAUGUUGACCUUCACUUGUUUAAAAACUUCAUAAAUUUCUAGACUGUGCUUUGAUUUCUUUGGCUUGAUUAGUGCUUGAGGAAAUAAGGGUAGAAGGGGAGAGUUGGUUAUUUCUUCAUGGGUUAAAGGUUCGAAAGACUCUUCCCUAUUUUUUGAAAUUAAAUCUUUACUAGUUUCAUGAGGGUCCACAAUGUGUUUUUCGACCACUUUACCACCACAAAGGGUUAUAACCGAUUUGACUUGAUUUAUAUUUUGGUUUCCUGAAUUUCCCAUUUGAGGAUGUUGUUGACUCUUGGGGUUUGGUUCAGGUUGAGCAGGAAACUUUCCUUUUUCAUGCAUGGUCAGAGCAAAUGUAAGUUUGGAGAUAGUUUCUGUCAAAUUGGUUAAGGUUUGCAUUGUUUGGUUAUUAAUCGACUCUUGUUUUUCAAUAAACAAAUGCAAUGUGUCUUUCAGAGUUUUUCUUGAUGGUGGGACAUAUGGUGAGUAACUCUGGGGGUUUUGGAAAUUUUGACAUUGAAGAACUGGUUGUGAAGGCUGUGCAUGAUUGUCAUUUCUCCAACUGAAAUUCGGGUGGUUUCUCUAACCAGAGUUGUAAGUUUGGGAGUAUGGAUUUGAAUUUGGCCUUUUGAAAUUGUCAACAACAUUUAGUUGUUCAUGCAAACUUUCUCUCAGAGCUGGCAAAGUUGGACAGUCCUGCAUAGAAUGGUCAGUAGAAUCGCAAACAUAACAUGAAAUAUUUUGAACAGACUUUACAUGAUCAUUCUUUUUCAACUCUAAUGCUUCGACUUUUCUAGCUAAUGAUGCAAAUUUGGCUUGAAAAUCAUGGUCUUCCCUAAGGUUGUGCAUGCCUCCACCAGAUGGAGAUGACUGAGGUUUACUUGAUGACUCAUAAGAACCAACUGUAUCCCAGUGUUGUGCAUUCUCUGCUAUAUAGUCAAGAUAGUCUAAUGCAUCUUCAGGACUGUUAUCCCUAAACUCACCAUUAAACAUCAUUUCAAUGACUUGUCUACCUUGGGAUGUUAAUUCCUCGUAGAAAUAAGACACUAAUCUCUAUGUUUCAAAACCGUGGUGUGGGCAAAUGUUAAGUAGUUCUUUAAACCUAUCCCAACAUUGGUAGAGGGUUUCUCCUAAUUUUUGAGUGAAUGUGGUGAUUUGUCUUUUGAAAGAAUUUGUUAUGUGGGGUGGGAAGAAUUUUUUCAAAAAUUGUACUUGCAUUUCAUCCCAAGUUUUGAUGGAUCCUGACCUAAGAAUUUUUAGCCAAGUUUUAGCUUUAUCCUUAAGUAAGAAAGGAAAAAACUUAAGCCUGAUUAUAUUCAUGCUACAAUUUUGAUCAGUACAUGUGUUACAGACUUCCUCAAAUUCCCUUAAAUGCAAAUAUGGAUUUUCAAACUCAAAACCAUGAAAAGUAGGAAGAAGUUGAAUGAUACAAGGUUUGAAAUUAAAACGUGAUGCAUCAGGAGGGAAAACUAUGCAUGAUGGUGAUCUUGUUCUAGUGGGAUGCAUGAAGUCUCUAAGGGUCCUAAGCUGUUCAUGAAGAUUUUGCAAGGCUUGGUCAUUUUCGUGCUCCGAAAAAUUUUCAGCUCCUAUAUCUAAGGGUGGUGAAGGUGAUCUACUAAUUAAUCUGCCACUAUUUGUACGAGACCAACAACACAUGCAAUGCUAAUGAUGUGUGCUAAACCAAUGAUACAUAAAACGCUAAAUGAAAAUUGUAGAACAUAAAAAUAAACUGGAAAUUAAAUAAGCAAAAAUAUGAAAUAAAAAUAAACAAACUGAAAAUAAAUAAAAUAAAUAAAUUAGGCAGUGAAACCAGCCAUAAACAAAUAAAUUAAAAGAAACAAUUUAGGUGGUAUUUUAAAACCAGCCAUAUAAUAAAACAUAAAAUUAAAUAAAUUAAUGUACAAAAAUAAAUAAACUGAAAUUAAAAUGAUAGGCAGUAAAACCGACCAUAUAAAUAAAUUAACAAACUGAAAUUAAAAUUCUAGGCGGUAGAACCGACCAUUUAAAAUAAAUGCGGAAAGUAAAUUGCAGAAAUUUAAAGAAAUAAAUUCGAUUUGGGGACUGAUUUGCAAGGUUUCUGGGCUAAAAUGAAGUUUCUCACAAAUUUUAUAGAUAAUGUUAAAGUUUAAAAAGAGGAGGGGCACUAACUAAAGUUUUAUAAAAAGAAAAUAAAAUAGAAUCACGGAAAGAUAGUAACAACAAAAAAAAUAUUUAAAUAAAAUAUAGUAACGAUAAACUAACAUGGCUUAAAAGCGUAUUACUCCCAAGUAUAAGAAUGUCUAGUUAUAAAAUAACCUGGUGAGUUUAGGGUUGAACCACAGGAAAUUUUAAAAUCUAGUUGUUAAUUUUUUAAACAAAGAAAACAAUUGUGGCGAAAAUAAAUUAUUUGAAAACAAUUUAAAAAUAUGUUAAGGUUACGGGAUCUACUCUCAGUAUUCAAACUAUAAUUUUAAUACUCUCUCAUUUAUAUUUUGCCUCACUUUUACUAGUUAAUUAUUAUAUCAUUUAAUUUUAUGUGUGUGGAUAAAUAUGGAAUAAAGUACUUAAUGUGCCACACUAUAUUAAUGUGUCGACAUUAUGUCAAAAUACCAUACAAAUUCAAAGAAAUUCAUAAAUUAACAUGACAUAAAAAUUACUAGAAAAUAAUAAAAUAAACCUAAAAACUCAUUUGAGAAAAUAAUAAAUUUAAUAGUUUGAAACAUUGAGCUUCACCCUUCACUUCAACUUAAUAAAAUUAGCCACUCAUAUUGAAAGAAAACACAACACUCUUUUUAUUUGAUAUACUUUUGAAAUAUGUUACAAAGAAAAUUGAUACAAACGGAAACAAGAAAAGAAAAGAAAUAAAGAAAGAAAGAAAUUCUUCAGCUACACUCUUGGCUAUCACUCUCUCUCAGAACUCGGCUCCGUCCCCAAUGGCUUGCAUCCCCUUGUAUUUUAUAGGCAAGGGAAGCAUAUUCUUUUAUUUUAUUUUAUUAAUAUUAAUAUUAAUAUUUUAUUUUUAUAUUAUAUAUAUGUUAAUUGAAAUGGAGGCCCAUCACCAACAUGCUUGCCAAUCCUUUUUUUUUCUUUAUUUUUUUAUUUUUAAUAACAUCUCCUCGAUUGAUGAAUUCUAAAUUACUCCAGCUGUCCUUCUUUGUUUCCGCUUUUAACUCCAAUUCCAUCUUUAUUCCUGAAAAAUAUUUACAAGAUAAAAAUUAACAUAUUGCAAAUUAAUUUAAUAUAAAAUAUAUUUGGGGAGUAUUAAAAUAAUUUAAAAAUAAUGAGUGCAUUAAUCGACACAAUUAGUGAAAAACUAAUAAUUUUAUCCUUAUUAAAUGUACACUUUUUAGUGUCAAUCAUUUCACAUCCUAAUUGGCAAGACAAGUUUUUGGGGUGUAUGGGCGCCUCAGAAACAAAACCGUGUGGGUCUUGUUAAGGCCCAAACCUGACAAUAUCUUGUCAGAUCUGGGUUGGGACAGAACAGAUGGUAUCAGAGUGGGUCCGUGUGUCCUCUUGAAUGAUGGAGGCAAACGGCAAACCUCAGUGAGAACGUUGAGUUCCUAAGGGAGGUGUAUGUAACACCCUAGGCAAAUCCCACAUUGACCAAACAUAUGAGAGAUGUUGCGUUUAUAAGGGGUGAUCCACACCCUAAUUGGCAAGAUGCGUUUUGGGGUGUAUGGUUGCCCUAGAAACAAAACCACGUGGGCCUUAAAGUAGAAAUAUCUUGCCAGGUCUGGGCUAGAUCAUGUAACAACCCAAUUCUCUUAAGGGUAGUUUAGUAUUUUUAAUUUAUUAAUAUUUUUGUACCCUAGUAUAAAAAGAAUAAGAUGGCUUUCCUCUAUUAUUAAUAAGAGAGAGAGAGAGAGAGAGAGAGAGAGAGAUCAGCUAAAAAAAAAAGAACGAAAGAAGAAAAAGAGAAAAGUAAAGGAGAAGAAGAAAAAGAGAAAAGUAAAGGAGAAGAAGAAAGUCUUUUUCUUCAUAUAGCUAUGAGCAAUAAAUGAGAUCAAAGUAGUGUCUUUUGUAUUGGAUUUGUGCCGAGAGAGAAUUGGAGAUAAAGUUCAAUUUUUUAUCCUUGUUAAUUGCUAUAGAGAAGCAUGAUUAGAUAGUGGUAAGAGAAGUAGAACUUAAGAUUUUAUAGAAAAUAUGUUAAUGGUAUGUUAUUUUGAAAAUCAUAGUAAUUUGUACAAAUUGAUUUUGAUUCUGGAUUUUGGAUAUGUUAAACUAUAUAUCUUCGAGAAUGUUUUGGAACUUGUUUCAAGCUAAUCGGAUAAGAUUUCAAUUAAUUACGAUUUUUUAAACUCAAGUUUGAAAACCUUGAAAUUUCUAAUUUCAGCGAAGAACAUGAAUUACAAAAUUAUUUUACCAUAACUAGACUUCUUCAAAAAUUAUGAAACUUGGAUCAACGAUUUUUAUAUAUGUCUAGUGUGAUUUUGGAAAUUUUCAUGAUUUUAUGAUAAAACAAUAAAUUGUUUGAUAGAAUUGAUGAUGUUUGAAACAUAAAUUAGUUUCAAUAUUUUUUGAAAGAAUUAAGCUAUGAAAUUUUAAUCAAUGAAUUUCUAGUAUGUCAGCAUAUGCUCUUGAAAAUUUGGGAUUUCUCCAAUAAGGUAAUAAUUUAUUAAAAAUCGGAGAACAUGGGUUGUUCUAUUUUGAGAUCAAAUAUUGAGAGUGUUUGAGGUUGACUUUAGAAGAUGUUUAAAAUGAGAAAUUUGAGGAUGUUGGAAUUAUGAUUAGGACUUGAUUAUAUCUUAUGAGAGUUAUAUUAAUGAUUUUUAGUUCGAUGAUAUCAAUACGCAUUUGUUACAUGUGGAUGUCAAGAGGUAAGUAAACUAGACUUCUAAAUAGAUCACAAUAAACAAUAUGUAUAUAUUUGACAUGUUUGAAAAACCUAUUUUUGAUAUGUACGGAUAUGAUUAUAUACAUGGGCAUAUGUAUGUGUGAAAGUUCAUUAGCAUAAGCAUGAUGAAUAUGCAAAGCUUUUAUAAAAAGUAUGUUCAUUAAUUUUGCAUUCUAUAAGUCUAUGAUUUGCACAUGAACUUUGCUAUUAUAUUAAUGGUGCGUUUACUUUCUGGAUUAGGGAAUCAAAAUCCGAAAUUGAAAUCAUUGACAGCGUUUUCCCCACAAAUAGAGUCGAGAACCGAAAUCAGAAUUGUGGGGCCCACCACAAUGUAAAUGAGGAAUGGGAGACUCAUUCCCAAAGAAGAGGGUGGGAAUCAGUCUCCCAAUCCUGGGGCUAACCAUUUUGCCCUCCCCCAAGAUGAAAAAUGCCACUUUGUCCUCAUUUAUAAUUAAUCAAUAUAUUGUUAUAAUUUAUUUAUUUAUUUUUUAUAAUAAUUAUUAAUAUAAUUAUUAUAAUUAAGUAAUAUAAUUAUUACUAUUAAUUAAUAUAUUAAUAUAUUUUAUUAUAAUUAAUUAAAAUACUAUUAUAAUAAUUAUUAAUAUAAUUAUUAUAAUUAAUUAAUGUAUUAUUAUUGUUGAUGCGAGAUUCCGGUUCUCCUCGUUCUACGACCAGGAUCCCUGCUCGAUCAACUCUACCACGACCAGGAGGUCUCCUAGUAAUGCUUCUUCUCCGGAUGUCCCUGCACACACAGACAAGUCAGAGUACGCCGGUUGUUCUCCCGGCGCAAACCCUCCGACGCUCAAGUCAGAUAUGAAGGUUCGGGGAACGCUUGCCACAGGUCUUAUGGCUUUUUUGUGGUUUUCUCUUUUAUCUUAAAAAUGCUAACCCUUUUACCUUCGUUGGCUACCUUUUUAUAGGCUUCCUCUGAAUCUCAGUCUUCCGCUCUUUUCGAGACGGUAUGGGACUCCAACUGCUGCGUUAUGGGCAAAACAUGGGAUCUAGCGUGUUACGCCACGGUUCAGGGGAAAGCGUGGCUGCCACGGCUCUGUGAGACCUUGCGUGUUACGCCACGGUUCUGGGGAAAGUGUGGCUGUCAUGGCUCCGUGAGAUCUUGCGUGUUACGUCGCGGUUCUGGGGAAAGCGUGGCUGUUGUGCCUAGGUUCUCGUGCUGGAGAGCGCGUCUUGCCAACUGCCGUCGACCGGGUCUCCUCGCCUCUCGGUCUCUAGCCGGAAUGGCCUCAUGCCUUUUAUAGGAAUUGGCCUCGCGGACGACAACAUCGUGGACGAGCAGGAUGUUUCUGCUCCUGUUCUUCCACGCGCCAGGCUUUAACGGAAAACACCGGUGCGCAGAACUCCGCCAUCAGAUGUCUGCUCGUCAUUCCUGGUCCCUUCGACGCAUUUGUCCCAAACAGUAUCCCUCCCAAACACCGGUCCCCCAGUUUCUGGUGUUGGGUAAUGUAGUGGACCAGCAGUAGAAACUCGAUAGUACUCGCUCGCGUGGGUUUGGAAAAGGCUGCCAGGAGUCAUGUCGCAUUUAAUUGCGGACGAGGUGACGUGGCAGAAAUCCCCCCCUCCAUUUGAAUUUCAAACCGACGGUUACGGGAUUCUCGGAAUAUGCGUCAUUAAAUGCUGGCAGCCCAAGAGUUUGCUUCUCAGUAAGGAAACCCAAAAUCUUCAAACACGAACUCGUCAUUUUCUCCAUUCUUGUCUCUCCGGCGAAUGAACCUCGGCGCCAAAGCUGUCAUCCCUGUCUCUCUCUGACCGAGUCCCUGCUUCAGGUAUUUUUUCUAUUUUUUUUUUUUUUUUUUUGGUAUCGGUUAGUUGUAGGUAAUCUCCUUUCUCUCUGCUUUGCUUGAGGUUGUAGUUGGCGGUGGUGUUUUGGUUAGAACUUAGGAUAUGUCGAAGGGUAAGGAGAAGGUCGUUGAGGUUGGUGACGACGAACUAGGUUUUUUGCCUAGUCUGCCCGCUGAUUUUGCUUUUGAUCCCGGGAUCCCCUUAGAGCCCAUUAGGUCUAGUGUUGGUACUAGCGCUAGGAGGAUGUCUCCCCAAACAACCUCCUCGAGCGACAGUAGCGAUGAAGAAGGGUCUUCUGGAUCGGAGAACACUUUGAGUGAGGGUCAAGGGGAUGAUUCUAGUGAGGCGUCCCCAUCAGGAGCAUCACGACCAGAAGAACGGGGUACAGUAGGGGGUAGAGCCUUGUCGCGUGAUUAUGCCAUUGACUACAUGUCGUGUACGACCACGUUUGACGAGCUCAAUGACCUCCGACUUAGGUAUAGUAUUCCUGGUGAGAUACCUCUUAGGAUCCCAGGAAAAAAGGAUACACCUAGCCGGCCUCCCAGGGGAUACGUUACCCUGUAUCUGGAGAGCUUUAAGUAUGGGCUGAGGUGUCCUUUGCAGCCUUACUUUGCCCGGAUACUUAACGGGCUAAAUCUGGCUCCUGGUCAGCUGAACCCCAACGGGUGGAGAGUGCUCUCUGGUCUGUUCAUAUUGUGGGACAGAUGUUGCCAAAGCGAGCCCACGGUUGAUGAGGUGAAGCAUCUGUACCAGCUGAAGAGCAGCCCUAAAGAUGCCGGCUGGUACUACUUCCAAUCUGGUACCAAGAGCAGGAAACCCAUAACUGAUCUUCCAACUGGUGGUGGUGGGACUUGGAAGAGGAAAUUCUUUUUUGCUGGGGGUCCCUGGGGUCAAGUUGCACAAAUAGACGGGAAGGAUUGUCGCGUCCCACCCCGUUUCACGGUCCCAGGUUGCCUGCUCGCUUUAGAUGUCUUGUAUCCAUAAUUGUUCCUGCUGUAUUGGUUUGUCUCUAACCAAGUGUCUGUUUGUGCUGUAGUUUCCUGGGGUGUUCACUUCCCGCGACACGGGACAAGAAGACGCGAUAGUUACUUAUAANNNNNNNNNNNNNNNNNNNNNNNNNNNNNNNNNNNNNNNNNNNNNNNNNNNNNNNNNNNNNNNNNNNNNNNNNNNNNNNNNNNNNNNNNNNNNNNNNNNNNNNNNNNNNNNNNNNNNNNNNNNNNNNNNNNNNNNNNNNNNNNNNNNNNNNNNNNNNNNNNNNNNNNNNNNNNNNNNNNNNNNNNNNNNNNNNNNNNNNNNNNNNNNNNNNNNNNNNNNNNNNNNNNNNNNNNNNNNNNNNNNNNNNNNNNNNNNNNNNNNNNNNNNNNNNNNNNNNNNNNNNNNNNNNNNNNNNNNNNNNNNNNNNNNNNNNNNNNNNNNNNNNNNNNNNNNNNNNNNNNNNNNNNNNNNNNNNNNNNNNNNNNNNNNNNNNNNNNNNNNNNNNNNNNNNNNNNNNNNNNNNNNNNNNNNNNNNNNNNNNNNNNNNNNNNNNNNNNNNNNNNNNNNNNNNNNNNNNNNNNNNNNNNNNNNNNNNNNNNNNNNNNNNNNNNNNNNNNNNNNNNNNNNNNNNNNNNNNNNNNNNNNNNNNNNNNNNNNNNNNNNNNNNNNNNNNNNNNNNNNNNNNNNNNNNNNNNNNNNNNNNNNNNNNNNNNNNNNNNNNNNNNNNNNNNNNNNNNNNNNNNNNNNNNNNNNNNNNNNNNNNNNNNNNNNNNNNNNNNNNNNNNNNNNNNNNNNNNNNNNNNNNNNNNNNNNNNNNNNNNNNNNNNNNNNNNNNNNNNNNNNNNNNNNNNNNNNNNNNNNNNNNNNNNNNNNNNNNNNNNNNNNNNNNNNNNNNNNNNNNNNNNNNNNNNNNNNNNNNNNNNNNNNNNNNNNNNNNNNNNNNNNNNNNNNNNNNNNNNNNNNNNNNNNNNNNNNNNNNNNNNNNNNNNNNNNNNNNNNNNNNNNNNNNNNNNNNNNNNNNNNNNNNNNNNNNNNNNNNNNNNNNNNNNNNNNNNNNNNNNNNNNNNNNNNNNNNNNNNNNNNNNNNNNNNNNNNNNNNNNNNNNNNNNNNNNNNNNNNNNNNNNNNNNNNNNNNNNNNNNNNNNNNNNNNNNNNNNNNNNNNNNNNNNNNNNNNNNNNNNNNNNNNNNNNNNNNNNNNNNNNNNNNNNNNNNNNNNNNNNNNNNNNNNNNNNNNNNNNNNNNNNNNNNNNNNNNNNNNNNNNNNNNNNNNNNNNNNNNNNNNNNNNNNNNNNNNNNNNNNNNNNNNNNNNNNNNNNNNNNNNNNNNNNNNNNNNNNNNNNNNNNNNNNNNNNNNNNNNNNNNNNNNNNNNNNNNNNNNNNNNNNNNNNNNNNNNNNNNNNNNNNNNNNNNNNNNNNNNNNNNNNNNNNNNNNNNNNNNNNNNNNNNNNNNNNNNNNNNNNNNNNNNNNNNNNNNNNNNNNNNNNNNNNNNNNNNNNNNNNNNNNNNNNNNNNNNNNNNNNNNNNNNNNNNNNNNNNNNNNNNNNNNNNNNNNNNNNNNNNNNNNNNNNNNNNNNNNNNNNNNNNNNNNNNNNNNNNNNNNNNNNNNNNNNNNNNNNNNNNNNNNNNNNNNNNNNNNNNNNNNNNNNNNNNNNNNNNNNNNNNNNNNNNNNNNNNNNNNNNNNNNNNNNNNNNNNNNNNNNNNNNNNNNNNNNNNNNNNNNNNNNNNNNNNNNNNNNNNNNNNNNNNNNNNNNNNNNNNNNNNNNNNNNNNNNNNNNNNNNNNNNNNNNNNNNNNNNNNNNNNNNNNNNNNNNNNNNNNNNNNNNNNNNNNNNNNNNNNNNNNNNNNNNNNNNNNNNNNNNNNNNNNNNNNNNNNNNNNNNNNNNNNNNNNNNNNNNNNNNNNNNNNNNNNNNNNNNNNNNNNNNNNNNNNNNNNNNNNNNNNNNNNNNNNNNNNNNNNNNNNNNNNNNNNNNNNNNNNNNNNNNNNNNNNNNNNNNNNNNNNNNNNNNNNNNNNNNNNNNNNNNNNNNNNNNNNNNNNNNNNNNNNNNNNNNNNNNNNNNNNNNNNNNNNNNNNNNNNNNNNNNNNNNNNNNNNNNNNNNNNNNNNNNNNNNNNNNNNNNNNNNNNNNNNNNNNNNNNNNNNNNNNNNNNNNNNNNNNNNNNNNNNNNNNNNNNNNNNNNNNNNNNNNNNNNNNNNNNNNNNNNNNNNNNNNNNNNNNNNNNNNNNNNNNNNNNNNNNNNNNNNNNNNNNNNNNNNNNNNNNNNNNNNNNNNNNNNNNNNNNNNNNNNNNNNNNNNNNNNNNNNNNNNNNNNNNNNNNNNNNNNNNNNNNNNNNNNNNNNNNNNNNNNNNNNNNNNNNNNNNNNNNNNNNNNNNNNNNNNNNNNNNNNNNNNNNNNNNNNNNNNNNNNNNNNNNNNNNNNNNNNNNNNNNNNNNNNNNNNNNNNNNNNNNNNNNNNNNNNNNNNNNNNNNNNNNNNNNNNNNNNNNNNNNNNNNNNNNNNNNNNNNNNNNNNNNNNNNNNNNNNNNNNNNNNNNNNNNNNNNNNNNNNNNNNNNNNNNNNNNNNNNNNNNNNNNNNNNNNNNNNNNNNNNNNNNNNNNNNNNNNNNNNNNNNNNNNNNNNNNNNNNNNNNNNNNNNNNNNNNNNNNNNNNNNNNNNNNNNNNNNNNNNNNNNNNNNNNNNNNNNNNNNNNNNNNNNNNNNNNNNNNNNNNNNNNNNNNNNNNNNNNNNNNNNNNNNNNNNNNNNNNNNNNNNNNNNNNNNNNNNNNNNNNNNNNNNNNNNNNNNNNNNNNNNNNNNNNNNNNNNNNNNNNNNNNNNNNNNNNNNNNNNNNNNNNNNNNNNNNNNNNNNNNNNNNNNNNNNNNNNNNNNNNNNNNNNNNNNNNNNNNNNNNNNNNNNNNNNNNNNNNNNNNNNNNNNNNNNNNNNNNNNNNNNNNNNNNNNNNNNNNNNNNNNNNNNNNNNNNNNNNNNNNNNNNNNNNNNNNNNNNNNNNNNNNNNNNNNNNNNNNNNNNNNNNNNNNNNNNNNNNNNNNNNNNNNNNNNNNNNNNNNNNNNNNNNNNNNNNNNNNNNNNNNNNNNNNNNNNNNNNNNNNNNNNNNNNNNNNNNNNNNNNNNNNNNNNNNNNNNNNNNNNNNNNNNNNNNNNNNNNNNNNNNNNNNNNNNNNNNNNNNNNNNNNNNNNNNNNNNNNNNNNNNNNNNNNNNNNNNNNNNNNNNNNNNNNNNNNNNNNNNNNNNNNNNNNNNNNNNNNNNNNNNNNNNNNNNNNNNNNNNNNNNNNNNNNNNNNNNNNNNNNNNNNNNNNNNNNNNNNNNNNNNNNNNNNNNNNNNNNNNNNNNNNNNNNNNNNNNNNNNNNNNNNNNNNNNNNNNNNNNNNNNNNNNNNNNNNNNNNNNNNNNNNNNNNNNNNNNNNNNNNNNNNNNNNNNNNNNNNNNNNNNNNNNNNNNNNNNNNNNNNNNNNNNNNNNNNNNNNNNNNNNNNNNNNNNNNNNNNNNNNNNNNNNNNNNNNNNNNNNNNNNNNNNNNNNNNNNNNNNNNNNNNNNNNNNNNNNNNNNNNNNNNNNNNNNNNNNNNNNNNNNNNNNNNNNNNNNNNNNNNNNNNNNNNNNNNNNNNNNNNNNNNNNNNNNNNNNNNNNNNNNNNNNNNNNNNNNNNNNNNNNNNNNNNNNNNNNNNNNNNNNNNNNNNNNNNNNNNNNNNNNNNNNNNNNNNNNNNNNNNNNNNNNNNNNNNNNNNNNNNNNNNNNNNNNNNNNNNNNNNNNNNNNNNNNNNNNNNNNNNNNNNNNNNNNNNNNNNNNNNNNNNNNNNNNNNNNNNNNNNNNNNNNNNNNNNNNNNNNNNNNNNNNNNNNNNNNNNNNNNNNNNNNNNNNNNNNNNNNNNNNNNNNNNNNNNNNNNNNNNNNNNNNNNNNNNNNNNNNNNNNNNNNNNNNNNNNNNNNNNNNNNNNNNNNNNNNNNNNNNNNNNNNNNNNNNNNNNNNNNNNNNNNNNNNNNNNNNNNNNNNNNNNNNNNNNNNNNNNNNNNNNNNNNNNNNNNNNNNNNNNNNNNNNNNNNNNNNNNNNNNNNNNNNNNNNNNNNNNNNNNNNNNNNNNNNNNNNNNNNNNNNNNNNNNNNNNNNNNNNNNNNNNNNNNNNNNNNNNNNNNNNNNNNNNNNNNNNNNNNNNNNNNNNNNNNNNNNNNNNNNNNNNNNNNNNNNNNNNNNNNNNNNNNNNNNNNNNNNNNNNNNNNNNNNNNNNNNNNNNNNNNNNNNNNNNNNNNNNNNNNNNNNNNNNNNNNNNNNNNNNNNNNNNNNNNNNNNNNNNNNNNNNNNNNNNNNNNNNNNNNNNNNNNNNNNNNNNNNNNNNNNNNNNNNNNNNNNNNNNNNNNNNNNNNNNNNNNNNNNNNNNNNNNNNNNNNNNNNNNNNNNNNNNNNNNNNNNNNNNNNNNNNNNNNNNNNNNNNNNNNNNNNNNNNNNNNNNNNNNNNNNNNNNNNNNNNNNNNNNNNNNNNNNNNNNNNNNNNNNNNNNNNNNNNNNNNNNNNNNNNNNNNNNNNNNNNNNNNNNNNNNNNNNNNNNNNNNNNNNNNNNNNNNNNNNNNNNNNNNNNNNNNNNNNNNNNNNNNNNNNNNNNNNNNNNNNNNNNNNNNNNNNNNNNNNNNNNNNNNNNNNNNNNNNNNNNNNNNNNNNNNNNNNNNNNNNNNNNNNNNNNNNNNNNNNNNNNNNNNNNNNNNNNNNNNNNNNNNNNNNNNNNNNNNNNNNNNNNNNNNNNNNNNNNNNNNNNNNNNNNNNNNNNNNNNNNNNNNNNNNNNNNNNNNNNNNNNNNNNNNNNNNNNNNNNNNNNNNNNNNNNNNNNNNNNNNNNNNNNNNNNNNNNNNNNNNNNNNNNNNNNNNNNNNNNNNNNNNNNNNNNNNNNNNNNNNNNNNNNNNNNNNNNNNNNNNNNNNNNNNNNNNNNNNNNNNNNNNNNNNNNNNNNNNNNNNNNNNNNNNNNNNNNNNNNNNNNNNNNNNNNNNNNNNNNNNNNNNNNNNNNNNNNNNNNNNNNNNNNNNNNNNNNNNNNNNNNNNNNNNNNNNNNNNNNNNNNNNNNNNNNNNNNNNNNNNNNNNNNNNNNNNNNNNNNNNNNNNNNNNNNNNNNNNNNNNNNNNNNNNNNNNNNNNNNNNNNNNNNNNNNNNNNNNNNNNNNNNNNNNNNNNNNNNNNNNNNNNNNNNNNNNNNNNNNNNNNNNNNNNNNNNNNNNNNNNNNNNNNNNNNNNNNNNNNNNNNNNNNNNNNNNNNNNNNNNNNNNNNNNNNNNNNNNNNNNNNNNNNNNNNNNNNNNNNNNNNNNNNNNNNNNNNNNNNNNNNNNNNNNNNNNNNNNNNNNNNNNNNNNNNNNNNNNNNNNNNNNNNNNNNNNNNNNNNNNNNNNNNNNNNNNNNNNNNNNNNNNNNNNNNNNNNNNNNNNNNNNNNNNNNNNNNNNNNNNNNNNNNNNNNNNNNNNNNNNNNNNNNNNNNNNNNNNNNNNNNNNNNNNNNNNNNNNNNNNNNNNNNNNNNNNNNNNNNNNNNNNNNNNNNNNNNNNNNNNNNNNNNNNNNNNNNNNNNNNNNNNNNNNNNNNNNNNNNNNNNNNNNNNNNNNNNNNNNNNNNNNNNNNNNNNNNNNNNNNNNNNNNNNNNNNNNNNNNNNNNNNNNNNNNNNNNNNNNNNNNNNNNNNNNNNNNNNNNNNNNNNNNNNNNNNNNNNNNNNNNNNNNNNNNNNNNNNNNNNNNNNNNNNNNNNNNNNNNNNNNNNNNNNNNNNNNNNNNNNNNNNNNNNNNNNNNNNNNNNNNNNNNNNNNNNNNNNNNNNNNNNNNNNNNNNNNNNNNNNNNNNNNNNNNNNNNNNNNNNNNNNNNNNNNNNNNNNNNNNNNNNNNNNNNNNNNNNNNNNNNNNNNNNNNNNNNNNNNNNNNNNNNNNNNNNNNNNNNNNNNNNNNNNNNNNNNNNNNNNNNNNNNNNNNNNNNNNNNNNNNNNNNNNNNNNNNNNNNNNNNNNNNNNNNNNNNNNNNNNNNNNNNNNNNNNNNNNNNNNNNNNNNNNNNNNNNNNNNNNNNNNNNNNNNNNNNNNNNNNNNNNNNNNNNNNNNNNNNNNNNNNNNNNNNNNNNNNNNNNNNNNNNNNNNNNNNNNNNNNNNNNNNNNNNNNNNNNNNNNNNNNNNNNNNNNNNNNNNNNNNNNNNNNNNNNNNNNNNNNNNNNNNNNNNNNNNNNNNNNNNNNNNNNNNNNNNNNNNNNNNNNNNNNNNNNNNNNNNNNNNNNNNNNNNNNNNNNNNNNNNNNNNNNNNNNNNNNNNNNNNNNNNNNNNNNNNNNNNNNNNNNNNNNNNNNNNNNNNNNNNNNNNNNNNNNNNNNNNNNNNNNNNNNNNNNNNNNNNNNNNNNNNNNNNNNNNNNNNNNNNNNNNNNNNNNNNNNNNNNNNNNNNNNNNNNNNNNNNNNNNNNNNNNNNNNNNNNNNNNNNNNNNNNNNNNNNNNNNNNNNNNNNNNNNNNNNNNNNNNNNNNNNNNNNNNNNNNNNNNNNNNNNNNNNNNNNNNNNNNNNNNNNNNNNNNNNNNNNNNNNNNNNNNNNNNNNNNNNNNNNNNNNNNNNNNNNNNNNNNNNNNNNNNNNNNNNNNNNNNNNNNNNNNNNNNNNNNNNNNNNNNNNNNNNNNNNNNNNNNNNNNNNNNNNNNNNNNNNNNNNNNNNNNNNNNNNNNNNNNNNNNNNNNNNNNNNNNNNNNNNNNNNNNNNNNNNNNNNNNNNNNNNNNNNNNNNNNNNNNNNNNNCUACUAGCUGAUCGAUCUUUGGUAAAGGGAAGCUGUCUUUUGGGCACGCCUUAUUGAGGUCUGUGAAAUCCACACACAUCCUCCACUUGCCGUUCGCCUUCUUUACCAACACCACGUUCGAUAUCCACUCUGGGUAAUUAACUUCCCGAAUGAACCCUGCUCUCAGAAGCUUCUCCACCUCAUCACUUACAGCCUCAUACCUCUCCUGGUUGAAGCACCUCCUCUUCUGCCUUACUGCCCGAGCACCUUUCUUUAUUGCCAGCCUAUGACAUGCUACCUCUGGGUCAAUCCCUGGCAUGUCCUCAUGUGUCCAGGCAAACACGUCGGCAUGAGCCUGUAAGCAUUUCACCAACUCCUGCUUUUGCUCUCCCUCAAGUCUCGACCCGAUUCUGAUCGUCUUUCCCGGGUUCUCCGGUCCCAUGCUUACUGUUUCCAGAUCCUCUACGGGUUCUUGUCUGCCAGUCUUGUUUUCCACUCGGGUAUCGAGGGAUGUUAUCUGCAUCGCCUCCCUUGCUGCCGAGGAGUAGCAGCUUCUUGCGAUCCUCUGGUCUCCUCGUACCACUCCGACUACCCCAUUCACCCGGUACUUUAGAGACAGAUAAUGGUUGGACAGCACCGCUUUGCUCAUCCUUAAAAAUGGCCGACCCAGGAUCAUCUGGUAAGGACCUUCCUCGUCCACUACGACGAAGUCCAGUAUCAUUGUUCUUUCUGACGGGGGGCUCCCGAUUGUGAUAGGCAGUUCGACCACGCCCAGAGGGACCAGCUUCCCUCCUCCGAACCCCUUCAAGGAGGUGUUGGUGUAUUCCAACUUCCGGUCGGCUAUUCCCAUCUCUUCCAAAGUUGAUUUAAAUAGCACAUCAACUGAGCUCCCCGUAUCAACCAGUAUCCGGUCAAACUUCUUGCUAGCGAUCGUGGCCUUGAUGACUAAAGCGUCCUCGUGGGGGUAUAGAAUCCCUUCCUCAUCCUCAUCCGUCCACAUGAUUGGCACUUGCCUGACCCUUGCUCGUUUGGCUGCUGGGGUGUUGAAGAGUAUCUCUUUACUGGUCAUGGCGUAUCUGGCAUAAUUUUUUCUCGAUCUGUUCGAAUCUCCAGCCAACGUUGGGCCCCCAGCUAUCACCCUCGCUGCGGGCGGCUCGCGUCUCAAGAUUCCAUCACUCUGCUCCCCUUCAUCCAUGGUGGCCACCAUCGGGAAAGUCCCAUCCAUAAACUCGUCCAGGUACCGAUUUCUCACCAAAUCUUCGACCUGGGUCUUGAGAUCUCUACACUCUGCUGUGGUAUGGCCAUGGGUGCCAUGGAACUUACAAUAACGUCCUCUAUCCCUCCUGUUGGGUAGCUUUGUUAUUGGUGUGGGGAGGUGCAGCAGCCCUCGACCCUUUAUGGCCUCGUACACCUCAUCCAGGGGCAUCUUCAAGGGAGUGUACCGCCCAUAGUCCUGGUUCUGGUCGACCAGAUGCACUGCUCUUUCUCUGUUUGCCCCACUGUGAGUUGGGGGCGGUGGGAGUGCUUCUGGUCUGCUCGUCCUGCUACCGUGGGAAUGUUGAUGAAGGUCGCCGGAUGCCGAAUCAUGUCUUCUCCAAGGCUCCCUAGCUGGGGAGCGAGGAGGUGGCGCCCUGCUGCGCUGAUACUGUGGCGGCCUCUGAUGAGGCUGGUAAGCAAUUACCCUACCUCCUGCUCCACUACCGGAGAUCUGGUGGUCCCUCCUCCUGUUUGGUCCAUUAGUUGGUAAUGCUUUCUUCUCUUUCCUCCCUAACCCUUCCAACUGGUCUGUCUUGAUCCGUGCAGCCUUCUCCUCCUCAAUCUCGAUGUCUCUUUUAGCCUGUUCGUAUGCGGCUGCAUACGUUUGAAUAGCUGGGCUUCUCAAAUUGUACCACAGCCUUCCUAUCUUCACCCCUUCUUUCAGUCCCCUUAACGCCUGAGGGUGGUUGAAGGCUCCCAAGUCGAGGACAGCCCGAUGAAACCUCUUGAUGAAUUCCCGAAGGGUUUCUUGCUCCCCCUGUUUCAUGCUCUUCAGCUCCAUCAUGUCAUCUUCCGGCGACAUUGCCCCACUAAACUGCUCUGCGAAUUCCUGGCACAUCUGCUCGAAGGUUUUUAUGCUGCCCCGAGGAAGUUUCCUGUACCAUUCUCGUGCACGUCCCUCAAGGGAUAGUGGGAACACCCUGCACCUUUGGGAUGGAGAUAAUCCCUGGACCCCCGUUAAGUCGUUGAAGCGCUCUAUGUGCACCAGCGGGUCAGUUCUUCCCGAGUAUCUGAGGUCGGGGAGGCGGAAAUCUCUUGGAAUAACUGCCCUCAUGAUCUCUGCUGCGAGCGGUGAUUCCCCGUCCAGCAUUAUCCUCCAACCAGGGGCUCUGUUCCUCCCUUGCAUGUCAUCAAUUAUUUGCGCUAGCCUUCGCACUUCCUCCUCCAGCUGUCCUGCGCGACCAGGGUCGCGCGCUGCAGCUUGAUCCCGCUCUCGCUCUGCAUCAUGUAAGUGUUGCCUCAGUUCUGUUUCCUCUGUGUUCACCACCCCGUCGCCCCCGUCACAAGUCUGUCUUACCGGGGACUGCUCUCUUUCUCUAUGAAAUUCUCCCCGCAGAGGUACGUUACCUCUCUCACCGCCAAAUCUCCCAGCGGUUCGACUUCUCUCCGCACUAUCGGUACCUGGUGUCGCUCCACCGCCUCUCACCCUUCCCUCUUGGGUUACCCUUCGCUCGUUCCGCAGCUCAUGCAGGAUGGUUGUCAAGGUUUCCAUCUGCUUUUCCAUUCGCUCCAUCCGGUCGAACAUGACUUUUUCCCGUGCUUCGCUGAUCACCUCCCUCAGCGUCACGGAAUCGUUAAGCCUUAUGUCACCCCCUUGUGCGCUACUUCCUCCUAUCUCCAUUGACUUUCGCUUACUCCACCCCUCUUCUUGCUACCGACAGAAGCUUUUUGCUCUGGAUCCCCACAGACGGCGCCAAAAUGUUGAUGCGAGAUUCCGGUUCUCCUCGUUCUACGACCAGGAUCCCUGCUCGAUCAACUCUACCACGACCAGGAGGUCUCCUAGUAAUGCUUCUUCUCCGGAUGUCCCUGCACACACAGACAAGUCAGAGUACGCCGGUUGUUCUCCCGGCGCAAACCCUCCGACGCUCAAGUCAGAUAUGAAGGUUCGGGGAACGCUUGCCACAGGUCUUAUGGCUUUUUUGUGGUUUUCUCUUUUAUCUUAAAAAUGCUAACCCUUUUACCUUCGUUGGCUACCUUUUUAUAGGCUUCCUCUGAAUCUCAGUCUUCCGCUCUUUUCGAGACGGUAUGGGACUCCAACUGCUGCGUUAUGGGCAAAACAUGGGAUCUAGCGUGUUACGCCACGGUUCAGGGGAAAGCGUGGCUGCCACGGCUCUGUGAGACCUUGCGUGUUACGCCACGGUUCUGGGGAAAGUGUGGCUGUCAUGGCUCCGUGAGAUCUUGCGUGUUACGUCGCGGUUCUGGGGAAAGCGUGGCUGUUGUGCCUAGGUUCUCGUGCUGGAGAGCGCGUCUUGCCAACUGCCGUCGACCGGGUCUCCUCGCCUCUCGGUCUCUAGCCGGAAUGGCCUCAUGCCUUUUAUAGGAAUUGGCCUCGCGGACGACAACAUCGUGGACGAGCAGGAUGUUUCUGCUCCUGUUCUUCCACGCGCCAGGCUUUAACGGAAAACACCGGUGCGCAGAACCCCGCCAUCAGAUGUCUGCUCGUCAUUCCUGGUCCCUUCGACGCAUUUGUCCCAAACAGUAUCCCUCCCAAACAGUUUCUGUGAUUUUGGUUAAUUAUUACUACUAAUUAAUAUAUUAAUAUAUUAUUGUUAAUAAUAUAUUAAUAAUUAUAAGUUUUGAAUAAAUAAUAACAAUAAUUAAUAUAUUAUUAUAAUUAAAUAAUUAAUAUUAAUAUUAUUAGUUAAUAUAUUUUUAUAACAAUUAUUAUACUUAAUUAGCAUAUUAUUAUAAUUAAUUAAUUAAAAAUUUUUAUAAUAUAUUAAUAUAAUAUUGACAAUAAUUGUUAAUAAUAAUUUUUGAAUAAAUAAUCACUAUAAUUAAAAUAUGAAAUAAUAAUUAUGAUAAUAAUUCAUUAAGUACUUUUUAGUAAUUUGUUACAAUUUAAUUCAUUAUGAUUCCGAUUCCAAGACAAAAUAAACACAUUAAUGGCAAUCCAACUCAUUCUGAUUUCGAUUCCUAUAGUUCAAGUAAACAACUUAUUCUCCAUUCCUUAUUCCCAUUUCAGCCCAUUCUUAUUCCUAUUCAUUUCGAUUCCUGCCCAUUUCAAUUCUAGUUUAGUAAACGCCCCAUAAGUUUCAUGAGAGUUUGUAUUGGGGCCACCUCUUAAAGCUGUAUAGGGGGCUACCUGUCAUGACCCAACUCAGACCUAGCAUGAUAUUGUCCACUUUAGGCUUUAACAAGGCCUACACGAUUUUGUUUCUAGGGUGCUAGUACACCACAAAACAUGUCUUUCCAAUUAGGAUGUGGAUCACCCCUUAUAAAUCCAACAUCUCUCCAGUGUUUUGUCAAUGUGGGGUUUGCCUAGGGUGCUACAUAUACCCCUCCUUAGGGACUCAGAGUCCUCACUGAGGUUUGCCCCACCAUCGUUCAAGAUGACACACGGACCUGCUCUGAUACCAUCUAUUGUGACUCAGUCUAGACCUGGUAAGAUAUUGUUCGCUUUGGGCUAUACAGUUUUGUUUCUAAGGCGCCUAUACACCAUAAAAUGCGUCUUGCCAAUUAGGGUGUGGAUCACCCCUUAUAAACCCAACAUCUCUCCCGUGCUUUGUUGAUGUGGGAUUUGCCUAGGGUGUUACACAAUACCCUAUUUCAAAAUGAGUUGUUAGUUUAAUAAACUUAUGGGUUCCUCUAAUUACAUACCUUGUUUCGAAGAAAUUACAAUAGUCUCAAUUGUUUAAAUUUUCUUUAGUUACCUUUAAGUGAAUCCUUUAAAAUUUAUGUGAAGCUGAAAUGAUUUGUUAAAAAACAUGUAUUGUUGGAAUAUGCAGGAGUUGGUUACUUGUCUGUUGCUGCCUUUGACAAUUUUUAUUAGAGGAAUUUCAUCAAACAGAUCGUGCAUGUCUACGAAAAGUAACUAAAAAAUAAAAAAUGCAAUAAAAACAGUGACUAAAAGCAAAUAAAUCACGCAUGACCCAUCAUCUAUUAAUUUAUUCUAAGUAAAAGCCCCAACACAUUGUGAACAAAGGAAGAAAAUGAAAAAUUACAUGUAAUAGAGUAAAGAAAAACUCAAAAAAUAAACAAUGCAUAAAGGAAAAUGUCACCUUUCUUGGAUAUUUUAAACACAAAGAUAGAAGAACAGACGUGUAUGAAAAUGGCUGGUGUCAGAAUCAUGUCGAUGAAAAUUACUGAUGUUGGAAUCGCAUCAAUGAGAACCACUGGUGUUGGAAUCGUGCUAAUGAGAACAACAUUUAGAGUUUGUUUUAUGGAAAAAUUGAUUUGAAAUUAAGUUUAAAAAUAAGGAGAAUAAAAUUGAAAUGAAAUAAUAUGUAAGGGUAAUUUAGUAAUUUAAUAUACAGGUGGGAAAAAAUCUACUGAGGUGUCAAAGUCUAGCUACAAGGUGUUACUACUGAAAAUGAGGGGAUGAUAUAUGGAAAAAAGAAGCUUCAUUUUAAAUUAAUGAAAAAAAAUGAUUUAAAGAUUUAAGAGAUCCGAUUUGUGUUUCGUUUCACUAAAAUAUAUUGAUAGAUAGAAUUAGCCAUUAGGUGUGUCUUAACCUAAAAUUAUUCUUUCACAAAGUAUUAAAAAACAAUAAAAUACUAUUACAUAGCUCGGAAAGUUUGUAUUAAGUUAUAGAAUUAGGUGUCUCUUACAUAUAUGUCUUCCCAUGAAUAAAAGCAUUUGUAUUAAGUUAUGAAAUUGUGGAUUAUUAUACCAGUCUAAUGGCUCUUUCCCUUUCAACAUUAUUGUACGUAUUUUGCAAGGAAACAUCCUCUAUCUUUCUUUCAAUUAAUGUCCAAUUAAGAGUUCCGCGUGCCCAAUUAAUGUCAAUCACUCAAUUGUUUUUGAACGUGUACAGGAUAACAACUUAAAAGACUUUAGAGGGCCAGCGUUAAUUCAAAGUCAAAACUAGGUUAUUACCCUACAGGAUUCUUGAUAGUGAGGUGAAAAAAAGGUUGAAAAGGAUUAGGAUUUAAUCUUGAGUUUAGUUUUUAUUGAGCACUGAAUUAAUAAUUAGUAUUUAUUUUGUGUUUUUUUUAUUUAUCUUACCUAACAACCAUUUACUCAGAUCCUUGUCCUGUUGAAGGAGACUAUGUAAAUGAUUUUUAAAACUUUAGUUAUUUUUGUGUAUAAAACAAAAACUUUAAAUUAUUUAGUUUCAAAAGAGAGAAAAAAAAAUCUAGACUUUGAGCUGCUUGGGAACAAAUUAUAUUUGUUAUUUAAAAAAAAUCAUACUAUGAGAAAGAGAAAAUAUAAGUGGGGUUAAUUCUAUUUGUAUGUCCUUAAAUAUAAUUGUAUAGAAGAGGGAUUUUAUAAUAUUAAUGAAUUGGUGCCAAUACUCCAACCUUUUCUCAAAAUGAUUUUAAUUUUUAUUCAUAUACCCAAUGGCUGAAUUUAUUUUCAUUAUUAUGUAGGUGUGGUGUUACUAGAAAUUAAAAAAUAGGAUCCUCUCAUGAUCUGAGCUCUACUAAGCUUUUAAAGAUCUUCUUUUAUGUGUCAUUUAGUGGGUAGUGUAGGGAUAAGAUUUAACUUCUUUUACUUUUUUAUUUAUUAACUACCAAUCAACAAUUGAAUUAUUUGCUCGGAAUAUGAUCAGAUCAUGAGAGAAUCCUAAUCCAGAAAUCAAAUGCUUCCUUUUUUUUUCCCUCCUCUCCUCACUUAUGGUGGAAUAUGGAGAAUUGAACCAAACCAAUAUCCUAAUUACUAACAGAUUUGAGACAAAAUUAACAUUUUAAAAUAUUGCAAACUGGCAAAAAGUCAAACUUUUAUUUGCUACAUAAAUAUAAUCUCCUUUACAUAUUAAUAUCAAAUUCGUUAGGUUAAAUUCUAGGUUCAAAUCCUAGCAACGAAAUUAAUUUCUUUAUAGCUGGCAAACAUAUAUGCACUUUUUUUUCUUAAUUUACGCAGAAGUUUGAGCUAAACUGGUAAAGGAAUUAUUUUCUAAUUAACUUCUUUUUUAUUUUGGAAAAAAAAUUGAAAGAAAGAUAGGAAGCUGAAACUGAAGCCGAAUCAACUGGAGCAGCCACUACUAUAAAAAUGACAUUUAUUAACACUGUCUCUGACACUUAGUAAAAAGUGUCAAAAAUGGUGUACGUUUGGACCAUUUUCCGCCUUUAACAAGUGUGUAUCAUAAAUCAUUGAUACGAAGGUGUCAGUAGCUUAAAACUCAAUGAUUAUUGAUACUAAAGCAUCAGUGAAAAAAAAUAAUAUUAAUUUUGUUUUAAUUUGAACUCGAACUCAAGAGCUCUAAACUUAAAAUUUGUAAGUUUAGAGUGUAAACUAUUGAUGCAUGUGUUUUUAAAUUUUGAAUUUGAUUAAUUUUUUUAUUUAAUUAAAUUUUACACAAUUACUUUGUGGACAAUAAUAAUAAUAAUAAUAAUAAUAGUAUUAAUAGUUUUGAGAAUAAUAUUUUUUAUUUAGCCACAUGUCAACUUGUAAUUCGUUGUUAAUAAUAAUAAUUUUACUUGACCACGUGUCGACUUAUAGUCUGUUGUUUUAUUAAAUUACAAUGCGGACAAUUACACUAUAUAAUUUUUCAUACUAUAAAAUGAAAAAUAAGAAACCCUAAAUCUUACCUAAUCAAACACACCACUUCUUAAGUUGCUGCCGCCGCUCCCCUGCUCCUCGACUUUCACUGCUGCCGGCCGCUGCUCCUCAACUUUCACUGCUGUCAGCUGUCGUUCCUUGACGUCACUGCCACCUCUACUCUGCUGUUGUCAAGCUUCAGCCAUUGAUGACUAGCUAGCCACCUUUCAGUACGUCGCUGCUACCGCUUUUAUGCCGUCACAUCAACUUCAGCCCAGCCAGCCACCGUUCCUUUACCGUCAAGAUCAAGAACCAUUUCUUUCUCUUUUCUCUUUUGGCACAGGUAUGAAAAUACUGCUGAGGAGUUAAUCUGUUAAUCACCAUUCGUGUACGUCGCUACUAUCAUUCGUGUACGUCGCUGCUGCUGCUCGUCUUGGUCACUGCUGCCGCUCCUCUACCGUCACGUCAAGCUUCAGCCUUUUUGACAAAACAUUUCACUUGGAAUUAUAAGCAAACUCUUUUGAGACCAUAAAAAACUAAGCCAAUUUCUUUGGUUUCAAGGCCUUGUUUUUUCACUUUGAAAUAUGAUCAUACAAUGACAAGCCAAUUGAAAACUUUUGUUCAAGAUUUCAUUGUUAAAUUCACCUUUAUUUUUAUUAUUUGUGUUCCUGUCAUUUUCUUUCCCUUUUUUCGAUUUUUAAUUCAAUUUGGGAUUUGACAGAUAUAUUUUUUAAUUUUUAUAAAAAUUUAUCUUAUUUGCAGGAUGCUAAGGGACAGGAUGUUGAUCUUAGCAUCUACAAGGGAAAGGGUCUUUUGAUUGUCAAUGUUGCAUCACAAUGGUGUGCCUCAGCUCCUUUAAUUUUUAAUUUUUUUUCCAUAAUGAUUUAUUGAUUAUUGUUGAUGCUUCCAUUUAAUUAAUGCUAAUACGUGUUAUCUAUCUAUCAGGAGUCUAAAUUUUAUAGAAUUAUAUCAUACUCGAAAGUAUGCAUGCUCCCAAUACAAAUAAGUGUUUAUAAGAGAGGAUUUCACCCAAAAUCUUUAAUUCUUGCAAAAUGCUAGUGGCUCCGUUUGCACAAGUUUAUUUUUCUUCCAUGUUCGUUCCUUUACCAUAGUGGUUCCUUUACCACCGAGGUCAGACACCAUUUCUUUCUCUUCUCUGUUUUGGCACAGGUAUGAAAAUACUACUGAGAAGUUUCUCUAUUAAUUACCUUAUAUAUAUAUAUAUAUAUAUUUUCACAUGUUUAAUUGAGAACAUCCAAUAAUAUAGUAAUAAUAUAGUGGGCAAACUAUAGGAAGGUUGUUAGUAGACAAUUCUAAUUUUAGCUUUACUUUGCAAAUGAAAGAUUAGAAAUAGUCCGUUGAACCCAUUUUACUAUAUUGGAGGUUUGGGCUAAUCUUGUAUAGAUUUUUGCUCAGAAGAAGGAUGGUUCUCCAAGGGCGGUGGGUUGGUUUUUGUAUAGACUAUUCCCCUAUUUUCCCAUUUUGCUUUUCUUUGAGGAAACCUGGUCCUUUUUUUUUUGUGUUUUCUUUCUUCAAUCAAAUAUGUAUUUCUCAAUCUCGUCUCAAAAAAUAUCUAUCUCAUUUUACUAUAUGUUUAUGAAUUACUAAUUGUAUUUUGUUAGUAUUCCAUGUUCGAAGAAGAAUAUUAGAUUGAAGAAAGAAGAAGUUGUUCCUUUGCUAAUCGUUUGAAACCCAGGCUUGCACUGAAUUUGAUUUUUAUCUUUUACUUUUUUACUUGACCUAUACUUGAAUCUAAUUUUUGCUCCACUUUCCUUUCUUUCGUCAAUUUAAUUAUCAAUCCACUUCAAACCUAAAAAGAUUUAGUAAUUGGGAAACCCUUUUUUUUUUUGAAAGAAUUGCAAAGUACUGUAAUUGGAAACUGGGUUCAUGUCUUAAAAAGCAACCUAAUUUGUAAUGUUUGGCUUAUAGUGGCCUUCUAUUUCUGUUUUUCAUCUCGGCUUGGUUAAUUUCUUCACUAGUCGUUUAAAUUUUGUUAAUUUUUAUUUUUCCUCUUUAAGCUCAUUAAAUAUCUUUUUUUUUUCAAUUUAUGGCUUUUGGUCCAACUGAUCAUCGUUGAAUGUGGGCACUAUAAAUGUUAUAGUGCUUGUUAACUUAAUGUAUUUGAUCAUAUAUUAUAGUAUUGUUUACUUUAAAUUUAGACAAUGAAAUAGAUUACAAAAAAAGUAACUUAUGCUUGUCAAGUUGUAGACACCAUUGUUCAUGCCAUCAUUACUGAAUAUUGAUGUACUUAUUAAGUGUUCUCUUUAAUACUUGAUAGAAUACUUUUGGUGAAGCAAUUUGUGGUAUCAUGAUUGCAGGCUGUAAUUAACUUAGGAACGUGUAGAUUCUACAAUUUCUUUUUCCGAUUCCUUAACUUGCUUCUUUUAAUCCUACUCUUCCAUGUUGAAGUAAUUUAUGAGUAUUUUUGCUUCAAAAUAACUAAGAUUUAUUUUUCACAGUAUACUAAUUGAUUUUAUGCACUUGUAGGUGGGAAAAAAAUGAAGCCGUGGAUGGAUAUUGAGUGACCUUGUGCUUUUUUUUUUCUUUUGGGUUGGAAACUUAAUUGAGUAGUAGUUAGCACUUGUUGUUUAGAGAUUGUUGAAAAUUUAAUUUGAUACUUAUGUUAAGUCUUUUACAUAUAGUGAUGUAGUUGAAUUGUUUGAAUUUAAGUGAUGUAUUUGAGAUGUUUAUUAUAUGAAUUAUGUUGCAAGAUAUUUAAUAAUAAAUAUAUUUCGAGUUUUCUUUUGGUUGUACGACAAACACGAAAAAUAUAAUUAAAGUAAAAGGCAAAUGCUAUGUUACAAUUAAUGUAACAUACACACUCAACAACAACCACACAAAUUAUGUGGGCCCAUCAUUUGUAUGGUUGUUGUUGAGUGUGUAUGUUACAUUAAUUGUAACAUAGGGGCUCCCAAAGUAAAAAUAUACUAUUAACCAAAAGCAACAUAACAUUAUUAAAUACUGACACUACAUAUUUAAAAUAACAAUAAGAAUUUUUUAUAUUAUCGAGUCAGUUUCUGAUACUAUAGUCACAUAAAUCACUGACGUGUAAAUAGUGUCAUUAAAUACCAACAUUAUCGGGUCAUUAUUUUAGUGAUACUAUAGUGAAAUAAAUUACUGACACAAAAAUCACUGACACCAAAAAUUAGUGUCAGUGUAUGGCUUGAGCAACACUGACACAAUUAACAAGUGUCAAUAAAAGUAAUUACUGACGCUAAAUUAGUGUCAGUAAAACUCAUUUUUCUAGUAGUGAGCAUCAAGCAUCUUUUGAAAUUCUUCUUCUUUUUAUUUUUAUUUUUUUUAAUGUUAUUGAGGGCAAAUAAAGUCUAUAUGCUUAAUAUUGAACAUAAUUUUUAACAAAUAAAAACUAACACUAACAUUGUGCCAAAUAAAUUGUUUAUAGCUUAACUGGCCCAUUUAGGAUAGCUGCGCCGCCAAACAGGGCUUUGAUUUUAUUGCUAUAAGUAUGCACUAAAUCUUUUUAAUAGAUUUUCUUGGGUGGCUGAAUGGUUAAAUAAAUUAAUUUAAAUGAUUGAAAUAAGAAUUUUUUUUAUAUUUUAAAAAAUGUACAUAUUAAAAUUUAACAUAUAAAUAUAUAAAAUAAUAGAGUGUUUAGAAUAAUUUUUAGAGCGCAAACAGUCUUACUCAUUUUAUUAUUAAUCAAGACUUAAGAGUCACUAAACUAAAUCUCCAUUUUCCAAAUCUUUAGGACGAACGAGAAAAGGUAGCAAAUGCAAGCGAUCCACUGUUCAUCAAUAUUAUCUGGUGUUGUUGCAGAUCAUUUUGUUAUUUUGGUCCAUCAAAGCAUCAAAACAAUUUGCUUGUAAAAAUGAUUGUGGAAAUGUGCAGAUCAUAUGCCCCUUUGGAAUUGGAGAAGUGUGCCACUUUGGUAAGAGUUAUGAAGUAAUAUUCACUCUUCUGGCUCUCCCAAAGCUUUUCAUCCUAGUAUCAAGACGGAAUAUCGUACCGUUACUCCGAAACUAAAAGUAGAGUCAACAUUCCUGUAAUUUCUUUACACACAGUGCUAUACUGCUAUUGCCACAAGCAAUAAUAUUGCUAGAAGAGUCAAUCUAUCUGGUGGUCCUUUCACCUUUCCCUAGGGGCUCAAUAAAUUUAGAGCUCAAUUUGUUUUAGGUUCAAAAUUGAUGAACCCGUACUUAAUAACUAUACAAAUUGAUAACUUCUUGAUUUAUGAGGACAUAGAAAUUUUGGAACACUAAAUGCAUUUUUCUAAGUUAUGAGAGCUAUUACUGGUUAGGCAUUUCUAUUGUUUGAAGGACAAACCUGUUAGGAACCAGAUCUAGAUUCCUCAUGCUUUGGUCAAACCAUUGUGUAAUUGUGGGACUGGCAAUUCCUUUUCUUUUUUCCCAGUGUCAGUGGUCAUCAAUGAAGAAAAAAUUAUGAAGCUUGUUAGCAGCCUGCUGAAUCUUAGGUUGAAAUAGAGUUGCCUUCUACAUUACUGGAAAAUCUGAUUUUUGUAAGUUAAUGAUAUUCUAGUAGUCUGCCUAGAGACCAAUGCAUACUGAUUAAACAACUGGUUUAAAUCAUUAGGGCAUGAUCAGCCCGUUAUCUGGCACUCUUAAACACAAUAGGCAGGGAGGCUUUGGGCAAAUCAUAUUCAAUGAUUAGAAAUGUUCAAAAAUUUCAAGAUAACAAAUACGCAAGCGUUUCAAUUGGACAUAAGUAUUUGGGUUUCUAGUUCUAAUAGAGGUUUCUCAAAGCUAUAUUCUAGUCACUUUACUAUUCUGAAUCAGAAUCAGAACUAGAAUCAGCGGAUGUUUUUCAUUGUAAACUUUUAAUAGAUCUCUUACUUAUUAUGAUUUUAAUCCAAUGAUUGAACUGGAUAAGAGAAAAGGGCUAGGGUCAAUAGGUUCAAUUGGGCUCCAAAUGGCAAUCAACUCAUGACAUUGCAUGAAAUAUACAACAUGCUUCUUUUGAAAUAUGAUAUAUUAAAAAAUUUAGUGCAUAUAUGCUUAUAUUUGUAUAUUUACAAUGCAAUGCAUAUUAAUAUCAAGGAGGCAGAAAUUGAACAUAUACAUUCAUAAUGCAAUUUUUAAUAAUUGUUCGGAUUUUCUUUUCUGGGUGAUAACAUUCAGGGAAAAGAAAAAUAAAUACAAGGUUAAGACAAUCUAAGACAUGAAGCCCGUGAAGCAUGGCUUAGGACAUGGUCAAGUUGUAAAAACUAUGGCUAGGACUAUCUAAUACAUAAAACUUGUACUGUAAACAAAUUUAACUGUGGAUGUCAUUGCUUAGGAAUUGGAACUUCAAGCAAUGUUCUAAAAACAAUUCUUUCUCCACUAGUUUUUCUCACCCUUUUAAUAUUGAAAGGGAUGGGAAUGGUAUAAAGAUGAUUCUGUUUGUGGUAAGAUUCCUUUCAGGCUAAUUACUAUUUUUGACGUGGGGUGCAGGAAUAUCUUGAAGAAUAUGUUGGAUCUUCUACUAGAAGAGCAAUUUUAUAUCAAGUAAGAACUCUUGUUUUCUAGAUGAUCAUAUAAUUUUAACAAACCUGCUUCCCUUGAAUUUGGAGUAAGAUGCUGUUAGUCUUUAUAUCUCUGGACUUUUCAGCUUGGGUCUGUUCAAAAUUGAGCAUCCGAUAAAUCAAGGAUGACAAAGCUAUCUAAGUCAAGUGAAAUGGUCAAUUAUUCAGUUUUUGGUCCGUUGUCGACAAAAUUAAAUUUUAGUUUUGCUUGCUAUCUGGCUUUUGGUAUGUAGCGUCAAGAGGCUGUAGUUAGAUAACCAAGUAUUUGGUUGAGUAUUUGGAGAUUUUUCUUUUUCAAGGUUUGCUUUUUCGUUGGCACCCUCGAUGGAAUCGAUAUCAGUUGAGUGAUUCAGUUGGGCCUGACAGUCUUAGGCUUUCUUUUGGUAAUGGAUAUUUAUUUUAAGAUAAUCAUUGUAGUUUCCUUAACUCGUUACAACAUUGACAAUAUUUAAAGUUCUUAUUUUAUAUAUACCUAUUUUCAAGGAAAAUGCUGAUAGCUUGACCUCAAAUAUGUUACUCACAGGAAUAUGUAAAAGGUAUAUCAGCAACUGGGAUGCAGUCUAAUUAUGGUUUUGAUGGUCAAAUCCAUGCCUGCUGGAUGCAUAAAAUGACACAAAAAGACAUUCAAACCAUUCGUUCAGCUGGAUUUCUUGUGUCACUGAUUCAUGGCAGGUACAUGAGCAACCAUAAUGCACAUGAGCAACCAUAAUGCACAUGAACAUAGCUGUAUAAUUGUGUCUUGUUAUAAUUUUGGAGAUAAUGGAUGUUAUAAUUUAAAGGGAUUGUAUGUAAGCAAUUAUUUAAUUGGGAAUAUGUAAGUAAGGAAUACUCAAAUGAAGAUUGAAGAAAACAAGCAAAAUGCCUUGAGCGAGGAAUUGAAUUGUCUUCAUUCAUUAACAAAGAAAGGGUUUAUAUAGGCAUUACAAGGUGGAGUUAUUCACAAUUAUUAAUUAUAAAAAGGAUAAUGGGAAGAGCAAUAAGAUGAUAAUGGGAGAGCAUUAUUUUGGUGGAAUCCACCAUGAUUUACAACACUCCCCCUUGGAUUCACCAAUUAUUUAUUAGAAGUGCUCCCCCUGAUGACAUUGGAUAUUGCCUCAUUAAAAACCUUUGCCAGUAAAAACCCAGUGGGAAAACUUGGUCAAAAGGAAAAAAGAGUACAGUACAUAUGUGCCCAAUAUUCCUAUAAUUCUUCUCUUGUAAGAUCAUGCUCCUCUUGUUGAGUGCUCUUCCUGAAGGCAACAUGCAUUAAUUUAACAGUUUGUUAAAACGACGCAUGUCGAUGCCAUAUACGAUUUUUUCAAAUGUAGAUGUAGGUAGAGCUUUUGUAAACAUAUCAUCUAAAUUUUCCGUGGAGCGUAUCUGUUUGAUAUCAAUCUUCUUGUUCUGUUGGAGCUCAUGAGUGUAGAAGAAUUUCGGCGAAAUAUGUUUUGUUCUGUCCCCUUUAAUGUAUCCUCCUCUGAGUUGAGCUAUACAUGAGAAAACAUUGUCUAAUCAAAAUGACAAUCUGUAAAUCGUGCGGUAAAUACAUCACCUGUCAAUGGUUCAAGAUAUCUGAUAAUAGAUGGUGAGUCAAAUCCCACAUAAAUUCCCAAUCGUCGUUGGGGUCCCAUUUUAGUACGUUGUGGGGGCGCAAUCGGCACUUGUACUGUGCAACCAAAAAUGCGUAAAUGGGAUAAAUCUGGUUGAUGUCCCAAUACCAAUUACAAUGGGGAAUAUUUAUGAUAGGCAGUAGGCCUUAAGCGGAUUAAUGUCGCAGCAUGCAAAAUAGCAUGUCCCCAUGUCGAAAUAGGUAAUUGAUGUUGUGCAAAUUUUAUUGAACUCGCAAGUGCACGAAUCUAUUGUAGUAUAGAUCAAUGGUGACGAGUGUCGAUCCCACGAGGAGGUGGAUUUUAAUUGUGUGUAGAAUUAAUUUUCUAAAUGGGUGGUUGGAUUUGUGGUGAAAAUGAUUUGGAUUAUCCUAAAAUUGGAAUUGAAUUGGCGAGAAUAAUUUGAAGAGAAUUCUAUUGAAAUGACUUACUUGGGUAUCUGGAUCCGUAUCAACAUGCACCAUGGGCUAAAUAUUCCUUAUUAGUGCCAAUUAAAUCAUGAGGGGGGAAUCCACACCUCAUGAACCACACUCUAAUCAAUAUGGUACUAAGGGCUUAUCGUGCCAAAUAAUAAUAACCUUGUACUAGGGAGCCGGUGUAACCAAGGCGGUAUCUAGACAAGAUUGUUAUUAUUUGUCGACGAAAAGUCAAAUCAUCCACAAAAAUUAGAGGGGAAAAGAAAAUAAAUUUACCAAAUAAAGCCCAUGACACAUGUUGAGACUUCACCUUUAACCCAAGCUUGAAAGAAAAUUAGCUACUCAUAAUUGAACUAGGGGCAAAAUGAGAAUUUAUUAAAAUACAUAGAAAAUACAAAAUGAAGAAGGAAUUACAGAAAAUGGAUCCCAAAAAUGGAUUCAGAGCUAUCAAAUUAGGGGGGAGAGGCCCACUUUUUAGAGAUACAUUGAGUAAAUCAUGGCCAUCGGAUUAAAAACAGUUCGGACGCUCAGGAUUGCGCCACGUCAUCAGUCAACAGUACGCAGUUUGACCACGCAGUUUGGACAGUAACACAGUUUGACCCAGCUUGAACAGUGACGCGGUUUGAUUGAAAAUAAUCCUGUGUAAUGCAUGUACCGUACGCGAGAUUUUUGGUCCACUGAUAUGCUGCCACAUCAUCGAUCAACAGUGCAUAAGAAUUUUAGUCCAACAGGAUCGUGACACCUCAUCAGUCGAUACCACAUCAUCGGUCAAUGCCACGUCAUCGAUCCGUCUAUGUGAUAAGUGUCGUGAACAGUAACGUAGACAGUACCGUACAUGUGAACAGUGUCAUUUUUCCUUUUAUGCUCCUCUUAAGGUUUUCGACCGUCUUGAGUUCAAAAGUGAUGUCCGUUUUGCCAUCUGAUCUCUCGUUUAUUGUGAAAUGACUCUAAUGCCCCUAAAAUACAUAAAAUACUUAAUUAAAAUAAAACACACAUAAUUAAAUCACAAGAAGGUUAAAUACAUAAAAGUAAGGGUGUUAGUAAAACUUGAAGUGUAAAAUGACUAUUUUCUCCUUUAUAAAUAUACAUUUUCUAACACUCAACACACCUCCCAACCAGCUUAUUGCUAGUCCCUAGCAAAUAAAGCGAAAAUAAAAUUCAAAUUCAAAAUGAUUUUUUUUUUAACAAUCAUGUUUAUUCAAUCAGACUAAUAAUAAUAAUCAAAUAAAAGUAUAAGUAUUAUCUCCAGUCUAAAGAAACAUCACACCCACAUCAACCAUCCACAUGAAUCAGCCUAGUAGACUUUGUUAUAGCUACUUUCAAGAAUGACAUGUCAAACCCCAAAAUCUCACUGGAAGUAGUGACACUCUCACAAAGAAAUUAAACCUAAUAAAAAUAGUCACUCCAAUGAAUGGUAAUUUGAGAGAAAAUAAUAAAGAAGUGAUAUCACAUGCUCUCACCAAGAUGAAAGAAAUAUGCCCUCAGCUUAGAAAUAAUAUGAUCUCAAGUCAAAUAAAAAUGCUAGUCAACCCAAUUUAUUUUUUUUUUUUAUGCACCACUACAUCUUUUUAGCCCAUAUAAUUAGCUUAUACUUCCGAUUAUAGUUCCUUAAAAUCAAGAAUGACUUUUAUUAGGAUGUAACGUAGGUUAGGGACAUGGCAAACAAAGGAAGGGAAAUAAGGAAAACAAAGUGUAUGUUUGAGAAAUAUGUAGAGAUUUUUUUUUGGAAGUUGCAAGGUGGAUUUCACCUAUUAUUGUUUUUUUUAAACAACAAUUUUUUUCUUUUUUUUCUCUUUUUUUUUGUUUGGCAUAACUUCACUGAACAAAAUAAUUAUUUACAUUUUUCUCAAACAUAAAUAGGUGAUAGAACAUGUAAGAUAUUGGGUAAUACUCCAAAUCGGAGUAGUCAAGAUGAUAAGUUUGACAAAGAAAAUAUUUUUUUUUUAAAGACUCAAAAGGGUUAAUUAUGGAUAUUUCAUAAAAUGGAUGGUUAGAAAUGAUCAAACGGAUCAAAGAUGGCCUUUCCAUAAUCUUUUAGGGCUCUAAAUAAUCUUCCAUAUUUACUAGUUAGAUGGGCCUCCAAAUGUAGCAACACACAUUUUUUUCUUUUUUUCUUUUUUAAUUUUACAAUAUUUUUUUUAAGGGUUAACUCAAAAGAAAUCUAGAGAUCGUGUAUACAAUAAAAAACUGCUAAGCUGUAUAAAGAAUAGGCAAAAGGGUUACUCUCCAAGAAAAAUGAUAGGCUCAAAAACUCACUUGGUACUUAUUAUGACAUGUUCAUUCCUUCAAGCAACUCAUAUUUGUCUCCGACAUCAACAUGUAGAGUAGCAAACAUAGUGUAACAUCACUUAAGACCAAAGAUAAUACAAAUACUAAAAUUUGAAAUUAAUCAUGUCAUCCAAUGUUAAAACAAAUCACACAAUUUUUUUUAAACAACAUUUUACCCCCCAACCUAUUCUAAAGAAAGGAAAAUAUGCAUGCAGAAAUGUGAAAAUGAUGCAGAAAAACUAAUUAGAAAAGUUACACUUAAAAUGAUAGAAAAAGAAAUGUUUUUUUUUUAACUAAGAAGAUGCGUUUCUAGAGGCACUACACUCCAUAUUCAGCCAUCUUCGACUAAAAAAAAAUAAAAUUGGAAAGUGUAUAUUUAUAAAGGAGAAAUUAGAAAGAAGUACAAAAAUUAAUAGAGAAAAAUAAAAUAUCUGAAUUUUUUUUAACAAAGAAGAUGCGUUUCUAGAGUAACUACACUCCAUAUUCAGCCAUCUUCAACACAAAAAGUUAGCAACAGUUAGUUUCUACAACAAAAAAUUAGUAAAAACUUAACCAAGAUUCCACAAUUGUCGACUAUUCCCUCCCCCCAACCAAAACAAAACAUUGUCCUCAAUGUUUUAAAGGAAAGAAGUAAAGUUUAGAAGACAUCGCCUGAGUGGUGCAACACCGAAGAAAAUAUUUACAGGCGGAGAGUUAAAUCUAAUUUGUACUUCUUACUGCGGCUACUGUUACCAUCAUUAUUUGGACGCUCUAACACAAAGGUCUAGGGGUCUGGCUCGGGUUUAUAAGCUUGUAACAUAUCAAGUAACUCAUUAGCAGUGUGAGCACAAAUAAAAAGCCUUUUCACAUUGGAAAGAACGAAAUAGUUUUUUAUUGCGUGGUUAAGAAAUGUGAUAAAGCCAUCAUAAAAGUUUUUGACAUUUAACAAACCAAUGGGUUUCUGGUGAAUGUGCAGAUGAGCCCAAGAUGCUAGUGUGAUAAGUGCCUCUAGUGUUGCAAGAUCUCCUGUAAGGAAAAUAAAAGCAUCAGCAUGAUUAAGCAUUUCAGUUAUUCUUUCUUGCAUACCUAAGAUGACUAACUCUUCUCUAGUCGGUGAGUCAGACAAACUGCCCAAAGGUUUUAGGACUCUUGGGAUGAUGCCUAACACUUGGCUUAUUUUGACAAAAGCAGCUUCUGAGACCAAUUUUGAUAACCCUCGGUUACCUCCUCCAUACACCAAGUGUAAUUUUCUCUCUGCUAUGCUUUGACCAAGAUCUACUGCUGCCUCAACGAACUCUUUAUGUUUGCCAUAGUUAAAUCCAGAAAGCACACAAAUGUUCUUGAAUUGUCUAUUGGGAGUAGCUGCCAUUGGAAUAUUUCUCAAAAAUAAUUUUUGAGUGCUUAACAAAAAGUUUUAUUUAAGAAUCUUGGUAACAGUGGAUCACAACUAUGUAUGAAGUGGCAUGUUAGUGUCAAAUAACGCGUAAAGCACAUGGCUCGCGAGUCAAAAAGGAAACAGUAAAAAGAAAAAGAAACAAUGAUAAAAUAAAAUUAUUAAAGACAAUAAUGCAAAUGAUAAAACAAUAGUGAAAUAAAAUAAUAGUGAAGUAAAAGGAUAUUUACAGGUAGUUGCGACUGUGGCUCACAUCUUCCUUUGGUUUUACGUCCAGAAACGGCUUGAACGCCCCUCUAUAGGUCGAGGAUGGGUUUCCCAUCCAGUUUUCUUAUAAACUGGCAAACAUGAUCGUUUAUCGUCAGAUUCCCGAGACUAUAUCGUGCAUGCUCUUUCUGGAAUAAUGGCCAUAACUGGAAAAUCGCUCCUUGCACAUAUUUAUUGGGAUGCGUUUCAAGAGACAGAAGGAUAUCAUCCAAUGACUCCUUAUUCUAGCCAUCCCUAAUGAAUUGAAUCUUAUCUUCCCUGUUAUCAGACACCAUUCCUAAAGAACAUGGGUUUUUAUCGCAACUCAUUAUGACACACUUAUGACAAGCAACAGAAAUUCUUUGAGCUCGUCGUUUUCUUGCAUAAUUUCCUUUACCACAACCAGGCAUGUAUGCAAUAAAUUUUGGAGGUAACUCACCUGCCAAUCGUACUUUAGCCUUGAUUAACCAACGGAUGUCAGCAGGUAUGUUAUUCCUCAUGAGCAAUCGCAUGCGUUCGGACCGGGCUUUAUAGAUUGUAAGGAGGGCAUUAUGAGGAAGUGAAGGGAAUCGCUUGUGAAGUUUCGCUAGAAUCUUGUUUCUGUCCAUACCUUCGCCUUAGAAUAUCAGUUAUUAUGGGAAAACUGAAGUAACCGACUUGAUUGUCACGGAGUACCGUUAUCCGCCACUUCACCGGGGUAACAAACUAAAGCACACAAAAAAAAAACAAAUUAAAAUACAAAAAGAAAAUUAAAAUCGUCUUUUUAUUAAAUUUACCUCAAGCUCCAACUGGAUGUCGUAAACACUUCUCUCAAUGUCUUUGAUUUGGCUUUCUAAAUUCUUAACGUAGGCUACUAACUCUGGUGGUUUUAGAGCCCAAAUGCGAUGUGUUUUACAAAAUCGAAUCUGCCUUUUGAGAUGAGAUUUUACACGUUGAAGUGGUUUAAGAAUGUUCAGGAGGAACAGUUUAAGUAUGGUACUCAUAAUUAAUAAUGAUAAGAGAAAACUUAAUGGUUAAACAAACACAAUUAUGCAAAAAUAAUUUCAAUUAGCAAAAGAAUAAUAAAAAGAAAGAAAUAAAGAAAAAAAUAAAAUCACCGAAAAGAAAGAAAAGAAAAAAAAAUCAAUUCAAAUCUGGUGGGUCAUUCAAAUUUAUUUCGGUGUCUUCUCCAUGUGGUUGGUACCCUAGAUAUGGCUUUAAUCUUUGACCAUUAACUUUAAACAUGACACCGUUCUUUGGAUCCUUAAUUUCAAUUGUCCCAUGUGGAAAAACAGUGUGAACAAUAAAGGGGCCAGACCAUCGAGAGCGUAACUUACCUGGGAAUAGGUGCAAGUAAGAAUUGAAUAAAAGCACUUUCUGACCUGGAGUGAAAGAUUGUCUCAUAAUUUGCUUGUUAUGGAAGACUUUCAUUCGUUACUUGUAAAUCUUGGCAUUUUCGUAUGCAUCGUUACGAAUUUCUUUAAGUUCUGCCAGUUGUAAUCUUCUUUCUGAGCUAGCUUACUGCAUGUUAAAGUUGAAUUUCUUGAUGGCCCAGUAUGCACGAUGCUCGAGUUCCACAGGUAGGUGGCAAGCUUUUCCAUACACUAGCCUGUAGGGUGACAUCCCAAUCGGGGUCUUGAAAGCUGUUCUAUAUGCCCAUAAUGCAUCAUCAAGUCUUAAUGACCAAUCUUUUCUGUCUGGCUUCACCGUCUUUUCUAAUAUGUGCUUUAUUUCUCGAUUGGAGAUCUCAACUUGGCCACUGGUUUGCGGAUGAUAUGGGGUCGCCACUUUGUGAGUGAUUGAAUACUUCAUCAAAAGAGCUUUGAAUGCUUUAUUACAAAAGUGGGCACCACCAUCACUGAUUAUUGCUCGAGUGAAUCCAAAGCGCGAAACAAUGUUGCUUUUUAAAAACCCUAUCACCACCUUGUGAUCAUUGGUUCUGCAUGGAAUUGCUUCUACCCAUUUUGAUACGUAGUCAACAGCAACCAAUAUGUAUUGAUGGCCAAAAGAAGGGGAAAAGGGUCCCAUGAAGUUGAUACCCCAUACGUAAAAAAUCUCAACCACUAAAAUUGGAUUUAAUGGCAUCAUGUUCCUUCGUGUAAUGCUCCCCAUUCGUUGACACCUAUCACAUGAAGUGUAAGCAUCUCGAAAUAUAGUUGGCCAAUAGAAACCACAUUGUAAAACUUUAGUAGCUGUUUUCUUAGCACUGAAAUGGCCUCCACAAGCUUGUUCAGGGCAGAAUGAAAGGAUAUUCUGAAUUUCACUUUCUGGGACACAUCAUCUAACAAUUUGAUCUGCACAAUACUUGAACAAAUACGGGUCAUCCCAAAAGAAAUUCUUUAUUUCUGCAAAGAAUUUAGCCUUGUCUUGCUUGGUCUAAUGCUUUGGAAGUUGACCUGUAACAAGAUAAUUAACGAUAUCAGCAUACCGUGGUAAUACUUCCACACUCAUCAAUUGUUCAUCUGGGAAUGACUCAUUCAAUGUUAAUGGUUCUGAAAUUGUGUCAAAAUGGAGACGAGAGAGAUGGUCUGCCACAACAUUUUCUGUGCCUUUCUUAUCUUUAAAUUCCAAGUCGAAUUCCUGCAAAAGUAACACCCAACGAAUUAGUCUAGCUUUUACAUCUUUCUUUGUGAGAAGAUAUUUAAGAGCAACAUGAUCUGUGAAUAUAAUUAUUUUACAACCAAUGAGAUAAGAUCGAAAUUUUUCUAAUGCAAACACUACUGCUAGCAUUUCUUUUUCAGUAGUUGAAUAGUUCAACUGUGCAUCAUUCAAUGUCAUACUAGUAUAGUAAAUAACAUGGGGAAUUCGAUCAACUCUUUGUCCUAAUACUGCUCUUACUGCAUAAUCAGAUGCAUCACACAUGAGUUCAAAUGGUAAGCUCCAGUUUGGGGGCUGAAUGAUGGGUGAUGAUGUCAACAACCGCUUUAAUUUUUCAAAUGCCACAAGACAUGAAUCAUUAAAGACAAAAGGUACAUCCUUAGCAAGUAAAUUACAUAAGGGUCUAGAAACUUUGCUAAAAUCUUUAAUGAAACGUCUAUAAAAAUCAGCAUGCCAAAGGAAAGAUCUUACUUCUCUGACUGUUUUGGGUGGAGGAAGAUUAGAAAUGAGAUCCACCUUAGCUUUGUCAACCUCAAUACCUUUGCUCAAAAUGAUGUGACCGAGAACAAUACAUUGUUUUACCAUAAAAUGACACUUCUCUCAAUUUAAGACCAAGUUCUUUUCGAUACAACUCUGCAGAACUAGUGUUAGAUGAUGUAAACAUUGAUCAAACGAGUCACCAAAAACAGAAAAGUCAUCCAUAAAGACUUCAAGGAAUCGUUCAACCAUAUCAGAAAAAAUGCUCAACAUGCAACGUUGAAAUGUAGCAUGUGCAUUACAUAAUCCAAAUGACAUUCUCCUAUAUGCAAAAGUGCCAAAAAGGCAAAUGAAAGUAGUAUUCUCUUGAUCUUUUGGUGCUAUGGGAAUCUGAUUGUAUCCUGAGUAGCCAUCUAGAAAGCAAUAAAAUUCAUGGCCUGCUAAUCUAUCAAGCAUUUGAUCAAUAAAUGGUAGAAGAAAAUGGUCUUUACGUGUGACAGAAUUCAACUUUCUAUAAUCAAUGCAUACACGUCAUCCUGUAGUCACUCUAAUGGGUAUCAAUUCAUUAUCGGCAUUGGUAACUACUGUGACUCCUGACUUUUGGGGACAACUUGUACAGGAUUGACCCAUGAACUAUCAGAAAUUGGGUAAAUGAUACCUGUGUCUAAUAGCUUAAGGACUUCAGUUCUAACAACUUCUUUCAUGUUAGGAUUUAACCGACGUUGCAUUUCCCUAGUAGGUUUAACAUUUUCAUCAAGAUGAAUGUAAUGCAUAUAGUCUACUGGGUUUAUACCUUUGAUGUCUGCUAUGGUCCAUCCUAAUGCUCCUUUGUGCUCUUUUAAAACGUCCAACAACUUACCUUUUUGUUCGUCAUUUAGGGAUGAUGAGAUGAUUACCGGCAGAGUACUUUCUUCUCCCAAAAAUGCAUAUUCCAGAGUGUUGGGUAAUGGUUUGAGCUUGAGUUUCGAUAGUAAUUCUGAUGAUGGAAUGAGUUUCUUUUCUGAUGGUGCUAGUUGUUCAACUCUUGACUUCCAUUUAUUAGUGUCCAUAGAUGAUGCUGAGUCAAGUAGAGCAUUGACCUCAUUGACUGAUCUGUCAAUAUCAAAAUCCAAACCAAAGUGAGAUAAACAUGUUUGUAAAGGAUCAUCACUAAGGUUUGAAAGAAAAGUGUCAUCAACUAAUGCUUCAAUUAAAUCCACAUCAACAAUUUCAUCAUCUGCAUUGUGAGGUUGUUUGGCAAUGUUGAAGAUGUUCAGCUCCAUAGUCAUGUUGCCAAAGGACAACUUCAUAUGUCCAGUCCUGCAUUGAAUGUGAGCAUCCGCAGUUGCCAAGAAAGGUCGGCCUAGAAUAAUGGGGAUGUGCUUCCUUGAAUCCUGUAUUAGUUGAGUGUCAAUUACAAUGAAAUCAACAGGAAAAUAAAACUUGUCUACCUGGAUAAGCACGUCCUCCACAAUACCACGAGGUAUUUUCGUGGACCGAUCUGCAAGCUGUAACACCACUGGAGUUGGGUGCAAUUCUCCAAGUCCAAGUUUCAAAAAUACUGAGUAAGGCAACAGAUUUACACUAGCUCCUAAAUCCAACAAAGCAUUCUCAAUUGUGUGGUUUCCUAUACUACAUGAGAUAGUGGGGGAGCCUGGGUCUUUGCAUUUUAAAGGAAUUUUAUGUUGGAGUAUAGAACUAACGUUUUCUAUUAAAAAUGCCUUCUUUUGAACGUGAAUGUUUCUCUUUUUAGUACAAAGGUCUUUAAGAAACUUGGCAUAAGAUGGAACUUGUUUAAUAGUAUCAAGCAAAGGGAUGUUAACACUUACCUGUUUAAGGAUUUCAAGAAUCUCACCUGUGGAUUUUCCCUUCUUUCCUUUAGCUAACCUCCGAGGAAAUAGAGCUUUGGGAACGUAUUCUCGUGGGUUAGUUUCUUCUUUCUCCUCCGAUAGUGAGUCAUCAACAUUCACAGGUACAAUUUGAUUUUCUUUUGUCACCAGAAUCUCCACUUUGUUGUCGACUUCUUUUCCUUUUCGCAAGGUCAUGACUGCUUUGACCUCUCCAUGCUGCUGUGGUGAACUGGUACUUGCUUCAUGUACUCCUUUAGGAUUAGGCACUAGUUGACUUGGAAAUUUACCUUUCUCAACUGUCAUUGCCAAGGUCUGAACUGAAGAAGUAAGUUGUCUCAUCAUCUUCUCGAGGCUUGAAACUGAUUGGGCUUGUGAGUUGAAGCCUGCUCGCAACUCAUUUCAUAAUCCAUUAAUGGUGCGGUUCUGUUGCUCAAUCGUAGAGUGAGUAACAUUCUUGAAAUUUUGGAAUGCAUCCUCCCAUGGUCUGGGUUGAGAGUAGUCCUGGUUCUGAUUGUAUGGUCUAAAUGGUGGCUGAGAGGCUUGAGGAUUUUGAGGAAUUGGUGGAGCUGGAGCUGCUGGUCCAUUUUGUUGGAAUCCUUGAGACCAUGAAAAAUUGGGGUGGUCUCUCCAUCCAGGGUUAUAUGUGUUGGAGUAUGGGUUGUAAUUCGAUGGUUUUCUCAUUACACCUAUGGCAUUGGCUUGAUCUGAAUAUGAGUCAUGGUCAUGUGGCUCUAUUGAUUUAGCAAUCGAUAACGAUGCUAUUUGUCGAGAGAGACCUUCAAUUAUCGUUUUGACUUCUUUAAUUUCUUAACUUGACUUGCCAAUGUGAACCUCAUUUACUCCCUUAAUUCUUUUAGUGUUCCUGAGCUACCGACUCCGUUGUUGGGAAUUAUCCGCUUGUCACUGGAAAAAUUCCCAAAUCUUUGAUGCACUUUUUGACAUUAGUUCUCCUCUACUUGUUGCCAUUAGCCAUUCUUGCACAUUCGGCAAUAAUCCCUCCAAAAAGUAUUGGUAUUGGUGUCAUUUCUCGUACCCAUGAUGUGGACACUUCAAGAGUAGCCCAUUGAAUCGCUCCCAUGUUUCGAAAAACUGCUCGUCUUCUCUCUGGGUAAACUCUGAAAUCUCCCUGCGAAUAGCAUUGGUUUUAUGCACUGGAAAAUAUUUAUUCAAAAAUUUUGUUACCAUUUGUUCCCAUGAUGUAAUGCUAUUAGCAGGCAAUGUAUUGAGCUAUGAACGAGCUCUAUCUUUUAAAGAAAAUGGGAAUAAUCUAAGUUUAACAUCAUCGUUUGAAAAAUUCGCAUAUCUAAAUAUUUGACAAAUAGCAUGAAAAUCAUUCAGAUGAUUAUAUGGGUCCUUAUUUUCUAAGCCAUAGAAUGUGGGGAGACAAUUUAGCACACUAGGUUUUAGUUCAAAACUCCUAGCAGCUACAUUUGGGUAUCUUAUACACGAUGUGCUCAAAUUAGCCAAAGGACUAAAAUAGUCCUUAAAUGACCUCUCCUAUGGUGCUUGUAAAUCCAUUCCAAAUUUAUUUUUAACGUGCUUGUAUGUGUGAAGUGUUUUUUCUAGUUCAUGGUCUAUAGGUUCAAGAUUAUGUAAUAAUGACCUACGACCAUGCAUGUAAGAAACACAAAAAUAAAUGAGAACAAAACAAAUAAAAAUAAAGAAGAAGGAGAAAUUACGUUACUAACCUUAUCACGCUGUUAAAACCUUUCUAUAAAAAUACACAAAAAUAAAUACGUGAAAUAAAUUAACUAAAAAUAAAUUAAUAAGAUAAACAAAAAAAAUUAUAAAGAAAAACAAAUUGAAAAUUAAAUUACAGAAUUUUAAAGAAGAGAAAAAGAAAAGAAAUACUAACCUUUAAAUGUAGAUUCACUUUUUUUUUCUUUUUUUUUUAAUAAAAAAAAUUACAAGAAAACAAUUAAAAGAAAUUAUUCACAAAAAUUAAUUCUACGAAUUAAAAUAACUUACCUCCCCGGCAACGACGCCAAAAACUUGUUGUGCAAAUUUUAUUGAACUCGUAAGUGCACGAAUCUAUUGUAGUAUAGAUCAAUGGUGACAAGUGUCGAUCCCACGAGGAGGUGGAUUUUAAUUGUGUGUAGAAUUAAUUUUCUAAAUGGGUGGUUGGAUUUGUGGUGAAAAUGAUUUGGAUUAUCCUAAAAUUGGAAUUGAAAUGGCGAGAAUAAUUUGAAGAGAAUUCUAUUGAAAUGACGUACUUGGGUAUCUGGAUCCGUAUCAACAUGCACCAUGGACUAAAUAUUCCUUAUUAAUGCCAAUUAAAUCAUGAAGGGGGAAUCCACACCUCAUGAACCACACUCUAAUCAAUAUGGUACUAAGGGCUUAUCGUGCCAAAUAAUAAUAACCUUGUACUAGGGAGCCGGUGUAACCAAGUGAGACAUUAUCACAAACAAAUAAAAAGAUAUUAUAUAAUAAAUAUUGAAAAGAGUGUAACUAAUAAGUAUUACUUAUAGGAAAUUUUUUUAAAUAAAUACGUAGAAAAUAAAAAGGUAAAUGGAUAGAAUACUUCUUGUACCAGAGCAAACUUCGUGCUGAUAACGUGUUAUAAAUUUGGAGAUAAUGGAUGUUAUAAUUUAAAGGGAUUGUAUGUAAGCAAUUAUUUAAUUGGGAAUAUGUAAGUAAGGAAUACUCAAAUGAAGAUUGAAGAAAACAAGCAAAAUGCCUUGAGCGAGGAAUUGAAAUUGUCUUCAUUCAUUAACAAAGAAAGGGUUUAUAUAGGCAUUACAAGGUGGAGUUAUUCACAAUUAUUAAUUAUAAAAAGGAUAAUGGGAAGAGCAAUAAGAUGAUAAUGGGAGAACAUUAUUUUGGUGGGAGGGCAUUAUUUUGGUGGAAUCCACCAUGAUUUACAACAUGUCUAAAUUUAUAUUAUUAAAGUGACAUGCUUUAUGAUUUUAUUAUUUUAAGAUACUUGUAAGGAAUACGCAUAGGGCAUACAGGAAUGACAAUUGUUACAAAAUUAAACUUCAUUUUUCAAAUGUCAUUUAGAUGAGUUGAAGUCUGCAAAAUGUUUCUUUAAUAUCAUUAAACUGUUUCAUGAAUUAAUAAACUAUAUAAUGUCAAUUAUCAUAAAAGAAAACAAUAUGCUUAUAUAUUCUUGGAUUCUGUAGAUAGAAUGUUAUGAGAUAGGCUCCAAAUACUGAUGGGAAAUUAAAAUUGGGUUCUUCGUGAAAAAAAUAAAAUAAAAUAAAUUGGGAAAAAUUGGCUGAAAUGGAAGUUCGUGUUGUGCUUUAUAGUAAAUUGUCAAAGUUUGCAAUCAACCUGUAUUUAACAAGGAGAUGACAGGAUUUGGCAAGAAUUUGGUAUUUUCGGAGUGAAGAGUAUUAGUUUUGUUUCAAUGCUUUUCUUAAUCUCAGACGAUCAAGAGAAUCGUUAUUUCAUUCAUGCACAGACAAGCACAAAGAGAAAACAAAUGUAUACACAUGCAAACUUGAAAAUAGGUUAAUAUACAUUGAACUUCGAAGGUCGUGCAUGAGCCUGGUUAAUAUUUUGGGCAUUUCCAGUAGUGAGUGAUACAUGGAUAACUGAAUGUUACAUAACUGAAUUUGAGCAAAAAUAUUAAUUCGCUCCACUGAAUGUAUAGGCAUGAUAUCAUUGCACAAAUCUUUUAUGCAAGGACACUAGCAGAGAAGUUGUACCAUGUUGCUAGAAUGAUAGAUCUUCCUGGAGGACAUCUUGUAAGUCAUGAGAGGACAGAAGAGGUAUUUCCUUUGCCCAAUAGAUCAGACAAAUAUGCAAGUAGUCCAAUUGGUUGUGUGAGACAUUUACAAUUAAUGAAUUAUUAAAUGGAGUACAGUUGUACAAACUGAUUGGGAAAGUUUUCUUAUCAAAGUCAGUAAAAAAUUGUCGUAAUCGAAUUUGAUUGAGACAAAAGGGUCCUUACAUUUGUAUUAUGGACAAUAAUCUUCCUAAUAUUGAGGAUUGACCUUGAGCGACUCAAGAUUUUUGAAUAACUGGGAUUGAAUUAAAUCUUCACGCGUAAAAUAAUGUUAUGAAUUUAUUGGUAGAAAGAUGUCCCAAUACUUCUUGAAGUUUUACUUUCCUAAAUUAUUGAUAUUUGUUUAAUUUUACUUGGCUACAAAUUAAGCAUAUAGACGUUAAACUCUUUCUUGAAAUUUCAGGUCAAUCAAACUCUCAUCGACUUGAUCAAGGCAUCUGAAAAGAAGAUAAGUCCACAAGAUUGGACUAAUCUGCCCCAGACAAGUUCUGGUAAGCACGCCACAAUCAAGAUAGUCUUUCUCUUUUCCAUGUUAUGUGUGGGCAAUACUGUUAGAGCAUACUUGCCUAACAUAGGUUGAAAGCUUUUCAUACUGAGUUUUCUAUGAAGAUAAACUCGUGGUUAAUCCAUAGAGUUCCCAUUUUUCCAAUAAUAUGUUCAUGGAUUUGGAAACCUAAGAGUUCCAGAAGGACACAUGAUAACUACUUAAGAGAGCUCAAAUCAACACUGAAACUUUUUCCAGACACAAAAAUCAUCAGUGGUCAAUUUGUUUUCAGCUAGGUUAUCUUCCUCUCUGUUUGGUCAGGAUUGAGAGGGACAAUUAGCAAUUUUGAUAUUUCUACAUCAGAACUCUGUUUUCAGUUUUUGACAUUUUCUAUUGAUAUUUUUAGUUCUUUGUCAGGGGAUUUGGCGAAAGGGAUGUCAUUCGUAAGAACAACUUUGGGACCAAGAAGUUAUGUUUCAGACCCACUAGAGAAGCUAUGUCUUUAUCUAUUAUACCUCUGUGGCCUCUUCAUGUUAGCAUUUGAGUAUGCGAGAAGGCUUCUACAGAGUCUGAUGAUUUUCUAAAUAAAUCAUGCAAUUUAUUUUGUUCCAUCAAAUCCAUACCUUAUUAGUUGAUGUGGAAACGAAUCGUCACAAAUCUGCAAGAAUAAAAAUAAGCUCCCUCCAAUCUCCCAAAAAUCAGGAACUAACACAAGAAGAUCCCAACGAACACGAAUCGAUUGCUAGGAACUGGAACCUUCACAAGAAAAUCUCCUUCACGAACGGAUCAUCACAAGUUUAUGUCACUGAUGAUCGGAGGAUAAUAACGUAUUUGGAAAAUCCCCUCAAUUGACGAAGCAAGAACCCAUUGCCUUUUUUCCUUUUCUCUCACUCUCUUUUGAUGUUGCUUUGAUUCUUGUGAUUAUUAUUUUACGUGCUAUCACUCACUCUUGUAGUAUUUAUAUAGUACAAUAAGUGUAGUUUAAUUCAAAUCAACUUUCUAGAGUUAUUUGAUAAGCUACAUCUUAUGUGAUUAGGAUUAAGAUAAAAUACUAAUUUUAUCUCAUAAGAAUCCUAGACAAACUCUAAGUUUAUCUUAUCACUUACAUUAGAUUAAUCCAUCCCAUCAUGGACAUUAAAUCUAACAUCUACCACUCGCAUGUGAUGGGAUGAUUGAGUAAUCAUAGCAACGAGAGUAGAGUUUUGGGCAUAAAGCCACAACCGCAGUAUCAUACGGGCAAAUGCUACGUGUGACCCAUGAACAAUAUAAAUUGGAGCUUGUAGAGCGAAAAAAAUCUCAAUUGCACUUUUUGCAAGAGAUUUAAAUAACUUAUUCAUUAUAUUUCCUAGAUUUCAUUAUCCUUUACAUCGGUACAAACAUAUUUAAUCCCUCAACAAAAAUUAUGUUGACGUUGUGCACUCUAUGUAUUCACAAUUGUAUUCAUCCCUAGGCAGAUUAUACAACUGGUCGACCAGUGAAUGCAUAAGUCAGAUGUAAGGAGAAUAAAUCUUCGUACUCUACUCAUAUCUUUUAGUUCUAGGCUAGUUGCUUUCUUAGACAUGUUUCAUAGAUCGAAUAACAUUAUAGUCGUAGAAAAAACAUGCUAAAGUAGCUAUCACCAACCUUUCCUUUUAAGAUAUAGUCAAUGGUAACUAAGGAAACUGUUGACGUCUUUCUUAUACCUCGAAAGAACUUACACAAUGAGGAAUCAGGGAUUCAUUCACUCAUUUUCCUUUCAAUCACAAAAGCACACAUGGUAUGAAUCACGCGUUACAGUGAAUUCUCUUUGUAUAAGAGCAUAUGUCUAGCUAUCCACUGUACAUAUCUUAAAUUAGUCGCUUAUUCGAGCGCCUAAUUUGAGUCUCAAUAAGCUUGCCUUCAUAAGGCACCAAAUGAACUAAUAUCUGGCUUAAUUAGGUUCUUUAUCUUGAUCCAGUCAAGGCGACAUUUUCAAGAUAUAAGCUCCAUGAGUACGUAUCCAGUACUUUCUCUUAAUAUUGUGUCUCAUCCUAGCUUGCUUUCAUUAACAAUUGAAGUGACCGCUUGUGUAAGAAAGCUGGUCAUAACCUGAGGACAUAUCUUUUAAUAAUUAUAUAUAUGUGUGUAAUCAUGCUAAUUAGUAUCUUAUGAGAAUAAAUCAAAAUAAUUUUAUUGCAUAAAGAAUUUAUUAAGUACAACUUUUAUAAUAUGCGCAAUCCUGAUGAUUGCAUAUGUGCGAUAAAAACAUCUCGUGUCAUGGCUUUAGUUAAUGGAUCUACAACCAUGAAGUGUGUAGAUAUGUGUUGCAUCAACACUUCCUUUUUCACCACAAUAUCUCUCACAAAAUUGUACUUUGUCUCUAUGUGUUUAGAUUUGCUGUGGUAUUUUGCAUCCUUGGUAAAGGAUAUGGUUGCUUGGCUAUCACAAUAUUUGGUUACUGGCUGAGGAUGACCAAUAACGAUCUCGAGAUAAUUUAAGAAGCGCCUAAGCCAAACAGUCUCUUGUAUUGUGACUGAACAUUCUACAUAUUCUGCUUCCAUAGUCGACAGAGUUGUGCAUGUUUGCUUCUUGUUACUCCACAAGAUCGCACUGCAACUAAGUAGAAAUACGUAUCUUGAGGUUAAUUUGCGCUCAUCAAGAUCGCCUCCCCAAUCAGCGUAUGUGUAUUCAAUUUACCGUAAAUCACCUCCUUGAUAACAUAAAGAAUAGCCGGUAGUGCCUUUCAGAUAUGCUAAAAUUCUUUUGACAACAUUCCAGUGUUUGCGCCCAGGAUUUGAUUGGUAUCUGCUUACCAACCCCAUAGCAUAACAAAUAUAUGGUCUUGUACACAUCAUAGCAUACAUGAGACUUCCAACAGCAUUAGAGUAUGAAACUCAUGUCAUUUCAUUUCGUUCCUUUGAAGUCUUUGGACACAUUUCAAGGUUAAGAGUUUGUCCUUUAGAUAUGGGAGUAUCCAUAAGUUUACACUUCUCCAUUUUAAUUUUUUCAAGAAUUCUUCUAAUAUAAGACUCUUGUGACAGAGCUAGAAGUUUUCUAGAACGAUCCCUAUGGAUUUUAACUCCCAAGAUAUAAGAUGCUUCACCCAUAUAUUUCAUUUCAAAGUUUAAAAAUAAUCAUUCAUUGAUGGUUUGAACAAACUCUAUAUUAUUUCCAGCCAACAAUAUAUCAUCCACAUAUAACGAUAAGAUGACAAAGUUACCCUCUGUCCUUUUAACGUAUGCACAAUGAUCUUUUUCAGUCAUUGAGAAUCCAUAAGUCAUCACAGAUUCAUGAAACCUAAGAUACCAUUGCUUGGAGGAUUGUUUUAUCCCAUAUAUAGACUUUUUGAGCUUGCAAACUUUGCGCUCUUGAUCAUUGAUUAUAUAACCAUCUGGUUGUUCCAUAUAAAUUUCCUCCUUUAGCUCUCCAUUGAGAAAAGCUAUUUUAACAUCCAUAUGAUGUAAUUCAAGAUCCAUAUGUGCAACGAUGGCUAGAAUUAAUCUUAUAGAGGCAAACCUUACCAUUGGGGAAAAAGUUUCCUCAUAGUCUAUACCCUCUUGUUGGUUAUAUCCUUUCGCUAACAAGCAUGCCUUGUAUCUUUCAAUUAUGUCAUAUGCCUUUCAUUUAACACGUAAAACCCAUUUGUUUCCAAUGGCCUUACGGUAGAGCGGUAGAUCAACCAAGUCCCAGACGUAGUUUGAUCUCAUUGACUUCAUUUAUUCAUCUAUUGCUUUAAUCCACAAUUACUUAGUUGAUGAUGUGAUAGCCUCAAUAUAAGUUCUUGGCUCAUUACCAUCAUGUGAAGCAAUCAUAAACGCCUCCCCCUCAAUCUCAAAACGAUGACGUGGUAUGGUUGUACGAUUACUUCUUCAAAUUGAGUUGUCAAGUGGAGUAAAGUCAUUUUGUGGUUGACUGCCACUAGAAUUAGAAUUCCCAGACAUAUCUAGGUUUCUCUCAAUUUGUAAAUCAGAAGUGUCAUUCAUCUCUGAAUCAUUUAACUCGUAUAGAUGGAUGUCUUUAUGGACCUCUGAAAUGCUAAGGAAUUCAUUUUCCAAAAAUGUGACAUCUCGUGAUUUUAUCUUAGUUAUAGUUCUAUCAUCAUGUUCACCUAUGAACACAUACCCUUGGGAGUGUUCUGGGUAUCUUAAAAAGAUACAUUUCUUUCCUCUCGGAUCUAAUUUCCCAUGUUUAUGAGAUGGGUUAUGAACAUACGUUGCAGACCCCAGGGAUGCAAAUGAGUAAGAUUAGGUUUUCUAUGUGUCCAUAGCUCAUAUGGAGUGGAACUUACUGACUUACUCGGAACUCGAUUAAGUACAUAAGUGGCAGUCAACAAUGCAUCCCUUCAGUAAGAAACUGGAACUAGCACGAGCAGAUUGCAACGAAUAAAAAUCGAUUGCUAGGAACUGGAACCUUCACGAGCAAAUCACCUUCACGAACAGAUUGUCAAGAGUUUAUGUCACUAAUGAUCGGAGGAUAAUCACGUAUUUGGAAAAUCCCCUCAAUUCAUGAAGCAAGAACCCACUGCCUUUUUUCCUUUUCUCUCACUCUCUUUUGAUGUUGCUCUGAUUCUUAUGAUUAUUAUUUUACGUGCUAUCACUCACCCAUGUAGUGUUUAUAUAGUACAAUAGGUGUAGUUUAAUUCAAAUCAACUUCCUAGAGUUAUUUGAUAAGUUACAUCUUAUGUGAUUAGGAUUAAGAUAAAAUAUUAAUUUUAUCUCAUAAGAAUCCUAGACAAACUCUAAGUUUAUCUUAUCACUUACGUUAGAUUAAUUCGUCCCAUCAUGGGAGUUAAAUCUAACAGAGUCUAAAACCGGUUAGAGUGCGAGCCUCUCCCACUUAAGCCAGAAUGUAGUGAACCCUAUUUUUUACUGGUAAUUUUCAGUUUGCUUCCCAAUCUUUCUUCUAGAACAAAGACAACUAGCUAGAAAACAAUACAUACUAUCCUCACUGUUUCUAUCCCUUCUUUUUGCAGGGUUUCACUAAUUUGUCACACUAAUGGCGCGGCUCUUUGCAUUUUAAACAGUUUGCUUACAGGAUUCUUGAGUAAAUCUACUAAAAGUUAUACAAAAGAUCAUAAAUAAACCAGAAUCUGCUGUGGGAGAGAUCAGAACAACCGAUACAACAAAGCAUAUUAAUCAUAUGCAUAUGGAAAGGAAAGAAUAAACUGGAGAUAGCCUUUGUUUUUUCACUAUAAAAAAAUUAUGCUAACUGAUACCACUAUAUCUAUCUCUCUCGCAGCAUAAACAAAAUGAAAACAAUGCGCAAGGAGGGGAAUACUGUUUUUUGUAUCUAAGGCAGUAAAUAUUGCUGCUUAUAUUAGAGUAACGGCAAGAGCUCAAGAUUUUAUUAAUAUUAUUAUUAUUUUCAACACUUGUCAGUUAUAUAUUCUCAAAGAUUAGAAACUCGACUUACAACAGUAGGGGAAAAAUGUUAGUAAAAUAGUGGAAUUUGAGCUAGAUUGCAGUACAGGCUGUGAUCUAAAUGUUAAAACCCAACAGAAAAAUGGCUAUUAAGGACCAGAUUGGUUGACAUUUGAUGUGGCUUCUAAAAUAAUCGACUUCAGCUUUGCUGGAUACAUUAUUAUUUAUGAGAUAAUGAAUGUAACAUCAAACCACUUUUAAAAGAUUUUAUCAAUCGCUUAAGAGAGUCUUUGGUGUAGUGGUUGGUUUGUUGUUUUGAUAAAGUUGAGGACAUGUUUAAGGUUUUAUGAGGACUCAAAAUAUUUUUUUCCCAUAUAUGUGAAAAUAGUAGGAUUUGAUUUCCAAUUUGAAUUUCUCACAGCCAAAUUCACGGAUGAAAGUCGAACAUAAAAUCUCAUUUAACACCAUCUGUCAAUUUGGUUUGGGAUUGUUAUUUUCGAAAUGACUAUAGGUGUCGAAUAAAUUUUAUUAUUGAAAUUAAUAACCUUGAUAGAUAUAAAUUUAAAAUAUAUAUGAAAUUUUUUUAUGUCAAUUUUUAAUUAUAGUUUCUCUAAGAACUAUUUUAAAAAAUGAAGAUACAGUAAAAUCUUUUUAUAGUAAUGAUUUAUUAGGAAUAAUUUUUGUUUAGUCAUCUUAAGAAAUCCGCUUCUACAUAGUAAUAAUUAUUUGUGCAUUACAAAAGUAUAUGUUAUGUUAGAUUAAAUGAACUUGCUUCCACAUAAUACAAUUACACAAUGAGAGAAAAUUAUUAAAGAGAAUGUAAACAUUUAGAGAUUUUUAAGAUGACUUUACAUAUUUCUAACAAUGGUACAUAGAUAAUAGAUAUAUUGGAUUUGACAUGCUCCAUUAGUAAAUUAUUAAUACAGUGUAUAUUUUACCUCUAUAUCUUUGUAAUAAAGAUAACUAAGUUAAAAAAAUAAUUUUUGUAAUUAUACCUCUAUUAAAUUAUAAUCCCCUCAUGGUACCAAAUUAAUCUGGUCUCAAUAUUAUAAAUAUAGAGAGGUUUCGCUAUAAUAUUUUUUAAAUGUAAGGGCAAAAAAGAGUACUAAUAAAAGUUGAGCUAGUUUGUUUUGAAAUAUAUAUAUGUUUUAAGAAAACAACUUAAAACAAUAAAAAGAUGUUUCUCACCGCAAGAAAUAAGUUUUUUAGAAACAGCUAAACAAAUUGUUCUAUAAUUUUUGAAAAUAGAAAACAGAAACUGUGGUAACAUUUAUAUUAUAUAAAAUAGGUCAUUAUUCUUUCAAAAUCCAUAGUUAUCCUGCACACACCGUAAUGUAAGUUGAUACUUGAUCAUCAUCACUUUUCACCUUCACAUGAUCAAUUCUAGAAACCCUAAAAAAUAAAAACUUGUAAUUAUUAAACAAAACAACAAAAAGAACAAGAAGAAGAAACGAAAAAUGUAAAGAGCGUACUUGGAAUUGCUUGGGGGCUACAGAAGUUAGCUUUUGCUGUGAUUGGGAAGACGAGUGAAUGAAUGAUUGAUUGAUUGAUGAAAUCAAAAAGCAAAGCAAAAAGAUCGAAAUGGAAAUUGUAAGUUGAAAUGUUUUUCUAAAGAGAGAGAUUCUAAAAUAACUAAUUGCGUUGGUGCCAGGUAAUAUUCCAAAUUAACCAAUCAAAGAUUCGAAAUGAAUGAUGCCAAUGCAGUUACCAAAUAUACCCCUUAGGAAUAUCCCAAUAUGAUCCUCCAGUAUGCGCGAUGCAGAAGCAAACAAACAAGUUACCUUGCCUCUCUGGUCUUUACUUUCAAGUCUCUCAAUUGAUGACUCGAUUUCCAGAUAAGCAUAAUUUAUAUACAUAUUUUACCCUUUAUUGUAUAUUUGUUAGUUAUUUUUAUUUUUUAUUUUUAAUUAAUUGAAUUAUUUUAUUGAAUAGAGAAUUAAUUGGAGAUUAUGAACAAAAAGUGCAUAAAAAAUCCAUAAGAGGAAAGAACUAAAGAAUUAAAGAUUAUGUUCCAAAGCUUCCGCAUGAGCUUAAGAUAAUUAAAGAAAGAUUUUAUUUAAUUUGGAAUGCAUGUGCGGCAUUAAAGGAAGAAAUCAUUAAUUGGCCUUUUGCUUUGGAAGUCAAACGUGUGGCUAGCUUUCCAAUUUUAAUAAGGAAAUAAUAUACAAAGGAUUUGGCAUGUGAGAGUGAAUAUGGGCUUAAAGGAGGCGGUUUCCUAGCAAUUAUAAUUGGAGAAGAAUUCGGUCAACUAGCAUUAUAAAAGGGGGGAGCCGCCAAAGAGGAGGAAAAAGCAGAGUAUUCGGCAGAUGAGAGAAGAAAAAUAGCAGCAGCAGUUUAAUUCUUCAUGGCUGGAUUUUAUUUUAUUUGUUGUCCCAAUUUAAGUAUGUCUAGUUAAUUUUCUUAUACUGAGGUUAAGGAUGAAAUCCUAUUCAAUGAAAUAAUUAUCUUUUUAUUUAAUUAAUUCCCUACAUGCAUGCUUUGAUGAUUAUGAUUUUUGUUUCACAUAAUUAGUUGGAUGUUAUUAAAAUAUUUUCAUCAAUUCUGUCAUGCAUUAUUGAUUGUUAAGAUUAAUAUUCAAUUAAAUCUAUGCUUGAAUCUAUAAAGUUUAUACAUGAUUAUCUUUCAUUCUAUAUCUUUCAUUAAAGAGUUGGACUAUUGGCGCACCUCUAACUUUCUUGUUAAACCCAUUUUCUCUACAUAUUCUUUUUAAUUCCUAAAAUAACCCUCAUUUGUUGCACUUUCUUAAUAAACCCCUGUGUCGAUACUUUAAAAAAAAAUUGUUAGGCGCUCUCUCUCACCCUUCUCCCAUUCCAACCACUUUCAAUCUCUUCUUGAUUAUAGCAUCAUGAAUUUAUGAUUUUUAUCUAAAUCUGUUUUGUUUUUCCUAGUAGGUAAUAACCUUAGUAGAUACAUAAAGACAUGUGUGCGAAUCUUUAAAAAAAAAAAAUUGGAACUUCACAAAAUUAUCUUUCCUACAAAACCUUUAUUUAUAUUUAGAUCAAAUUCUUAUUCUAUGACAAAUCAUUGUUUUUUCAAAUUUUAUAGAUUUAAUGAGUUUAUAAUGGAGAAAAAAAUAAGAAAACAUAGGUGGGUUUAAUUAGACAAGUGUUAUUUUUAAUAUAAUUUAAAUAUAAAUGACAUAUUUGCAAAUAAAGAACAAGAGGGGUUUCAUAAGAGAUAUAGAGGGGUGCCAAUAGCGUCACUCUUCAUUAAAUUGUUUACACAGAGUGUUUAGGAAAACUUUAACUCUUUAUUAUUCAAUAUGUUUACAUGUGAUUCUUAGAUAUCAUACUAUUAAGUAGAAAAAGAACUUACAUUAAAUUUAAUUACUUAGGCUUAAUUGUUGUAUCCAUGCGAUGACAUAGAUUGAUUUCGAGUUGUCACUUUAAAAUUGGGGAUUAAUUAAUAUUUAGAUAAUUUCUAAUUGAAUAGUGGUGAAUUCUGAAACCUUGGUAAUUUUUGUCUUGUUGAAUUCUGUUUUACUUUAAUUGUUUUCUUAGUUUAAUUAGUUUAAUUUCUCUUAAAAAUUCAAAUUGCUCAACUAGGUUAGGAUUAAUAUUAAUUUUAGAUUUAAAUUAGACUUUUCAAUUUAUAACAAUCCCUGUGGGUUCGACCUCUUUACCACUAUUCUAUUUCUAGAUUCGUGCGCUUGCGAGUAUAUUAAAAUUUUUCACAACACUUCCUACCAAAUACUCAAGUCCAUACGUCAAUUUGUCUUUGAGAAAUACCUUUUUAACUUGGAAAUAUAUUUCAUAUUGAUAAGAAAUAACUAAUAUCAUUUUACUCAAUAUUUUUACUUAUAAAUUUUCAUUUUACUUACCAAUAAUACAUUAAUCUAUCAGUUUUAUGUUAAAUCUAUUUAUUUUACUUUUUAUUUAUAUUUUAUUAUGUUUCAUUUCUAAAAUUUAUAUUAUAUAUUGCACUUAAUGUUGAUUUUAGUAGUUUUAUGUUGUAUUUGUAGGUUUUAUUUUAUUUACUAGUGAUACAUUAAUUUAUCAAUUUUAUAUUAGUUUACUUUUUUUUAUCUUUCAUUUACAAAUCUUAUGUUUUAUUUCCAAAGUUUAUCUUUUGUUUUAUAGUUUACGAUAAUUUACUAGUUUUCAUACUAUAUUUACUAAUAUUCCUUUUAUUUACCAAUAGUACAUCAAUUUACCAUAUUUAUGUUAAUUUACUUAUUUUACCUUUUAUUUACAAGUUUUAUGUACCAUUCCCAAAAUUUAUGCUUUAUGUCCACUUAAAUUGAUUUACUAGCUUUAUACUAUAUUUGUAAGUUUUUGUUUUAUUUACCAAUAAUACAUUAAUCUACUAAUUUUGUAUUGAUUUACUUAUUUUAUCUUUCAUUUAUGUUUUACUUCUUAAUUUUAUGUAUAUUGAUUUAAAAAUUUUAUGUUAAAUUUACGAGUUUUAUGUUUUAUUUAUAUAAUUUAUAUUUAAUUACAAUAUUGAUAUUAUGACUUUAAUCACGACAUUAUAAAAUGACCUGAUAAGAAAAUAACUAAUAUCAUUUUUCUCAAAAGUUUUACUUAUAAAUUUUGGAUUUACGAUAAGCUUUAAAUGUUAAAAAUCUUUUUUAGAAAGUUACUUAAAAAAUCUAUAUAUUAUCUAAAAGAGUUGUACUAAAAUGCGAAAACUCGGCUCGUGCUGGUUCAACUCAAAAUGAAAUAUAUACAUAUACAUAUACAUAUACAUACAUAUAUAUAUAUAUAUGUAUAUCAGAGUUACAGAAUGUUAAUUUUUGUAAAUUGGUUGCAUUUCUCUUAGUACAACCAAGAUCGUGGAGUGUGUGUGUGUCCAAAAGAAUAAAUAAUUUUUAGACAAAUAAAAGCAAUAUUAAAUUGGUACGUGGUGUUGUUUUACCUGAACUAUACGGAACUUAAUCUGCCUUAGGGACCAGAUCUGACUUAGAACAGAUCAAUAUCCCGCAAGUUCGGGUUUUCAGCCAAUAUACUGAGAAAAUUAUACUCAAAGGCUCAUAGAUAGUACUAGAUCUGGAUCCCAGAAAUAGUACUUUGAUUGAAUGGAGGGAGAAGAGAAAUACAACUAAGGGCAGAGAUCCGGUCUCUAUGCCUUAGAGGAUAAGUAACAGUUUACAAAGGAAUUUAAAUAAAUUUUAAAUAAUUUACGAAAUUUAAAAACAUACAUGCUUUAUUAAAAUAUUGAAAUUGAAAUGCUUACAUGAGUUGCUUGAAUCCGAAAGCUUCUAUAAACAGAAAGUGUUUUACAGAAAGGGAUAGAAAGGAAAAUCAGAAGACAGGAAAACUUCCUCUAUGUCUUCAGUUCAUCUUUUCCUUGAGUGAGAGAGAGAGAGAAAUAUAGAGAUCUCCAAGAAGUGCCGAGUCCAAGAAGUGAUGAGUCUCAGUCUUCAUUCACUCCUUUAUACAAAAAUUGAUUUAUAAAAAGAAAAUGCUACAGCUGGUCUUCACAUGUGUUGGUGGAGAGUGGGGUCAACAACAGUAAAAGCAGUAUGAGCUUUUGGAACGUGGGAGACAGCAUUAUUUGAGGCAUCUUCGGCUUUGUAGACUUUUGGAAAUUCUUCACGUGAGUGGGUCCUUGAACUUUGGCAAAUGUCUUCACGAGGAGAGAUGCUUUACGAGGCAAUAGUUAUAUCUUUUGAAAACAUGGCACAUGUGCGGCCACACUUGUGUCUCAAAAGAUGUUUUCAAAAAAUAUUCGUAUCAUUUCUUUAUAGGAUGCUGAUGUUUUCUCGGGCAAUGAAGGCUUUACAAAGAAAUGUUGGAAAAUUACAAAGAAUAUACAAGCGAUAAUUACAGAGAAAAUACAGAAAUGGGAAAAUACUUUUUUUUAUUAUUUACAAUGCUUUAUCGGAGGCAGGAUUCCGAAGCAAUCGUCUUCGUUAUCAUCUCCAAGGGAAAUGAACGGCUCAGCAUCAUCAGAUUCAUCAGAAGAGCUUGCAAUGGAUGGUUCUGAUCUCGAGGCGAGAAGCUGCUGCAUUACUUUAAAAUAUUCCUCUUCAGUCUUUGCACUGGCCAACAGUGAUUGGGCCUUAGAUCUUUGGGCAAGGAAUGUGUUUUGGGCUUUGACAUCUUGAAUGUUUGGUGUGAGGAGGCCUUUUGAGGAAAGCCAAGCCUGAACUGUGGCUUCCGAAAGUUUGGACUUUUUAUCAAACUUAGACCACCAUUUAACUUUAAAGGUUCUUUGUAAAAUAAGUUGGGCUUCUUGAGUGUGGUAAUUGAAAUUCCACAUCCAGACCCAAGGAAGAAAGAAAUUUGUACAAAAGCAGAGAAAAUGAGGAAACCUCUUCUCAGACUCAGAAGGAACAUAAUGGGCUUUAAAAAGGUUUAAACAAUUUAUGGCAUUUGGGGUUAGGAUGUCUGGGCUUGGCCCAAAAUAGUUCCACCAUUGUUGGAACCAAUUUGGAAGGCUUUGAACGGUUAUUUUUUAGUUGAAGAAAAAUAACCAAGAGUGGGCCUUUUUGGGGUUUUGUAUAAAGAAUGUGUUAAACCAGGCCUGUUGAUAGUCACAGUAAGAGAAAAAUAAACAGUGUUUUAAAGUCUUUUGGAAAUUGGCGGGAAAGGUUUUUAGUUUGUGAAGUUUAUCACCCCACUGUUUUGGACUCAAAACUUUAAGAAUGGUAGCCAUGGAAUAGGCUGGCUCAGAAUGAGUUUCACUAAGGAAGAAAUGUUUGAAUUUAACAGACUCAGUGAACUCAAGGAUGCUUUGAUAGAAAGACUGGGGUUUUGACAAAUCUCAUGGUUUGAAAAACCAGCCUUUUGGGAAAAUCUUUGAAAUUGCUUGAAAAGGAUCAGAAUGAUAAAAUCCAUGUUCUAUAGAUAAAAUAUUUUGAUGAUGGGUUUUAUUAAACUAAUCCGAAGAUUUUUGUGAAAGCUUUGAUUGAGAAACAACAAUUUAUGAAGAAGAGCUUUCACAGGAAAUAACUUCUUUAGAAAAAGAAGGCUGUGAAAUUGUUUUGUCUUUCUCAGGAACUUGGGAAAGAGCUUUAUUUUGGGAAAUACUUUGUAAAGCUAACAUAAGUUCAGGGGACUUUGUAAUGGAAUUCAUCCAUUCUUUUACCUGCUCAUUUGAGGCAAUGGCUUUAGACUGUGCUUCCUGAUCUUCGAUCAUAUCAAUCCAUGAUUUUAUAGGCAUGGCAGAAGAAAGUAAUUUGUCUUUAAGGGGGGUUGUCUGAGUUUCUUUAGAGAGUGUUUGUGGUCCAGAGUCUUUAAGAAUGGCUUUGCCUUUGUCUUUCUUUUUGGGCGGCAUUAUCUGUUUUAAAAAAAUUCCCUGGUUAGAAAAUCAGGGAGAGAAUUUGUAUCUCCUUUAAUAAACUCAAUGUCAAAAUCGAAAACACUCAAAAUGGCUUGCCAUCGUGCAAAAAUUUGUUUUGAUGCAAUGUUUUGAACAUCUUUUUCUAAAACAUGUUUUGCAGCCUUGCAAUAAAUUCUAAGUAAAAAUUUUUGAUUUAACAAAUCACUUUGAAAUUUAGAUAUGCAUAAAACGAUAGAUAAAAUUUCUUUUUUGAUGGUAGAAUAAUUUCUUUGACAUUCAUUCCAAUGUGCAGAAACAUACUGUACUAUUUGUUCUUUAUUAUUAUCAAUUUGUUUUAGUAUUCCUCCAUAACCUAAAUCUGAUGCAUCAGUUUCAAGAAUCUUAGGUAAUGCAGGAUUAGCAAGAAAUAAGCAUGGGAUAUCUUUAAUAGAACUUUUUAUGAGCUUAACAAUUUUAGUGUGUUCAUCAGUCCAUGCAACAAGAUUUUUCUUUAAUCUAUCAUGCAAAAGUUUUGAAAUUCUAUUAAUAUUAAGGCAAAAAUCAAGAACAUAAUUUAAACUUCCUAAAAAUCUUUGCAAUUGUGUUUUAUCAAGGAUUUUAUCAGGAAAUUUGUCAGCAAAAACAAGAGAUCGCUCAAUAGGUGUAAUGGUUCCUUUGGAAAUGUAAUGACCAAGGAACUUGAUUCUUGUUUGAAAUAAAGAAACUUUAGAAUUAGAAAUGGCUAAACCAGCUUUCCUAGUGGCAAGAUAGAAAGUCUUUAAAUGUUUGAAAUAUUGGUCAAUUGUUUGAGAAAAGAUUAACACAUCAUCAAUAUAAACAAUACAGAAUUCAGAGAAAGGAUUAUAAAUAUCAUUCAUAAUCCUUUGAAAUUCUGAAGGCGCAUUCUUUAAUCCGAAUGGCAUAACAGUCCAUUCAUACUGUCCAAAAGGAACAGUAAAUGCAGUUUUAUAACGGUCUUUUGGAUGGAUUUGAAUUUGCCAAAAUCCAGAUUUCAUAUCAAAUUUUGAAAAGAUGAAAGCAGAAUGAAGUUUUUGAAGCAAAUCCUUUUUAUUAAGUAUGGGAUACCUAAUCCAUUUUAAUGCUUUAUUAAGGGGUUUGUAAUUAAUGACUAAUCUGGGUGUCCCUCUUUCUAUCUCAGAAUUUUUAUUGACAAAGAAAGCAGCACAAGACCAAGGAGACCUAGACUUGACUAUGAGGCCUUUAGAAACUAAAUCUUUUAUCUCAUCUCUGCAAUGUUGUUCUAAUUCCAUGUUCAUUUGGAUUGGACGAGCUUUGGUAGGUGUUGAUGCGAGAUUCCGGUUCUCCUCGUUCUACGACCAGGAUCUCUGCUCGAUCAACUUCAUUACGACCAGGGGGUCUCCUCGCAAGGCUUCUUCUCCAGAGGUUCCUGCGCACACACACAGGUCAGAGUACGACAGGCUUUGAGACUUUGUCGAGCCUUUGCAUGCCUUGGAUUCUUCGAGGAUUGGGAUUCUGCUCGCCUUCUCGUGGCCGAGCAGAUCCUGGCAUGCUUGGCUUCUGUCUCGCCAUAAGACAGGCAUUGAGACUUUGUCGAGCCUUUGCAUGCCUUUGAUUCUUCGAGGAUUGGGAUUCUGCUCGCCUUCUCGUGGCCGAGAAAAUCCCGGCAUGCUUGGCUUCUGUCUCGCCAUAACGCAGGCUUUGAGACUUUGUCGAGCCUUUGCGUGCCUUGGAUUCUUCGAGGAUUGGGAUUCUGCUCGCCUUCACGUGGCCGAGCAGAUCCUGGCAUGCUUGGCUUCUGUCUCGCCAUAAGACAGGCUUUGAGACUUUGUUGAGCCUUUGCAUGCCUUUGAUUCUAAAUGGAUUGGGAUUCUGCUCGCCUUCUCGUGGCCGAGCAGAUCCUGGCAUGCUUGGCUUCUGUCUCGCCAUAAGACAAGCUUUGAGACUUUGUCGAGCCUUUGCGUGCCUUCGAUUCUUCGAGGAUUGGGAUUCUGCUCGCCUUCUCGUGGCCGAGCAGAUCCUGGCACGCUUGGCUUCUGUCUCGCCAUAAGACAGGCUUUGAGACUUUGAUGAGCCUUUGAAUGCCUUUGAUUCUUCCAGGAUUAGGAUGCUGCUCGCCUUCUCGUGGCCGAGCAUAUCCUGGCAUGCUUGGCUUCUGUCUCGCCAUAAGACAGGCUUUGAGACUUUGUUGAGCCUUUGCAUGCCUUGGGAAUUUCUUCGAAUGCUUUGGAGUCUGCUCGCCUUCUCGUGGUCGAGCAGAUCCUGCCAUGCCUGGCUUCUGUCUCGCCAUAAGACAGGCUUUGAGACUUUGUUGAGCCUUUGCAUGCCUUGGAUUCUUCAAGGAUUGGGAUUCUGCUCGCCUUCUCGUGGCCGAGCAGAUCCUGGCAUGCUUGGCUUCUGUCUCGCCAUAACACAGGCUUUGAGACUUUGUUGAGCGUUUGCAUGCCUUUGAUUAUUCGAGGAUUGGGAUUCUGCUCGCCUUCUCGUGGCCGAGCAGGUCCCGGCAUGCUUGGCUUCUGUCUCGCCAGAAGACAGGCUUUGAGACUUUGUCGAGCCUUUGCAUGCCUUGGAUUCUUCGAGGAUUGCGAUUCUGCUCGCCUUCUCGUGGCCGAGCAGAUCCUGGCAUGCUUGGCUUCUGUCUCGCCAUAAGACAGGCUUUGAGACUUUGUUGAGCCUUUGCAUGCCUUGGGAAUUUCUUCGAAUGCUUUGGAGUCUGCUCGCCUUCUCAUGGCCGAGCAGAUCCUGGCAUGCUUGGCUUCUGUCUCGCCAUAAGACAGGCUUUGAGACUUUGUUGAGCCUUUGCAUGCCUUUGAUGAUUUCUUCAAAGCUUGGGAUUCUGCUAGCCUCCUCAUAGCCGAGCAGAUCCUGGCAUGCUUGGCUUCCGUCUCGCCAUAAGACAGGCUUUGAGACUUUGUUGAGCCUUUGCAUGCCUUGGAUUCUUCGAGGAUUGGGAUUCUGCUCGCCUUCUCGUGGCCGAGCAGAUCCUGGCAUGCUUGGCUUCUGACUCGCCAUAAGACAGGCUUUGAGACUUUGAUGAGCCUUUACAUGCCUUUGAUUCUUCAAGGAUUGGGAUGCUGCUCGCCUUCUCGUGGCCGAGCAGAUCCUGGCAUUCUUGGCUUCUGUCUCGCUAUAAGACAGGCUUUGAGACUUUGUUGAGCCUUUGCAUGCCUUUGAUGAUUUCUUCAAAGCUUGGGAUUCUGCUAGCCUCCUCAUAGCCGAGCAGAUCCUGGCAUGCUUGGCUUCUGUCUCGCCAUAAGACAGGCUUUGAGACUUUGUUGAGCCUUUGCAUGCCUUGGAUUCUUCGAGGAUUGGGAUUCUGCUCGCCUUCUCGUGGCCGAGCAGAUCCUGGCAUGCUUGGCUUCUGACUCCCCAUAAGACAGGCUUUGAGACUUUGAUGAGCCUUUGCAUGCCUUUAAUUCUUCAAGGAUUGGGAUGCUGCUCGCCUUCUCGUGGCCGAGCAGAUCCUGGCAUGCUUAGCUUCUGUCUCGCCAUAAGACAGGCUUUGAGACUUUGAUGAGCCUUUGCAUGCCUUGGGAAUUUCUUCGAAUGCUUUGGAGUCUGCUCGCCUUCUCGUGGCCGAGCAGAUACUGGCAUGCUUGGCUUCUGUCUCGCCAUAAGACAGGCUUUGAGACUUUGUUGAGCCUUUGCAUGCCUUUGAUUCUUCGAGGAAUGGGAUUCUGCUCGCCUUCUCGUGCCCGAGCAGAUCCUGGCAUGCUUGGCUUCUGUCUCGCCAUAAGACAAGCUUUGAGACUUUGUCGAGCCUUUGCGUGCCUUUGAUUCUUCGAGGAUUGGGAUUCUGCUCGCCUUCUCGUGGCCGAGCAGAUCCUGGCACGCUUGGCUUCUGUCUCGCCAUAAGACAGGCUUUGAGACUUUGAUGAGCCUUUGAAUGCCUUUGAUUCUUCCAGGAUUGGGAUGCUGCUCGCCUUCUCGUGGCCGAGCAUAUCCUGGCAUGCUUGGCUUCUGUCUCGCCAUAAGACAGGCUUUGAGACUUUGUUGAGCCUUUGCAUGCCUUGGGAAUUUCUUCGAAUGCUUUGGAGUCUGCUCGCCUUCUCGUGGUCUAGCAGACCCUGGCAUGCUUGGCUUCUGUCUCGCCAUAAGACAUGCUUUGAGACUUGGUGAGCCUUUGCAUGCCUCAGGAAUUUCUUCGAAUGCUUUGGAGUCUGCUCGCCUUCUCGUGGUCGAGCAGAUCCUGGCAUGCUUGGCUUCUGUCUCGCCAUAAUACAGGCUUUAAGACUUUGUUGAGCCUUUGCAUGCCUUGGAUUCUUCGAGGAUUGGGAUUCUGCUCGCCUUCUCGUGGUCGAGCAGACCCUGGCAUGCUUGGCUUCUGUCUCGCCAUAAGACAUGCUUUGAGACUUGGUGAGCCUUUGCAUGCCUCAGGAAUUUCUUCGAAUGCUUUGGAGUCUGCUCGCCUUCUCGUGGUCGAGCAGAUCCUGGCAUGCUUGGCUUCUGUCUCGCCAUAAGACAGGCUUUGAGACUUUGUUGAGCCUUUGCAUGCCUUGGAUUCUUCGAGGAUUGGGAUUCUGCUCGCCUUCUCGUGGCCGAGCAGAUCCUGGCAUGCUUGGCUUCUGUCUCGCCAUAAGAUAGGCUUUGAGACUUUGAUGAGCCUUUGCAUGCCUUGGGAAUUUCUUCGAAUGCUUUGGAGUCUGCUCGCCUUCUCAUGGUCGAGCAGAUCCUGGCAUGCUUGGCUUCUGUCUCGCCAUAAGACAGGCUUUGAGACUUUGUUGAGCCUUUGCAUGCCUUUGAUUCUUCGCGGAUUGGGAUUCUGCUCGCCUUCUCGUGGCCGGGCAGAUCCUGGCAUGCUUGGCUUCUGUCUCGCCAUAAGACAGGCUUUGAGACUUGAUGAGCAUUUGCAUGCCUUAUUAGUAAACCUUGAUUGGCUUCUCAACGCUAGCCUAGCUCUCUUUUCUUAAAUUAUUCUUACAUUGAGCACAAUCAAUUUAAUGAAUAUCAGAUAUCCUUAUCUCACAUAGCAGAAUUUAGAGAAAUAAUUAAAUUUUCAUAGAAAAAACUGCUUUUAAAUCAAAAUAUAACUUCUGACCUGUUCCGAUUCCUACAGAUGUGUGCCUUCGAUGUGCUCUUAUUUGAGGUUUUUUCUUGAAAUCCUUAAAUAUGGAUUUGCUCUGCAAAUUGAUCAACUGGGAUUGUGCUCUGGGUUUAGAUCUUGGCUCCUGGGCAGCAUUCUCUCAAGCACAUAUGUAGUAUAUGUAGUGUAAUCAGCAACAAACUCACUUUUGAACUUUCAUAUCCCUUGAGACGAUUUAACGAACAGCUCCUGAUUGAAUUUUAACAAUUCUGCCUCAACUUGUAAUGAACCGAGUUUCAUACCAGAAUUGUCUAAAUACUUUCCUUUAUAUCUUUACAGGUAAGCAUUCCAUCCAGCCUUGAUUGGUUUCCGUGUUUGAGCCAGCUUAUCAAUCGGUGCAUGAUAAUAUUCUGCCUUUGGCUUAGCCAGAUGAAAAAUCGGUGGAGACAAGAAGUUGGCUUUUGUACCGAGUCCCCACAGACGGCGCCAAAAUGUUGAUGCGAGAUUCUGGUUGUCCUCGUUUUACGACCAGGGUCUCUGCUCGAUCAACUUCACCUCGACCAGGAUCUCUCCUCGUAAAGCUUCUUCUCCAGAGGUUCCCUUUUGUUGAUGCGAGAUUCCGGUUCUCCUCGUUCUACGACUAGGAUCUCUGCUCGAUCAACUUCAUCACGACCAGGGGGUCUCCUCGCAAGGCUUCUUCUCCAGAGGUUUCUGCGCACACAGACAGGUCAGAGUACGCCGAUUGUUUUCCCGGCGCAAACCCUCCGACACUCAAGUCAGAUAUGAAGUGUUGAUGCGAGAUUCUGGUUGUCCUCGUUUUACGACCAAGGUCUCUGCUCGAUCAACUUCACCUCGACCAGGAUCUCUCCUCGUAAAGCUUCUUCUCCAGAGGUUCCCUUUUGUUUAUGCGAGAUUCCGGUUCUCCUCGUUCUACGACCAGGAUCUCUGCUCGAUCAACUUCAUCACGACCAGGGGGUCUCCUCGUAAGGCUUCUUCUCCAGUGGUUCCUGCGCACACAGACAGGUCAGAGUACGCCGGUUGUUUUCCCGGCGCAAACCCUCCGACGCUCAAGUCAGAUAUGAAGGUUCGGGGAACGCUUGCCACAAAUCUUAUGGCUGUUAGGUUGUUUUCUCUCUUUUAGAAUUUCUUUUCUAAUCUCAAAAAUGCUAACCCCUUUACCUUCGUUGGCUACCUUUUUAUAGGCUUCCUCUGAAUCCCAGUUUUUCGCUUUUUUCGAGACGGUAUGGGACUCUGACUGCUGCGUUAUGGGCAAGCGUGGGAUCUUGCGUGUUACGCCACGGUUCUGGGGAAAGCGUGGCUGUCGUGCCUAGAUUCUCGGGCUGGAGAACGUGUCUUGCCAACUGCCGUCGACCGGGUCCCCUCGCCUCUCGACCUCUAGCCGGAAUGGCCUUAUGCCUCUUACAGGAAAUUUGCCUCGCGGAUGACGUGCUCGUGGACGAGCAGGAUAUUUCUGCUCCUGUUCCCCCGCGCACCAGGCUUUUACGGAACACACCGGUUCGCAGAACUCUGCCAUCAGAUAUCUGCUCACCAUGCCUGGUCUCGUCGACGUAUUUCUCCCAAACACCGGUCCCCCAGUUUCUGGUGUUGGGUAAUGUAGUAGACCAGCAGUAGAAACGCGUUAGUACUCGCUCGCGUGGGAUUGGAAAAGGCUGCCAAGAAUCACGUCGCAUUUAAUUGCGGACGAGGUGACGUGGCAGAAAUCCCCCUCUCCAUUUGAAUUUCAAACCGACGGUUAUGAGACCCUCGGGAUUCGGCGCUGUUAAAUGCUGGCAACCCUAGAGUCCGUCCUCAUUAGGAAAACCAAAUCCUCUCUGUUAAUUAUUAACAAAUUAAUAAAAAUAUUUUUUGAUUACUUUCUUGUGUUGUAAUUAUGAAUUAAUUUUCGUUUGAGAAUCUGCUUGUCUUUGUCUAGACGAGCAGGUUCCGGCUUUGCUCAUGGUUUUGCCACAUGCCUUUGAAGAUUCUUCAAUGCCUGGGAUUCGGCUCGCCUUCGCGCGGUCGAGCAGAUCCUGGCACGCUUGGCAUCUGUCUCGGCAUAAAACAGGCUUUGAGACUUGGUGAGCCAUCGCAUGCCUCAGGAAUUUCUUCGAAUGCUUUGGAGUCUGCUCGCCUUCUCGUGGUCGAGCAGAUCCUGGCAUGCUUGGCUUCUGUCUCGCCAUAAAACAGGCUUUGAGACUUUGUCGAGCCUUUGUAUGCCUUGGAUUCUUCGAGAAUUGGGAUUCUGCUAACCUUCUCGUGGCCGAGCAGAUCCUGGCAUGCUUGGCUUUUGUUUCGCCAUAAGACAGGCUUUGAGACUUUGUCGAGCCUUUGCAUGCCUUUGAUUCUUCGAGGAUUGGGAUUCUGCUCGCCUUCUCGUGGCCGAGCAGAUCCUGGCAUGCUUGGCUUCUGUCUCGCCAUAAGACAGGCUUUGAGACUUUGUUGAGCCUUUGCAUGCCUUUGAUUCUUCGAGGAUUGGGAUUCUGCUCGCCUUCUCGAGGCCGAGCAGAUCCUGGCAUGCUUUGGCUUCUGUCUCGCCAUAAGACAAGCUUUGAGACUUUGUCGAGCCUUUGCGUGCCUUUGAUUCUUCGAGGAUUGGGAUUCUGCUCGCCUUCUCGUGGCCGAGCAGAUCCUGGCACGCUUGGUUUCUGUCUCGCCAUAAGACAGGCUUUGAGACUUUGAUGAGCCUUUGCAUGCCUUUGAUUCUUCAAGGAUUGGGAUGCUGCUCGCCUUCUCGUGGCCGAGCAAAUCCUGGCAUGCUUGGCUUCUGUCUCGCCAUAAGACAGGCUUUGAGACUUUGUUGAGCCUUUGCAUGCCUUGGGAAUUUCUUCGAAUGCUUUGGAGUCUGCUCGCCUUCUCGUGGUCGAGCAGAUCCUGGCAUGCUUUGCUUCUGUCUCGCCAUAAGACAGGCUUUGAGACUUUGUUGAGCCUUUGCAUGCCUUGGAUUCUUCGAGGAUUGGGAUUCUGCUCGCCUUCUCGUGGCCGAGCAGAUCCUGGCAUGCUUGGCUUCUGUCUCGCCAUAAGACAGGCUUUGAGACUUUAUUGAGCGUUUGAAUGCCUUUGAUUAUUCGAGGAUUGGGAUUCUGCUCGCCUUCUCGUGGCCGAGUAGGUCCCGGCAUGCUUGGCUUCUGUCUCGCCAUAAGACAGGCUUUGAGACUUUGUCGAACCUUUGCAUGCCUUUGAUUCUUCGAGGAUUGGGAUUCUGCUCCCCUUCUCAUGGCCGAGCAGAUCCCGGCAUGCUUGGCUUCUGUCUCGCCAUAAGACAGGCUCUGAGACUUUGUCGAGCCUUUGCAUGCCUUAGAUUCUUCGAGGAUUGGGAUUCUGCUCGCCUUCUCGUGGCCGAGCAGAUCCUGGCAUGCUUGGCUUCUGUCUCGCCAUAAGACAGGCUUUGAGACUUUGAUGAGCCUUUGCAUGCCUUGGGAAUUUCUUCGAAUGCUUUGGAGUCUGCUCGCCUUCUCGUGGUCGAGCAGAUCCUGGCUUGCUUGGGUUCUGUCUCGCCAUAAGACAGGCUUUGAGACAUUGUCGAGCCUUUGCAUGCCUUGGAUUCUUCGAGGACUGGGAUUCUUCUCGCCUACUCGUGGCCGAGCAGAUCCUGGCAUGCUUGGCUUCUGUCUCGCCAUAAGACAGGCUUUGAGACUUUGUCGAGCCUUUGCAUGCCUUUGAUUCUUCGAGGAUUGGGAUUCUGCUCGCCUUCUCGUGGCCGAGCAGAUCCCGGCAUGCUUGGCUUCUGUCUCGCCAUAAGACAGGCUUUGAGACUUUGUCGAGCCUUUGCAUGCCUUGGAUUCUUCGAGGAUUGGGAUUCUGCUCGCCUUCUCGUGGCCGAGCAGAUCCUGGCAUGCUUGGCUUCUGUCUCGCCAUAAGACAGGCUUUGAGACUUUGUUGAGCCUUUGCAGGCCUUGGGAAUUUCUUCGAAUGCUUUGGAGUCUUCUCGCCUUCUCGUGGUCAAGCAGAUCCUGGCAUGCUUGGCUUUUGUCUCGCCAUAAGACAGGCUUUGAGACUUUGUUGAGCCUUUGCAUGCCGUGGAUUCUUCGAGGAUUGGGAUUCUGCUCGCCUUCUCGUAGCCGAGCAGAUCCCGGCAUGCAUGGCUUCUGUCUCGCCAUAAGACAGGCUUUGAGACUUUGUCGAGCCUUUGCAUGCCUUGGAUUCUUCAAGGAUUGGAAUUCUGCUCGCCUUCUCGUGGCCGAGCAGAUCUCGGCAUGCUUGGCUUCUGUCUCGCCAUAAGACAGGCUUUGAGACUUUGUCGAGCCUUUGCAUGCCUUUGAUUCUUCGAGGAAUUGGAUUCUGCUCGCCUUCUCGGGGCCGAGCAGAUCCCGGCAUGCUUGGCUUCUGUCUCGCCAUAAGACAGGCUUUGAGACUUUGAUGAGCUUUUGCAUGCCUUUGAUUCUUCAAGGAAUGGGAUGCUGCUCGCCUUCUUGUGGCCGAGCAGAUCCUGGCAUGCUUGGCUUCUGUCUCGCCAUAAGACAGGCUUUGAGACUUUGUUGAGCCUUUCCAUGCCUUUGAUGGAUUCUUCGAGGAUUGGGAUUCUGCUCGCCUUCUCGUGGCCGAGCAAAUCCUGGCAUGCUUGGCUUCUGUCUCGCCAUAAGACAGGCUUUGAGACUUUGAUGAGCCUUUGCAUGCCUUUGAUUCUUCGAGGAUUUGGAUUCUGCUCGCCUUCUCGUGGCCGAGCAGAUCCCGGCAUGCUUGGCUUCUGUCUCGCCAUAAGACAGGCUUUGAGACUUUGUCGAGCCUUUGCAUGUCUUGGAUUCUUCGAGGAUUGGGAUUCUGCUCGCCUUCUCGUGGCCGAGCAAAUCCUGGCAUGCUUGGCUUCUGUCUCGCCAUAAGACAGGCUUUGAGACUUUGAUGAGCCUUUGCAUACCUUUGAUUCUUCCAGGAUUGGGAUGCUGCUCGACUUCUCGUGGCUGAGCAGAUCCUGGCAUGCUUGGCUUCUGUCUCGCCAUAAGACAGGCUUUGAGACUUUGAUGAGCCUUUGCAUGCCUUGCGAAUUUCUUCGAAUGCUUUGGAGUCUGCUCGCCUUCUCGUGGUCGAGCAGACCCUGCCAUGCUUGGUUUCUGUCUCGCCAUUAGACAGGCUUUGAGACUUUGUCGAGCCUUUGCAUGCCUUUGAUUCUUCGAGGAUUGGGAUUCUGCUCGCCUUCUUGUGGCCGAGCAGAUCCUGGCUUGCUUGGCUUCUGUCUCGCCAUAAGACAGGCUUUGAGACUUUGUUGAGCCUUUGCAUGCCUUGGGAAUUUCUUCGAAUGCUUUGGAGUCUGCUCGCCUUCUCGUGGUCGAGCAGAUCCUGGCAUGCUUGGCUUCUGUCUCGCCAUAAGACAGGCUUUGAGACUUUGUCGAGCCUUUACAUGCCUUAGAUUCUUCAAGGAUUGGGAUUCUGCUCGCCUUCUCGUGGCCGAGCAGAUCCUGGCAUGCUUCGCUUCUGUCUCGCCAUAAGACAGGCUUUGAGACUUUGUCGAGCCUUUGCAUGUCUUGGAUUCUUCGAGGAUUGGGAUUCUGCUCGCCUUCUCGUGGCCGAGCAAAUCCUGGCAUGCUUGGCUUCUGUCUCGCCAUAAGACAUGCUUUGAGACUUUGUCGAGCCUUUGCAUGCCUUGGAUUCUUCGAGGAUUGGGAUUCUGCUCGCCUUCUCGUGGCCGAGCAGAUCCUGGCAUGCUUGGCUUCUGUCUCGCCAUAAGACAGGCUUUGAGACUUUGUUGAGCCUUUGCAUGCCUUUGAUUAUUCGAGGAUUGGGAUUCUGCUCGCCUUCUCGUGGCCGAGCAGUUCCCGGCAUGCUUGACUUCUGUCUCGCCAUAAGACAGGCUUUGAGACUUUGUCGAGCCUUUGCAUGCCUUGGUUUCUUCGAGGAUUGGGAUUCUGCUCGCCUUCUCAUGGCCGAGCAGAUCCUGGCAUGCUUGGCUUCUGUCUCGCCAUAAGACAAGCUUUGAGACUUUGAUGAGCCUUUGCAUGCCUUUGAUUCUUCAAGGAAUGGGAUGCUGCUCGCCUUCUCGUGGCCGAGCAGAUCCUGGCAUGCUUGGCUUCUGUCUCGCCAUAAGACAGGCUUUGAGACUUUGUUGAGCCUUUGCAUGCCUUUGAUGAUUUCUUCAAAGCUUGGGAUUCUGCUAGCCUCCUCGUGGCCGUGCAGAUCCUGGCAUGCUUGGCUUCUGUCUCGCCAUAAGACAGGCUUUGAGACUUUGUUGAGCCUUUGCAUGCCUUGGAUUCUUCGAGGAUUGGGAUUCUGCUAGCCUCCUCGUGGCCGUGCAGAUCCUGGCAUGCUUGGCUUCUGUCUCGCCAUAAGACAGGCUUUGAGACUUUGUUGAGCCUUUGCAUGCCUUUGAUUCUUCAAGGAUUGGGAUACUGCUCGCCUUCUCGUGGCCGAGCAGAUCCUGGCAUGAUUGGCUUCUGUCUCGCCAUAAGACAGGUUUUGAGACUUUGAUGAGCUUUUGCAGGCCUUGUGAAUUUCUUCGAAUGCUUUGGAGUCUGCUCGCCUUCUCGUGGUCGAGCAGACCCUGGCAUGCUUGGCUUCUGUCUCGCCAUAAGACAUGCUUUGAGACUUGGUGAGCCUUUGCAUGCCUCAGGAAUUUCUUCGAAUGCUUUGGAGUCUGCUCGCCUUCUCGUGGUCGAGCAGAUCCUGGCAUGCUUGGCUUCUAUCUCGCCAUAAGACAGGCUUUGAGACUUUGUCGAGCCUUUGCAUGCCUUCGAUUCUUCGAGGAUUGGGAUUCUGCUCGCCUUCUCGUGGCCGAGCAGAUCCUGGCAUGCUUGGCUUCUGUCUCGCCAUAAGACAGGCUUUGAGACUUUGUCGAGCCUUUGCAUGCCAUGGAUUCUUCGAGGAUUGGGAUUCUGCUCGCCUUCUCGUGGCCGAGCAGAUCCUGGCAUGCUUGGCUUCUGUCUCGCCAUAAGACAGGCUUUGAGACUUUGAUGAGCCUUUGCUUGCCUUGGGAAUUUCUUCGAAUGCUUUGGAGUCUGCUCACCUUCUCGUGGUCGAGCAGAUCCUGGCAUGCUUGGCUUCUGUCUCGCCAUAAGACAGGCUUUGAGACUUUGUUGAGCCUUUGCAUUCCUUUGAUUCUUCGCGGAUUGGGAUUCUGCUCUCCUUCUCGUGGCCGAGCAGAUCCUGGCAUGCUUGGCUUCUGUCUCGCCAUAAGACAAGCUUUGAGACUUUGUCGAGCCUUUGCAUGCCUUGGGUUCUUCGAGCAUUGGGAUUCUGCUCGCCUUCUCGUGGCCGAGCAGAUCCUGGCAUGCUUGGCUUCUGUCUCGCAAUAAGACAGGCUUUGAGACUUUGAUGAGCCUUUGCAUGCCUUUGAUUCUUCCAGGAUUGGGAUGCUGCUCUCCUUCUCGUGGGCGAGCAGAUCCUGGCAUGCUUGGCUUCUGUCUCGCCAUAAGACAGGCUUUGAGACUUUAUGAGCCUUUGCAUGCCUUAUUAGUAAACCUUGAUUGGCUUCUCAACGCUAGCCUAACUCUCUUUUCUUAAAUUAUUCUCAUAUUGAGCACAAUCAAUUUAAUGAAUAUCAGAUAUCCUUAUCUCACAUAGCAGAAUUUAGAGAAAUAAUUAAAUUUUCAUAGAAAAAACUGCUAUUAAAUCAAAAUAUAACUUCUGACCUGUUCCGAUUCCUACAGAUGUGUGACCUUUGCAUGCCUUAUUAGUAAACCUUGAUUGGCUUCUCAACGCUAGCCUAGCUCUCUUUUCUUAAAUUAUUCUCAUAUUGAGCACAAUCAAUUUAAUGAAUAUCAGAUAUCCUUAUCUCACAUAGCAGAAUUUAGAGAAAUAAUUAAAUUUUCAUAGAAAAAACUGCUUUUAAAUCAAAAUAUAACUUCUGACCUGUUCCGAUUCCUACAGAUGUGUGCCUUCGAUGUGCUCUUAUUUGAGGUUUUUUCUUGAAAUCCUUAAAUAUGGAUUUGCUCUGCAAAUUGAUCAACUGGGAUUGUGCUCUGGGUUUAGAUCUUGGCUCCUGGGCAGCAUUCUCUCAAGCACAUAUGUAGUAUAUGUAGUGUAAUCAGCAACAAACUCACUUUUGAACUUUCAUAUCCCUUGAGACGAUUUAACGAACAGCUCCUGAUUGAAUUUUAACAAUUCUGCCUCAACUUGUAAUGAACCGAGUUUCAUACCAGAAUUGUCUAAAUACUUUCCUUUAUAUCUUUACAGGUAAGCAUUUCAUCCAGCCUUGAUUGGUUUCCGUGUUUGAGCCAGCUUAUCAAUCGGUGCAUGAUAAUAUUCUGCCUUUGGCUUGGCCAGAUGAAAAAUCGGUAGAGACAAGAAGUUGGCUUUUGUACCGAGUCCCCACAGACGGCGCCAAAAUGUUGAUGCGAGAUUUUGGUUGUCCUCGUUUUACGACCAGGGUCUCUGCUCGAUCAACUUCACCUCGACCAGGACCUCUCCUCGUAAAGCUUCUUCUCCAGAGGUUCCCUUUUGUUGAUGCGAGAUUCCGGUUCUCCUCGUUCUACGACCAGGAUCUCUGCUCGAUCAACUUCAUCACGACCAGGGGGUCUCCUCGCAAGGCUUCUUCUCCAGAGGUUUCUGCGCACACAGACAGGUCAGAGUACGCCGGUUAUUUUCCCGGCGCAAACCCUCCGACGCUCAAGUCAGAUAUGAAGGUUCGGGGAACGCUUGCCACAAAUCUUAUGGCUGUUAGGUUCUUUUCUCUCUUUUAGAAUUUCUUUUCUAAUCUCAAAAAUGCUAACCCCUUUACCUUCGUUGGCUACCUUUUUAUAGGCUUCCUCUGAAUCCCAGUUUUCCGCUUUUUUCGAGACGGUAUAGGACUCUGACUGCUGCGUUAUGGGCAAGUGUGGGAUCUUGCGUGUUACGCCACGGUUCUGGGGAAAGCGUGGCUGUCGUGCCUAGAUUCUCGGGCUGGAGAGCGUGUCUUGCCAACUGCCGUCGACCGGGUCUCCUCGCCUCUCGACCUCUAGCCGGAAUGGCCUUAUGCCUCUUACAGGAAAUUUGCCUCGCGGAUGACGUGCUCGUGGACGAGCAGGAUAUUUCUGCUCCUGUUCCCCCGCGCACCAGGCUUUUACGGAACACACCGGUUCGCAGAACUCUGCCAUCAGAUAUCUGCUCACCAUGCCUGGUCUCGUCGACGUAUUUCUCCCAAACAGUAGGUAUUUGCUUUUCAUCAAAAGAAUUUUCAUAAGGCAAAUCAACUAAAUGUUGUUUUCUGUUCCAAAAAGCAGAUGGUAGAUCCGCGCAUAUUUCUUUUUCAAUGAGGUCUUUAAAAUCAGAGAUUUUUCUUUUUACAAAUUCAUUUUGUAAUUGGUUUUCAAUUCUUUGUAAACUCAAAUCCUUUUUUAAACAAAUCAUAUCAUUUUGUUUUGAUUUGAAGAGUGUAUUGAUUUGGUUCUGGUAAACAGAACAAGCUUUAACUAUAUUCAAAUUUCUUGUUUUAAGUUUCUCAAUAAAAGGAAAAACAAGUUUUUUGGUUUUUGCUUUAAAGGAUAUACUAUCAUAGUUGACAGUAUAAGGAGUAAUGAGAUUUAUAAAGGGGGUUCCUAAAAUGACAGUAUGGUGUAUGUCAUUUGUAAGAAUGAAUGAAGUCUUGAAUUCAAAAUUAUUGUUAUGAAUAGAGGCUUCAACUUUAGAUUUAACAUUAAGUUUUGAAUUAUUAGCGGCAGAAAGUCUUUCAUUCGUUUGUUCAUGAAACCUUCUAGGGACAAUAUCUUCUUUUAUGCAAUUUAAAUCAACACCAGUGUCAAAAAGGGCAAUGGUGUCAAUUUCAAAAUCUUUGAAAAAAAUCAAGGUAAUUUUAAUCAAAUACUUUCUCGUGGUGAUUUGCUUUAAAACAAACAGAAAAUCAUUGGGUAUAGAUUCAAUGUUUUCUAGGCUUUGUUCUUCAUUAUCACCAUCAUUUGAUUCUUUAUCAGAAUUAUCUUGUAAUUGUUUUUGUAAGAAGAGUUGGAUGGUUUCAGAAUCAUUCUUUUGUUUUUCUUUUAAUUCCUUUAUCUCAAGUUUGAUUUCUUUAAUCUCUCUUUGAAGGUCUUGGAUAUUGGGAACUGUUUUCUUUGUUUUCUUUUUUUCCAAGAUAUCAGUUAGGUCAUAAGUAUUCUUUUUAAUGGUAGGGGCUUUAGAAGUUUCUAUUUUAUCUCUUAAUUUUAAGGUUUUUAAAAGCUUAUCUAGAUACUCUUUUUGAAGAGUAGGGUCAGAAAUGUGUUUAACUAGCUCAAGGAAAGUUUCUUGUUCUUUGGUUAACAUAUUGAGUUUUUUUGUUUUUAAAUAGGAUUCUGUGUCAGAAUCACUAUCACUAGAUACAGAUGUGUCUGAGUUAAUUAACUCAUCAACCUGUAGAGGCUCACUAUUUCCUGACAUGGAAAACUCAGAGUCAGAGGACUCUACAAGCAAAGAGGCCACUUUAGAGAAAAUCUCUUCACCUAGGUCAAGUUCAUGGAGCUUUCUGCUCAUUCUACAGAAUUUUGCUAUGGUAUCUUUCUUUUUAGUGAAAUUAGGUUUCCUAUAAGGCUUCGAUGGUUUUCUAUAGGAAGGUUCUCUAAACUCGUGGAAAGGCUUCCUAUGGCUUUUAGACUUGUAAUGUUUCUUGUAAGGUUUCGAAGAACACUUACCAUUACAAUCUCUAGAAGUGGAGGCUUUAAAAGGGUCAUAGUUAAACUGUUUACAGAAACUACCUAGUUCUUGCUUAGACUGUCUAAGCUCCCAUUUUAAUCGUUUCUGUAAUUUCAAGUCCUGACAAAUCUUUAAUCCUUCUUUGUUUAUGAAACUGACAAGUUCACCGUAGGUGAGCUCAUCGUAGGGAAUACGGUUGUCAUAAAGGGCUUUAAUAGAAUUUCUAACCUUUUCUCCUAAUAGAAUAGGUAAACCUGCAAGGAAUUUUUCCUUCCAAGUUAUAUGAUUUGCAUCAUCCCUAAGGAAAAGUCUGGUAAAUAAUGUAGUUUUGUAGCUUUGGAAUUCACUAAGCUUCCUACAUCUCAGGUUGUGUAGUAACUCAGCGUUCUUGUCCCUAAGGUGUGAAAGAUAACCUAUGAAAUGAAGGGAUAUAGUCAGAAUCAGGGUAGCAACAGCAUCCUGAAUAGGACUAUUAAAUUCAUCACAGAUGGGUGCUCUAUUUUCAUCUGUCUGAAUGGCAUGAUGAAUGUCUAAUUGUUGUUGUUUGGUGAGAAGAUGAUCCCACCAACCUUUUAGUUGACCAGUAAAACCAGCAAUGAGAAUUUCUGCAAUGGCUUUGUCAGAAGUUCCCGACUGAGUUUUAUAAGCAUUAGCUGCCAUGGUCAUCUAUUGCAACAGUCCUAAGAUGCUGUAUUCAGACAUACCAUCAAUGUUCCACUCAUAAACAGAGGAUGCAUUAAAGCGAGAUUGGUUUAAUGCACUAGGUCUGUUGUCUAUGGCUAAGUCAGGUGGAGACUUGACGGUAGGAAGGGCUAAUUCCCAAUGAAUUUUAUUGGCUUUAGGAACAGGUUCUUCUUUAAAAGCUUCUAUAUCAGAAGAGGCUAUAGACAUAUUGUCUUAUUCUAGUACACCAAUUUUACUAGAUUGGGCAAUAUCAGGAGCUAUUUGGAUUUUACUAGACGAGGAAGAAGAAGCUUCGAUCCUAUCUAGUUGUUCUCUAAUGGCUUUAGCAAAAUUUGAUUUUGACUCCUGGACGAGCUUUUGGCUAGUUUUCAAAACCUGAAAAGGUUUGAAAAUAGGUUCCUUAAGCUUUUUGUCAGAAUCUGAUUUUGAAGUAACAGGAGAAACAGUUACGGUUGACUUCUGGAAUUGGUUUUCUAUCCUAGUCAACUGUUUUCCUAGUGUAUUUAGGUUAACAUUAUAGAAAUUAUUCUGUUGAAUAAUGCUGCCUAAAUUUGUCUCUGGAUCAUUUGGUUUAUGGAUUUUAUAGGGUGAAGCUUUAAUCUCAACAUGAGGCACACCAUGGUCAAUGGUCAAACUCUUAAGAGGUGGAUGUUCAGAUUCUAUAGUUCUGUCACUGUCAGAAAGAUUCCACUCAGUGAUCUUUUUUCUAACUGUGAUCGGGUUAGUUUAUUUAAAGGGAUAUGUAAUGUUAUGAUCAGAAGCAUACAUAUCAAACCAAUCAAAAAACAAUAUACGAACUUUAUGUAGAUUUACAAAUUGAUAAUAAGUUUCUUGUAUUUCUUUUCUCUGGUUUAAGAAAUUCUUGAAAAACCAAAGUCUUUUUUCUUUGUUAUUAUCAGAAUAAAAAUCUGUAUGAAGAAGGGUUUUAUUUAGCUCAAAUUCUUUUUCGAGGACAUUUAUUACAUUUUCCGUGACAGCGGAGAAUGUAGGAGAAGUUGGAGGAGAAGGUUCCUUCUCUUCCUGGCUUUGUUCAUGUUGACGGCUAGUGUAAAUGGGGUGUGGAACACUAGUAGUAUAGUCAACAGAAUGUAUAGAAGAACUAGGUCUAUCCGAAGUGGAAAACCUAGGUUGACUUUUUACUGGUUGGAAAGGGAGAUUGAUAAAGGAAGGAAUCUUUGUAAAUUUCCUUUCCAAUGAAGGAAUACUUGAGCAUGAAUCCUUAUUAGAGAAUCUAGAAGAUGUAGAUCUCCUAAAGGACAGUUUAACUUUCCCAUCAGAAUACCGAGUCACAUUCUGUAACUUUGUAUUAGGCUCAAGUUGUUUUGGAAUCACUGGUGCAGUGGCUCCUUCAAGAAUCCAUUCGUCUGGAAGAUUGACAUGUUUCUAUUGGAUUGGUUUUGGAAUAACGGUGUUGGCUUUAGAGAGGUCAGUCUGCAAGAGAAGAGUCUCAUCUCUUUUCGACUGAAAUUUAUGUUGCGUACUAAACGCAUAAAUCAUAGCUUUGUAUGAAAUUUAAAAAUUAAGGCAACUGGGACAGAUCCCUCAAUCAUGUGAUAAUUAUGGGUCUUGAUUUGCAAGAUCAUGCUUUUUAGAAUGUUUUUGUCUUUUAGAGAAAUUGUUAUGUUCGGAUUAUAGUUGAAUGAGAUGGGACCUUUACAAAGACUUGAUUCUAUAUUACUUAGUAAAGAAUCAUCAAAAGAGAUGAAUCGCCCAUCUCUUAAGACAGCAAGGAUAAAGAUAUUAAGACCUUCUUUUGUUAAGGGUUUUAUACCAACUUGUAUUAAGCCGAUGUGAACAUAACUAAAAUUUUUAUCUUUUAAUUUCUUUAAAGAGUGUUCUGAAAAUAGGUGAAUAGUUUCAAAUGGUUUUGAAAGGGUUAUAUCACGUUCUUCAGUUUUUAUAACAUAAUCAUUCUUUAAAAAAUCAAGCUUUUUUGUUUUAUAAAUCAUUUCUUUAGAUAUCUUUGGUAAAUCCCAAUUAUCAAUUACUUUAUUAAAGUCUUCAAUUACAAAUUCUUCCGAAUUCACAACAUUCUUUGAAUCACUAGUUUUUCCAGAAGAAGAACUAGAAAAGGACGAUGCUCUACAGAGUAGAGAAUCCAUGGGUAAAAACCUAUAUUCUAGUUUUAGUCCUGUAGGUAUGGUUACAAUCCAAGGCUAAGAAUUGGUUUUACUGCCCUUCAACCAAAUCGGGACUUACGACCAAAUGCUACCAAGGUACCCAGAGGUAAACACUCACCAUACAAACAAUAUUCAACUAAAACACAAGUCUUUAUAAACACAGAGUCUCUAUUCUAUAUAACACUAUCCUCCCCAUGGCUCUGAUACCAGUACAACCAAGUUUUUGUAUGAAAUAUAUAUGUAUAUGUGUGUGUGUUUGUGUAUGUGUGUGUGUGAUGGGAGUUGCUCUACCUUCUGAUGCAUCGCAAUGGGAAUUUAGCUGGUUUUAAUUCUCUCUCUUGGCUGCUUAUGCUUCUUUAAUUUAACAUUUUGAAAUGUAUUUAUUAUGCUAGAGUUUCAACUAAGUAUCCAUUUACUGGAAUUUUCCACUUUUCGAAAAAUGUUAAUUUUGCCUUAUUUAUUCAAUAUUAUUAUCUUCCUAUGUGAAAUUUGCAAACAUUUUAUGCUUUGGUUGGUUAUUCAAUGUGGGUUUGUUGCGUUUUGUUCUUAUACUGUUUUUAUAUAUGAGAGGUUUGUUUUUUGAAGAUGGGUUUCAGUCAAUUGUCUUUAAAGCUUUAUUUCCUAAAAGAGGAAAAAAAAUACCAAAAUAUUUAAUUCUACUGUUACAUGUUUGUGUUCUUAGGUUCUACUAUGCUUUGUAUAUUUCUUAAUGCUAGAAAGAUAUGUUCUUUUCUAAUAUGAUUGUUUAGGAUGAAUAUGAGUUCGUUAUCGAGUUGUAAUAUAUCAAAUAAAUUGAAGACAACUUGCUUCAUAGGUUUUGAUUCUAUUAAUUGUUUUUAUUUCAAGUAUGACAUGAUUGCAUGGGUGUUUGAUGAGGCUAAUAGUGAUUUCUCAGGGUUGACGCUAUGAGUUUCUUUUAUUUAGGUGUGGGCAAAAAAAUCGUGCACUAGAGAAAACCGAACCGAACCGAUCCAAAUUGUUCCGUUCGAAUCAGUUUUAAUUUUAAAAAAUGACCAAAUUAUAUGGUUUGUAAAAAAAAUCGAAAUGCAGGUUCGGUAUUCGGUUCACUCAGCUGAACCGAAAAACCGGGUUGUUCUUGGAAUUUUAUUUAAAUAGAAACGUGUUAAAUUUUAAUUGGUUGCGUAAGAUAACUAAAAUAGGCAUGCACACACACGAUUACGGGUAUAUAUAUAUUUAAAAAUUGUUGUUGGUGUUUGUUUCCAAAUUUUCUUUUUAUUUUGUGUUGUAAGUUUUAAUUGUUGUUAUUUUUAUUUGUCUUUACAACAUUAUGUUUAUGUAGAUGGAAUAUUGGAGUUUGAUUAUGUAUUUUAAAUCUUAAUAUUUCAUAUUUUGUAAGUACCUUAUUAGUAGUUAGUAAGAUAUUAGUGAUAAAAUGUGUUUUGAAUACUUUGUAUUUAUUGUUAAUAUUUGUAAUGAAAUUAGGAUAAAUUAAUUGUUGAAAAAAAUUAUUACAUUAUGAGGCCUAAUGGGCUAAAAAUUUAGAAAUUCAAAAUAGGCCCAUUAGGCCCAAAACUAAAAAAACCGAACUGAACCGUACCAAUCCGAAAAGAUCCGUUUAUAUUCUGUUUUUAUCAAGUUCGGUUCUUAUUUAGUUCUUUUUAUAAAAUAACGGAUUUAAAUCGGUUCUGCUUAAUUUCGAUCCGAACCGAACUGGACCGAACUGUGCCCACCCCUACUUUUAUUGUUGUCUAGUAUCGAAACUUGAAAACAAAAUUUAAAGAUAAUGCUUACGAUAUGAACACAAAUGUUUGUAACAGUAGCUUGAACAAAAUAGAAGGAAAUUUGUUGACUGGAAUGAUUCAUAAAGCUAAAUCAGUUUUUUUGUUGCUAUUUUUUAGGACUAUGACCACUUCUUCAUGCUAUUUUCCUGCACUUAGUUAUUAUGCUCAAAUGUAGCAGAUUUUUCUGCACUUUAGUUUUCAUUAUGUUGUAUAAAUAGAUGAUUUUGUUGCUCAAUCAAAUAUAACUCAGCAGUCUACAAACCAGCCUUCUCUCAUUAUCUUUAUAUCCAACGUAAUGGUAUCAGAGCUAUAAUUUUUAGGGACAUGUGAGAUUGAGAAAGUUUGAACACAAUUCCUAAACAAUUAUCACCUAUCUUCCCAAAAACACAAAACCUUUCCAGAAUGAAUUCAAAAAGUCCAUUCACUGCAAUUGCACCUCUAGUGUUUGAUGGAAUAAAUUAUCAAGCGUGAGCUGUUAGAAUGAAGGCUUAUCUUGAUGCUAAUGAUCAGUGGGAAGUUGUUGAACAAAUAUAUGAAGUUCCACCCCUGCCAGACAAUCUAACUCUUGCACAAAUUAGAAAUAAAAAAGAGAUGAAGUAAAGAAAAUCAAAAGCAAAAGCAACAUUGUUUGCAGCAGUCUCAUCCACCAUUUUUUCCAGAAUAAUGACGCUCAAAACAGCCAAGGAAAUUUGGGAUUUUUUGAAGCAAGAAUACGAAGGAAAUAAAAGGGUCAAAGGGAUGCAAGUGUUGAAUUUGAUCCUAGAAUUUGAGAUGCAAAAGAUGAAAGAAUUACAAAACAAUUCAGGAAUAUUAUGACAGACUUUUUAAGAUUUUCAACAAGGUAAGACUCAUUGGCACUGAUUUUUCUGAUUCUAGAGUUGUUUAAAAAAUCCUAGUCACAAUUCCUGAAAAGUUUGAGGCUACAAUUUCAUCUUUGGAAAACUCAAGCGAUCUAUCAAGUAUUACCUUAGCAGAAUUGUUGAAUGCACAGCAGGCACUGAAGCAAAGGAGGCUUAUGAGACAAGAAGGAUCUCUGGAGGGUGUUUUUCAAGCCAAAUCACAAAACAACAAAGGUGGCAAAAAUAAGAAAAAACAGAACAAAGACAACAAGCUUGGAGGUUCUGCAAGCAGUAAUAAAAAUAGCCAAAGUAGCAACACUCAAGUCUUUCCACCUUGCCCUUACUACAAAAAAAUCAAUCAUCCACAAAAUAAGUGUUGGUGGAGGCCAGAUGCAAAAUGUCACAAGUGUGGUCAGUUAAGGCACGUGGAAAGGAUAUGUACAACUCAACAACAGCAAAGAGAAGCCAAGGCUAUUGAGGAUCAACCCCAAGAGGAACAGCUGUUUGUGGUAUCGUGUUUUGCCACCAACAGCUCCACAGAGAAUUGGCUUAUAAAUAGUGGUUGUACAAACUACAUGACUUAUGAUCCAUAGCUCUUCAGAGAGUUGGACGCGACUACUAUUUCCAAAGUCAGAAUUGGAAAUAGGGCACACAUUGCAAUAAAAGGCAAAAGAACAGUAGCGAUUGAAGGCCAUACAGGUCUGAAAUUGAUUUAUAAUGUUUUAUAUGUUCUUAAAAUUAAUCAAAAUCUUUUGAGUGUUACUCAGUUGUUAGAAAAAGGCUAUAAGGUGUUGUUUGAAGACAAGAACUGUAUGAUCAAAGAUGCAAAAGACAGAGAAGUAUUCAAAGUUCAAAUGAAAGGCAAAAGCUUUUCUUUGGAUUUGAUGAAAGAAGAGCAGGCUUUUGUACACAGAGAAGAUAGCAAUACAUUGAUUUGGCAUAAGAGGUUGGGGCAUUUUCAUCAUAUUACUCUACUGUACAUGAAAAAGAACAAUCUAGUCAAAGACUUGCCUGAAUUAAAGGAUGAGUCUUCUAGAUGUGUUGCCUGUCAGUAUGGAAAGCAAACUAGGAUUCUGUUUCAACAAAAUAAGGCCUGGAGGGCUAUACAGAGGUUGCAAUUAAUACACACAGAUGUGGGAGGACCAAUGAAAACACCAUCUUUGAAUAACAGUAAGUAUUAUAUUGUUUUCAUUGAUGAUUACUCAAGAAUGUGCUGGAUUUAUUUUAUGAAGCUUAAAUCUAAGGUUGCUGACAUCCUUGUGAAGUUUAAAGCUUGGGUUGAAACUCAAAGCAGAUGCAAAAUAUAGGUGAUUAGGUCUGAUAAUGGAACAUAAUAUACCUUUGAAAAAUUUAACAAGUUUUAUGAAGAUGCAAGCAUUGAACAUGAACUGACAGCAUCUUACACUCCUCAGCAAAAUGGUGUUGUGGAGAGGAAAAACAAGACAAUAAUAAAGAUGGCAAGAUGCUUACUUCAUGACAAAGGGCUGCCGAAGAAAUUUUGGUCUGAGGUCGUAAACACUGCAGUUUUUUUAUUGAACAAAUUGCCAAUAAAAAUGUUACAGAAAAAACUCCAUUUGAAGCAUGGUAUGGCUACAAACCAAAGCUGCUUAAUAUAAAGAUAUUUGAUUGUCUAUGUUUCUCUUACAUCCCUAAAGUUAAGAGAGACAAAUUAGACAAAAAAACAAAACCUGGGAUUUUUGUAGGCUAUAGCUCAACCUCAAAAGCCUACAGGAUUUACUUACUACAAAGCAACAAAGUAAUUGUCAGCAUGGAUGUUUAAUUCUUUGAGUUAGAUAACUGGAGUUGGGAAAAUGACAAGAAGCUUAAGGUCGAUAAGGAGAAUGAUGAUACGGACAAUGAAGAUGUUAGAGGAACCAGAUCACUCUCUGACAUCUAUCAGAGGUGUAAUAUUGUUGUAAUGGAGCCUGCAUGAUAUGAAGAAGCUGCAAAUGAUCAGAAGUGGAUAGCUACAAUGAAGGACAAGCUAAAGAUGAUUGAAAAGAAUCAGACAUGGGAGUUGGUAGACAGACCUGAACACAAGAAAGCUAUAGGAGUCAAGUGGGUUUAUAGGACCAAGCUCAAUCCUGAUGGUUCUGUAAACAAGCACAAGGCAAGCCUUAUUUUUAAAGGAUAUGCCCAGAUGUUUGGGGUAGAUUUUUUUGAAACUUUUGCCCCUAUUGCCAGGUUAGAUACCAUAAGGAUGUUGCUAGCUCUUGCUGCACAACAAGGUUGGGUUAUACACCAAAUGGAUGUCAAAUCAGCCUUUUUGAAUGGAUACUUGGAGGAAGAAAUUUUUGUGGAGCAACUUGAAGGGUUUGUUUUUCCAGGACAAGAGGAGAAGGUAUAUCGACUGAAAAAAGCCAUGUACGAUUUUAAAAAGGCACCAAGGUCCUGAUAUAGCAAAAUUGACACAUACUUAACAAACUUAGGCUUCGAAAAAAGUCUAAGUGAAUCUAGUUUAUAUAUCAAGAAGGCGGAUAAUAAAAUACAUGUGGUAUCUCUGUAUGUUGAUGAUCUACUCGUUACAAGAAGUAGCAAGGAGUUGAUUGACAGGUUUAAAGAAGAAAUGAAAGAUGUCUUUCAAAUGACAGACCUUGGGAGGAUGACAUUCUUCCUUGGUAUGCAGGUACAUCAAAAGGAAAAUGAAAUAUUUCUAUGCCAGUAAAAAUAUGCAAAGGAAGUUCUCAAGAAAUUUAACAUGGAAGAGUGCAAGCCAACUGCAACUCCAAUGAAUCAAAAGGAGAAGUUUUGCAAAGAAGAUGGAGUUGAAAAGGUGGAUGAAAGGUUGUACAGGAGCCUAAUAGGCUGCCUAAUGUAUUUAACUGAACCAGACUAGAUAUCAUGCAUGCAGUGAGUUUGCUAUCAAGGUAUUGCACUGUGCCAGUGAAAUUCAUUUUCAGGCAGCAAAAAGAAUUCUUAGAUAUGUUAAGGGCACAAUUGGUUAUGGAAUAAGGUUUAAUCAAGUUAAAAACUUCAAUCUUCAUGGAUAUUCUAAUAGUGAUUGGGCUGGAUGUGUUGAUGACAUGAGAAGCACCUCACGUUACUAUUUUAGCUUUGGUUCUGAAAUUGUUUCUGGAAUUGUUUCAUGGUGUUCUAAGAAGCAAGAAGUCAUAGCUCAAUCCACAGUAGAAGCAGAAUAUGUAGCUGUUGUUGCUGCUGCUGUGAAUCAAGCUCUUUGGAUCAGGAAACUUAUGAUAGAUUUGCAUAUGGAACAACAAGUAGGCACACAAAUAUUUGUGGACAACUAAGCUGCAAUUUCAAUUGCUAAUAAUCUAGUGUUCCAUGGCAAAACAAAACACUUCAAGAUAAAACUUUAUUUUCUAAGAGAGGUACAAAGAGAAGGAGAAGUGCAACUGAUCUACUGCAAAACAGAAAAUCAAAGUGCUGACAUCUUAACAAAAGCACUUCCAAAGAUUAGAUAUGAAUUCUUGAGGCAAAAGUUUGGUGUAUGCAGCUCCAGAUUCAAGGAGGAGAAUCUUGACUGGAAUGACUCAUGAAGCUAAAUCAAUUUUUUUGUUGCUAUUGUUUAGGAUUAUGAUCACUUCUUCAUGUUAUUUUCCUACACGUAGUUAUUAUGCUCAAAUGUAGCAGAUUUUUUUGCACUUUAGUUUUCAUUAUGUUGUAUAAAUAGAUGAUUUUGUUGCUCAAUAAAAUAUAACUCAGCAGUCUACAAACCAGCCUUCUCUCAUUAUCUUUAUAUCCAACAAAAUCGAUAAGAAUAUGUUAAUUCUAGGAAAUCUAGACCUCCAAAAUAGUAUUGGUUAUUUGAUAAACCAAUAAACUCCCAAAAGACAACUUACAACUCGCGAGAAUAGUAAUACUCAAGACACUCUUUUAUUGAAUAACAUCAAGUUUUAAAUAAAACUUUAGUUCAAAGUAACAAGCAUAAAAAUAGCAAGCGUUAAGCAUGUUCUCCAUCAUGCUCCAUGAAUCCACAAAAUAAGGAACCAACUAAAAACUUAAUUUUGACUUAUUAAAAACCAACUACUGUCAAAAUAUAAAGUAAAUAAUUAAAAGAAAAUUAUAAUGGAAAGAUUGUAACAGUUUUUCUAAUUUUCUAGUAUGGUGUUUACUCUAAUGGAUGGGCGGUGGCUCAUAUUGUUAAAUUCUGGAUUAGGCAAUUUACUGGCAUGCGAACUAAUUUGUAAUUUAGUUAUAAGUUGUGUGAACCAUAAAAAAACAAAGGGUAAAGUCAGUGGUAAUAUUAUCAGAAUAUUGGAAUUGUUCUAAAAGAUUUUGAAUAAACUGGCAACGAGUAAACUAUAAUAUUGGAACUUGAGUGGGUGAAUUAUUCUCAGUUUUGUUUGUUGAGGAACACAACAGAGCGUUCAUAAUUCCUCUGUUGUUUACGAUUGAUCUAUUUCUUUUUUUCCUUUGACGGGGUAGUGCUCUUUGUCCACCUUUCAAAAGUUUUUUUAGAGGAACUGUACCUGAAAUGUUUUGUUGUUUCUUAGAAAAGGGUUUUUCCCAUACAGUGACUUUGAAGUGGAUUAUGAGUCCAAUGAGAAUGCAUCAAUUGUGUAUGCAGCAUUAGCUAUUGAUAAGGAGAUGAUGCAUCAUGAUCCUAAGAUCAUACCUUGCUCCUUUAACUUUGUUGCUUCUUCAAUAAAUUCUAACUUGGAUUCAAUUUCCCAAUACAGUUGCAACUAGACAAAGUGAAAAGGCAGAUAUAUGUCGUUAAUGGGAAACUUUUAGUGUAAGUUUCUAUUCUUUGAUCAUUCAUGGUUGGAAGACUCAUUACAUAACUGAUUUUUCAUUCUUGUCCAAUAUUCAUUCAAUUUGCACCUACCAGUUUAUCCUGUGAGACAAUAUUCAUUUGGAAAUUUUGUGUGGCCUGUUUAAUAAUCAUUUUUUCCUCUUUUCCUACCAAAUUUUCAAAUAUGUUACUUAAGGAGAGUCCUUCCUCUAAAAUACCAUUUUUCUUUAGUCUAUCAAUUUUUCCUAGACUUUGUGGUUUAGAAGUUUCUUCAUUUUGUUUAUUUUCUCGUCUCAUUCAGGCACUUUGAGGCAGUUGAGGCUAGGUUUCUUCGUGCAUCAUUUUCUACUUUUGGAUUAGUUGACGUUUUUGUAACAAGAGAAUCUAUAGUGUUAGUUUUACAAUUAAAAUAUUAAAAUAUUGGAAAGCUGUAACAAAUUCUUCAAAGCUGUGAAUUAUAUUUUGAAAGAAUUAGCAAGGCUGACAUUGAGCAACAAUUUUCUGCAUACGUUUUAUCUUGGGUAGAAUCACCAAAAGUAGAUGCAUCUUUAAAUCUAGAAUAAAAGCAGGUUUGACUUGUAUUAUAAUAAAUUCAAAUGGGGUGUCACGACUGCUUCCAUCGCUAGGAAAACUUGCUUAGAAAAUAUGGAGAUUAAUGAAUGCUUUGGCAGUUCUUGAUGGCAUCAAAAUGGCAGUUGAUUCUGGACUGCACCCACCAUUAAUUGUUGAAUCUGACUAUUUUAAUGCAAUGAAAUCAAUCUUAAAGAAGAGAAUUAGGAUGGAUGAUCAAAGGUGACAACAUAUAUCAAGGCAUAAAUUAUGUAUCAUAGAUGUAUAUAUAUUGUAAUUAGGAGUAUCUGUAAUUUCCUUAUGUCGAUAGAUCUAAUUACUAGAAAUUAGACUAGAUUUGGUUGAUGUAAUAGCUGAAAAUCAGCCUUGUAAAUCUCUACAAUUUCUAUAUAAUGAUAGGAACUCUCACAAUGAGAGAUAUUUAAUCCAAUUGAUAUGGUAUCAGAGCCAUAAUUCAAAAUUUUAGAAAACAUUCUUGUGAGUCUAAGAUCUUAGUUUUGGGUAGAUUUCUGGUAUUUUUUGUGAACUCUUAGGUUAGUUGAUUUGCUUUACUUCUUGUUACAUUUGGUGAGUUGCGGGUAACAUGUCAACUAGCAACAUGGAAAAUUUUGGUGUGCGUUUCACAGGUAAGAAUUAUUCUACCUGGGAAUUUCAGUUUCGAUUAUUUAUCAUGGGAAAGGAACUCUGGGGUCACAUCGAUGGUAGUGAUCUAGCUCCUACUGACCCUCCUAAAUUGGCUCAGUGGCAAGUCAAAGAUGCUAGAGUCAUGAUGUGGAUUAUGGGAUCAAUUGAUCAGUCACUCGUUCUCAAUCUGAAGCCAUAUAAAACAGCUAAAGACAUGUGGGAGUAUUUGAAAAAGGUUUAUAAUCAAGACAAUACAACCAAACGUUUUCAUUUAGAGUACGAGAUUGCUAGGUACUCUCAAGCUGAUCUCUCCAUUCAAGAUUAUUUAUUCGGAUUUCAGAAUUUAUGGGCAGAAUAUGUUGACAUGAUUUAUGUCCAAGUACCAGUUGAAUCUCUGGCUGAUGUUCAAAAAGUGCAUGAACAGAGCAAGCGAGAUCAGUUUUUGAUGAAACUACGUCUUGAAUAUGAGGCACCCCGCUCCAAUCUGAUGAAUCGUGAUCUUUCUCCUUCUUUAGAUGUGUGCUUUAAAGAAUUACUUCGUGAAGAGCAACGUCUUGCAACACAAACUAUUCUCCAGCAAAAUAAAAUGCAUGAUAAUGCAAUUGCUUAUGCUGCAGCUCAUGGGAAAAGUAAGGGGAGACAUGCGACAAGUUCAAUUCAUUAGCUGUAAGGAAUACAGAUAUAUUGUUGUUAACUGUGCAAAGAAAUUUUGCAACUAUUGUAAGAAGUCUGGGCAUAUUAUCAAAGAAUGUCCUAUUCGUCCCCAAAAUUGUCAAGCUAGUCAGGCCGUUGUUGUUAGUUAGGCCGUUGUUGCUAAUCAGGCUGUUGAUGGUUCAACAAUUGUUGAUAAAUCAGUUCUUACUCUAGAAAUGGUUCAGCAGAUGAUAAUUACAGCCUUUUUAGCCUUAGGGCUUCAAGGUAAACGCACUCUACCAUCUUUCUCUUGGCUUGUUAAUUCUGGUGCAUCCAAUCAUAUGACUAAUUCCAGCGACACUCUUAGCAAUGUUCAAAAAUUUUAUGGAAACAUUCAGAUUGCUAAUGGUAGUAAGUUACCUAUUCAUGCUAUUCGGGACAUCAGUUUUUCCAUUAAAGAUGUUCUUGUAUCUCAUCAGCUUUCUACUAAUCUUAUUUCAGUAGGACAAUUGGUUGAUAAUAACUGUGAUGUUUAAUUUUCCUGUGAUGGUUGUAUUGUGCAGGAUUAGGUGUCGAGGAAGAUACUAGCGAAGGGGCCUAAAGUUGGACGUUUGUUUCCUUUGUACUUUUCUGUUUCUAAUUUCGUUUCUUUGGCUAGUAUUGCGGUAAAUCAAAAGAGUGAAAUAUGGCACAAACAUUUAGGCUAUCCUAAUUCUGUUGUCCUAUCUCAUUUAAUAAAUUUAGGUUUCUUCUACGGACAAUCAGCCCUCAAACACUACUGUUCGCUGCUCUUCCAGAAUCAUCUGACCACCUAAUCGGUAUGGAUUUCACACAUCUCUUCAUACUACUUUGACCAGUGUUUCUAUUCUUUCAUGUUAUUCAGAAGCUGCUAAAUAUGAUUGUUGGCGUAAGGCUAUGGAAAAAGAACUUCAAGCUCUUGAGGACAAUCACACAUGGGUUGUAAUGUUAAACCUAUUGGUUGUAAAUGGGUCUACUCAAUCAAGCUUCAUUCAGAUUGGUUCUCUAGAUCGCUAUAAGGCACGACUAGUUGUCCUUGGUAAUAAACAAGAGUAUGGGGUCAAUUAUGAAGAGACUUUUGCUCCGGUUGCCAAAAUGACUACAGUCCGUACAAUUAUUUCGAUUGCUGCCUCACAAGGCUGGCCACUUCAUCAAAUGGAUGUUAAAAAUGCUUUUCUUUACGGUGAUCUCAAAGAGGAGAUUUACAUGGUUUUACCACAUAGCUUGCCUUCCUCUUCUUCUUUAGAUGUCUGUAAGUUGAAGCGAUCGCUCUGUGGGUUAAAGCAAGCUCCCCGGGCUUGGUUUGAUAAAUUCCGAUCCACCUUGCUUCAAUUCUUGUUUAAGCAAAGCCAAUAUGACUCAUCAUUGUUUCUUUGCAAGACAGCUACUAGUAUUGUUCUUCUCCUAGUUUAUGUUGAUGCUAUUGUUAUUAUUGGGACAGAUUCUGCCUUAAUUGCUCGGUUGCAACAACAUCUUCAAGCCUCAUUUCAUAUGAAGGAUCUUGGUCCUCUUACUUAUUUCUUAGGUUUGAAAGUUCAUUAUGAUUCUUCGGAGAUUUCUUUGAAUCAACAUAAAUACACACAAGAUUUGCUUAAAUUAAUUGGUCUUCAUAAUGCCUCUUCUAUGGAUACUCCACUAGAAGUCAACACAAAGUAUAGUAGUAAGGAAGGUAAACUCAUUUCUGAUCCUACUAUCUAUCGACAAUUGGUGGGAAGCUUGAAUUAUUUGACUAUUACGAGGUCGAAUAUUUCCUUUGCUGUCCAGCAAGUAAGUCAAUUCAUGCAACAUCCCCAUCAUUUACAUUUAGUUGUUGUUCAUUGUAUCCUUCGAUACCUUCGCAGGACUCCUAGCCGUGGAUUGUUCUUUCCCGCUGGUUCUCUUCCUCAUCUUGUUGCCUAUAGUGACGCUAAUUGGGCUAGCUGUCCGGACAGUUGACGAUCUGUCAUGGGCUGGUGUAUGUUUCUUGGGAAACCCCUGAUUUCUUGGAAAAGUAAGAAGCAAGAUCGUGUUUCUAAAUCUUCAACUGAAUCUGAAUACCGUACUAUGUCUGCUGCUUGUUCAGAGAUUGUUUGGCUUCGUGGACUUCUAGCCGAGCUUGGUUUCUCUCAAUCUAAUCCUACUCCAAUCCUACUCUACUCCAAUCCUACUCCACUCCAUGCUGAUAACACUAGUGCUAUUCAGAUUUGUGUAAACCCGAUUUUCCAUGAGUGUACUAAGCAUAUUGAAGUGGAUUGUCAUUAUAUUCGCGAAGCUUUAGACACUCGUAUUAUUUCUCUUCCUCAUAUUUCCACUACUCUCCAGAGAGCCGAUGUAUUUACCAAGGCUAUGACACGAAAGCGUCAUCAAUUUCUUGUGAGCAAAUUGAUGCUUCUUGAUUGAUCAGCAUCAAUUUUAGGGGGGAUGACAGCAUAUAUCAAGGCAUAAAUUAUGUAUCAUAGCUAUAGAUAUAUUGUAAUUAGGAGUAUCUGUAAUUUCUUUGUUUAGAUAGAUCUAAUCACUAGAAAUUAGCCUAGAUUUGGUUGAUGUAAUAGCUGAAAAUCAGCCUUGUAAAUCUUUACAGUUUCUAUAUAAUGAGAGGAACUCUCACAAGGAGAGAUAUUCAAUCCAAUUGAUAAAAGGAAUGCUCGAUUAUGUAAGAAAAAGAAAAUAAUUUAUAGUUGCAAUACACUCAUCAAUAGUCUCAGGAACCUCUGAUGAUUGAAUUACAAUUUUUUUAAAUCCAUUCCAGAAUUCAAGCAUACCUGUUCAUGCAAGAUACUCAAUGCUCUGCAUCCGAAACUUCAUCGACCUUUGCAUUUAAGGGAUCAUUAACUUUACAAGUCACAGAACCCAAAUGGUCCACAAUAUUGACAGAGCGUUGAUGGCAUAAUAUUUCAAUGUUUCCACCACUUUGCAUAAAUGUGAAGAUGGUUUAUUUUCUCAAUAGAAAAUUGAAAUUAUCAGCAGUAAUUAGAGCAACUCACAUUUGUUUUUUGUCAUCAUUGGUGUACCAUAGUUCAAGAUAUUCAGCCUCUGAGUAUAACAUUGUUCUCAGUUUUUUCAAAUCCUGAAAGUAAAGUCGCUUGAGUUAAAAAAAGACCAAAGUAAAUAUUUCCAUAAGAAUUAAAAUCUAUUGCAAAUUGGUGCUUUUGUAUUUCCAUAAAUGGCUAUCUACCCCAAGGCUUGUUGAAAACUGAGUAUAAUUUGGAAAUUGACACACGAUCCACCGUUUGAAUCAUAUAAACAAGUAUCACAUGAUUAAACAAGAAUUGGCUUUGAAGACAUAUGCCCCUAUUUGCCAAAAUCAUUUUUUUUCUCUUUUUCUUUUCUUAAAAGUGAAUGCUGAGGUGGGUGCAACUUUUAGUAAUAGCUAUUAGUAGCAAAAACAAAGAUUGCACACUGUAAAACAACUGUAAUAGGGAAACUGGUAUAGGCAUCUAAUCCAACAGAUUAAAACAAAAUAGAGAAACAGUAGUACCUUGAGACUAUCAGAGAACAGCAAGCUCUGCUGUCUUUUCUUAAAAGUGAUUGAUUAUGAUGAAACAUUCAGCCUUGUAAUUAAGCCUGCUCUGGUUUGCUUUGUGUUUGACAUUAUUACAAGAUGAUAUUUGCAACAACUUGAUGUGAGCAAUGCCUUUUUACAUGGUUUUAUUGAUCCCACAUAUCCUACUCAGGUUUACAAACUUGAAAAGGCACUCCCCGGCCUUAAGCAAGCCCACGUUCUUGGAAGAACACUGAGCUUCAAAACUUUCUUCUAUCGACGGGGAUUUUUCACUUCACAAUCAGAUUCUUCUUUAUGUAUCUAAUCUUAUGCUGGUGUGCAUGAGAUUAUCUUUGUAGGUAAAUAAACUUUCAUCUGUCGCCACAAUGUAGGGGCAUAUUAGAGAUACUCUCAAAGUCACGGUGUAAUUGUACAAUCUUUUUAUCAUUUGUAUAUUUGACUUUCAUAACUUUAAACUACAAUUGUGCACUUACUAUAAUUAACUAGCUUUAGUUGUGUAUAUAUUGAAAUCAUAUCAAUAGAAACAGUAAGCUGCAUUGUUAUUUCCUUUCUCUAUAUUAUUUAUUGUAUAAACCUAACAACUUUCAGCCCUUUUUUUCCCCAAAUCUGACACUUUUUUUUUUAUAAAUUUAUUUACCCACACCUGUGUCGUUUGUCUCACUUUUUCUUUUUAUUUUCACUUAUUUCGUUACCCAAGCCACACUUUCAUAAACUUUGUCCCGGCCCCGCACUCUACUUUUGUUAGUUUUAUCAAAUGAGCAGCAUUAGCAUCACCAUGUAAUUAUCUUUUCAAACCCCCUUUUGGUAUAUCAGGGAAGCCCAAUAACAAAUACAUCUGCAAAAUAUCUACCAAAGAUAUUUCAACAAGCUGGUCGAGCACUGGACAAGGAAUUCAUCCACAAUUUCUAUUUGUAUUAAUUGACGACCUGUCCGGUGUCCCCUUGCCUACUCAUCAUACAACAAAAAAUUGAAAUUAGGCUAUUUAGGAUUAAAGAUAAGACGGAAUGGAAAUAUGGAAUCGUUAAUUGUUAUACCCAUGACCCAUCUAAUUUGCAAAUGGUUCUUUCUCUUUCAAUAUUAUUGUACGUAUUUGCAAGGAAACCUCCUCUAUCUUUGAUAAGAAGCCACGUAAGUUAAAGAGGACACCUAAGCCUAACAACAAAUAUGAAAGAGUAUGCUUGAGCAUGAAACAUGCAUCAUGUCGAAAUAGCAUAAGAGCAAGUUCAAUCCGGUAAACCGAUUUUUCUUAGCUUCAUCUCUACCUCACAACCGGCCUACCGGUUCUCCAAAACCGGCAAGCCGUUUUCGCGUUAUGGCUCUCAGGUUCACAUCCGGCAAACCGGUUCUCCAAAACCGGCAAGCCGUUUUCGGCUUUCAACUCUCUGACCAAGAACCGGAUUUCCGGAUUUUUUGUUUCCCAAGCGAACCGGCAAGCCGUUUGUGAAAUUGUGACUUGCUGCCCAUUAACCGGCAAGCCGGAUUCGUGGUUUAUGUUGUUGUUCAUCUUCUUCCUCCUCCAUUUGGCAAACUGUUUCUUGUUCUCUCACUAGAAGCCGUUUUCUCCUCUCUUGAUUUCAUUCCAAAAUCCAUCAUUCUCAUUCGUUUUCAAUCCAAAUUGAUUCAUAUAAAUUAUCCACAUCCAUUCUUGUGUCUAAAAUCAUCUUUAAAAUCUAUUUUCAUUAUAAAACUCACAAGUAAUCUUUUAUACUUGUAUUUGGACACACCAACAUUUACUAUUUUUUUUGAAUUAUAUGGAUGUUUGCUAUGAUUUUGAAUUAUAUAAUUCGUCUCACUCUAAGGACUUAAUUUUAGGAGAUCCAUCACAAGAUGUAACUACUAGAUCAUCAUUUAGAAAUAUAUAUAAACAUUUGUAAUAAUGGAUUUGAUCACUUGUUCUUUAGCUCAUUAUGAUGACUUUUCUUAAUAGCUAUGUUGAUUUUGAUGAUCUUAUAUUGCAAUUAUACACUUAUGUUUUGCUUAAGAUUUGAGACAAAGAAUAUGCUUUGAUAAUUACAUGUAUUUGAGGAAGUUUGAUCUUAUGGGAUCUAUGAUUGGUGAAUGGAUGCACUUUUUGUUCUUUAUUGAUGUAUUGUCGAAUAUGCAUUACUUGCUUUAAAUAAUAUCGAAAUGGGAGAAAUACAUAUAUUUCGAGAAUUUUAAGCAUAUAAUGGCAUAUGUUGAUUUUAAUGAUCUAUAUAUUGCUAUUAUGUCCUUAUGCUUAUGGAUAUUUUUUUUUUACUAAUAUGCUUGUAUUGAGGUUUUGAUAAUUAAUAGGGGGAGACAAAUAUGAUAUGUUUUUGGAUAAAAUCAUUUUGGUUAAAUUUUUUAAUUGGCCAUAUAUUUAGGGGGAGCAUAUAAUAUGAUUUUGGAUAAUAUGUAUUUUGAUUUUUUUUUAUUGUCCAAAGGGGGAGACAAAAUAAUAUAUCAUUUCAAUAUUGUCAAAAGGAGGACAAUAAUAUGCACUUUGAAUAUUCUUUUGAUGAUUUUGAUGAUAUGUGAUUAUGGUGAGUACUUGAUGAUUUUGAAAUAUGAUGAUGAUAAUUUAUGAGUAAUAUUACUAAAUUUGUAUUUGAGGUGAUGCUUGUUGUUAGGGGGAGAUUUUGUGGAAAUUUCUAUUCGGACAACAUGGGUAACAAAUUUCCUACUCUUAUUCUUUUCCUUUACGUUUUCUUUUUUAUGAUGAAGGGGGAGAAGAAUACAUGUUUUCAAAUCUAUAAAAAAAAAAAAAAAUUGCUACUUUUGUCUUUGCCAAUUAAGUUUUUCUUUUUGAUGAUGAGGGGGAGAAAAAUCCAUGUAUUUAAAUCAUUAAUUUAGCUAAUUGGCAAAUUGUAAAAGAAGAUUAUAUUUAGGGGGAGCAAUUUGUGGAAUCAUUCUUUAAAUACAUGAAAUGUUUGUCAUCAUCAAAAAGGGGGAGAUUGUUAACAUAUAUAUUUUCAUAAUAUUGAUUUUGAUGAUAACAAACAAGAUUAAGAAUGAUUAAUCUUUUAAGCCUAAAUUAUUUAAUAUUCUUUUUAAAUAAAAUCAUUUUUUUUACAUUAUAAAGGUUUUAUAUUUAAUGGAAAAAUGAUUUCAUGAAAUUGAUUGUUUUUAUUCCUUUUAAAUAAAUCAUUAUUUUCACAUUAUAAAUGUUUCAUAUUUAAUGGAAAAAUGAUUUUAUGAAAUUGGUUGUUUUUCAAAGUUUAUGGUUUAAUUGAAAGAAUUUUGAAAACUUUGAAAUAAACAAGUAUUGCUUGAAAUUUUGGUAAAGGACUUAUUUGAAAAGUGUCAUAGCAUCUUUGGCAAUAUCAUAAUUUCAGAAAGUUUUGGGAUAAACAAAGCAUUAUUUAGAAAUUCUAAAAUUGGACCUAUUUGUAAAGUUUCAUAACAUUUUGGACCGUAGUACAGUUUUAUAAAGUUUUGGGGUCAAACUGUAAAUUUUGGGAAAUAUUUUACUAUAGCAGUUACUGUAGCAAGCGGCUUACCGGAUACUGAUAAACGGCAAGCCGGAUACGGGGCAGUAAGCACCAGAACGAAAACGGCUUACCGGAUUCCUGAAUCCGGCAAACCGGUUAGGCAAAAUUUUGAAUUUUGCCUUAGCGAUAACAUAAAUCCGGCUUACUGGAUUCCAUAAAACGGCAAACCGGAUAGCCCAAAAUGUGAGUAACGGCUAGUUUUCGAGCUCAAGCUAUAAGAACUCAAAUCCAACUCAUUUUGAGUCUCUCCAACAAGCAAAAACAAAAAGCACACGUGAUAUCUUGAGCUUACAACUUGCAAAAUACAAAAUCAUUGAAUCAUUCAUUGUUCUUCAUCUUUGAAUAUCUACUCAUUGAGUGAGUUUCAUUGUAUCUUUCAUUUCUUCAAUUCAUUUGUAAGAGUUUGAGUGUGUGAGACACUUGAGUGAAGAGAUUGGGAGAUAAUCUCUUUGUUGUAAAGGUUUAUUGACACCUCGAAGUCAAUUUUAAUCGUUGAAGCCUUGGAAAGGCUUGGAUAGUGAAAUCCUCAAGCUUGGAUCGCUUGGAGAGGUGGACGUAGGCGGGGAUUGCCGAACCACGUAAAAAUUCGUGUGUUUGUUUCUCUUCUCCCUUACUCUUUAAUUAUUGUGCUAUUAUUGAACUUAUUAUUUUCAAUUGUUGUUAAGACAUUAGAUUGCUUGUUGUGUGGAUUUGCUUGGUUAAUUUUUAAAUUUCCAAUUCAUCCCCCUCUUGGGUUGCACACUUAUAUUUCAAUUUUAGCACUUAACUUUAACAAAUCUUUAUUAACCAUUCAAAUAUUAACUAGAUCCAUAUAAAUUUCAAAGGAAAUUUGGUCUUGCUCCCAAGUUCCUAUAAAAUAAAAUAAAAAAGCCAUACGGCUUAUGUCUGGGCUUUUUUUUUUUGCUAUGUUUCUGAAGGAGUGAAGGGGUAGAAAGAGAGAGAGAGAGAGAGAGGAGGAGGAGGAGGAGGAGGAGCUUGUGAAAAAAGCGAGUAAAAAAGUGUUAUAAAAAAGUUUGCUUAAAGAGACAGGAGUGACGACUUGUUGUAAUGCUGUUGCUGCAUGUCUGGGCUUAUAUUGCGUGUUGACUAUGAUAAGUAUAGAUAUAUUAAUUACUGUAUCACUAGGGAAUAAUUAAGAUAAAGAUUUCUAGCACUUUAAUAUUCAAGAUUAAAGAUGAUUAAGGCAAAAGAGGUUUAUGUGGUACUCUGUGAUUUGUUUAUCUGUCAAUUUAAAUAUGAAAUAUUUUGUUAAUAUUUUUAGUUAAGAAUUAUGGUAAUGAUUUAAUAUGCAGCUCACAAUUUUACAGUUUAAAUUAUAUAUCAAAAAAUAUAAUCAAAUUCAACAUAUAGGAAUGGAGGAGGAUGGAGGUGCAAGCCACACCAUUGGAAACAAGGCAGGUACAAGGCGAGCAUGGACAUAUGUCGAAGAAGAAGCACUGUUGGAAGCACUAGAUGCAGUGGUUGUAAGCGGUGGUCGUGCUGAUAAUGGAUUCAAAUCUGGUACAUUUAUACAUCUUGAAAAGGUAAUAAAUCAAAAGUUACCAAAUUGUGGUUUGAAGGCUUCUCCUCAUAUUGACUCCAAGAUUAGGAAAUGGAAGAAACAAUAUGGGUUGAUGUUUGAUAUGUUGAACACGAGCGGUUUUGGAUGGAAUGAUGUAAAAAAAUGUGUAGAGGUUGAUAGUGAUGAAGUUUGGAAUUCAUAUGUGCAAGUUAGAGAAAUUUUUAAAAGUUUUGAAUUUAUUUACUCUCAUUUGCGAGUUUUUGAAAUUUUCUUUUUGGAGAUUGAUAGUCAUUUAGCAAUUGUUAUGUCCAAGUUUAUUAAAUUUUUUACUAUUUAUUAUAUUGACCUUUAUUAUUUUUUAUUAUGUACUGUAUCUAACUACAUUUUGAUUAAAUAUUUGUAGUCUCAUAAUGCUGUAAGAAACUGGAGAGGCAAGCCAUUCCCACUUUAUAAAAGAUUGGCGAACAUAUUUGGAAAGGACCGUGCUGCUGGACAUGGAGCUCAAACUCCCGCUGACAUGGAAGACGAAGCAAAUCAAGAAGAAAUUCGCGAUGAUGAUAAUGAAAUGGAUGAUGGAUGUUCUUCAAUAUCGGCUACACCACCUUCAAGUUCUCAACACAUUGCUCGAGCUCACUCACAACCACCAAAUAGGAAGAGAUCUAGAUCAGAGGGUGACUUGCAGGCUGGCAUUGAUAAGAUUGUUAAUCUUAUCAGCCAAUCAUUUGAAAACAUGAAUACAAUAGCUCAACGCAUGUUCGAUAACAAAGAAGAUCGUUUUGACAUUUCUGAUGAACUUGCAACUAUGGGACUUUCUAUUGAAGAAGAACUUCUAGCCCUAGAGCUAAUUCUAAAAGAACCCCAUAAUAUUUCAGUUUUCAAGUCCUCGAGAGGUGAGCGUAAGGUAACAUUUGUUCAUAUGCUCUUGUAUAGAGCACAAGGUUGAUAUGUUGCUUAAAAUGGUUGUGAUGUUUUAAAGCCAAUAAUUUUUUGGUAUAGAAAAUAUGUCCGUACUAAACACAACCCCAUAUUUUGGUAUAGUUAUAGCAUGUGGGUGCAGGUGUGUACUUCACACAACCUGAUAUUUUGGUAUAGUAAUGUUGUAAUAUUGUAUUAUUAAUUUCAACAAAUUUUUGUAAACUUUUGAAUGAUUAUAUUAAGGUUGAAAAUUCCCCUAUGAAGGAAAAUCAUAUGCUUUAUUUGUGUAAUUUGAUUAGAAUUAUUAUUUUUGAUUAAUUUUCACAGGAAAUGUGUAAAAAAAUUAUGUGUCGAAAUUUUUUGAAACUUAUAGUUACAUAAAUCUCGAAACAAAUAUAAAAAUAUUAAAUUUGUAUAUGAGUAUUUUCUUUAUAUAUAUAUAUAUAUAUAUAUAUAUAUAUCCUUUUUAGCAUUAAAAAAUUAUUCCAUAUUCCAAGGAUUAUAAUACUUAAUAUAACAAGGUUAGUUAUUUACUUAAAUCAUUUACUUUUAACAAACAUUAAAACAAUCCAAUACAUGUUAUAUGCCAAACACAGGAUAAUUGAUAAUAAUACAAUACAGCUCAGCACCAAACCCUGUAUAAUUUAAACAACAGGUCAAUUUAAUACAUACCAUUCUAAAAUAAUACAGUCCAAUACAAUAUAAUACAGUCCAGUGCGGUGCACCAAACACACCCUUAGAACUAUUAAUAAGCUCCAGUGAGGAAUAAAGAAUUAGGCAGAAAAUUAUUCAAACUCUUUGUCUUGUGGUUGUUGUUCUCAUCCAAAGAAGAACAUUUUAAUUUUAUUGAUCGAUUGUAGCUAGCUACUGACUGGGACCGCAUCAAUCUUUCUUGCAAUUAAGCCUUUUGCGUAUCCAAUUGCUGUCAACUGUUUUUGAACGUGUAGAAGAAAACAACUUGAAGACUUGAGAGAGGGCCAGCGUUAAUUCAAAGUCAAGACCAACUUAUUAGCUUGCAGGACUCCUGAUGGUGAGAAAAAAGAGGGUUGACAGAUGCUGGGUAUAAGGUCUAUAAAACUUUAAUUAUUUCAUAAAAUUGUUUUAUUUUUUAUUCCUUAUCACGUUGGGGAUUGGCCCCCAAUGGCCCAUUUUAUUUUCAUGUUUAUGUAGGUCAGUAAUGUUAUUGGAAAUCAACUAUUGCCUCUUUUUUUCUCACUUAUUGAGGACUAUGGAGAAUUAAACAAAACUGACCUAAAAAAUAUAUAAUGAAUAUUUAUUAUCAGAUUUCAGACAAAAUUAAUUUUUGAACCGAUUGAAACUUCCAAAAACUCAAAUUUCGAAUUUGUUAUAUAAAUAUAAUCUACUUUAAGUAUCAUUAUCAAAUCCUCCUCUAUAGCACAUGAGCAAAUUUGCAACCUUUCUAGCUUAAAAUCUAGGUUUCAAAUCUUGGCAGCGGAGUUAAUUUUUGUUAUUUUUUAAGCCACAGUUAAUUUUUGUUAUAUAAUUUAGAUCAUAGAUAAUUUUAAAAAUAUAACGAGUAAUUGUGUAAUUCAAUCAAAUCUUAGAGACUAAAGGAAUAUUUACCAAAGAUUAAAAUAUAUAUAUAUAUAUUUUAAAGCUACAUUUUGUUUCAUCCAAAUGAAGCUACUCAAUCUAUAUUUUAUUCCAAUAAGACUAUGGCUUCAUUUCAUGUCUUAAUUAAAUUAUAUAAUGAUGAAAUAUUAUAUUCUGAACUUAACUGAAUCCAAUAUCAUUUCACCAAUCCGUCAUAUGAGAUGAAGGGAAAAAAAUCUGUUGAAAUUAAUUUUAAAUUAAAGUUGAGGAAUGGUGAUAUGAUACAUACACAUACAUGACUCUGAAUUUAUUAAAUUGAAGAUGUACUCAUCGUCUUGUCGAUGUGACCAAAUACUGGAAUGUGAUAAUGGUCUUUGGACUUUGGAGAAGACUUGAGAGGGCCCAGAGUAAUUAAAAGUCAAGAUUGGCAAUCUGAAAUUAAUCUCGGGCUUUAAGAUGCAGGACUCUCUUGCCGGUGGGAAAAGUUUCUGAAUUAAUAUAGGAGCUAAUACAUGCACUUUCCGAACUAAAGAAAACUGAGUUUAAGCGGCGAAUGGCUGUGCAUCUUUGUCUGGUGUUGUUGCAGAUUAUUGUUUUUCAUCUCAGGCCGAUCAAAGCCUCAGAAAGAUUCGCCUGUCCAACUGAAUGUGGAAAUGUCAGCAUCAGCUACCCCUUCGGAAUCGGAGAAGGGUGCUACUUUGACAAGGGUUACGAAGUUAUCUGCGAUCACUCUUCUGGCUCUCCCAAAUCUUUUCUUCCUGGCGUCAACAGGCUAGAAUUAUUGGAUACUCUUUCUUAUGAUUCAAGGCCCGCGGUUAGAGUCAACGUUCCUACAAUUUCUUUAAACAGCAGUAGUAAGCGAACAAGUAAUAUUCUUAAAGGCGUCAACUUAUCAGGUACCCCUUUCGCCUUUUCGUCUGACAAUAAAUUCGCUGCCAUAGGCUGCAACAUGAGAUAUCACCAAGGGAACGAUUCAUCUUUGUUUGAUGGGUGUCUGUCGAUUUGUACUUGUGAUCCUACACUCUACCCUGCUUGCUAUGAUUUCCUAUGCCCCCUUCCUCGAAAUAUUACUCAUCUUUUGAAUGUAAAUACAUCAUACUUGUUUUCUCAAAGUAUUCCUCAAAAAUGUCAGUCUGUUUUCCUGGUUGAUGAACAUUGGGUCAACAGCAAGUACCUUGAAGAUCCUCUUGACUUGGAAGAUCAACGAGAAGUUCCUGCAGUGUUGAAGUGGGGAGAAAAGAUAGGCAGUUGUUUUGAAGGGAAUAACUCAUAUUCUAUUUUUUGUAAUUCGGAUAAAAAAGGUUGUUUAACACAAUUAAGCUCAGGCCAUUUUUGUCUUUGCUCUUCUGGCUACGACCUAGAGAAAGGAUACUGCUCAGGUACAGAUUGGAUUAUGAGUUAAAGAGUAAUUUUAUUUUUUUCAAAGAAAAUAUCCGGACGACAAGAAGAAAAGGGAAAAUUCUUGGUGCUCCACGAGCAUUAUGAAUAGAUGCUAUUUCCGUAUAAAUAUUAGCAAUAAGGGUGAAUGAGAAACGGAAAAUGCUAUUGGAGCACCUAGACUUUACUAGCAAGAGUUAAAUGUCAAAUGAUGUAACAUUCCUCUGUUGGAUGGUAAGAUGAUCAGAAAAGUGUUGUAAAAUUUAUCAUCCAAUAGAUGAUUGAAAUUAUUGAUUUUUAAAAUAUCCAUCGGAUUACUUGCAAAUGAGUAAAGUCUUCCAAUUACUGUAACUGUCUAUGUAAACAGAAAAUUAAAGACAAAAAUGGUGGAGUUUUUUUUAGUUGUAGCCAUGAUUUAGUUUGAUCUUCUCUUUGAUUUAUUUAUUUUUAUUUAUUAUUUUCUGGGCAGGCGACUUGAUCUGUAAUAUCUCGAGCGGCUACAAUUGCUCCAAUUGUCCUGACGGUUAUAAUCGUCUCUCAUAUGGUUGCAUUAAAGUUUUCAACAAAUCUCGGGUUAAAUUCAUUGUUAUAGGUAUGCAUAUCGAUCCUUUAUUUUACAUCAUAACAAAUUAAUAAUGUUUUUUAACAUAUAUUUCAAAUGAAAAUACUAAGUGUUCAUUCGUUCAUUUGAUGAUAUCUUUCAUUAUUGUCCUCGAGAGCCGCAGGCUGCGGUGGUGGGCUUGCGUUAUUCUUUCUACUCAUUGGAAUAUGGUGGUUGUACAAGUUUGUAAAAAGAAGAAGGGAAAUCAAGUUUAAGCGUAAGUUCUUUAAAAAAAAUGGUGGUUUAUUAUUGCAACAAGAAUUGUCUUCCAAUGAAGGUAAUAUUGAGAAAAUGAAGUUAUUUACUUCAAAAGAUUUGGAGAAGGCCACCGACAACUACAAUGCCAAUCGAAUCCUUGGUCAAGGAGGCCAAGGCAUUGUAUACAAAGGAAUGUUAGCAGAUGGAGGAAUUGUGGCUGUAAAAAAAUCUAAAAUAUUGGAUGAGAGUAAUCUCGAGCAAUUCAUCAAUGAGGUAGUAAUUUUGUCUCAAAUUAAUCACAGAAAUGUUGUUAAGUUGUUGGGAUGUUGCUUGGAGACAGAAGUUCCUCUUUUGGUGUAUGAAUUUAUUCCAAAUGGAAGCCUCGAUCAAUACAUACACUACCAAUCUGAAGAGUUUCCAAUCACAUGGGAAAUGCGUUUACGCAUUGCUGUUGAAGUUUCAGGUGCUCUAUCUUAUCUGCAUUCAGCAGCAUCUAUUCCUAUUUAUCAUCGAGACAUCAAGUCUGCAAACAUACUUUUGGACGAUAAAUAUCAAGCUAAAGUUUCAGAUUUUGGGGCUUCUAGAUCUAUCACAAUUGAUCAAACUCACUUGACCACUCAAGUACAAGGAAGUUUUGGAUAUCUAGAUCCAGAAUACUUUCGGUCAAGUCAUUUUACUGAGAAAAGUGAUGUUUAUAGUUUUGGAGUAGUUCUUGUUGAGCUUCUAACUGGACAAAAACCUAUCCGUUUAACUGAAGCUGAAGAAGAUAAAAGUUUAGCAAGAUAUUUUAUCCAAGCAAUGAAAGAGAACUGUCUGUUUGAAGUCCUUGAUGAUCGAGUUCUCAAGGAAGCUGAGAAAGUAGAAAUUAUUACUGUUGCUACACUCGCAAAAAGAUGCUUGAACUUGAAUGGGAAGAAAAGACCUACGAUGAAAGAAGUGGCAUUUGAAUUACGGGGUAUAAGAGAAUCAAUUGGAACUUCCAUUUUGCAGCAAAAUUGUGAAAAGACUGAUUUUGUGGAUGGUGACAUUACUGGACAUGAUUUCGAAAGGGAUUCAUCUUCUAGUGGGUCAACUUUAAAUAGUGUCUCAGUUUCUGUGGAUGCCGACCCUUUAAUUUCAAACAAAUGGUGACAAAGAGAAGAAUGGCCUUGAAACUGUUUGUAUUUCAUAAAUAAGAUUGUUAAGACUUUUCCGAUAUUUUCAUUCUCUUGCAUCGUUACAGUUUCUUUGGGCACCAUCAUUUGUAAUUAAACACUUCCAAGUCAUUUCAAACAAAUUUUCCACUAUUUCAUUGAAUGCGCUGCAUCUUCUCUCCCCCCCCCCCCCCCCCCACACCAAAAAAAGGGGAGGCGGCGCAAAUGGAGGAGAUGAAGGAAAAAUCUGUUGAAAUUAAUUUCGUAGUUGAAGUUUAUAAAUGCAAGAUGAUAUGAUCUCUCAGUCUAUUAAAUACUGAUGUGCAAGAACUUUAGCACUAUGUGACCUAAUAUCUCAAGUAAAUAGGAGAGAACAACUUGAGCACUUAAGAGGGCCAACGUUAAAUAAACUCCAGAGUGGCAUGUUGUAAUUGUUGGCUUAUUGUUAUGCAGAACUUUCCCGGUAGUGAAAUAAAAUCGAGAGGAAGAUGGGAGGAAAUAAAGAUCAAUGCGCUUUCUUGUAUUUCAUGGGUUAAAAAUCUUUUUAUCUGAUUACAAACUGAUAGAUAAAAUACCCUUAUAUCAUUUGUGAUUGAAUCUCUUAGGUCAAAUAUAUAAAGUUAGAACAAUCCUCAACUCAUUAGUUAGAUUUUGAGUAUGGCUUAAACCCAUGAACUUUUAUAUUUUACUAGAGAUACUCACCCACGAUUAUGCCCGCACUACCUCCCACAGUACCUUACCACUAGACGCCCUUCACAUGGAGGCUUGGGUACCACUUGAAAAGUCAUUUGAAAGAAAAGUCUGUUUAAAAUUACGUUCCAAUUCUGUAUUUUCAACUCUCCAAGUUAUAAAUUGAUAUUCAACUCUUAUGUUAUAAAAAAAGUAAUGCUAGAGCAUUCCAACUUGAGUACCAAUGGAUGUGGCAUUCAUUCAGUGGAUUGUAGAAUAUUUAUUUUAUCAGCUAUAAAAUUUAUUAUUCAAUAGAUAAUGAUAUAUGAUAGUUGGGACUCAAAUUGGGACUUAAUUGGUGGGACACAAUCAUGAUUGGUUAAAAAAGAUAUACAGAGAUAACCAUCGUAAGAGGUAAAUCAAAAACUCUUUCUUUCUCUCUGCUAAGACCCUUUCUGCCACCAGCUGAAAUUCAAACACUAGUUUUGAUCCAUCAACGUGCCUGAAUUACACAGCCACCACAUUUUCAAACAUCUAAACUCUCAAAUCUAUUUUUCAACUCCGUUUUUCCAACCACUGCAGUCUCGAACCAACCGGAACUCCACGCUGCUACUUGUAGCUGCCACGUCGCCAAUUUCCCAUCACCACAGCACAAAAAUAAAAUAAAAUAAAAAAUAUAUAUAUAUACACGGAGGAGAGAACAACUUGUAGACUUGAGAGGGCCAGGGUUAAUUAAAAGUCAAGUUGACUUGCAGGACUUUCAUUGUAUUGGGAUAAAAGCUAAAAGGAACCUAGAAGGAAUUUAAUUAAAGAUCAACGCAUGCAAUUGCUCUGUUAAAUCUUCAUUCUUCCAAGUAAAAAUAUUGAGAAUGGUUGUUCAUCAUUAUCUGGUGUUGCUGCAAUUGAUGAUUUUGCUAGUAUGGCCAAUCAAAGCAUCAAAAGAUUUAUGCCAAUAUGAUUGUGGCAAUGUCACUAUCAGUUACCCCUUCGGAAUCGGAGACGGUUGCUACUUUGAUAACAGUUUUGAAGUAUUCUGCGAUUACUCCUCUGGCUCCCCAAAAGCUUUUCUUGCGAGCAUCAACAACCUGCAAGUAUUGGACAGUCAUGUUUAUACUGUUUAUGAUUCAUCUACUUCUUUUUAUGUAUACAUGAUUAGGGUAUACAUUCCUGUAAUUUCUUUGAAGAUCAGUAACCUGACAAGCAGUGAUAAAGGGGUCAGUCUAUCAGGUAGCCCUUUUACAUUUUCCCGGUCGCGCAAUAGAUUCACUGCCAUAGGUUGCAACAACUAUUCUACGAUUAUUAAGCGACAGAAUGAUUCAUCCGUUUUUGGUGGGUGCCUUUCGAUUAUCACUUGUGAUCCUGCUCUUAACCCUGGUUGCUACGAUUUCCUAUGCGCCUUUCCUCAAAAUAUUACUGAGGUUUUCAAUGCACAAAUAUCUAAUUUUUAUUCUAAAAGUAUUCCUCUGGAAUGUCACUCUGUUUCCAUUGUUGAAGAUUAUUGGAUCACCUCCGGGUACCUGAAGAAUCCUCACGUUUUGAAAGAUCAUGAACAAGUUCCUGCACUGUUGGAGUGGCUUGAGUAUAAAGGAUAUUGUUAUGAAGAAUAUAAUUCGAAAACUACUUGUAACAAGGACAAUAGAUGUUUAAUACAAUUAAGCUCAGGCUACCUUUGCAUUUGCUUUAGGGAAACAAGCUUUGACCGACACCACCAUGGAUAUUGCUCAGGUACAAUUUCGAAUACUAAUUAAAUUAAUUUCAUAUAUGAAGUGUAUACUACAUUUCCUUGAACCAACUACGUAUCUAACACAAAAUUAGUGAAAGUAAUUGCAGAAUUCGCAUAUGUAAAAAAGGAAAGAUUUAUAUAUAGCCAUAAUUUAUUUUGAUAUUCUAUUUCAUCUUUUGGGUUUGUUUAGGUUUCUUGUUCUAUAAUAUCACAAGCCCCUACAAUUACUCCUCAGGAUGUCCCAAAGGUUACUUUUCAGAUCCCAACUCAAGUAUCUGCGCCCAAAAUCGUAGGACAAGUUCAUAUGAACUUCUUCAAAUUAUGCACAAAAAUUCUCAUGUCAAAUUCAUUAUUAUAGGUAUGUAUUGGAAUUUGCAGAUUUUGUCGACAGAAUUAACUGAUUUUUAAUUACCGUAUAUAUAUGGGCUCACAAACGCAAAAACGUUCUGCACCUGAAAUUUGCAAUAGCAUAUACAUUUAUGAUCUCCUACUCUUAACAGACUAAACAGUUCCUUGCCAUAAAUCGCCGAACGCGUAUUAAAUAUUCUUGUCCUGGAGCGUUGCAGGUUGCAAUAGUGGGCUUGGAAUGUUGUUCCUACUAAUCGGAAUAUGGUGGUUGUGCAAGUUCGUUAAAAGAAGAAGAGAAACCAAGCUCAAACAGAAGUUCUUUAAAAGAAAUGGUGGUUUAUUAUUGCAACAACAAUCGUCAUCAAAUGAAGGUAAUACCGAGAAAACAAAAUUGUUUACUUCAAUGGAAUUGGAAAUGGCUACUGACAACUUCAAUACCAAUCGAAUCCUUGGUCAAGGAGGCCAAGGCACAGUGUACAAGGGAAUGUUGACAGAUGGAAGAAUUGCGGCUGUGAAAAAAUCCAAAUUAGUGGAUGAGAGUAAUAUUGAGCAAUUCAUCAAUGAGGUGGUAAUUUUAACUCAAAUUAACCACAGAAAUGUUGUUAAAUUGUUCGGGUGCUGCUUGGAGACAGAGGUUCCUCUUUUGGUGUAUGAAUUUAUUCCAAAUGGAACUCUCUAUCAAUAUAUACAUGACCAAACUGAGGAGUUCUCAAUCACAUGGGAAAUGCGUUUACGCAUUGCUGUAGAAGUUUCAAGUGCUCUAUCCUAUUUGCAUUCAACUACUUCUAUUCCAAUUUAUCAUCGAGACAUCAAGUCUGCAAAUAUACUUUUGGAUGAUAAAUUUCGAGCAAAAGUUUCGGACUUUGGGGCUUCUAGAUCCGUCACGAUUGAUCAAACUCACUUGACCACACGAGUACAAGGAACUUUUGGAUAUCUAGAUCCAGAGUACUUUGGGUCAAGUCAAUUUACAGAGAAAAGUGAUGUUUAUAGUUUUGGAGUUGUCCUUGUUGAGCUUUUAACUGGACAAAAACCUAUCCUUUCAACCGACACGGAAGAAGAUAAAAGUUUAGCAGGGGUUAUUUUCUCUCCGAGAGCAAAUGAAAAGAGAGAAACCAUUUUGUUUUGAUGUGUGCUUGAUGGCUCUCAAAGUUCUUUAAGAAAGCCCAAGGAAGGAAAGAGAAUUAUUUACCGUGGUUAUGGCUUGCAAAAAGGAUGCUUGAACUUUGAAGGGGAGGAAGAAGACUUCCUAGGAAAGAAGUACCAUUUGGAAUUUAGGGGGGAUUAGAGCUCAAAGUGUGAAGACAUUCAUCUUGUGGAUGCCAAUUUGAAACUGUCAUCUCCAACUGAGAGCCAUUUUAAAUGCUGUUGCUUUUUCUGUAGAUGCUAAUCCUUUGCUUUCAAACAAGUGGUGAUUAAAGGGAAGAAUUUUCCUUUAAAAUCUAAGUAUUUCAUUUCAUAAAUAAAUUAAGCUGUGGAUUUUUGCAUUAUGCUUCUCUUAUGGUUAAAAUUUUUCAUCUCUAGAAUAAAAUAUACAGAGUUUGAUGUUCGGUUUGUAAGCGGAGAAAUAAAUUUAUAAGGUAGAUUCCAACAAAGCAUCUGUGGCAAACAUAUUUAAAUAUCUAAGAAGCAAGCUUCUAAUGCUACCAAUAUUUAGGGGCCCUGUGCUUGAAGAAACAGAACUUUGAAGCUGACAGAGUGAGGCAUCUCAGCAUCUGAAUCUGCAUACAAGUGGAACAGGAGAUGCCGACAUGACAUCCUACGUGGAACUUAUGUGACACAUACAAUGAAUCCAGUUCGUUCCUAAUUCAUACGCUUACAUUGUAACCCCGUUCUGUGUGUUUCGAGUACCAUUGGCGAACCAUCACUUCGUGCCUUUGUAUUGCUAAUAGUACCUUUGCCUUGAUUGAUUUUGCUGACAAUAUAUAGGUUGUGUUUGGAAGUGAAGUACUAUAACUUUUAUGUUACGUUUACUUCCUGGAUUAGGGAAUCGGAAUCAUUAACAACGUUUAUCUCGCAAAAUAGAUUUAGGAAUCAAAAUCGGAAUCGGAAUCGUGGGACCCACCACAAUUUGGGAAUGAGCAAUGGGAGACUCAUUCCUAGGGGGAGGUGGGAAUGAGUCUCCCAUUUUCGGGAGUGACUGUUUUACCCUCCCCCAAAAUUAAAAAUGUUCAUAUUGUCCUCAUUUAUAAUUAAUUAAUAUAUUAUUAUAAUUAAUAAAUAAAUAAAUAUAUUGUUAACAAUAAUUAUUAAUAAUUUUAGUAUUUAAUAAAUAAUCACAAUAAUUAAUAUAUUAAUAUUAUUAAUUAAUUAUUAUAAUUAUUACUAUUAAUUAAUAUAUUAAUAUAUUAUUAACAAUAAUUAUUAAUAAUUUUAAUUUUUGAUAAAUAAUCACAAUAAUUAAUAUACUUUUAUUAUAAUUAAUUAGUAUACUAUUAUAAUAAUUACUAAUAUAAUUAUUUUAAUUAAUUCAUAUAUAUUAUUAAUUAAUUUAUAUAACUAUUACUAUUAAUUAAUAUGUUAGUAUAUUAUUAACAAUGAUAUAUUAAUAAUUAUAGUUUUGAAUAAAUAAUUACAAUAAUUAAUAUAUUUUUAUAAUAAUAGUUAAUAUAAUUAGUUAAAAAAAUUUACAAUUAAUUAAUAUAUUAAUAUAUUCUUGACAAUAAUUAAUAAUAAUAAUAAUUUUUUAAUAAAUAAUCACUAUAAAAUAAUAAUUAUGACAAUAAUUUGUUAAGUACUUUUUAGUAAUUUGUUACAAUUUAACUCAUUCUGAUUCCAAUUCCAAGAUAAAAUAAACACAUCAGUGGGAUUCUAGCUCAUCCUUAUUCUGAUUCAUGUAGGUCAACUAAACAAUUUAUUCUAAUUCUUUUUCCUCAUUCCGAUUCCAGCCCAUUCCAAUUACUAACAAGUAAACGCAGCAUUAAGAUGCAGAUGCUGUGGAGUAAAAGUCAUAGUUGUGGGAUAAAAGCUGCUAGUGUUUAGCAAAUUUUAAUAGUUGUAGAGUAGAAGCUAAUGGUGUUUGGUAAAUUUUAAUAGUUGUAUAGUGAAAGUUGAUGAAUAUUUGUAAUAAUUAAUUUUAAAUAAAAUUAUUUUUAAUUAUUAAUUAGUCAAAUUAUUUUUCAUAUUUUGAAUUAUCAUAUUAACUUAUGAUUAUGUUUAUUACUUUGACAAAUCAAAUUAAUAGUUAAUUAAUCAAAGUUAUUUUUCUUCACAAGCUGUAAUAAAUAUUUUUUAAAACAAAAUAAUUUAAAAAUUGAAAAUAAAUAAAUUCUAAUUUUACACAUUGAUUGUAGAAAUAAAUUAUACCAAAUGUGUCUAAUAAAGAUCAUACAACAUAACAUUAUCUACACAACUUAAAAGUGACUUUUAACCCACAAGUAUAAAAGUGUCUUGUUGUAUUAUAGCUCGGUGAGUCCAAGGUCGAUUCACAGAGAAAAUAUUUAAUUUGUUUAUUUUAUUUUAUCUAAAAAUGGAAAUAAAAUUUAAAUAUAAACAACUUAAUUUAAAUCAAAUUAUGAAAUUGAAUUAGUUAGGGUUAUGGAUCCACUCUUAGUAGUAAAUAAAAUUUAAUAAAUUCUUUUUACUAUUUUUUUAGAUUUAUUACCCAAAAGAUUAAUUAUGUAAAUUAUUAUUAUUUUCCUAUUAAUUUUAUUAUGGAUUAAGUAUUUAAUGUGCCAAAAUUUAAUUUUUCCACAAUAAAUCAAAAUACCAUUUUAUCAUACCUUAUAUUAAGAUAUUAAGAAUUUAUUGUGCCAAACUCUCUUGUUUGUCUACAAUAAAUCAAAAUUUCAAAAUAUAAAAUAUGUAUAAAAUUAAAUAGAAAAUAAUUUAAUUUAUAAAAUUAAAAAUAAAUUUUGAUUAAAUCAUAUUUAUUUCCUAAGAGUUUCACCUUACCCUAACUAUUAUUAUUUAGUUAAGAUAAUUGAAAUAAAAGUAAUUACUAAAAUUAAAUUAAACAUAAUUAAAAUGAAUAAAAAAACUAAAAUUAAAAAUAAAACUAAAUUUAAUUAUAAAAAUAAUUAAGCAAAAUAUUAAAAACACACCUGAAAAACAAGAUUACAGGGAGAUUGAGAGAAAUUGAGAAGACGAGAUGAUAAAAAACAUAAAAAGUGAGGCUCUAUUUAUAGAAAAAUAAAUUCAUGAUCCAGUGUCUUGCAGUCCAUCAUAAGCUUUAUGCAUGCGCUCUUCACAACCAUUAGAUCAAAGAUCCAACGGCUGCUCAAACUUCAAAAGUCAACAUCACACACAGCAUCAUGUGAAACGUCCGAUUCGGUCAAAGAACGGUUGAGAUUUGGCGGGUUAAUGGGUGGAUCAGAUUGACUCGAAUACAAAGGUUCGAAUCCUACAACUUACUUCACCAACCAUUGCCACGUGGCACAAUUGCGGCCAUUGAAUCAUGAACGGUUGAGAUUUAGUUAAAAUUGCAAGUUAUGCCAUGCACUCAUAUAUAUUGUAAGCUCACUUUAUCAUACAAUCAGUGCUCGGUCAACCGAAAACGUCAACCUUCUUUUACAAAAGCUCAAUUUUAAGCCGAUGUGGACUCAUCUUAAGGUUUUCAAACCUCCGGAAUCCAUAUUUGACAUCCGUUUAUCUGUUUGGAGCCUCGAACUAUGUGAAAUUAAUAUUUUACGUAAUAAACACACAAAAAUAUACAAAAUUAAAUAUAAUUAAGACAUAAUUAAUAAUUCCUAAUAUAUUGGAUAAACACAAAUAUAAAUGAUAAUAUAAUCACAAAAUAACAUUUUUAUCGCUUGAUAAUUAAACAAUUUUUAAUACCAAUCAAUUAUAAAAUUAAAAUGUAACUAAUUUCAAAAUUCUUAUAAACAUUUCCAUUGUCAUGCCUCCAUUAAACUUGCAACAAUGCCAUCUCUCAAGAUUAUUAUAUUUUGAGCUAUGUUAUCAAUUGUAUUAUAACUUUCUUUAGGAGACGCAAUCUUGCUUAUAUGUUCGUUAUUACUAUGACUUGGUUCAUCCAUUGUUUCAUCAAAAUGAUCAUGAUUUUGUGAAUAUCUUCUUAUGUAAUUAUGUAAGGCCAUGGUAGUAAUAACACUCGCUUCUUGAAUGUAUAGCUUGGCAUAUUUCGUAAAAUCUUCCACGUGUUAUUUCAAACCCCAAAAGUACCCAUUAGAGUUAGCAGUACUCUAAACACUAAGAGAUUCAGAUGCCUCAUUACUCUCUAAAGGAAAACCAAAUGAGGGAAGUCAAACAUGCUCACUCAUAACCACUGUGUUUGAACAUUAAAUUUAGGUUUUUCUCUAACUUUGGAUCAAUAACAUUUUUUCGAAAUCUACUCAAUUGCAAAUUUUCCUUUAUUUUCUUUUCCCACCAGUCUUCACUUGCAUCAACUAUCCAGGGGCAAAGCUAUGAGGGGGCUAACCCGGGCUGUAGCCUGGGUUAGUUUCUUGAAAAAAAAAAUAGUUAAUUAUAAAUUUAUUUAAAAAAAACUUAUAGUAAAAUAUAAAAUAUAACGAAUAAUUAUUGUCAAUAUCUAUUUUCUCUAAAUCGAAAAACUCACCUUCCCUGACUAAUUGAUCUAAUUAUCCAAAAUCUAAAUUCCCAAAGACUCAACUGUUCAAGUCAUUAACUUGCUGCUUUAUGAGUGACAGCCAGCCUCUACCGCACCCGCAUAAUCAUAUUGUCUUUGAAUUAGUUAUUAGCUUAUACUUUUGUCAAAUUUUUUGAUAAAAUAAUUAAUAAUUCUCUAAUAUAUUAUUAUCGCAGACAAUAUCAAUUCAGAUACGAUAAUACAUGAGUUUUCUUUUUUGAAGAAUCAGAAGACAAAACUUCUUUGAUAGUGUUUUUGAUUUACAUUGCACCUUUACAGUUUUAUUAUUAGUUUUUUGCUUGUCUAGUGUAUUUUAAUAAUUUCAUUUGUAUAGAAUAAAUUUUUUGAGAAGUAAAAUUGAAUUAAAAAAAAAAUCUAGCCCACCCCAAAAUAUAUUGCUAGCUUCGCCACUGCAACGAUCCAUAACCUAUGAUUCCACCCUAGACUAGCUUCCUAGCUAAUCAAAUUCUUCCACAGUUUCCAAUUAGUUCUAAUAGAAUCCCAUUUUUUUUUCAUCUGAAUUCUAUUGUAAUCCAAUCCAGUUUCUUUAGUGGAUUCCUUAAUUAAAUUUUCAUAUCCUUCGGAAGUCACAUGAGUCCUAGGACGAUGUUCGGCAUCCACUGCCUUAAUACAUAACUCACAAAAUACAUUUGAAGUCUGGGAGUUCCAGGUCGCCUUACUAGUUGAGCUAUUAGACAUAAUUGCGUACACUUAAACCUAGAAAAUAGAAUAAUAUUUUGUCAUCAAACAACAAUAUAGGAAAGAGAUUAAUUAAGAGCAAUACCCAAUUUUCUUUUUAAAACAAAUAACAUUAAUUAAGGAUGAAUUAUGUCUAGCAACAAGGAUGAUUUAUGCCUUACAUUACAUAUCCUGUUUCAAAAUGAGUUGUUAGUUUAAUAAACCUGGGGUUUCCUCUAAUUAAAUACCAUGUUUCGAAGAAAUUAAAAUAUUUUUUCUCAAUAGUUUAAUUUUUUGUAGUUACCUUUAAGUGAAUCCUUUAAAAUUUAUGAGAAGCUGAAAUGAUUUGUUCAAAAACAUGUAUUGUUGGAAUAUAUAGGAAUUGGUUACUUGUUUGUUGCUGCCUUUAAUGAUUUUUAUUACGGAAAUUUCAUCAAACAAGGAUUGUGCAUGUCUAUAAAAAGCAACUAAAAAAAAUUAAAAAUGCAAUAAAAAUAGUGACUUCAAAGCAAAUAAAUCACACGUGACCAAUCACCUAUUAAUUUAUUCUAAGUAAAAGCUCCAGUACAUUCUGAACAAAAAGGAAGAAAAUGAAAAAUUACAUGUAACAAAGUAAAGGAAAACUCAAAAAAUGAACAACGGGUAAAGGAAAAUGCACAUUACUUAGAUAUUUUAAAAACAAAGAUAGAACAUAUUUGUAUGAAAAUGACUGGUGUCAGAAUCGUGUCAAUGAGAAUUACCGAUGUUGCAUCGAUGAGAACUGUCGAUAUUGGAAUCAUGCUAAUAAGAACAAUGUUUAGAGUUUGUUUUAUGGAAAAAUCAAUUUGAGUUUAAGUUUAAAAAUGAGGAGGAUAAAAUCGAAAUUAAAUAAUAUGUAAGGGUAAUUUAGUAAUUUAAUAUAUAGCUAAGAAAAAUUUUUGCUUACCUGCUAAAGCCCGACUCCAAAGUGUUACUACUGAAAAUGAGGGGAUGAUAUAUGGAAAAAAGAAGCUUCAUUUUAAAUUAAUGCACAAAAACAAUUUAAAGAUUUAAGAGAUCUAAUUUGUCGUUUCAUUUCACUAAAAUGUAUUGAUAGAUAAAAUUAGCCAUUAGGUGUGUCUUAUCCUAAAAUUAAUCUUUCACGAAGUCCUUAGAAACAAUAAAAUACUAUUACAUAGCCCGGAAAGCGUUUGUAUUAAGUUAUAGAAUUAGGUGUCUCUUACACAUAUGUCUUCCCUGAAUAAAAGCGUUCGUAUUAAGUUAUGAAAUGGUGGAUUAUUAUGCCAAACAAACGGCUAUUUCCCUUUCAAAAUUAUUAAGUUAUGAAAUGGUGGAUUAUUAUACCAAACAAACGGCUCUAUCCCUUUCAAAAUUAUUGGACGUAUUUUUCAAGGAAACCUCCUCUAUCUUUCUUCCAAUUAAUGUCCAGUUAAGACUUCCGUGGGUCCAAUUAAUGUCAAUCGUUUUUGAAUGUGUACAGGAUAACAACUUGAAGACUUGAGAGGGCCAGCGUUAAUUCAAAGUCAAGACUAGGCUAUUACCCUGCAGGAUUCUUGAUAGUGAGGUGAAAAAAAAAAGGGUUGAAAGAGAUUAGGAUUUAACGCUGAGUUUAGUUUUUAUUGACCACUAAGUUAAUUAUUAAAAUUUAUUUUGUGCUUUUUCUUUCAUUUAUCUUACAUAACAAUUAUUUAUUGAGAUUCUUGUCCAAUUGAAAGAUAUUAGAUAAAAGGUUAUUAAAACUUUAGUUAUUUUUGUGUAUAAAACAAAAACUUUGGAUUAUUUAGUUUCAAAAGAAAAAAAAUCGAGACUUUGAGUUGCUUUGGAACAAAUUAUAUUUGAAAUUGAAAAGAAGAAGAAAAAAACCAUACAACGAGAAAGAGAAAAUAUAAAUGGGGUUAAUUCUAAUAAUAUGUCCUUAAAUAUAAUUGUAUAUAAUAGGGGUUUUAUAAGAUUAAUGAAGAGGUGAUCCAACAUUUUCACAAUUUGUUUUCAAUUUUUAUUCAUCACCCCGAUGCCCCAAUUUAUUUUCGUUAUUAUGUAGGUGUGGUGUUACUAGAAAUCAAAUGCUGCCUUUUUUUUCUUUUUUCUUUUUUCUUUUCUUUUCCUCUCCUCUCCUCACUUAUAGUGGAAUAUGGAGAAUUAAACAAAACCAAUUCCCAAUCAACGUUAACAUACGUUAUAUAAUAUAUUACACAUUACAAUUAUUUGUAUUUGAACCAGACUCGAAACAAAAAUUGGGUAGCCGCUUGCUGGAUUUUGUAUGGAACUUAGAGGAGAAACUUGGUAAUGAAGUGUGUGGAGGUGCGGAGACAACAGUCAGUAGGCGGUAGCAGCAGAUCUGGUCGUGGUCCUCACAGAGCAGUAGAUCAGCUGGCGGUUGGCGUUGGCGGUGAUUGUGGCGAGCGUGUGUUGGUUGCGGCUGUGUGUGUGUGUGUGUGUGUGUUUCUACUUGUGUUGAGUGUUGACUUGAGGGUGGGGAAGUGACCCAUGAGGCGUGAAGGAGGGGAGUAGAGGCUGGAGUGCGCUGUGUGGUCUCUCGUUGAGGUUUGAGGGGGAGGUAGUGAGGCGUGAGGGAGGGGAAUGAGGCUGCUGGGUACGGCUGGGUGCGCUGAGUGUGUGGUCUACUAGUUUUAUGCCUCUAUCUCUACUCGUUUUGUGCCUCCAUCUCCGUGAUGUGUGUCGUAUACGUGUGUGGUGUGUGAGGCUAUGUAGUGUGUGGUCUGUGCUCUGCAGCGUCACUAGUGCUUGAGUGCUUGUUGUUGGAUGCAUGUGUGUUGUAUCAGUGUGGGUUGUUCACUUUCUUCUUUAAGCCAACCCAUUCAGGUUAUCGAAUUGGAUCAGAUUUCACCCGAUCCGAUCGGGUUGGCAACAUUUGAUCCGAUCGGAUAUUAUGGUCAAUCCGAUCCGAUCUGAACCUAAUUUUUUUCGGAUCGAAUCGGGUUGGAUUGGUUAUUUUGCCCACCCCUACUGCCCACUGUCCCCCCUUGCCUCCUCACCAUACAAAUAACAAUUGAAAAUUAGGCCAAUUAAAUUAAAGGCAAGACGGGAUGGAAAUAUGGAAUCGUUAAUUAUUAUACCCAUGACCCCUCUAAUUAAUGGUUAUUUCCCUUUUGAUAUUAUUGUACGUGUUUGAAAGGAAACCUCAUCUAUCUUCCUUCCAAUUAAGACUAUUGUAUGUCCAAUUAAUGUAAAUUGUUUUUGAACGUGUAGAGGAUAACAUGACAAUGCGGAGACAUUUAAAGUUGAUUGAUAGAAGGAAAAAAUUUCCUAAAUAAUGAAGUUAAUUGAAAAAAUUUUAAAUUAACAAAACUAGAGUUUUAGAUCUUUUUAUAUAAUAACUUUAACUAUAAUAAAAUUCUCCUAAUCUGAAUAAAAAAUCCAAAACAAACAGUGCUCAAAUAUGUUAUUUAGGAAAAAAAAGAUAAAACUUUUAGAAGAAAUAAGAAAAAAUGGACGAAUAUCUUAAAAACGAAAAAUGACAAGGAAAGAAACAAAUUUCUAGGCUCAAGUAAGGCCCAAAAUGGCAUAAGCUUUAUAAGCUUGAUUUGUCUUCUCGUAAACUUUAAAACGAUAUAUUAUACACUCAAAACGGAUACAUAUGGCCUAAAUUACGCCCUUUGGAAAGUACCCUUCUCAUCCCACACGCCCAUCAUACAUUAGUCCCUCUCACUUGGAAAAGAACUCGCCAUCGAGUUUGACUCGUACAACGCCUCAUCAUCUAAAUGAUAUUUAAACAGAUCAACCAUAUUGAAUGUGUAAGAGAUCUUCUAGUUGUCCGGUAGUUGGAGAACAUAAGAAUUAUUAUUAAUCUUCCUUGCCACACGAAAUGGUCCAUACUUGAUGUGGACUUGCAUCACUUUCCCGUGUCGAUGCCUGUUCGCAUCGACCUUGUACAUAGCAUUUGCAACCUCCAAAUGAGCUCGUACCUUGGCAUGAAUCUGUAGAGCCCUUUCUUUUCUACCACAUUAUUCACUAUUUUUUAUACGAACCCCAUCAAGAACUAACACGACCCUAAUCAAUUUAGUUCCUAAGAUCGAAUCUAAACCAGGAAUUGAAUGGAACCCCGACCCAAUGCUUAAUGAAAGCACGAACCUUGGUAUGUGAAGACGCCACAAUCAGCUAUGGAUGGUCUGAUUGAUAAGUCAAGAGUUUGAACGUCACGGAAAUUCAAUAAGUUCAAAGAGUUUGUAAAGAACCAAAGAGAAUUAACUCUCUCACCAAUUGCAUCAAAAUUUAUCUCUGCUUAUUGGAUACGAAUACAUUAUAUGGGGCUGGUUACAAGAAUUUUUGGAAAUAAAUCCUAAGCCAAAAAUCAAAUCUGAAUAUGAAUAUAAACAAAUAGGAAAGAAUAUAAAUCAAAUUAGAAUCCUAAUCUAAGUAAAUAGGAAAGAAUAUAAAUCAAAUCAGGAUCCUAAUUGGCUUAAAUGUCUUACAUCAAUUAAAAUGGAAACUAGGCGAUUAAAAUAGAAAUAAUUGAUUUGUUUCCUUAAUAGCCUCCUCAAGAAACGAGAAAGUAUCUGAAAAAAAGAAAAAUAAUAUAUUUUCCCGCCAUAAUGUGCAAGCCAACUCCUUAUUUCAUGGAAAUAAUUAUUUGGAAACUUCAAGAGCCUAAAUCAUCCAUUUAUCACGAUUCCUUCAACGGGCCUCCACGAAUUUGAUUGAGCCCAAGUUGCUUGAAUCAAUCCAUUACGCGCUUCUUUGAAUUUCUUUGCUCGAUCUCUUGUAACAGGUCCGACGGGAACUUGAGUAGGAUCUGAAUAUGCCUCAUCCCAUGUGUUUGUGAUAGUUUUAUCCUUAAUCUCAUCAUUCCCCUCCUUUUGAAGAGGAUUUGUCCUCAAAUCAUCACCUACAUCAAAAGAACUCAAAUUAGAAACAUGAAAAGUAGCACUUACAUUGUACUCACCAGGAAAAUCCAGUUUCUAGGCAUUGUUAUUGAUCCGUUCCAAAACUUGGAAUGGGCCAUCCCCUCGAGGUAAUAACUUAGAUUUCCUUUGUUUAAGAAAUCGUUCCUUGUGCAUGUGUAACCACACCUAAUCGUCGGGUUCAAAGACUAGCUUAUGUCGCCCUUUGUUAGCUUGUUUAGCAUAUUGCUCAAUUAUCCUCUCAAUGUUGAACUUCGCCUUUUCAUGUAUCUGUUUAACAAUUUCAGCCUUUUUCUUGCCAUCUAAGUUAACACGAUAAAAAAUAGGUAAUGGAGUUAAAUCCAAUGGGGUUAAAGGAUUAAAACCAUAAACAAUUUCAAAUGGUGAAUACUUAGUAGAAGAAUGAACAGAACGAUUAUAAGCAAACUCAACCUGUGGUAAACAAUAUUCCCAAGUUUUGAUGUUCUUUUUAAUGAUAGCUCACAACAAAGUAGAUAAAGUUCUAUUCACAACUUCUGUUUGACCAUCAGUUUGUGGGUGAAAACAACAACUAAGUUCCUAACUUAGCCCAUAAUAUUUUCCAAAAGUAACUUAAAAACUUAACAUCCAUAUCAGAAAAAUUGUCCUGAGCAUACCAUGCAACCUUACAAUCUCCCUAAAGAAUAGGUCAGUGACAUUAUAAGCAUCAUCCGUUUUGUGACAUGGAAUAAAAUGUGCCAUAUUUGAAAAUUUAUUUACAACCACAAAAAUUGAGUCUUUCCCUUGUUUAGACCUAGGUAAACCUAGUACAAAAUCCAUCGAAACAUCAGUCCAAGGUGCACUAGGUAUUGGAAAAGGGGUGUAUAAGCCAUAAGGUUGCACUUUCGAUUUGGCUUGCCUAUAAGUGACACAUUUACUACAAAGUCUUUCAACAUCUCGUUUCAUAUGUGGCCAAUAGAAGUGUUCCUGUCAAACUGCUAGUCUUUACAACUCCAAAAUGCCUUAUUAACCCUCCUCCAUGGGAUUCUCUCACUAACAAAUCUCUCAAAGAACGGUUAGGCACACAUAAUUUAUUCUCCUGAAAUAAAUAGUCAUCAUGCCUAAAGUAUUUACUGACUGUGGUCUUUUCACAAGCUUGGUAUUCAACAUUAAAAUCAUGGUCAUCAGCAUACAAUUCCUUAAUAUGUUCAAAACUAAGUAGUUUAGCAUUAAGUGUUGAUAUUAAGACAUACCUGCGGGAAAGCGCAUAUGCAACAAUAUUUUUUUACCUUACUUGUAACGAAUGACAUAUGGAAAUGUCUCUAUGAAUUUUACCCAUCGAACAUGCCUCUUGUUCAGCUUGUGUUGGCCUUUAAGGUGUUUUGAGGACUUAUGAUCGGUGUGAAUCAUGAACUCCUUAGGCUAUAGGUAGUGUUGCGACAUUUCUAACGCUCGAACCAGCACAUACAACUCCUUAUCAUAAGUAGGGUAGUUUAAGUUUGCCCCACUCAGGUUUUCACUAACGUAAGCAAUUGGUCGUCCCUCCUACAUUAGGACUGCACCAAUACCAAUCCUGAGGCAUCGCAUUCAAUUUCAAAUGUUUUAUUAAAGUUAGGCAAAGAGAAUAAUGGAGCAUUUGUCAGCUUUUGCUUGAUCAUUUGAAAUGUCUCCUCUUGUGCUUCUCCCCACUUGAAUCCAACAUUUUGUUUUAUUACUUUAGUAAGCAGUGCGGCUAGUGUGCUAAAGUCUUUCAUAAAUCAUUGGUAGAAACUAGCGAGCACAUGAAAGCUUCUCACAUUACUUACACUUGUGGGACUCGGCCAGUCUUGGAUUGCACAUACCUUUUCCUCAUCAACUUGUAUACCAUGUGCACUGACAAUAAAUUCUAGAAACACACAUUUAUUUUCUAAGCAUGUCUAAAAAAAAUUUCAAAUGUAUUACAUGAUCGUUUAUGUUUUUGCUAUAAAUGAGGAUAUCAUCAAAAUAAACAACAACAAACUUGUCAAUAAAAGAUCGCAAGACAUGAUUCAUAAGUCUCAUAAAAGUGCUCGGGGCAUUAGUUAGACCAAAAUGCAUGACUAAUCAUUCAUAUAAACCAUAUUUUGUUUUAAUGGCAGUUUUCUAUUCAUCUUCUUCUUUCAUUCUAAUAUGAUGAUAUCCACUUUUCAAAUCAAUUUUGGAAAAUACACAAGACCCAUGUAAUUCAUCAAGCAUAUCAUCUAACCUAGUAAUGAGAUGUCGAUGCUUUACCGUUGUGUUGUUGAUGGCUCGACAAUCAACACACAUCCUCCACAUCUCAUCCUUCUUAGGAACUAAUAAAACGGGAAUUGCACAUGGACUCACGCUUUCUCUCACGUACCCUUUUUUCCAUUAAUUCAUUAACCUGCCUUUAAAGUUCCUUGGUCUCCUCCAGGUUGCUCCUAUAGGCUGGUCUAUUUGGAAUGGUUGUACCGGGCACAAAAUCAAUCUGAUGCUUAAUCCCUUGGAUUGGAAGUAAACCAUGUGGUGCUUCCUCAGGAAAGAUAUCCUCAUACUCCUGUAAACGAGAAGUAAUAGAACUAGGCAAGGUAUGGUCAAAUUCGUUAGUGCUUAAAAAUGUCUCUUUGUACAAAACUACAAUCAUCGACUGAUGUAAAAACAAUGCUUUUUUAAUCUCAUUGGCUCUCGCGUAGAAAUUCUUUUGUUUUCCAUCUGAUUUUCGCUCAAUGGGCGCAUUUUUCUUUGGUUUUUCUCUCACAUUUUACUCUGCCUCGUUUUGAAUUUCACUACCUUUUUCUCUCAUUUUCUUUUGCUCACUCUUUCUUUGUAAGCUCACUUGGUCUCCAUAAGCCUACUUUGGUGUCAAUGGAACAAGAGUGAUGUUGUAUUAAUUAAAUACAAAUGAAUAUUUAUUGGUGAAGCCAUCAUGCUUCACACGUCUGUCGAAUUGCCAAGGCCACCCAAGUAAUAAGUGUCUAGCCUGCAUUGGCAUUAUAUCACAAAGCACCUUAUCUUCAUACUUUCCAAUCCGAAAGUCACUAGUAACUACUUGUUCACUUGCACCUCACCACUGUCAUUUAACCAUUGUAAUUUAUAUGACCAUGGGUGUUUAAGUGUCGGAAGCCCUAACUUCUCUACCAUGAUAGUACUAGCAACAUUAGUACAACUUCCUCCAUCAAUAAUCAUACUACAUACUUUGUCUUGAGCAUAGCACCUAGUAUGGAAAAUGUUUUCCCGUUGCACUGCUUCGUCUUCCUUUACUUGUACACUCAAACCUCUCCUCGCUACUAAAGUCAAUUCCCCAGGGGCUAUUGUUGUGAAAAUUUUAAUAUACUCGCAAGCGCACGAAUCUAGAAAUAAAAUAGUGGUAACGAGGUCGAUCCCACAGGGAAUGUUAUAAAUUGUAAAGUCUAAUUUAAAUCUAAAAUUAAUAUUAAUCCUAACCUAGUUGAGCAAAUUGAGUUUUAAAAGAAAUUAAACUAAUUAAACUAACAAAGCAAUUAAAGUAAAUGAGAUUUCAAUAAGACAAAAAUUACCAAGGUUUCAAAAUCUACCACUAUUCAACUAGUAAUUAUCCAAUUAUUAAUUAAUCCCCAAUUUUAGAGUGACAACUCGAAAUUAAUCUAUGUCAUCUCAUGGAUAUAACAAUUAAGCCCAAAUAAAAUUAAUCUUGUGUAGGUUCUUUUUCUGCUUAAUAGUGUGAUAUUUAAGCGUCCCAUAUAAACAUAUUGAAUAACAAAGAGUCAAAGUUUCCUAAUUACUCUGUGUAAACAAUUUAAUGAAAGACAUAGAAUCAAAGAUAAUCAUGUAUAAACUUUAUAGAUGCAAGCAUAGAUUUAAUCGAAUAGUAAUCCUAACAAUCAACAAUGCAUGACAGAAUUGAUGAAAAGAUUUUAAUAACAUCCAACUAAUCAUGUGAAAUAAAAACCAUAAUCAUCAAAGAAUAUAUAUAGGGAAUUAAUUAAAUAAAAAUAUAAUUAUUUCAUUGAAUAGGGUUUCAUUCUUAACCUCAGCAUAAGAAAAUUAGCUAGACAUACUUGAAUUGGGAGCAACAAAAGAAAUAAAAUCAGCCAUGGAAAAAGUAAAUUGCUUCAGCUCUUCCUUUUCCUCUCUGCCGAAGCAUUUGCUUCCUUUUUCUUCCUCUGGCGGCUGCCCUUCUCCAAAAACCAAAAGCUUGCUUUUAUAUUACUCUUUAAAAUGGGCCCCACUGACCUUGUUAUUUCUUAAGCCAAAAGGCUUGGCCUUUUAAUUUUCUUUGCUCUCACUCACGUGCUCACCAAUUAAGCUUGCACUAGGAUUCUUUUUUCCACUUAUGAAAGCCAAGUGUGGGUCCUUUUAAGUUGCUUUCCAUGCAUUACAAUGCCAUGCACGUCCAGCUCACUUGAAAAAUUGAAAUUCUUUUUGAGUGCAAAUUACUCCUGUCUUUACAUGCUAUAAACUCUUAAUUGUGUCACGGCUUUGUUUCCCAAACUUGUUAUUCUUUAUGGACUUUUCAUUCUUAAUCUCCAAUUAAUUCCCUAUUCAAUAAAACAAUUCAAUUAAUUAAAAAUAACAAAUAAAAAUAACUAGCAAUUAUAUAAUUAAGGGUAAAAUAUGUAUAUAAAUUAUGCUCAUCAGCUAUAUACUCUUCGUAUUUAACGUCCUCUAAUGGUGGCAUCUCAUUUUCUUCCGUUUCAUCUUCAGUUACAAUCUUACCAUUGUCUCACAACAUCAUAACUCUCUUAUUCACACAUUCACUUGCGAUAUGCUUGUUGUCUUGAUAUUUAAAACAGUUAAUGUCACAAUUCCUAAUAGUAAGAGGCACGGUGUUACCUUGUGAAUUGUGCUUGGAGGGCUCAGAUCUUAGCUUAGGUGCAAUAGAUGCUUGUAGCCUCUCAUCUCGUUUCACACAUAGCUCGACUUCCAAUGAGUGGAACUCAAGCUUGGGGCUGCACGGGUGUUACCCCUCCUGUUGAGUUGCUGCUCAAUCUUGAUGGCUUUGUGUACCAUCUCAUAAAUCUUCACAUAAUGUUGAAACUCAACCUUAUCUGCUCUAUCAUCCUCCACAUUUGCUCUAAUCAUGACAAUCUCCAUUUCAUUAUAAUAAUCCUUCAUGCUUCGGCUACCAUGUGUAAGAUUUGUAAUUUUUUGUACAAGUCUCAAUAAUAGAGGUUAGGUACAAAAUGUCUUCUCAUCAAUGAUUUCAUUUCAUCCCAUAUCUCAACUGGACAUUCUCUAUUUCGCCUCUUACUUAUAACAAGUUUAUCCCACUAAGUAAUAACAUAGUCAGAAAACUCAAUCACAACCAAUUUUACCUUUUUUGCCUCUGAAUAAUUGUGGCAAUCAAAUAUGAACUCUUUUUUCUUCUUCCAUUCAAGGUAUGCUUCUGGGUCGGAUUUUCUUUGAAAAGAUGUGAUCUUCAUCAUUAUGCCACUCAAUCCAUUAUCUCUAUUCCUAACUCUCCUACCUCGUCCAUUUCUCCUAUAGCUACCCACUAGGUCAUUCCCUUCAUCAUACCCAUCCCUAUAAUAGUCAUCAAUCUCUCUUCUAGCUGGAGAUCUUUCUCUUCUACGUGCUUGGGGAACAUGUUGUGGCUGCCCUGCACGUGUGUUCUCUACUUGAUCCAAACGCUCGUGUAUGAGCUCUAAUUCAGCUCUCAUCAUCCUUCUUAUCAAAUUAUAGGAACCUCGUGUGUUCUCCACUUGGUUGCCCUGCACGUGUGUUCUCCACUUGGUUGCGAUGCACGUAUGUUCUCCACUUGGUGCUUAGGCUUUGAUACCAAAUGAUAGGAACCCCGUCAAGAACUAACGCGCCCCUAAUCAAUUUAGUCCCCAAGAUCGAAUCUAAACCAAGAAUUGAAUGGAACCUCGACCCAAUGCUUAAUGAAAGCACGAACCUUGGUAUGUGAAGAUGCCACAAUCAACUAUGGAUGGUCUGAUUGAUAAGUCAAGAGUUUAAACGCCAUGGAAAUCUGAUAAGUUCAAAAAGUUUGUAAAGAAUCAAAGAGAAUUAACUCUCUCACCAAUUGCAUCAAAACUUAUCUUUAUUUAUUGGAUACAAGUACAUUAUACAGGGUUGGUUACAAGAAUUUUUGAAAAUAAAUCCUUUACCAAAAAUCAAAUCUGAAUCGGAAUCUAAACAAAUAGGAAAAAAUCUAAAUCAAAUCAGAUUCCUAAUCUAAGCAAAUAGGAAAGAAUCUAAAUCAAAUCAUAAUCAUAAUCUAAGUAAAUAGGAAAGAAUCUAAAUCAAAUCAAGAUCCUAAUUGGCUUAAAUGUCUUACAUCAAUUAAAAUAGAAACUAGAUGAUUAACAUAGAUAUAACUGAUUUGUUUCCCUAAUAGCCUCCUCAAGAAACGGGAAAGUAUCUGAAAAAAAGGAAAAUAAUAUAUUUUUCCGCCAUAAUGUGCAAGCCAACUCCCUAUUUCAUGGAAGUGUUUAUUUGGAAACUUUAAGAGCUUGAAUCAUGCAUUUAUCAUGUGCGAUUCCUUCAACAGGCCUCCACGAAUUUGAUUGAGCCCAAGUUACUUGAAUCAAUCUAUUAAGUGCUUCUUUGAAUUUCUUUGCUUGAGCUCUUGUAACGGGUCCGCCGGAACUUGAGUAGGAUCUGAAUAUGCCUCAUCUCAUGUGCUUAUGAUAGUUUUAUCCUUAAUCUCAUCAAUUUUACUCCCUCAAACUGCUAUGGGCAUGAUAGCCAGAUCAUAAACAUGGCAUGGGGAACAAGUGUAGACAAUCUCAUAAAAGGUCUUACCACCAUGUUAUUGCAAGCAAACUUGACUUGAGGCAAGAUAGCUUCCCAAUUCUAUUGCUUGUCACCAUAAACAUAACACAACAUAUUGACCAGAGUGCGAUUGACCACCUCUAUUUGACCAUUUGUUUGCAAAUGAAAAGCACUACUAAACUGUACUGAAUUUAUCCUAUAGAUGAUGCCAAAACUUGCUGAUAAACUUCACAUCCAUGUCAGAAGUAAUAGUCUUUAGCAUACCAUGCAAACUUACCACUUCUUCAGAGAACAAAUGUGCAACUAAAGCAGCAUCUUCAGUAUUCUUACAAGCAAUAAAAUGCACAAUCUUUGAAAACAUAUUGAUCACAGCCUAUCAAUAUGUUCCCUUAAAAACUUUGAGGCAUAUAUAACUAAUUAGAUUUGAACAGAUACCCAUCUUGAAUAAGGAAUUCUUUUACAUUUUGAUGAUUAAUACACCAAUCUUAAAUAUGCGCAAAGUUUUCCUCCUUAGCAUACAACUCCCUCAAGCAUUCAAAACCAGUAACUUCAAUGACGAGAACAGUAAAGUAGCUUGCCUACUAAGUGCAUCUGCUAUCUUAUUCUAUUGCCCAAAUUUAUACUUCACAAUAAAAGUGAACUUUUACGUAUAGCUCACCCAUCUUGCAUGCAUCUUGCUCAUAUGUUGUUGGUGUUAAAGUACUUGAUUGCUUGAUGGUCACUAUAAGGUACGAACUCUUUGCAAAUCAAGUAAUGUUCUUAUGACUUCAACACUCUGAGGAUUGCAUAAAAUUCUUAGUCGUAAGUAGACCAUUUAUGUCAUGUUUUAUUUAACUUCUCACUUAUAUACAUAAGUGGUCGUCUCUCUUGAGAAAGAACAGCCCCAAUACCAUUACCAUAAGCAUCACAUUCAACCUCAAACAACUUGAUGAAGUUUGGUAAGGCUAACAUAGGAGUAGUAAAAAAAUUCUCUUUUAAUAAAGGAAAACUCGCACUUCGCAAUAAGUGGGGCUAUGGUACUAAAACUACAAAUAAAUAUCUUAUAAAACAUCGUCAACCAAUGAAAACUCCUAACUUCACCUACUGUCUUCGGCAUAGGCCAUUCUUUAAUGGCUUGUAUCCUCGACUCAAUAGCUCCAAUCAUAUCUACAUCAGUUAUAAAACCAAAAAUUCCACAUUACUUUACAGAAAGCUACAUCUUUAGAUUAAUGAAAAGUUUAUUUUUUUGCAACAUCUUUAUAAUCAUUCUCAAAUGUUCUAGGUGUGCCACCACAUCAACAGAAUAAACUAAGAUACUGUCAAAAUUCACUACAAUAAAUUUACAGGAAAAAGGCUUAAAACUUGAUUCAUUUAGUGCAUAAAAGUGCUUGACACAUUAGACAAUUAGAAUGGCAUAAAAAACCACUCAUACAACCCUUCGUUUAUUUUAAAUAUUGUCUUCCACUCACCAUCAGGCCUAAUUUUGAUAUUGUGAUAUCCAUUAUGCAAAUAUAUCUUUGAGAAAACUCGAGCAUCAUUUAGUUGGUCUAAUAACUCUUGAAACGUAGAAUAGGAAAUCGAUACUUCACUAUAAUAUGGUUAAUUAGCCUACUGUCUGUACAUAUAUGCCAACUCUCAUCCUUUUUUGGUACCAACAAAGUUAGUAUAGUACAUGAACUCAUGCUCUCAUGAAUGAAACCUUUCCCUAACAAUUCAUCAACCUGCCCUUGUAAGAUCACAUGCUUGUGAGGGCUCAUACGAUAAUGGGGCAAGUUAGGUAAACUUGCACCAUAUCUCAUAAAGGUGGCAGCCCGUCUAACAACUUUAGUGAUCUAAUAUCAACAAACUCAAUUAAUAAUGGCCGUACUUUUUUCAAAAACAAUCUUCACCUUUAAUUCUUCUUUUUUCUCUAGCUUCUAGCAAUCAUCGCAAUCAUCUUCUUGAUGAUUUUUAACAACCUUAGUAUUCCUCUUUUUGUUCGUUAAAGGCAUCAACGAACCUUUUUGUUAUUCCACCAAAACUCAUACAUAUUAUCCUCUCUUCUAUACUGUAUCAACAUCAAAUUGCUAAAGUUUACUAAAUAAUAGAUGGCACGCAUCCAUAUUCUUUACAUCGCACAACACAUCACUCUUAUAAAUCUUCCCAAUGGAGAAAAGAACACAACAUACCUUUAUUACUUGCAUUUCUGUCUUUUUAUUUAUCAAUCGUAUUCUGUCAGAUACUGGAUUUUUUUGGUUAAAAGUCCUAUCAUGUCAAAUAGCACCUUUGAAAAUAUGUUCUCGCUACUGCCACUAUUAAUUAUAAUGUUGCACACCUUGUCAUUGAUAAUGCCAUAUGUUUUAAAAAUCUUAUUGCGCUGAUUAUCCUCUUUAAAUUUCAAUGCUAAUAAACUCUUUUAUAUAAUACAAUUUAGUCUCUCCUUCAUUUGCUUCAAACUCUAAAGCUUCUUCGUCAUCCCCAUUCUCAAUGUCGUUCAACUUUGUCUUGCUGACUUUAGCCUCUACUAAAUUCAAAUUUUUAAGAUGAUAGUCACUUGAUCGAUGGCCUGGCUCCCUACACUUCAAACACUUGUUCAGCAUAGGCUUCACUAUAAGUGAUUGUAUCUACUAUCUCAUCUUAUAUCUCUUGUUUUAAUCUACCAAUAUAUUUCGUAACUAUUCAAAAUUAUGGCUCAUCCAUAUUAUUUUUAGUGUGUAGACGAUAAAAUUCCUUUAUGUAUUCAUCGGCAUUGUGAUUUCCUUACCUUCAGUUUUGAUAUUUAAAAUAUAGUUGCUACCAGUAAUCUACUGGCAGGAAAUACUCUCUCAUCAUCCUCUGCAUUCUAGGCCACAAUUUCAUAAUUUUUUUUGCAACUUUUCUUUAGUUUUGUAUGUAUUGCCAUCAUGCAGAAGCUACGAAAGCUUAACUCACUUCUCUUGAGGAAUCUCUAUAUACUCGAAAAAAUUAUCCACUUGUGAUAUCCAGUCUAAAAAUUUUUCAACAUGCCUCCCACAAAAAAAAAUCCAGAAUAUUAACAUUAAUCUUGUAAUCUGAACUCUUUUUGCGCCCCUAUCAUCCUCUACAUAUUCUUCUUCUUCUUAAUCGUUUCUUAGCUCCUUACGCACACGUAUUGGUUUUCAUCACGCAGGGCCUAAAUUUUGAGGUACUACUUCACCAUUGAUGCCUUGAGGUUUUAUUUCAUGACCAAUCGCUUGAGGUAUCUCCAUGUAGUUGUAAUCUUCAGGUUGUACACCACGAUUGACUCUUUGAAGUACUUCCUUGUGAUUAAAUUUUUGUUGUUGACCUCUUUUUCUGUUUUUGUUCAAGCAAAACUUAAGACUCAUGAUUGUCUCGCUCUAUCGCCACCAAUCUCGAGUUAUAAGCUUCCUCAAUUGCUUUCAAGGUUGCUUCUCUAGCCGCCCGUCUGACAGCCUCCACAGUCCUUGCCUGCAUCCCUUUAUUAACAUGUAUUUGUCUAUAAUGAUGAUUUUGAUGAUAACAAAUAAGAUUAAGAAUGAUUAAAUUUUUAAAAACUCAAAUUAUUUUUCAUACAUUUUAAAUAAAUCAUUAUUUUCAUAUAAUAAAGGUUUUAUAUUCAAAGGUAAAGUGAUUUCAUGAAAUUGGUUGUUUUUCAAGUUCAUGGUCUAAUUGAAAAAAAUUUGAGAACUUUAAAAUCAACAAGUAUUGCUCAAAAUUCUAGAAAUGGACUUGUUUGAAAAGUAUCAUAAAGUUAUGGGCCAUAGUAUAAGUACAAAAAGUUUUGGGGCAAAAAUAUAAUUUUAGAAAAUAGUUUCAUUGUAGUAGUCACUGUAGCAAACAGCUAACCGACAAAAAAAAAAAAAAUUCAAGAUUAGCCUCUGGACACUAACGGCAAACCGACUUCUUGAAAAUGGUAAACCGACAUCUUCUUUGCAAGUCACCGGACGAUAACGGCGAUCCGAAAUUUCAAUAACGGUGAUCCGACAAUUUGAAAUUCUUUCCAAUGGUAACUUGCUCAAGUUAAAACGGAAAUUCGACUUCUAUAUAACGCCGAUCCGACUUGGAGCAAAUUAUCUGUAACGGCUAUUUUUCAGCUCAAACUAUAAAAAGGCUCACUUAAACACAAACAAUGGAGAUUCCAACUACUAUCAUUGAGCAAACUAUUGAGCAUACAACUUUCAUUGAGCUUUAAAUUCUUGUAUUCAUCUCAAUUAUUCACAUACUAGGAUUUCAUUUGUAAUCAAACACAUUGUGUGAGAGAGAUUUAUUUGUAAUCCUUUUUGUAAAAUCAAGUUGAGAGGUUGUAAGUGUUGGGAUACACUUGGGUUAAGAGAUUAUGGAUAAUCUCUUAUUGUAAAGGUCUAUUUAAAGGAAAACAUUUGUCCAUGCGGUUCCUAAAAUCGCAACUUUUGUGCAGUAAAAAUAAAACGGACGGCGGAAGCUCUAGAAACCUCGGAUCGGCUUCAUUCAAAAAAGAAAAUCAAGAGGAAAGAUUGAAGUUUAAUUACCUCACUUGCACUUUCAAAAACGACUUCGUGAGGUAGGAGAAAACGACUGAAAACAGCAAGCAACGAACACUGUCCAGAAAAUACAGCUCAGCACGAACAGCUUCUGUUUUGCCACAAUCUAAGAUCCUUAAAGCACCCCAAUUGUGAUGCCUCUAAUUAGUCCACACUUAGAAAUGUUCUAGGAGUUCAGAGCAUUUGGAAUCUCGAAAUUUCGUUUAGAAAUGAGAGAGAUAAUGAAGAAACAUGAAUGCUAGUUCAUGAUGAUUCAUCCCACCAAAUAAAGCUACCAUUAUCUCUAAUAAUGGCACCAAACAUUAUCAUGUGCUAGACCCACCCACUUAGCUAUUAUUUAUUAAAAGUGAUCUUAUCACUUAAAUAAAUUAUUUAAUCAAAUAAAUAAAUAGCUAAAUUAAUUAAUUUCGCAAUUAAUUAAUUAACCCCAUUUUGAUCAAAUCAAAUGGUUAAAUGUGGGCUCAUUUUGUGACAUGUUCUAAUGCUUUCUCUUAAUCCAUAUUAGAUCCAAUAAAAGCCCAAAAUUCUAAACCCAAAAUUGGUCUAGAAGUUCAUAAUCAUAUAUGAACCCGAACAUGUACAAAAUGGUCAUUUUACGUGCUCGAUAUUACAUAAUGUUUAAUGGAGGAUUUACGAAAUUUAUUUUGUUCCUUAAACUAUUUAUGGAACAUCUAAAUUUCUAUCUUAAAUCAUAUUUAAGAUAUAUUUAUAUAUAUAUUCAUUCUCAGUGAAUUAUAAUAUAAAUAUUGAUUUUCCUAAAAUUAGGAAAUUUAACUUCUCAUUUUCUAGUAACUCCUUUUUCAUUUCUAUUUAGUGUGUGACCUUUUAGGUUCUUAGUUAUAAGGUAGUAGAACUAUUUUAAUGAUAACUCUUUAUUCAUUAAAUGAUGCUAAACUCUUUAGUCAUCAAUUAGAACUUUUCUAAUGACCUUAAGAUGCAUUGCUAAUACGCUUUACCAAUAUUGAUCUUAAGGUUUCUACAAGUCAUGAGUGACACCUAGCAGUAUAUCACAACUAUCCAAAUAACAAGAAUUGUUGGAUCUAUAGAACCUAUUCCAUUGUAUCUCUAUGUCUUGGUCUCUUCAUCAUCCAUGUCCAGAGAAAAGCACGGCUUAUGGUUUAUUAUGUUAAGCACUUAUGCUUUAUCUCAAAAUAAAUCUAAAUGAACUUGACAUGAAAAUAUAAUUUGAACUCCUUCAAAUAUAUUUCACCUUGGCCAAGGAUUUCUCAUGCCAAUUCAUAUCAUCUCAUAGGGACAUCCUUUUUGUAUAUUACAAAGUGAUGAAUUCCAUAUUGGCCAUACACUUGUCUUCAUACAUAGCCAACCAUGACAGCUAUUGCUAGAUCUCUUCCGUGAUUAGGAAUCAAUCAUUAUGCUUUCACAUAUCAGAGAUGUCUAUGUAUAAGACAUAUGUUAUGCCUCAGGUCUAAAGACCAUUACUAAACAUAGUGUCUAAUACAAUGUAUAAUAAGCCAUUAACACUCAAAACCAUAUGGCUUACUAUAUUUGGUCAAGUUCAGUAAACUCGUUCUCUCAACAAGUACCUAUGUGUUUGACUUGACAUCUCAUGUCAAUGAUAUGAAACUCACCAUCCAUUUUAGUAUCACAUUCCAUAAGGAGUCAUAACACAUACUAGUGUUUAUAGGAAUUUAUAAUGUCCAAUCAUAAAUCCACCACUAGGAACUAUUUUAGAAGUAUAGUACAAAGGAUGCACGUUUCAUAUUCUCGACGAACUCGAGAAUGUGUUCCUUAACUAUUUUACUUCUUGGACUAUAUUCAUUCAAUUAAUUUAUGAAUAUUGAUAACUAUGCCAUUUUAUAAAUAUCAAAAUGCUAUUCAAAUACAAUAAUUCCCUAAGCAAACAAACACCAUUUGAUUGGCCUUUAAGGCAUAUUACUAACAAUCUCCCACUUGCAAUAAAGCCAAUCGAGUUGUUGAAGCCUUGGAGGCUUACUUAGUAAAAUCUUCAAGCCUGAUAAGCUUGAAGGCGUGGACGUAAGCACGGUUGGCGAAACCACAUAAAAAUCAUGUGUUUGCUCUCUCUUACCCUAUCUCCUUAUUUUUUAUUUCACAUUAAUUUUUUUUAUUUCAAAUUUGAUUGCCUUGUUUAAAUUGCAUUUAGUUUUUUAGUUGCUUAAAUUUUUUAGAAACUCAAUUCACCCUCCCUUUUGGGUUGCCUAAUUAGUAUUUCAUCAUUGAUCGUCGUCUUCGGGACAAUUGCUCCUAUGAUCGUGUGGUCGUACCAUAAUGAUAAGCGAACUUGCUUUGAUACUAAUUAACGAUGCGAAAAUGUUUAAAUUUGCUGGAUAGAAGAAACAAAAGUUUCUAAAUAAUGAAGUUUAUUAAAAUGUCUGAAAUUAAUAAAACUAUAGUUUUGGGCCCCUUUAUAUAAUAAUCAUAAAUAUUUUGAAUUUAACAAAAUAGGUAAAUCUAAAAAAUUAUUUUAUAAUAAAAUUCUCAUAAUUUGAAUUAAAAAAUCUAAAACAAAUGGUGCCCAAAUCUAAGAUCUUAAAAAAAGAUAAAAAUCAUAAUAGGAAUAGAAAAUAUGAGAAAAUAUCUUAAAACAAAAAAAACGACAAGGAAAGAAAUGGAUUUUUACGCUCAAACACUGCCCAAAACUAUGCAACAAUUCUAGUUUUCAUUCGUCUCGUCACAAGCUUCAAAACAGUAUAUAAUAGGCCUAAAAUAGACACACAUAACCUAAGUUAUACCUUUCGAAAAGUAUCUCAUUCGUCCUGCGCAUCCAUCCUACAUCAUAACAGCUUGAAGACUUAGGAGGGCCAGCUUAAUUCAAAGUCAAGACUAGCUUAUUACCUUGCAGGAUUUUUAAUUGUUAGGGAAACAAUUGUUGAAAGAUGCUGGGUAUAAAGUUUAUAAAACUUUAAUUAUUUCAUAAAAUUGUUUUAUUUUUUAUUCAUCAUCACAUUUGGAUUAUCCCCAAUGGCCAAUUUUAUUUUCAUUUUUGUAUAGGUCAAAUAAAUGUUACUAGAAAUUGAUUAUUACCAUUUUUUUCUCAUUUAUUGAGGACUAUGAAGAAUUAGACGAAACUCAUAAAUGACCUAAAAUAUAUAAUGAAUAUUUAGAUAUUUUUUCAUAUCCAUACGAUAUCUUGGAGUACGACAUAGUCUCCAAAAAUAGCCAAACAUUUCACAUCUAUCACAAGUGCUUUCUUGAAUAUUAUGUUGUGGCAGGUGUUUCGUCCUCAUUUUUUUCUUUUGCUAUGGUUCUUAUAACCACCACGAGGUCGACAAUAAUUUUUUUCAGGACCUCAAUCUUAAUAAUAGCCAUGACCACAACCAUGACUACAUCUACAGGCAUGGUUAUACCAAUUUUCAUCAUGAUCACAUAGACAACAUUUGCUCCAAGAACUUGUUUUGUACCAAUAUGAUGGGCUUAAUAAUUCACUAUUCUUUUCUACAAAAAGAAGGCAUGCAAUCAAGUACCGACAGGUAGAGGUGGGCGUUCAGGUCUGGGUGAACCAAACCGAACCAAUUUCGGGUUUUAGUUCAGUUCGGGUCGAACCUAAAACUCGAACAGAUUGAAAGAGUGAAACCGAACGGAUUUGCUAUUUGGUUCGGGUUAGCCCGAACCAAAUAGAAAAAUCGUUUGGUUUCGUAUUAAAAAAAUAAAAAAUAUAUAUAACUAUCCCAUGAAUCUCGAAAUGCCCAAAUCUCCCCCACUGCCCACAAAUCCCUAACCUCUCUUAACACUCACAACUCUCCCCAGUCCUCGCCGAGCCACACCGCGAGACCCUCGCGCACGAGAGGGAAAAAAACAUACAAAAAAGAUAAAUGAAAAAAAAAAUUAAACACUCUGCUUUGCUCGCAGGACCCUGUUCAGCUGCAAUGAAAAUCACACCUCAACGUAUACCCGUAAGUUUCUCCAACAAUUGAUUAUGUGCAUACUUAAUCCCCAAAUAAAGUCUUAUGAUCUUACCAAACUUCACUAGCUAGUUAAUAACGCCACUUACCUGCAUACAUUAAAAAAAAAGAAUCAUUAAAGUUUUUACGCAUUAAAAUGAAAAAUAGAAGUUUACUUCACAAGUUUAUAAUUUGUAUACAAAUUUCUAUCUGUAAAAUGAAAACCAAUGUCAAAAUAAUAACAUACAGUAUCAAUUGGAAUAGAACAUGCCAUUCCACAAAAUGCGCCACUUCUAGAGAUAAUAGAUGUAUUGACUCUAGUAAAACUUCAUGAACAAUCAAAAUCAUACUUGCAGGGUGGCUGAUUACAUGGGCUUCCUCACAUAAUUAUUGGUCUUAUUCGUGUUUUGGUGCAUUAAUAUGCUAGUAGUGCUACACAUUCUAAAUUUUUUAUCUCAUAAAACUACUUCAAAUGAUACAUUCAUCAGUUUGUUGGUGAGACAAAAUAGUCAAUUCACUUAAAUCUUAUAAAAAAUUAUCAAUCAUUCAAUAAACGACAGAUUAUUUUACGAUGAAAUUUGAGAUAAAAAAUUAGAGAUAUCUAUCAUUAGCCUUAAUAUGCAACAUUGCCAAAGUCUUUGUCUUGGUCAUAACUAACAAGUUAAUUUUGCAUAUAAAGUUGAUUGGUUAAAAUAGUGACUCUAUAAAAAUAAUUUGUUGUUUGAAGUAUUUUGUAGAAUAAAUAACCCCAUUAAAAAUAGAAUACAAAUUUAUGGUUUAUUACAAGUUUACAACCACAAGUUCACUUUUGGUGCUCAAGUCUAAUUACAACCAGAUGUCCACUAUAGAUAAACUAUUGAAAGAUAAAAAGAAACUUUUUAUUUAAAAUACAAUGGAAUUAUACAUAAUUAAAAUUCAUAUCAAAAUGAUUACAAUAAUCAUAUCAAUAUCAAACUUCAAUGUAUGAUCACAAUUUUAAUUAAUUAUUUUCACAGUGAAUGAUAAUGUUAGGAAAAAAAGUGCAAUACAAUAUUAUUUUUAUUAUGUUUCAGUUCAAUCAUCCUAAUUUAUAAAUAAAAUUUAUUUCUAAAGGAUACUGCAUUACUAUUACAUGUAUAAAACAUUUCUUUGACUCUGUCUCAUCAGGUUCGACUUCAAGAAUAAUGAAAAUUUCUUCCAAUUGAGUACCGCGCAAGAUCUUCACAAUCACCUGAUAUCAAAAUAAUUCAAAGAAUUUUGCAAAGACAACUAGGACAAAAUAAUUGGAAAAGAGAGUAAUGCAUCAUCGUGAGAUACCUCAUCUCCAACUUUACAUUGAUCAAGAAUUUUGUGCAAAGCGGUAGCAUUGGAGACAUCUUAUCCAUUCAUAGCCUUUAUGAUGUCGCCCAAAAUGAGUUUGCCAUCAGCUCUAAGUUUGGUUGAUCUCAAACCCUACAGAUAAAGACCAAUCAACUUUAUUGAGUGAAAGCACGAGAGGGGAAAAAACAUACAAAAAGAUAAAGGAAAAAAAUGAAACACACUGCUUUGCUCAUAGGACCCUGUUCAGCUGCAAUGAAGAUCACGCCUCUACUUAUACCCGUAAGUUUCUCCAACAAUUUAUUUUGUGCAUACUUAAUCCCCAAAUAAAGUCUUAUGAUCUUACCAAACUUCACUAGCUAGUUAAUAACGCCACUUACCUGCAUACAUUAAAAAAAAAAGAAUCAUUAAAGUUUUUACGCAUUAAAAUGAAAAAUAGAAGUUUACUUCACAAGUUUAUAAUUUGUAUACAAAUUUUUAUCUGUAAAAUGAAAACCAAUGUCAAAAUAAUAACAUACAGUAUCAAUUGGAAUAGAACAUGCCAUUCCACAUAAUGCACCACUUUUAGAGAUAAUAAAGGUAUUUACCCCAGUCAAACUUCAUGAACAAUCAAAAUCAUACUUGCAGGGUGGCUAAUUACAUGGACUUUCUCACAUAAUUAUUGGUCUUAUUCGUGUUUUGGUGCAUUAAUAUGCUAGUAGUGCUACACAUUCUAAAUUUUUUAUCUCAAAAAAUUACUUUAAAUGAUAUAACAUUCAUUAGUUUGUUGGUGAGACAAAAUAGUCAAUUCACUUAAAUCUUAUAAAAAAUUAUCAAUCAUUCAAUAAACGACAAAUUAUUUUACGAUGAAAUUUGAGAUAAAAAAUUAGAGAUAUCUAUCAUUAGCCUUAAUAUGCAACAUUGCCAAAGUCUUUGUCUUGGUCAUAACUAAUAAGUUAAUUUUGCAUAUAAAGUUGAUUGGUCAAAAUAGUGACUCUAUAAAAAUAAUUUGUUGUUUGAAGUAUUUUGUAGAAUAAAUAAAAAAAUUUAUUGUUUGAAGUAUUUUGUAGAAUAAAUAGCCCCAUUAAAAAAAGAAUACAAAUUUGUGGUUUAUUACAAGUUUACAACCACAAGUUCACUUUUGGUGCUCAAGUCUAAUUACAACCAGAUGUCCACUAUAGAUAAACUAUUGAAAAAUGAAAAGAAACUUUUUAUUUAAAAUACAAUGGAACUAUACAUAAUUAAAAUUCAUAUCAAAAUUAUUACAAUAAUCAUAUCAAUACCAAACUUCAAUAUAUGAUCACAAUUUUGAUUAAUUAUUUUCACAGUGAAUGACAAUGUUAUGAAAAAAAGUGCAAUACAAUAUUAUUUUUAUUAUGUUUCAAUUCAACCAUCCUAAUUUAUAAGUGAAAUUUAUUUCUAAAGGAUAUUGCAGUACUAUUACUUGUAUAAAACAUUUCUUUGACUCUGCCUUAUCAGGUUUGACUUCAAGAAUAAUGGGAAUUUCUUCCAAUUGAGUAGCACGCAAUAUCUUUACAAUCACCUGAUAUCAAAACAAUUAAAAGAAUUUUGCAAAGACAACUAGGGCAAAAUAAUUGGAGAAAGAUAGUAAUGCAUUAUCGCGAGAUACCUCAUCUCCAACUUUACAUUGACCAAGAAUUUUGGGCAAACCGUUGGCAUUGGAGACAUCUUAUCUAUUCAUAGCCUUUAUGAUGUCGCUCAAAAUGAAAAUGAGUUUGUCAUCAGCUCCAAGUUUGGUUGAUCUCAGACCCUACAGAUAAAAAUCGAUCAACUUUACUGAGUGAAAGCACGAGAGGGAAAAAAACAUACAAAAAGAUAAAGGAAAAAAAAAAUAAACACACUGCUUUGCACGCAAGACCCUGUGUCAACUGCAAUGAAGAUCAGGCCUCUAUUUGUACCCGUAAGUUUCUCCAACAAUUGAUUAUGUCCAUACUUAAUCCCCAAAUAAAGUCUUAUGAUCUUACCAAACUUCACUAGUUGGUUAAUAACGCCACUUACCUGCAUACAUUAAAAAAAAAGAAUCAUUAAAGUUUUUACGCAUUAAAAUGAAAAAUAGAAGUUUACUUCACAAGUUUAUAAUUUGUAUACAAAUUUCUAUGUGUAAAAUGAAAACCUCUAUGUGUGUUCAGACGAGCCCCAAAGGCCUCUCAUCUCAUAUCAUCUGUAUCACUGUAUCUGGAGGGGAAGGGUAUUGUCCAAUGAUUUUGCAAAUAACCUUUUAUACACAUGUACAUAAACAUAUAAUCACAUAUGAAAUUUCAUUUCCUUUUUAUUUAACAUAUCUCAAUUCCACUCAAUUUUAUUAUCAUGCAUUUACUCAAAAAUGCUAAUAAAAUCAUUAAUCAAACUCAUUUUUAAUAAUAAUAAAUAUCAGCACGUAGAUAAAAAUCUAUUUUCUAGGAAAUUAUCAAAUUGAAGCAUCAAAUACUUAUUAUCAAAACAUGUUGUAUUGCAUCGUAAAAUCAAAAUAUACUAUGAAAAUAGGUUUUGGAUAUUCCACUCACAGUGGCNNNNNNNNNNNNNNNNNNNNNNNNNNNNNNNNNNNNNNNNNNNNNNNNNNNNNNNNNNNNNNNNNNNNNNNNNNNNNNNNNNNNNNNNNNNNNNNNNNNNNNNNNNNNNNNNNNNNNNNNNNNNNNNNNNNNNNNNNNNNNNNNNNNNNNNNNCAAAAAAUUACCAAAAUGCCCUUAACAUCGAAAUUUACCGAAUUUCUGUCGGAACCAUAAUUUAUCGAAUUAUCCUCAAAAUCCUAAAUUACCUAAUUGCUCUUAAUUCAAAUCACAAAAUUAACCACAAGUUUUGCAUACACGGAAUUACCCUUAGAAUGCGAAACUACUAAAAUGCCCUCAACAACAUAAAUUAGGGAAUUACGCCUGAAAUCUUAAAUUACCUCACUGUCCUAGUCUGGAAUUACCAAAUCAUCCACUAAUUUCAGAAAUUACGAAUUAAUUCCCAGAGUUUGCAAAAUUAUCGAAUUGCCCAUGCCGGUCAACGGUGACCGGAGUUUAGUCAACGGUGACGGGAAGUUUACUACCAAUUAAGCUAAUGCGGGAUCCGUGUUGAAAUAAAAAUCCGACUACAUAGCCAUUGAAUCGUGUUCGAAUUGUCUCAAUUUUAUGUCGUGACAAAUUUAAAAUAAUCCAAACACGAUUUAUUUAAUAAACGUAUAACAUUUAACAGUCACCACUCAUAAUGUCGGAUAAUCGUGUUGUAUCAACUUCACCGUAAUAAUUCAGAACAAGUCCAACAAAUUUAAAAUUAAUGUCGAAGGGAAAAAAUUAAAUAAUACACUUAAUUAGGAAAAUUAAAGUGCAUAUUUUAAAAUCCUCCCCACUUAUUAAAAUUUUGUCCCUCGAAAUUUACACAUGAUGAGAACAGAUGAGGGUGUUGGGCUUGCAUUAAGUCUUCACGUUCCCAAGUAUCCUCUUCCCUUGUGUGAUUCCUCCACAACACUUUUACUAAAGGAAUGGCUUUAGAUCGCAACACUUAGUGUUUUCUGUUCAAGUAUGUCCACAGGCUCCUUUUAGUACGUCAAGUCUUCCUUCAAUUUAAUUAGUUGUCUCGAUAACACAUGACUGGGAUCAUCUAUGUACUUUCGAAGCAUCGAGACAUGAAACACAUUGUGGAUUCUGGAUAACUCAGUUGGUAGAGCUAAUCGGUACGCCAACGGACCAAUACACUCCACAAUCUCAUAUGGUCCAAUGUAACGUGGGCUUAGCUUUCCGCACUUCCUAAAUCGAAGUACCCAUUUCCAAGGAGGUAUCCGUAUGAAAACCUUAUCACCCACUUCGAAUUCAAGUUCCCUCCUACGCUUAUCUGUAUAGCUCUUUUGUCUGUUUUGGGCUACCUUUAAUCUAUCCCAAAUAAGUUGUAUAUUCUCAUUAGUAUUCUAAACCUAUUCGGGACCAAAAAGCUUCCGCUCGCCAACCUCAUCCCAACAUACCGAAGUUCUACAUUUCCUGCUAUACAAAGCCUCAUAAGGUGCCAUCUCGAUGCUAGCUUGAUAAUUGUUAUUAUAAGAAAACUCUAUCAAAGGUAAAUAAAUGUUCUAACUACCCUAAAACUCCAAAACACAAGUUCACAACAUACCUUCCUAUGUCUGAAUAGUACGCUCUAAUUGUCCAUCAGUCUAAGGAUGAAAACCUAUACUAAAAUUCAACUUUGUGCUUAAAGCCUUCUGCAACCUAGUCCAAAACUUAAAAGUGAACUGGGAAUCUCUAUCUGAAACAAUAUACACAGGUGCUCCGUGAAGUCGAACAAUCUCAGCCGCAUAAAUACUCUCCAACUUAUCCAUCGAAUAAGUGGUCUUGAAAGGUAAAAAGUGAGCAGAUUUCGUGAGCCGGUCAACAACCACCCAAACAUUAUCAUGUCCACUAUGGGUAUAUGGAAGUCCCGCCAUAAAAUCUAUGGUGAUAUGCUCCCACUUCCACUCAAAAAUAGGAAGCGGCUGAGAACAUCCUGCAGGCCUUUGAUGUUCAGUCUUAAUUUGUUGACAACUAAACAUCUAGAUACAAAUUCUGCUAUAUCUCUCUUCAUACCUUACCACCAAUAAUGAUCCUUUAAGGUACAAUAUAUCUUCGUACUACCAGGAUGCAUUGCAUAAGCUGAACAAGGAUCCUCUUCCAUGAUCUCCUUUUUUCAACUCCUUAAUAUCGGGUACACAAAGUCGAUUACCCAUCACUAAAACUCCAUCAUCUCUCACCGCAAAAUCGGUUCGCAGGCCUUUUUGCACAUCCUCUCUCAACUUCAUUAGCUGUGGAUCCUGAUCUUGUAUCUGAUGGACUUUGUCAAUCAAAGUCGGCCUAACUAAAAAAUUAGCUAUUAGAGCUCUGCAAUUAUUAGCUUUUGAUGUGCUAAUAAUUUUCAUAUUAUUUUAAUUCUUCCAUAACUUAAUUUUAUGUUAAAUUAUAUUUUAUUACAUUAAUUUUAUCUUAAUUUUUAUAUUUUGUCAUUGUAGGAAUAUUGGGAAUAUUCAUGAGAACGGAAGCUUAAAUAGGAAACAAAUUGGAGCUUAAUGGAAAUAAUUACAGAUUGUGAGUGAAAAGAGGAAAGAAUAAUGCUUAAAAAAUAAUUAUUAGAUUUAUUACCAAAUAACUUUAGAAAUUUAUUGGCUAUUUGUACAAGUCACGUGGAUGAUUACAUAAAGCAUUGGCAUUUGUCAAGUGGGCUCACGUGCAUGGGCUUAAAAGGUUGGCUAGGUUUGUUUUGUUUUAAAAUCCUUUUGAUUUAAGGAUUUGUGGGUUGAGCAAUAAUAUAAAAAGGAGGAGAAACAAAAGCAAAAGGGUAGUCGCACAAAUUGAGAAGACAAAAAGAGAGCAGCCGUGAAAAUUGGAGAGAAAAACCGGGAGAGAAGGAAGAAAAAGAACGAAGCAGCCAUAAGACAUUUAGAGGGAGGAGGGAAUUAAUUCUUGAGUUUUUCUUUUCCUCUUCCCAAUUGUCCUACUUGAAUGUUUCCAAUUAAAUUCAUGGAUUCUUUUUAUAUUCCCAUGAACUAAUUUAUUUUGCUAGGGCUACGACAUAACCUAACUAUGAAGAUUUAAUUCCAUAAAUCUAUGUUAUUUUCAGUUUAUUAUUUCAUGGGUGAUUGUUCAUUAUUGUGUUUAAUACUUUUAAAUAUCUGGCUAAUAUUUAAAUGAUUUGAGGAUACAUAAUAAGACCUAGAGGAGAUUUAUGUAUUUUUGCUCUGUGUAAUGUAUGCCAUGAAUUGAACGAAAGACAGAGAUGUGCCAACGUGAUUCAUGCAGUUUUUCUAAGAGUUUCCAUGGAGCUUAAUGAAUCUUUGCAUAUUUAAAUUCACAUAGAGAUAUAGUGGGUUAAUAUGUGAAGGUAUUUUUGAUAUUACUCGAGAGAGGAUAUUGAAUAGACUAGGGAAAUUCAUUGUAACCAUGGAUAAUAAAUUUUAAUAGCAUAGAUGGAGGAUUAAAUUGGAUUAGUUAUGGUGAAAUCGGAUGUCCUAACGUCUUAAUCUCUUGGUGAUUUCUAUUACUACCUGCAUCUUUUUUCAAUUUUUAGUUAUUUUCUUUUAUUUUAAUUUUUAAUCUAAAUUCGCUUAUUCGAUUGUUCAAAUAAUUUAGGGUUAAAAUAAAUUUGGUAGCUAAUAGGAUAUACGAUCUCUGUGGGACGAUACUAUACUCUUCAUUAUAUUAUUUGUGCCGACUAGUGCACUUGCUAAUUUACGCAUCAAGUUUUUAGCACCGUUGCCGGGGAUUGUUUGGAUUAGUAUCGAUACCAACUAACCUUAGUUUAAUUUGAAUUUGAAUUUUAUUAUUUUUUAAUUUAAUUUAAUUUUUUUAUUUAAUUUUAUGAGACGUUUAAAAAGCUUUGAUUUACUGCCUUUUGAUCCAGAGAUUGAACGUACGUGUAGAAGGCUUAAUAGAGAAAGGAGAGAAGAUUUACAGGAGCUACAACUAAUCAUGACUGAGAAGCAUAAUUAAUGGUGCUCGUUCAGGCCAAUAAUUUUGAAAUUAAGCUAGCUAUAAUCUAGAUGAUUCAGACGUCAGUACAAUUUGCUGGGAUGCGGAAUGAUGAUCCAAAUGUUCAUAUUGCAAAUUUCUUGGAAAUUUGUGACACAUUUAAGCAAAAUGGUGUUUUAGAUAAUGCUAUCAGGCUAAGGCUUUUCCCGUUCUCACUAAGGGAUAAAGCAAAAGAGUGGUUAAACUCACUCCUUGCUGGAACAAUCACUGCAUGGGAUGGUUUAGCGCAGAAGUUUUUAGCAAAGUACUUUCCUCCAGCAAAAACAGCCAAGUUGAGAAAUGACAUCACAACCUUUGAUCAAUUCGAGAUGGAAUCAUUAUAUGAAGCGUGGGAGAGAUACAAAGACCUACUAAGAAAAUGCCCACAUCAUGGUCUACUAGUUUGUCGUCAGGUACAGACAUUUUACAAUGGUUUGGGAUCCAAUACCAGAACAAUGAUUGAUGCUGCAGCAGGAGCAACGUUAAUCGGAAAAACACUAGAAGCAACUUAUGAAUUAUUGGAGGAGAUGGCCUCUAAUAAUUACCAGUGGUCUUUAGAGCGACCAAUAUCAAGGAGAGCUACAGGAGUCCAUAAUGUUGAUGUGGUCACCGCUUUAUACGCACAGAUAAUUGCAAUUUGUAACAAGUUGGACAAUCUGAAUAUUCAAACUCAACCGCAAGUGUGUGAAUUAUGUGGAGGGAAUCAUACAAGCGUUAAUUGCCAAGUUAGAAGUCCUUUUGCACCAUCAUCUACUAAACAAGCUCAUUAUGUGUGAAACUUUCAGAGGCAACAAAAUAACCCAUAUUCUAAUACCUACAAUCCAAGCUGGAGAAACCAUCCAAAUCUAUCAUGGAACAACACCCAAAAUGCAUUGGCACCACCUCCAGGGUUCCAACAACAAGAAAAAAAGUCAAACUUAGAAGAUGCUCUUACCCAGCUUACAACAAAUAUGUCUCAAUUCAUGACCAAAACAGAGACAACUUUUCAUAAUCAAGCUGCAUCAAUUCGGAACCUCGAGGUACAAGUGGGUCAGAUUGCAAACUUGCUAUCCAGUAGACAACAAAGCUCUCUGCCAUGCAACACCGAGACAAAUCCAAGGGAGCAAGUUAAUGCAAUUGUACUUUGGAGUGGUAAACAACUUGAUGAGCCGCAAAAAGAAGCAAAGAAAGUUGAUAAAGGACAAGCUAAAGACACCACCAAGGUUUCAAAUGCAAUAAAUUUAGAAAUACCACAACCUAAACCAACAGCACAAGUCAAGGCCUAUGUUCCUCUAAUCUUUUUUCCUCAACGUCUCAGGAAAAAUAACAUAGAUAAGUGAUUUUUAAAAUUUCUUGAUGUGUUUAAGAAAUUGCAUAUUAACAUUCCUUUUGCAGAUGCUUUGGAACAAAUGCUGCUUUAUGCCAAAUUUAUGAAGGAAAUUUGAGGAACAUGAAAUUGUAAUGUUGACUGGGGAUUGCACUGCCAUCUUGCAAAAUAAAUUGCCACCAAAGCUGAAAGAUCCAAGGAGUUUUAAUAUUCCAUGCACUAUUGGAAAUACUUAUUUUGAAAAAGCUUUGUGUGAUUUAGGUGCAAGCAUUAAUUUGAUGCCUUUUUCUGUUUUCAAGAAAUUAGGUUUGGGUGAACUUAAGGCAACAACUGUUACCUUCCAAUUGGCAGAUAGAUCUAUAAAGUACCCAAGAGACAUAGUUGAGGACGUGCUUGUGAAAGUUGAUAAGUUUAUAUUCCCUGCAGAUUUUAUUGUCUUGGAUAUGGCUGAAGAUAUAGAGUUGCCUCUUAUUCUAGGCCGACCAUUCUUAGCUACAAGAAGAGCUUUGAUUGAUGUUCAGGAAGGGAAAUUGAUUUUAAGAGUUCAAAAUGAGCAAUCCAUUUUUAAUGUGUACGCACCUAUCAAGUAUCCAACUGAACUCAAAGAAUGUUUCCAAGAAGACACCAUGGAUAGAAAAAUGGCCAAACCUUUAAAGGAUAAGCAUCUAUUUGACCCUCCUGACAUUUAUACAAUACGUAAGCAAUCUAUUAAUGAAGAUCCAUCUCCUCAUUUUCAUGGGAAGAGAUCUAAUUGCAAGCAACUUGGGCAAGAUCCAUCCAGAUCAUCUCCUUCCAUCCACGAGCCUCCUUGAACGAUCUCUCCAAAGAUAGUCAAGCUAAUGACUAUAAAUUAAGCGCUUCUUGGGAGGCAACCCAAGCUUUCUAAACUUUAUUAUUGUCAUUUUUGUCUUUUCUUAUUUCUUCUGUCUUUUCUUUUACUUAUUUUAUUUUGUUUUGUUCUAGGUUUUUGCAUAAGUUUGGGGGUAGGAAUAUUUGCUGUCAAUUUUUUCUUUAAAAAAAGAAAACAAAUCUAAAAAAAUAAAAAAAAAAUUUUAUGCCUUUGAUGAGUAUAUUGUUGAAAAUGAAUAUGGUUCUUAGAAAUGGAUGAAUAUUUUCUUAAUUUAUACUUGAUUCUUGUGUUAGUUUCGUCUUGAUUAUGAUUCUUUAAAUAUUUUGCACACUUAUAUCGAUUUUUUCAUAAUUUUGACUUGAGAUUUGAGAUUGAUACAGCCUGAGUUGAGAAUUUUAGAUUGAGUAAAUGAUUGUUUGCCUCGAUUCUACAUUACUUAAGUACCCAGGCAUCAUAGUCAGAAAUAGCUGCCUAUAACCCUUAAGAGUGAAGCUAUUAUUGAGUAAUUUGGGCCUAUGUACCACCGGUAUGUAGAGGAUAAUCUACCAUAAGAAGAAUGUUACCUUAAGGGGUAGAGUGAAAGCUCCUGACUAUGAAAAAAAAAGCAUGUGCUUCAAGAAAAAUCAAAAGAAAAUGCAAAUUAUGCUUGUGAAAAAGAGAGAGAGAGAGAGAUCAAGAUGAUGAGGUUAGUUUGACCUACUCUGUUUACUAUUCAAUACAAGGGCUGUUGAUAUUGAAGAUUUUCAUAAUGAGUUUUGAUUGAAUUGAUUCACACACAACAUGGGAAUCCAAUAUGAGAUGAGGCUAACCAUUGAAUUAAAGUUAGAACUUUGCCAAUACUUUUAAUUUUCUUUGAGCUGUAUACUUUAUGCAAUCUUUGAGGCAUUUUUAAUGAUGUUUGUGGGUAUCAUCGCUAGAAACCCUCAUGAGACUAUAACUUGUCUACUAGGGCCACCUAGGAGUUUACAGGCUUGUUGUGUAUGCUAAAUGCAAUCGCGAUCACCUAGGAAAGUGGUUUAGUUAGGAUUUUCUUUUCAUAGUUUUUAUUUUAAUUUUUGCUCGAGGACUAGCAAAAUGUUAAGUUUGGGGGUAUUUGAUGUGUCAAUCAUUUUCAUAUUAUUUUAAUGCUUCCAUAACUUAAUUUUAUGUUAAAUUAUAUUUUAUUACAUUAAUUUUUAUCUUAAUUUUUAUAUUUUGUCAUUGUAGGAAUAUUGGGAAUAUUCAUGGAAAGGAAGCUUAAAGAGGAAACAAAUUGGAGCUUAAUGGAAAUAAUUGCAGAUUGUGAGAGAAAAGAGGAAAGAAUAAUGCUUAAAGAAUAACUAUUAGAUUUAUUACCAAAUAAUUUUAGAAAUUUAUUGGCUAUUUGUACAAGUCACGUGGAUGAUUACAUAAAGCAUUGGCAUUUGUCAAGUGGGCUCACAUCCAUGGGCUUAAAAGGUUGGCUAGGUUUGUUUUGUUUUAAAAUCCUUUUUAUUUAAGGAUUUGGGGGCUGAGCAAUAAUAUAAAAAGGAGGAGAAACAAAAGCAAGAGGGUAGCCGAACAAAUUGAGAAGACAAAAGGGGAGUAGCCACGAAAAUUGGAGAGAAAAAUCGGGAGAGAAGGAAGAAAAAGAACGAAGCAACCAUAAGAGAUUCAGGGGGAGGCGGGAAUUAAUUCUUGAGUUUUUCUUUUCCUCUUCUCAAUUGUCUUGCUUGAAUGUUCCCAAUUAAAUUAAUGGAUUCUCUUUAUACUCCCAUGAACUAAUUUAUUUUCCUAGGGCUACGACGUAGCCUAACUCUGAAGAUUUAAUUCCAUAAAUCUAUGUUAUUUUUAGCUUAUUAUUCCAUAGGUGAGUGUUCAUUAUUGUGUUUAAUGCUUUUAAAUAUCUGGCUAAUAUUUAAAUGAUUUGAGGAUACAUAAUGAGACCGAGAGGAGAUUUAUGUAUUUUUGCUCUAUGUAAUGUAUGCCAUGAAUUGAACGAAAGACAGAGAUGUGCCAACGUGAUUCAUGAAGUUUUUAUAAGAGUUUUCAUAGAGCUUAAUGAAUCUUUGCAUAUUUAAAUUCACAUAGAGAUAUAGUGGGUUAAUAUGUGAAGGUAUUUUUGAUAUUACUCGAGAAAGGAUAUUGAAUAGACUAGGGAAAUUCACUGUCAACAUGGAUAAUAAAUUUUAAUAGCAUAGAUGGAGGAUUAAAUUGGAUUAGUUAUUGUGAAAUCGGAUGUCCUAGUGUUUUAAUCUCUUGGUGAUUUCUAUUACUUUCGCAUCUUUAUUUAAUUUUUAGUUAUUUUAUUUUAUUUUAAUUUUUAGUCUAAAUUUACUUAUUCGAUUGUUCAAAUAAAUUAGGGUUAGAAUAAUUUCAGUAGCUAAUAGGAUAUACAAUCUCUGCAGGACGAUACUCUACUCUUCAUUAUAUUACUUGUGCCGACUGGUAGACUUGAUAAUUUACGCAUCAAGUUUUUGGUUAUUAGCUUUCAACUCAACUCCCAAAGAUCUCAGCUCGAUCAACAAAGGCAUAUAUGUCACUCAUAAAUGAGCUACAGAGCUGGAGGACUUCCUACUUAACGCAUCAGCUACCACAUUUGCUUUGCCCGGAUGAUAAUCAAUAGUACAAUCGUAGUCCUUAAUCAGCUCGAUCAAUCUCCUCUGUCUCAAAUUUAACUCUUUCUAAGUAAAUAAAUACUUCAAGUUCUUAUGAUCGGUGACAAUCUGACACGUUGCCCCGUAUAAAUAAUACCUUCAUGUCUUCAGUGUAAACACCACUGCUACUAGCUCUAAAUCAUGAGUUGGGUAGUUUUGCUUAUGCUUCUUAAGUUAUCUAGAAGCAUAGGCCACUACUUUCCCAUGUUGCAUUAGCACACAUCCCAAUCCUUGUCUAGAGGCAUCACUGUAUACCACAAACCCUUCAUUACUCGAUGGAAGUGUAAGAACUGGGGCUGAAGUAAGACAUGUCUUAAGUUCUUGAAACUCUUUUCACAGUCAUCAUCCCAUUGGAACUUAACAUUAUUUUUGGUUAAUCAUGUCAAAGGAAUAACAAUCUUGGAAAAUCCCUCCACAAAUCUACGAUAGUAGUCAACUACUUCAAGGAAACUUUGAAUCUCUGUGACAUUUGUAGGUCGUUCCCAAUUUACAACUGCUUCGAUCUUUUGAGGAUCGACAUAAAUCCGUUCAGCUGAUAUCAUAUGGCCCAGAAAUACUAGUUUAUCCAACCAGAACUCACACUUGUUGAACUUGGCAUAUAAUUGCUUUUGCCUUAAAGUCUGCAAAACAGUUCGCAAAUAUUCUGCAUGUUCCUCCUAGUUCCGAGAAUACACCAAAAUAUCAUUAAUGAACACAAUCAUAAACGGAUAUAGAUAAGGGUGAAAUACUCUAUUCAUAAGAUCAAUAAAAGCUGCUGGAGCAUUAGUCAAUGCAAAUGGCAUCACCAAGAACUCAUAGUGUCCAUAACAGGUUCUGAAUGUCGUUUUAAGAACAUCGACCUCUUUAAUUCUAAGCUAAUGAUAUCCCGAGCAUAAAUCAAGCUUAGAAAAUACUUUCGCUCUCUGAAGUUGAUCAAACAAGUCAUCAAUUUACGGAAGUGGAUACUUAUUGCGUAUUGUAACUUUGUUUAAUUAUCUGUAGUCAAUGCAGAGUCUAAGAGUACCAUCUUUUUUCUUAACAAACAAAACCGGAGCACCCACGGAGACACAUUAGGUCUCAUAAAUCACUUAUCCACCAAUUCUUGCAGUUGAAAUUUAAGUUCCUUUAGUUCAACUGGAGCCAUCCUGUACAGUGCUACAGAUAUAGGAACUGUUCCAGGGACUAAAUCAAUAGAAAACUCAACCUCCCUAUUAGGUGGCAUCCUUGGAAGUUCAUCUGGAAACUCUUGGACUACUGGAACAUCCUCCAAUCUCAACUCCCGAACUUCAGUGUCUAUCACAUGCGAUAUAAGCUGAGCAACCUUUCUUAGUAACCGUCUAGCACCAAUGGCUGAUACGACACAUGAGGGUAAAACUCUACACUCACCACAAAACUUCACCUCAGUUUUCCCUGGCUUUUCUAAACAUAACUUCCUUUUUGAAACAAUCCUUAGUAUCAUAAUGAGAUGCAAGUCAGUCCAUGCCCAAAAUGUUAUUGAAAUCUCGAAUGUCUAAAAUAAUCAAAUUCGCCUUAAAUUCUUGCUCACCAAAUUUAAUCAUACAAUCUUAAUACACACUCUCUGCAAGCAGUGACCCCCUGCAGGUGUAUUAACAACUAAACCAUAAUCUAGUGGUUCAUACUCUCUCUCUCAAAUGCAUGGCAAAAACAUGAGAAACAAAAGAAUGCGUGGAUCCAGGAUAAAAAAGAAUAUAAGCCUAAGUAAUUGCAACAUGUCAUUGAUAUUGAUGUUCUACUAUUUGCCACCAAUGAUAAGCUUUAUCCUUGAGUAGAAAAGUGGCAAAGGAAAGUCCAUCCUCCUUUGAGCAUCUCAUCACAUUAAAAAUACGUUCUAACUUGACAAACCACGACUCUGCCUCAGGUGCAUCUCCAGAACCAUUAAAACUCUUUGCCCCUAAAUUUUGUACACGCUCGAUAGUGUUUACAUGACCGGCAUACAGAUGAGUCUGAUUAUGUACCAUUGUAGUCACAAUCUCAGCUAGUUUAUCAAUUGACUGCUCAAGGUUGGAUACAUUUCUUGGUGUCUGUUGUGCAACCUCGUGCGUUGAAGACUCAACUACUCUCUCGUUUACAGGAUUAUUUUCCGCCGCAGGUACAUCUCCUGGAGUCAACCCAGCUACUGAUUUAGUACGGCUACGACCACCCCUAUUGCUACAACGAAUCAUGAUGGUGCUCACAAAAUAUCAAUUACGACUUUAACAACAGCAAAACUUAUUCUAAUCACAACAACAAAGUCUACAUAAUCUAAAACCGUGCUCUGAUACCAACUAAAACGACCCGCCCCGACUCCCCAGGAUGAGUCUAUCUAACUCGCCUAACCAAAUUAAUAAUAAUUCUAAUGUCUAAGAAUUCUACCAAAAUUUUGGCAGAGUCUCCUAUAUAAUUAUGACAUCCCCAAACUGCAAUUUAUAAAAUUAACACCCAAAAAUGAUACAAUAUUCAAUCAACCUCCACAACUAACUUCAUCAAUCAAAUACCAGUAUCCUUCAAACAUAUAAUGUCAAGAAUAUAAUAAUUUAUCCUUAAUCACAAAUAAGUAAUAAAUUAUAUAAUUCAAAAUAUCCCAACAAAACAUCUAGGUUUAACACCGUCACGUGGCCAUAGUUUCAAAUCUAACUAUCGUUGCUGGGUCGACUGAUGCAUCUGCAAAUCUCCUGUAGCGGGAAAAAUAUAAUAAAAACAGGGUGAGUAUAAAACUCAGUGAGCUCAGUGAGUGGAUAGUAGUUUUUGAAAAAUAAAUUUAUUUAAAAUGAUUUAAUCUUUCCCAAAUAAAUUUCAUCAAAAUAUCAUAAGAACUUAAAUAAACAUAUUUAAUUAAAAUCAUGCACUAAAAUAACAAUAUUACAUAAAUCUGCAUAAAAUCAAUGAAAUCAUAACAUUCAUAAUAUCAAAUACUGAAUACCAAAAAAUAUCACCAAACAAGAACCCAGGGGAAUAAACUCAUCAUAUCCGGACCUCGACGGACGGACAAUCAAGGAACCGUCAUGCCCUGGAGCUAUAAGGGAUAGACGUGGAAAUGCCAUUUCAUAUCUCAUAUAUCUCAUCAUAUCUGUGCAUGUAUAAUCUGGUCCCCAAAGGAUAAGGUGCCCAAGUAUACAGCCCAAAACCUCUAUGUGUACUCAGAUAGGCCUCAAAUGCCUCUCAUCUCAUAUGUAUCUCAAUAUCUGUGUCUCUGUAAUUAUCAUACUAGAUGCAUAUGCCCCCAAAAGGCAAAAGCGCCCAAACACACGGCCCAAAGCCUCUAUGUAUAUUCAGACGGGCCCCAAAGACCCAUCAUCUCAUAUCAUUUGUAUCAUUGUAUCUAGAGGGGAAGGGUAUUGUCCAAUAAUUUUGCAAACAACCUUUUAUACACAUGUACAUAAACAUAUAAUCACAUCUGAAAUCUCAUUUCCUUUUUAUUUAACAUAUCUCAAAUCCACUCAAUUCUAUUAUCAUGCAUUUACUCAAAAUUGAUAAUAAAAUCAUUAAUCAAACUCAUUUUUAAUAAUAAUAAAUAUCAUCACGUAGAUAAAAAUUCAUUUUCUAGGAAAUCAUCAAAUUGAAGCAUCAAAUACUUAUUAUCAAAACAUGUUGUACUGUAUCGUAAGAUUAGAAUAUACUAUGAAAAUAGGUUUUGUAUAUUCCACUCACAAUGACGAUGUUCAGACUCGGUAUCAACAACGUCCGCGGGUUGAUUCUCAUUCGCGGGUUGUUGGUGAAUUUUUACUCAAUUGCUGUUGAUGCCAAUGUGCAAGUGUACACAACAAGUAAUAAAGUGAUGAAUAUUCUAGAUCGUCUCUACAGAGACUGAUGUUACUAGAAAUGCUACAGUAAUCACAAUAGUGCAAUCUACCUUUAUUUCAUGAUGAACCUAGUUAAAAUUGAUUACUACCGAAAUUAAAAAUUGUAAAGAAAUAAAACAAAUAAUUGCAGUAAUGAAAUAAAUUAGAUAAAUUGCGUAAAAGAAUCAAAUGAGAAUGAGGUAGUUGAAUGAUCAAACUCUCUUCAUGGGUUGACUGCUUUUCAUCAAAUUAGCACCAGUUGCUACAACAAUUCCUACAGCACUAGGCAGAAUUAUUUUGCAUCCUCAGCUGUCGCGUGUUGGGCUUCUCAUACCCUUAAGUAUCUUGACAAUGACCAGUUGCUAUUCUACCUACGACAUGGCAUUAUGAACAUCUAUUCUCUCCACCCUCCAAGGUGAGUGCCUAUAUCUAAUUCUUCACAAAUUUUAACUUCAAGCAUAGCCCUUAUGGGAUUCAAGAUAAACUUAAUCCAGGAAACUCAAAUUAAGAUCAAGUAUUACUCUAAUAACAUCCACUAAGACAAGCCCUUUUACGACUCUAUCUUCACUUGAACUAUUAAAUGGGUGGUCAACCGAAAUAACAGUUAUAAUAAUAGCUACUAGAGUAAAAUGCUACAACAAUUAUAUAGCAACUCAUAAGAACAGUCAAAAACCCAUUGAGAUUGUUUGUCACUCAACUACAAGCAAGUUUAGUUCAUACUUUGAAAAAGAAAAACAAACAGCAAACUAUUGGUCACGAAAUACAUCGGUUCAAUCAAAGAGUAAAGAAAAGAACAAGUAAAGAACAAUGAAGAUUGAAUCCAAAUAACUAUGUUGGAUUCUUCACUGAUGCAGCUUGGUUCUCUUGAAUUCAAAUUGUUUUCUUCUUUUCCUCUUGAUUUUUCCAAUGUUAAUUCAUUUUUGCCGUUUUAUGUGAUGUGCGCCCCUUUUUAUAACUGAAACCUAGGGUAAAUAAAAGCUUAGGGCGCGCAUGAGUGAAAUUAGAAAACUGUAGAUCGCAAUUCUGCAGAUAUCCCGCCCUAAGUUUUCUCUGUUGUUGUUCCAGGAUUGCUACAGCAAUGGUUGCUCUAGCAACGGCCAUAAUACUGCACCGAUCCAGGUUUUGUUUCCCUUAUUUUGUGGUCAUAUUCUUCCUCCUUUUUGCCAACCUAUUGCAUCAGCAUCCCUUCCAUGAAUUAUAAACUUCUGAAAACCUACAAUUAUGCACAUGUUUUGAGCACAAAUUACUUUAAAUCAAGCAAAACUUAUUAAGACUACACUAAAAUGGAUGUUUAUGCAAAACGUAACAAAAAUGUAAUAAAAACACAUCAUUACUCUCUAAGUGGUCUUGAUUUAAGUCUAGAAUUGCCAUAAUAACUCUCAUUUCAUAGAGUUAUCACGGGUCCUCCUAAUCAAGUAAACGACAUAAUUAUUAUCUGUAACAUGAAAUACAUCUAACAAUACAAAAUAAAGCUCGAAACGAAACUCUCGGAUACAUAAAAUUUCAAAAUUACCCUUAUAUCCUAAAAUUACCAAAAUCCCCCUAACAUCGAAAUUUACCGAAUUGCUGUCGGAACCAUAAUUUAUCGAAUUAUCCUCAAAAUCAUAAAUUACCUAAUUGCUCUCAAUUCAAAUCACAAAAUUAACCACAAGUUCUGGAUUUAUGAAAUUACCCUUAGAAUGCAAAAUUAUUAAAAUGCCUUCAACAACAUAAAUUAGCGAAUUUCCCCCAAAAUCUUUAAUUACCUCACUGCCCUAGUCUAAAAUUACCAAAUCAUCCACCAAUUUCAGAAAUUACGAAUUAAUCCCCAGAGUUUGCAAAAUUACCAAAUUGCCCAUGCCGGUCAACGGUACCGAAGUUCAGUCAACAGUGACGAGAAGCUCAGGUCUGAUAGUUCUGACCUCGAUCAGUCCAAUGGUGCCAAUGGUGACCCCCCAGGCGCAGCGAUAAUGGCGGAUCAAACUUCCCAAGCCGCAAGAUUUCUGACAGUUGUUCACAGCCAAAACGGCAGUUAUAGAUGGCGGGGUUGGUUGGAAAACGAUGAGGGUGAGCUGAGGAUCAAGAUCCAAGUGGUGAUGUGGCCUAAAUUUGGUGAAAUCAACAACGACGAAAGCGAGUUGAGUUGCGGUCCUUGAAGCUUCGAUCACCCGCGUUCUGGCUGUUUUCCGGCGACGAUGACAACGGGGAUAUGACCGGCAUCGCUCAAACUUUAGAUCGAUACCAAGCUUGACUAGAACGGUGGCCGAAAACAGGAGUUGGAGCCGGGUCGAUUUCGCCAGUCGGGUCGGGUCAAAUGGGUCAAUUUCUCUUUCUCUCGCAUGCCCCCUCUCUUUCCAUUUUUGGAAACCAGCUCCCCUCUUUCUAUUUAUAGAAACUAGCUUCCAUUUUUUUAAAGCUUACUACCAAUUAAGCUAAUGCGGGACCCGUGUUGAAAUAAAAAUCUGACUACACAGCCAUUGAAUCGUGUUCGAAUUGUCUCAUUUUAUGUCGUGACAAAUUUAAAAUAAUCCAAACACGAUUUAUUUAAUAAACGCAUAACAUUUAACAGUCACCACUCAUAAUGUCGGAUAAUCGUGUUGUAUCAACUUCACCGUAAUAAUUUGGAACAAGUGCGACAAAUUUAAAAUUAAUGUCGAAGGGAAAAAAAUUAAAUAAUACACUUAAUUAGGAAAAUUAAAGUGCAUAUGUUACAGUUUUAUUAUUAAUUAUUGACUUUUUUUUUUGCAAUUUAUUGUGACACAUAAAAAAUCAUAUUAUUGAAAUUCCCAAUUGAAUAUAUAAAGUGAGUAAGUAUAACAUUACUCUUUCCAUAAUUGAUAAGUAACAAGUAAGGAUGGCAAAAAGACUAGAACAUGUUCUUGUCUGAUUGACCUAACUUUAAUUUUUAGGGUUUUUAAUUGAAUUUAAAGGGUCAAGGAUCAAGUUUCAACCCGAUUACAUUCAAGUCUAGGUUAGGACUUUAUAAAAAAUCCUAACUCAACCUUUGACCCUUAAAUUAAUUUUCAAAAUUAAAAAAAUAAUACUUAAAAAUUAGAACACAUCCACUACAAAUGUGGUCAAAACUCACUCCUCAAACUGAUAGUAUUUUGUAUUCGAUUUAUUUACUUGCUAAUUUGGUUAGAUUUUUACAUGUUGGAUUUUCGUUAAAGCUAAAUAAAAAGUUAAUUUAUUAAAUGCCUUACAACCAAAUUUAUCAUAAAAUGGAACAAUAAUAGUACAAUAUAAUUAAUAAAGAAUGAAAAGUUGGAGUCCUACUAAAGUAUCUAAAAAUUAAAAGAUUAUUGCAAGGUGUGGAUAAAGCUCGAGCCUGAACUUGACUUGAAAAAGGUCGACCCUAGCCCAACCCUUACUUUUGAGGAUCAAACUUUUGAAAGUUAAGACCCUUUAUUUUUAAUUAUAAGGGCAAGGCUAGGGGUUGGCCAAGCCUGAGCUCAACUAGAUCAAUUGCCAAACUUAUUGAUAAGAAAAUAAUUAAUACAGUUGUGAUAUUUGACCCCCUGGUUGUACCUCACCAGUCCCCACUAAUUACUUUUAUACUAAUAUUUAUUUUAUCUUUGUAUGAAAUGAUUUAAAAGAGUAAAUAGCUUUUAAGUGCACCCACAUGAUAAUUUCCAUUAAUAUAUAAUUUAACUAAUUUAUUUUCUUAAACCUUAAUUUUUUUAAACUUUUUAAAUUAUUAUUUUUUCUUAAAUAUUGUAUACUUUACUUUGGAAGAAAUUAAUUUAUAGCACGAAAUAGAAGAUGAUGAAGAAAUAUUAAUUUUUUUAUGGUUAUGGUAAUGAUGGAUAAAUUUUUAAACAGAGAGAGAGAGAUUAUAGUGAUUUUGAGAUUUUUUUCAUUUUGAAAUAGAUUUUAUAAGUUUCAGUGCUUGGAAAAAAGAUAAAAAAAUCAUAAUAAAGCUAAGUUCGCGAUUCAAUGAGGUAUGUUGAUAUAUAAAGUUUAGUUUAAAAUUUUUAAUAGCGUUAACGGAAAGGGGUUGGUAAAAUAUAAUAAGUGGGUCAAAUCUACCACCCUAAUUAGUAUCAUUUUACUCGAAAGUUUUACUUAUAAAUUUUGGAUAUUGACCGGCUUUAAAUCUAAAAAAAAAUUGAGAAAAAGUUACUUUAAAAAAUCUAUACAUUAUCCCAAAAAGUUGUACCCAAAAAAAAAAAAAAAAUCAGCCCGUUCUGAUUAAAUUCAAAAUGAAAAAACCCGGCCCGUUUCCCUACUUAAGACCCUCCUAGCAGUUUUAAAAAAAAUUUCCCAGCGAAGAAUAGAAGUGAUGGCAGCUGCUCUGUCUUCGACGCAUCGCAAUGGGAAUUUAGCUGGUUUUAAUUCUCUCUCUUAGCUGUUUCUGUUUCUUUAAUUUAACAUUGUGAUAUAUAUUUAUUAUGCUAGAGGUUCAACUAAGUCUCCAUUUACUGGGACUUUUCUCAUCUUGGGAAAUGUUAAUUUUGCCUUAUUUAUUCAGUAUUGUUAUCUUCCUCUGUCAAUAAAUUUUAUGCUUCGGUUGGUUAUUCAAUGUGGGUUUGUUCCAUUUUGUUCUUACGCUGUUUGUAUAAAUAUUAAAGGUUUGUUUUUUAAAAUGGCUUUCAGUCAAUUGCCUUCAAAGCUUUAUUUCCUAAAAGAGGAAAGAAAAAUAUACCAAAAUGUUUAAUUUCUACUGCUAUAUGUUUGCGUUUUUAGCUUCUGCUAUGCUUUGUAUUGUGUUGUUUGUGUUGGUAUUAAUGCUAGAAAGAUGUUUUCUUCUCAAAUCUGAUUGCUUAGAAUGAAUAUGAGGUGGUUAUUGAGUUGCAAUAUAUCGAAUAAAUUGAAGACGUCUGCUUCAUAGGUUUUGAUUCUAUUAAUUGUUUUCAUUUCAAGCAUGACACAAUUGCAUGGGUGUUCGAGGAGGCUAAGGGUGAUUUCUUAGGGUUGAAGCUAUAACUUUCUUUUAUUAUUGUCUAGUAUCAAAACUUGAAAAUAAAGUUUAAAGAUAAUGCUUAUGAUACAAACACAAAUGAUUGGAAAGGUAACUUGAACAAAAUAGAAGGAAAUCAAUAAGAAUAGGUUAAUUCGAGGAACUCUAAACCUUCAAAAUAAUAUUGGUUAUUUGAGAAACCAAUAAACUCGUAAAAUUUAAUUUACAAGUUGCGAAAAUAAUAGUACUCAAGACACUCUUUUAUUGAAUAACAUCAAGCUUUAAAUAGAGCUUUACUUCAAAGUUACAAGCAUAAAAAUAAGCAAGCAUUAAGCAUGUUCUCCAUCAUUCUCCAUGAAUCCACAAAAUAAGGAACCAACUAACAACUUGAUUUUGACUUAUUAAAAACCAGCUACACUUAAAAUAUAAAGUAAAUAAUUACUUUAACUUUAUUACAUGUUCAAUAAAUUCUUACUUGAAUUCAAUUUCCAAGUGCAGUUGCAACCAGACAAAGUGAAAAGGCAGAUAUCUGUGAUUAAUAGGAAACUUUUAGUGUAAGUUUCUAUUCUUUGGUCAUUCUUAUAACUGAUUUUUCAUUCUUGUCCAAUAUUUUUUCAAUUUGCAUCUAUCAGUUUAUCCUAUGAGACAAUAUUCAUUUGGAACUUUUGUGUCGCCCGUUCAAUAAUCAUUUUUCCCCUUUUCCUGAAAAAUUUUCAAAUAUGUUGCUUCAGAAGAGUUCUUCCUCUAAGAUACCAUUGUUCUUUAGUAUAUCAAGUUUGCUUGGACUUUGCAGUUUUCAAGUUUUUACAUUUUGUUUAUUUUCUCAUCUGAUUCAGGCACUUUGAGGCAGUUGAGGCCAGGAUUCUUCGUGCAUCAUUUUCUGCUUUUGUAGAUGUGCUUACACUUGCGACAAAAACAAUCGUACAGUUUGGUCAUGGAACGGAAUUGUAACAUCAUACUAUCUUUGGCAGUUGGAGAAUCAUUCUUAGUAGGAACUGUAUUACUUUAAUUCGCCUUCUUGUUUCGGAUUAGUUGACGUUUUUGUAACAAGAGAAUCUAUAGUGUUCGUUUUAUAAUGUAAAUCUUCAAAUUAUCGGAAACCUGUAACAAAUUCUUCAAAGCUGUGAAUUAUAAGUUUUUUUUUUUUAAUCAUUAGGUUUUAUCAAGAGGUUGCAGCUGUAAAUGUUAUAAUCCUCCCUUAGACCUUUUCAAUAAAGUUUUUGACAAGCUAUCUCCAACUCUUUCAGUUUGGGCCAAGCUAGAUUGCCAGACCUCACUUCUAGGGCUUUUCUGUUUACCCCUCAAACAGUUCAAUCUGAUAUUGAUUUCGUAAAGUGAGUAGAAUGAAGAAUUCAUUAGUGCUAAUAUUCUUCCAGCCAUUGAUGCAAUUCUUUACCAUUGUGUGACGCAGGAGGUACCUACUUGGCUACCAAGUGGCCCUCAGCUUAACGUGCCUCGAUAGCCUUCAAGCUUUUAGAAUUCAUCUAGCUGGUGGAAUCCUAUCUGGCGUCUCUCUAUAAGUUUGAAAAUCAAGAAUUUUCUAUAGCAAGCGUCAAGGGAUUUCUUGUCACCCAAAAGGAACCCAGAAAAGAUAAAAUCGUAGACAGCACUGUUUCACAUGCUGGAAUUCUCGGGAGGGUGCUUAUCAUAUGCUUGUGGCUAUAAAUAUGCUCGAAAAAAAUUGAAAAUUGAUGCUGCAAUCCCUCUGAGCCUCAAAGCAAAAAAAAAUGCCCUUUUAUAGCAUUGCUAAGAUGAAAGAUUACAGACUUAGCAAGGCUGACAUUGAGCAACAAUUUUAUGCAUACACUUUAUCUUGGGCAGAAUCACCAAAAGUCGAUGCAUCUUAAAAUUUAGAAUAAAAGCAGAUUCGACUUGUAUUAUAAGAAAUUCAAAUGGGGUGUCACGGCUGCGUCCAUCUCUAGGAAAACUCGCUUACAAAAAAUGCUGAAUGCUUUGGCAAUUCUUGAUGGCAUCAAAAUGGCAGUUGAUUCUGGACUGCACCCACCAUUUUAAUGCAGUGAAAUCAAUCUUAAAGAAGAGACUUCAGAUGGAUGAUCAAAGGAAUGCUCGGUUAUGUAAGAAAAGGAAAACAAUUUAUAGUUGCAAUACACUCAUCAAUAAUCUCAGGAACCUCUGAUGAUUGAAUUACAAGCAUACCUGUUCAUGCAAGAUAUUUGAUGCUAUGCAUCCGAAACUUCAUCGACCUUUGCAUCUAAGAGAUCAUUAACCUUACAAGUCACAGAACCCAAAUGGUCCACAGUGUUCACAACAGUAUCGUAUUCGUGAACAGUACCGUAUGUAAACAGUACCAUAUGUAAAUAGUACUGUAUUCCCCCAAGUACGAACCGUGGGCUCUGAUACCACUUGUUGUGUGCAGAAUGUGGAAUCAAGCGCACCAAAUAAUUAUAGAAAAAUAAAGGACACAAGAAUUACGUGGUUCGGUAAUUAAACCUACAUCCACGGAGGCAAGAAAGAAUAAUUGUUUAUUUAACAAUUAAUAGAGUACAAUAUUUGAGUAAUGAAUCUCACUUCCCAGAAACCCAAAUAUACCCAGUACUCUGACACUCUGCAGGAAAGAUAAAUUCCCCAGACACACUUCUCUCUCUUCUCUCAAAAGCUUGGAAAAUUAUAAGCUUAACAAUUUUGGGAUACUUAGAAUGGAAGAAGUGUCAUCUAUUUAUAGGGAAAACAAUGGCAAUAUUGCACCAACCCCUCUACUAUUCUACCUAACCUAAGCAAAUUGUCGAUGGUGUCCAUUUGGCAAAUUUGACAAAUUUGCCAACUUUUCAUUUUUUUCUUCAAUUGUUUGGUAGCUCUUUGAAAAUUUGCAUGCUUUCUUGAAUUUGGAUGCCACAUGCAUGAAUUUUUAACAAUUCUCUACCUUGGCGAAAAUUUGUCUAAAUCUGAGCCGACUACCAGUGAACCAUCAUCCCCAAAGUGGCUGGAUCUCUGAUGACUGCCUACAUACCCAAUUUGGGAUUAAGCCAACCGUAGUUCAAUAUUCCUGAAGGACAUAACUUAACACAAUCGAAGGAUUUGAAUUAGUUUCAAGCAAUGUUAAAACUUAACUCUAGAAACUACCUUUGUCAAUAUAUCUGACGGAUUAUCUAUGGUAUCGAUCUUUCUCAACAACACAACACCACUCACGAUAAUCUCUCUCACAUAAUGAUAUUUCACAUCUAUGUGCUUCGUCCGACCGUGAUAUAUUUGAUUCUACGCAAGGAAUAUCGCACUUUGAUUAUCAUAGAAGAUCACAAUGUUCUCCUAGAUUACUCCCAAAUCACCUAACAAGCCUUUCAACCAGAUAGCUUCUUUUGCAGCUUCAGUUGCUGCCAUAUACUCUGCUUUCGUAGUGGACAGAGCAAUUGUCGAUUGUAGAAUCGACCUCCAGCUAACCGGACCUCCACCCAAUGUGAAUACGUAGCCCGUUAUUGAUCUUCGCUUGUCAAGGUCUCCAGCGAAAUCAGAAUCACAACACAUUGUUGACCACAAUCCUUAUUGAACAAUAACCCAACAUCAACUGUCCCUUACAGAUAUCAGAGAAUCCACUUUACCGCAAGCCAAUGAUUUUUACCCGGAUUUUGCAUGUAUCUACUAACCAUGUUCACUGCUUGAGAUAUAUCGGGCCUUGUACAUACCAUAGCAUACAUAAGACUACCCACAACACUAACAUAUGGAACACGAGCCAUGUAAUCACACUCCUCUUGAGAUCUAGGACAUGAAAAAGAGCUUAAUUUGAAAUGAGGAGCUAGAGGUGUUGUUGAUUGAUUUCUAUAAUCAAUUAUUAUCAAUGCCAAUGUGCAAGUAUACACAACAAGUAAUAAAGUGAUGAGUAUUUCAAGAUCGUCUCCACAGAGAUUGAUGUUACUUAAAAUGCUAAAGCAAUCACAAUAGUGCAAAUCAACUAAAGACCGAAACAAACAAUUGUCAAAUAAUUCUAUCGUAACUAAUAAUUGUGAGAGAUGGAAAUAAAAUAAUACUGUAAUGAAAUAAACUAAGUUAAAUGUGUUUAAGAUUCAAUUGAGAAUAUAGUAGUUGAAUGAUCAAACUCUCCUAAUGGGGUGACUGUUGUUUACCAAAUUAGCACCAGUUGUUACAAUAAAUGCUGCAGCAAUGGUUAGAAUAAAUCUGCAUCCGCAGCUAUCGCAUGUUGGAAAUCUCAUACCUUUAAAUCUACUAACAAUGACCAGUUGCUCAUAUAUUUAUGGUACGACAUUAUAACCUUUAAUCUCUCCACCCUACAAGGUGAACACCUAUGUCUAGAGUGUCACAAAUCUUAACUUCAAGUAUUGCCCUUAUGGGAUUCAAGGUAACCUAAUCAAGAAAACUCGACUUAAGAACAAGUAAUACCCUAAUAAUGUCCGCUAAGACAUACCCUUUUGCUGCUCUAUCUUAACUGAAACUAUUAAAUGGGUGGUCAACUGAAAUAACAGUUGUAUUCAUAAAAACUACUAAGAGUAUAAUGCUACAGCAUUACCAUAACAACAUAAAAGAACAGUCAAGAACCCAUUGGAUUAUUUGUCACUCAACCACAAGUAAAUUUAGUUCAUAAUCUGGAUGAGAAAAAUAAACACGAAUAUAUUGAUCUCGGAAUACAUCCAAACAAUUCAAGGAAGAACAGAAAAUAUAAGUUGAGCACGAUGAAAGAAAAAUAAUUAUGCACGAUUCUUUUCUUUGUUUCCGAAUAGCACUCCUAAAUCUUGAUCUCCUUCUUCUUGCCUUUGUAAUUAUUUUUUAUGAUAAUUCCUUGCCGCCUUUCUAUGUGGUGCACGCCUCCUUUUAUAUUGCAAAUUAGGAUAAAAGACCUAAAGUCCAUGCGCAUGCAUGUGUUUAAAUUAGGAAACAUGCAUAUCGCGAUUUUAUGGCUGACCCACACUUUAAGCUUUCUCCCGCAUUACUCUCUGAUUGCUGCAGCACUGGUUGCUCUAACAUCCACAACAACACUGCAUUAUUCCCGAUUGUGCUUGUCUUCUUUUGUGGCCAUCUUCUUUCCUCCUCUUGCUCAUCUAAUGUCUCAGCAUCCCCUUAUGAAUUUAAAACCUACAAUUAUGCACCUGUUUUUAGCAAAAAUUACUUGAUUUAAACAAAACUUAUUAAAACCCAACUAAAAUGAAUGUUUAUGCAAAAGGUAACCAAAAUGUAAUAAAAACACCUUAUUUUCUCUCUAAAUGAUCUUGAUUUAACUCUAGAAUUGAUGUAAUAACUCUCAUUUCCUACAGUUAUCAGGUGUACAUACCGGUUUAGUUUUGUCAUCAAUACCGAAUCUUUCUAGAACUUUCUUCAAAUAAGACUUUUGAGUCAACCAUACACUCUCAUUCUUCUUGUCUCUACGAAUCUCCAUCCUAAGUAUUCUCUGUGCAUCACCCAAAUCUUUCAUCUCGAACUCAGAAGCCAGCUGCUUCUUUAAUCUUUCGAUCUCAUCUCUAUUCUUCGAAGUUAUAAGCAUAUCGUCAAAAUAGAGUAACAAAUAGAUGAAAGCUCCAUUUAGUAGUCUUCUAAAGUAAACACAAUGAUCGUGUUCACUUCUAGUGAAUUUUUGCCCUUGUAUAAAUUGAUCAAAUCUUUUGUACCACUGCCUUGGCGAUUGCUUCUGUCCGUACAAAGAUUUAAUCAAUUUACACACAUGAUUCUCCUUUCCAGCAACUUUGAAACCACAAGGCUUAAUCAUAUAGAUUUCCUCCUCCAAAUCUCCAUGUAAGAACGUCGUCUUAAUAAUCCAAUUGAGCCAACUUUAACUCAUAUUCUGCAACUAAGGCAAGUAGGAUACGAAUGGAAGUAUGUUUUACAACUGGAGAGAAAACUUCAUUGUAGUCAAUACCUUCCUUCUGAGCAAAAUCUUUUGCAACGAUUCUUGCCUUGUAUCGAGAAGUUGAUUGAUUUGGAGAUCCUUGCUUCUUGGUGUAGACCCAUUUAUUGCCAAUAGCCCUUUUUCCCUUUUGGUAACUCCACAAGUUUCCAAGUCUGGUUUUGAUGGAGAGAUUUCAUCUCUUUUUCCAUGGCUAACUUCCAUUGAUCACUUUCACUGCUGUGUAAUGUUUCACUGAAAGUGUUGGGGAUUUCAUCAUCAAUAACUAGAAGUGCAUAGGCUACCACCAUAUCUUUAGUAAGCCAUCCGAGUUUCUUUAUCUCUCUGUUUGGCCUCCUUGUUGCUAUAAAAUCAUCAUUAUCUACAUCAUCAAUUGUUUCUUCAUUUUGUGAGACAUUAGAAGAAACAACAUCUUCUUCAACUCUAGGUGUCACCCCCAUAGUUGAACCCUUAUCUGAUGUAGAACUAACUGGUACAUAUGGAGUUGCAUCAAACUCCACCCGCUGCAAUACCUCUUUGGUCUUGUUCUCCACCUGCUGAGAACUUGAAGCUUUCAUCAUUAAAGCUUCAUCAAACGUGACAUCUCUACUACACACAAACUUUUUAUCUUCGAGAUCCCAAAGCUUGAAGCCCUUUACUCCACAUUUGAAUCCCACAAAGAUAGCUUUUCUAGCACGAGGAUCCAGUUUACCAUCUUUGACAUGAUAAUAAACUGGACACGCGAAUAUACGAAGAGAAUCAUAGUCUUGUACAUGCUUUCCAGACCACAUUUCCAUAGGAGUUUUACCUCCAAUUACAACAGAAGGCAACCGAUUUACCAAGUGACUUAUGUAGCUCACAGUUUCAGCUUAAAACUUUUUAUUUAAACCAGCAUUAGAUAACAUACAUCGUACCUUCUCCAGUAAAGUACGAUUCAUACGCUAAGCCACACCGUUCUGUUGCGGAGUAUGUCUGAAAUAUCUUUAAUACCCUCGUUCUGGCAUACUUGCAAGAAUGGAUCAAAAGUAUAUUCACCCCCAUUAUCAGAUCGUAAUACUUUGAUCUUUCUGGCAGUUUGAGUCUCCAUCAAUUUCUUUCAUUUCACGAAAAUCUCUAAAACCUCAUCCUUUGCUCGCAUGGUGUACACCCACACACGUCUAGAGAAAUCAUCAACAAAUGUAACAAAAUAAUGGCUUCCACCAAUUGAUGCAGUCUUGGUUGGUCCUCAUACAUCACUAUGAACAUAUUCAAGGAUCUCACGAGUAUCGUGAUUAACUGUACCAAACUUGACUUUUGUUUUCUUGCCUACUACACAAUGCUCACAGAAAUUUAAUUUACAGGUUUUAAUACCUUUUAAGAGUUCGUGCCUCAUUAGAGUUUGCAAAUACUUCUCUCCAGCAUGUCCCAAUCGUACAUGUCAUAGCUUGGUGGUGUCAUUAUGCGCCUCAAUAACAUUUGCUUCAUCAGUUGUACCUCCCUUCAAAUAGUACAGAUUGUGACGCUGAACCCCUUGCAGAAUCACCAUAGUCCCAUGUGUAAACUUCAUUGUGCCAUCUCCAAUGGUAACCUUGUAGCCUUUAGCUUCCAAAGCACCUACAGAAAUUAGAUUUUUCUUUAAAGCUGGAACAAAUCUAACCACUUUGAGUUCUUUGAUCAUUUCAUCAAAUAUUUUGAGUCGAAUUGUUCUUAUCCCUAUUGUGCGACAAGGUUGAUCAUUCCUCAUCAUAACUGCACCAGAUUCCAAUUCGUUAAAAUCCGUAAAUCAUUCCUUAAUGGGACACAAAUGAUAGGUUGCUCUAGUAUCAAGUAUCCACUCGCUCGAACUAGCCACGUAUGCUGCAGGAGUAAUACUUAGUGAAUAAUCAGAGUCUUCAUCUUUUCGUGCCAUGUUUGCUGCUGCUGGUUUCUUCUCAUCUCUCUUUUGAGCCUUUGGACAAUCUUUCCUUCAAUGACCCUUUUUAUGACAAAAGGCACACUCGUCUCGAGCUAUAUUUCUGCUUCUCGAUUUGGAUCGAGAAUUCUUUCCACAAUGCUUUUUCUUUUUCUCCAUCGCCCAAUCUCUGCUCACCAAAGCUUCAGACGAUGCUCGUUCAAAAUUUUUAUUAUUAUUCUGAAUCUCUAAGUUAGUCAAUGCUUUGAAAACAUCUUUGAAGAUGAUCACGCUUUUCUCAUAUAUCAAGGUAGUCACAAAAUGACUAUAUUCCUCUGGUAGUGAGUGUAACAGAAUCAUAGCCUUGACUUCAUCCUUAAUAUCUUCAUCAAGAUUCUUCAAAUCAGCAAGUAACUUUUCAAAUCUCGAGACAUAAUCAUGCAUUCACACCCCAGGCUUCAUUCGAAAGCCAUAUACUUGGUUCAUUGCAUGAAGGCGAUUUUCAGGACUUUUUAGCAAGUACUUCUCUUCCAAUGUACGCCACAAAGUCAUCACACACUCCUCAUCCUUCACCAAGUAUUUGACCUCCUUGGUCAAAUAAGAUCUGAUCUGACCACAGGCUUUUUCAUUCAUAUGAUCCCAAAUUUCUUCAUCAUAUAAAUGUCUUUUAUUUUUCAGAACAACAUCGAGAUCGAUUUGAAUAAAGGCGUCCAUAACUUCGCGCCUCCACAUGCCGAGGUUGAUUUUCCCAUUAAACUUUUCAACAUCGAUCUUCUGGCCUCCUAUAAUAGGUGAUCAAUAGCGAUUUGACAAAUCUCGCCUCCCACCUAAAGUGUCUCCUGAAAUAGUCUCGGUAAAUCUCUCCCCAAUUCUGGAAGUUUCACCUUCUACCAUUUUCUCAACGAACUAUUUCCACUUGAAAAACAAUCUCUAUUAUGUUAAUUUCGCUUGAAUAAACGCACCAAGAAAGUUCCCAAGAGACUGGACGAGAACUCGGUCCCAAUUAAAAACUAUAAUCCUUAGACUAUUAUCGCCUUUGUUGAUAGAACUUUCCUAGACAUGCAAAAAUACACACUACUUAUAAUAGAUUGUCUCCCAAGUACAAAUGGCCGUCUCCACCGUAUUCGUGAACAGUACCGUAUCCCCCCAAGUACGAACCGUCGGCUCUGAUACCACUUGUUGUGCGCAGAAUGUGGAAUCAAGCGCACCAAAUAAUUAUAGAAAAAUAAAGGACACAAGAAUUACGUGGUUCGGUAAUUAAACCUACAUCCACGGAGGCAAGAAAGAAUAAUUGUUUAUUUAACAAUUAAUAGAGUACAAUAUUUGAGUAAUGAAUCUCACUUCCCAGAAACCCAAAUAUACCCAGUACUCUGACACUCUGCAGGAAAGAUAAAUUCCCCAGACACACUUCUCUCUCUUCUCUCAAAAGCUUGGAAAAUUAUAAGCUUAACAAUUUUGGGAUACUUAGAAUGGAAGAAGUGUCAUCUAUUUAUAGGGAAAACAAUGGCAAUAUUGCACCAACCCCUCUACUAUUCUACCUAACCUAAGCAAAUUGUCGAUGGUGUCCAUUUGGCAAAUUUGACAAAUUUGCCAACUUUUCAUUUUUUUCUUCAAUUGUUUGGUAGCUCUUUGAAAAUUUGCAUGCUUUCUUGAAUUUGGAUGCCACAUGCAUGACUUUUCAACAUACUGGACAUGAUUUCGAAAGGGAUUCAUCUUCUAGUGGGUCAAUUUUAAAUAGUGUCUCAAUUUCUGUGGAUGCCGACCCUUAAUUUCAAACAAAUGGUGACAGAGAAGAAUGGCCUUGAAACUGUUUGUAUUUCAUAAAUAAGAUUGUUAGACUUUUCCGAUACUAUCAUUCUUGUAUCCUUACAGUUUCUUUGGGCACCAUCAUUUGUAAUUAAACACUUCCAAGUCAUUUCAAACAAAUUUUCCACUAUUUAAUUGCAUGCGCUGCAUCUUCCUCGUUUUUUUUUCUUUUCUUUUGGUGGGGGGGGGGGCAAAUGGAGGAGAUGAAGGAAAAAUCUGUUGAAAUUAAUUUCGUAGUUGAAGUUUAUAAAUGCAAGAUGAUAUGAUCUCAGAGUCUAUUAAAUACUGAUGUGCAAGAACUUUAGCACCAUGUGACCUAAUAUCUCUAGUAAAUAGGAGAGAACAACUUGAGCACUUAAAGAGGGCCAACGUUAAAUAAACUCCAGAGUGGCAUGUCGGAAUUGUUGGCUUAUUGUUAUGCAGGACUUUCCCGGUAGUGAAAUAAAGUCGAAAGGAAGAUGGGAGGAAAUAAAGAUCAAUGCGCUUUCUUGUAUUUCAUGGGUUAAAAAUCUUUUUAUCUGAUUACAAACUGAUAGAUAAAAUACCCUUGUAUCAUUUGUGAGUGAAUCUCUUAGGUCAAAUAUAUAAAGUUAGAACAAUCCUCAACUCUUUAGUUAGAUUUUGAGUAUGGCUUAAACCCAUGAACUUUUAUAUUUUAUUAGAGAUAAACUCACCCACGAUUAUGCCCGCACUACCUCCCACAGUACCUUACCACUAGACGCCCUUCACAUGGAGGCUUGGGUACCACUCGAAAAGUCAUUUGAAAGAAAAGUCUGUUUAAAAUUACGUUCCAAUUCUGUACUCUCAGCUCUCCAAGUUAUAAAUUGAUAUUCAACUCAUGUUAUAAAAGGGUAAUGCUAGAGGAUCCCAUCUCGGGUACCAAUGGAUGGAUGUGGCAUUCAUUAAGUGGAUAGUAGAAUAUUUAUUUUAUCAGUUAUAAAAUUUAUUAUUCAAUAGAUAAACAAUAUAUAAUAGUUGGGACUCAAAUCGGGACUUAAUUGGUGGGUCACAAUCAUUAUUGGUUAAAAAAAAUGUACAGAGAUAACUAGCGUAAGAGGUAAAUCAAAAACUCUUUCUUUCUCUCUGCUAAGACCCUUUCUGCCACCAGCUAAAAUUCACUAGCUUUGAUCAAUCAACGUGCCUGAAUUACAGAGCCACCACAUUUUCGAACCUCUAAACUUUCAAAUCUAUUUUCCAACUCUGUUUUUCCAACCACUGCAGCCUCGGACCAACCGAAACUCCCUGCUGCUACCUCUAGCUACCACGUCGCCAAUUGCCCAUCACACAGCAAAAAAUUAUACUAAAGGAGUUUCAGUCGGGGAGGGAACCAGUACGUCAAUUCUUUUUUCUUAUUUUCUAUUUUUCUUCUAUAUUUCUUUUGUUUUUAUUUUCGUCUCUGCUUCUGUUAUUGUGCUUGUUUUUAUGUUUUGUUGUUUUCUAAGAUUUUAUACUGCUCCUGCGGUGGUCCUGGUGGUCUCUACAUAGAUGGUGUUGUUUCAAUGUCCAAAUCGAGAUUGUGUCAGUGUUCGGAUUGGAACGGUAUGCCGUAUGCCUAUAUUGAAGCUGUUGAGGGCUUUAAUAGUGGUACAUCAAGGUUCUAAUAACCUAAGGCGAGUUUCUGAUGGCCUAGGUCAAAGGCUCUUUGAGAGGCUUUCUAGUGAACCUUAAGGUUGGUUUUUGUGUUGCAUUUUGUGGUUUUUUUUUUUUUUUUGUUAUUUGUUUGCAUUCUGUUGCUACAAUUGUAUUUUCUUGUGUUCUGUUGUAUUAUCAAACACGAGGGGGAUUUCAGCUAUAGUAGCUAAGAUUGGUUCCUCUAGUUUUUCUUUGGAUUUUAAUUGAGAAACAAAUUAAUCUCCUUUAAUUUAUCUUAUGUAUUGUACUUAAGCCUGUUAUAACCCUUAUUUUUUUUAUUAUUACAGGUCCGUCAUAUUUCCUUUAAAAUAAAAAGAAAAAAAGAAUAUAGACAAUAUAUGUUUAAUACAAUUAAGCUUAGGCUACUUUUGCCUUUGCACUGGGGACACAGUCUUUGACCGACACCACCAUGGAUCUUGCUCAGGUACAAUUUCGAAUACUAAUUAAAUUAAUUUCAUAUAUGUAUUGUAAUUACUGUAUUUCCUUGAACCGACUACGUAUCUAACAAAAAAUUAGAGAAAGUAAUUGCAGAAUUCGCAUAUGUGAAAAAGGCAAGAUUUAUAUAUAGCCGUAAUUUAUUUUGAUAUUCUAUUUCAUCUUUUGGGUUUGUUUAGGUGACUUGUUGUGUAAUAUCACAAGCCCCCGCAAUUGCUCAUCCGGAUGUCCCAAAGGUUACUUUUCAAAUUCCAACUUCGGUGACUGCACAAGUUCAUAUGAACCUGAUCCAAUUUUGCACAAAAAUUCUCAUGUCAAAUUCAUUAUUAUAGGUAUGUAUUGGAAUUUGCAGAUUUCGUCGACAGAAUUAAUUGUUCUUCUUUUUUUCUUUUAAUUAACGUAUAUAUAUGGGGGGUAAUUUUUAAAAACCUCCCCUGAGAUUUGGACUUGUUGCAAGUAGAUGGCGAGAAUCUGUUUAUUUGUAAAAAACCCCCUACCGUCAGUUAACUUUAACAUUGACCGUUAGUUGACUGUGCAAAGAUAAUAUUACCCUCAACAACAAUUUGUAGACGGAAAUAACUAAAAAAAAAAUUAAAAUUGUUGGCGCGAAAAACACAAACCCUAUUUUUUGACAAUUUUAUCCUUGUCAAUUCCAAAAAUUUACAAUAUCAUAAGUAAAGAUUAUAACUAUUUCAUUUUCAAGUUUUUAAUUUUAACUUUUUUGUAGAAACUUUAAGAAAAUAUCAAUAAUUUAAAGAGGAUUUUUUAAAUUUUUAAUUUUAUCUUUCUUGUAGGAACUUUAAGAAAAUAUCAAUAAUUUAAAGAGGAUAAAAUAGCCAAUAAUUUUAAUUUUUUUUUAGUUAUUUCCGUCUACAAAUUGUUGUUGAGGGUAAUAUUGUCUUUGCACAGUCAACUAACGGUCAAUGUUAAAGUUAACUGACGGUAGGGGGUUUUUUACAAAUAAACAGAUUCUCGCCAUCUACUUGCAACAAGUCCAAACCUUAGGGGAGGUUUUCAAAAAUUAUAUGGGCUCACAAAUGCAAAAACGUUCUGCACCUGAAAUUUGCAAUAGCAUAUACAUUUAUGAUCACCUCGAACGCGUAUUAAAUAUUCUUGUUCGGGAGCGUUGCAGGUUGCAAUAGUGGGCUUGGAAUGUUGUUCCUACUAAUCGGAACAUGGUGGUUGUACAAGUUCAUUGAAGAAGCGAAGUCAAGCUCAAGCAGAAGUUCUUUAAAAGAAACGGUGGUUUAUUGUUGCAACAACAAUCGUCAUCAAAUGAAGGUAAUACCGAGAAAACAAAAUUGUUUACUUCAAUGGAAUUGGAAAUGGCUACUGACAACUUCAAUACCAAUCGAAUCCUUGGUCAAGGAGGCCAAGGCACAGUGUACAAAGGAAUGUUGACAGAUGGAAGAAUUGCGGCUGUGAAAAAGUCGAAAUUAGUGGAUGAGAGUAAUAUUGAGCAAUUCAUCAAUGAGGUGGUAAUUUUAACUCAAAUUAACCACAGAAAUGUUGUUAAAUUGUUCGGAUGCUGCUUGGAGACAGAGGUUCCUCUUUUGGUGUAUGAAUUUAUUCCAAAUGGAACUCUCUAUCAAUAUAUACAUGAAACUGAGUUCUCAAUCACAUGGGAAAUGCGUUUACGCAUUGCCAUAGAAGUUUCAAGUGCUCUAUCCUAUUUGCAUUCAACUACUUCUAUUCCAAUUUAUCAUCGAGACAUCAAGUCUGCAAAUAUACUAUUGGAUGAUAAAUUUCGAGCAAAAGUUUCAGAUUUUGGGGCUUCUAGAUCUGUCACGAUUGAUCAAACUCAUUUGACCACACGAGUACUAGGAACUUUUGGAUAUCUAGAUCCAGAGUACUUUCGGUCAAGUCAAUUUACAGAGAAAAGUGAUGUUUAUAGUUUUGGGGUUGUCCUUGUUGAGCUUUUAACUGGACAAAAACCUAUUCGUUCAACCGACGCUGAAGAAGAUAAAAGUUUAGCAGGGUAUUUUCUCCUAGCAAUGAAAGAGAACCGUUUGUUUGAUGUGCUUGAUGCUCAAGUUCUUAGGGAAGCCAAGGGAGAAGAGAUUAUUACCGUUGGCAUGCUUGCAAAAAGAUGCUUGAAUUUGAAUGGGACGAAGAGACCUACUAUGAAAGAAGUCGCAUUUGAAUUAGGGGGGAUUAGAGCUCAAAAGUGUGAAGACAUUGAUCUUGUGGGUGGCAAUUUUGAAACUGGUUCAUCUUCAACUGGAGCAAUUUUAAAUGCUGUUGCUUUUUCUGUAGAUGCUAGCCCUUUGCUUUCAAACAAGUGGUGAUUAAAGGGAAGAAUUUUCCCUUGAAAUCUAAAUAAUUUUCUUUUGAAAUCUAAGUAUUUCAUUUCAUAUAUAAAUAAAUUAAGUUGUGGAUUUUUGCAUUGUGCUUCUCUUAUGGUUAAAAUUUUUCAUCUCUAGAAUAAAAUAUACAGAGUUUGAUGUUCAGUUUGUAAGCGGAGAAAUAAAUUUAUAAGGUAGAUUCCAACUAAGCAUCUGUGGCAAACAUAUUUAAAUAUCUAAGGAGCAAGCUUCUAAUGCUUACCAAUAUUUAGUGCACUAGAACUUUGAAGCUGACAGAGUGAGGCAUCUCAGCACCUGAAUCUGCAUACAAGUGGAACAGAAGAUGCUGACAUGACAUCCUACGUGGAACUUACGUGACACAUAUAAUGAGUCCAGUUCGUUCCUAAUUCACACGCUUACAUUGUAACCCCGUUCUUUGUGUUUCGAGUACCAUUGGUGAACCAUCACUUGGUGCCAUUGUAUUGCUAAUAGCACCUUUGCCUUAUUGAUUUUGCUGACAAUGUAUAAGGUGUGUUUAGGAGUGAAGUGUUAUAACUUUUAUGUUGCGUUUACUUUCCGGACCAGAGGAUCAGAAUCAUUAACAUUGUUUACUUCGCAAAAUAAAUCUAAGAAUAAGAAUCAGAAUCGUGGAGCACACCACAAUUUUUGAAUGAGGAAUGGGAGACUCAUUCCGAAGAGGGAGGUGGGAAUGAGUCUCCCAUUUUCAAGAUUGAUUAUUUUACCCUCCCUAAAUUUUUGUCCUCAUUUAUAAUUUAUUAAUAUAUUGUUAUAAUUAAUUAAUAAAUUAAUAUAUUGUUAACAAUAAUUAUUAAUAAUUUUAGUUUUUGAAUAAAUAAUCACAAUAAUUAAUAUAUUAUUAUUAUUAUUAAUUAAUUAAUAUACUACUAUAAUAAUUAUUAAUAUAAUUAUUAUAAUUAGUUCAAAUAUUAUUAUUAAUUAAUUAAUUAUAAUUGUUACUAUUAAUUAAUAUAUUAAUAUAUUAUUAACAAUAAUUAUUAAUAAUUUUAAUUUUUGACAAAUAAUCACAAUAAUUAAUAUACUUUUAUUGUAACUAAUUAAUUAGUAUACUUUGAUAAUAAUUAUUAAUAUAAUUAUUACUAUUAAUUAAUAUAUUAGUAUAUUAUUAACAAUGAUAUAUUAAUAAUUAUAGUUUUGGAUAAAUAAUUACAACAAUUAAUAUAUUUUUAUAAUAAUAAUUAAUAUAAUUAUUAUAAUUAGUUAAAAAUUGUACAAUUAAUUAAUAUAUUAAUAUAUUCUUGUCAAUACUAAUUAAUAAUAAUGCUUUUUGAAUAAAUAAUCACUAUAAUUAAAAUAUAAAAUAAUAAUUGUAACAAUAAUUCAUUAAGUACUUUUUAGUAAUUUGUUACAAUAUAACUCAUUUUGAUUCCGAUUUCAAGAUAAAAUAAACACAUCAAUGAGAUUCUAACCCAUUCUUCUUCUGAUUCCUGUAGGUCAAGUAAACAACUUAUUCUGAUUCAUAUUCUUCAUUCACAUUCCAACUCAUUAUGAUUUCAACCCAUUCUGAUUACAUCCCAUUUCGAUUACUGACAAGUAAACACAACAUUAAGAUGCAGCUAUUGUGCAGCAAAAAUCAUAGUUGUGGGAUAUAAGCUGCUGGUGUUUAGCAAAUUUUAAUAGUUGUAGAGUCGAAAUUGAUAGUGUUUGGUAAAUUUUAAUAGUUGUAUAGUGAAAGUUGAUGAAUAUUUGAAAUAAUUAAUUUUAAAUAACAUUAAUUUUAAUUAUUAAUUAGUCAAAUUAAUUUUCAUAUUUUGAAUUAUCAUAUUAACAUCUGAUUAUUGUUUAUUACUUUGACAAAUCAAAUUAAUAUUUAAUUAAUCGAAGUUAUUUUUCUUCACACAUUGUAAUAAAUAUUUUUUAAAACAAAAUAAUUUAAAAUUGAAAGUAAAUAAAUUUCUAAUUUUACACAUUGAUUGAAGAAAUAAAUUAUACCAAAUAUGUCUAAUAAAGAUGGUACAACAUAACAUUAUAAAAUUAAAGUGUAACUAAUUACAAAAUUCUUAUAAAUAUUUAUAUUGUCAUACCUCCUUUAAACUUGAGCAAUGCCAUCUCCCAAGAUUAUCAUAUUUUGAGCUAUGUUAUUAGUUGUAUCAUAACUUUCUUUAGGGACGCAAUCUUACUUAUAUGUUCGCUAUUACUAUGACUUGAUUCGUCCAUUAUUUCAUCAAAAUGAUUGUGAUUUUGUGAAUGUCUUCUUAUAUAAUUAUGUAAGGCCAUGGUAGUAAUAACUCUCUCUACCUGCUUCUUGAUUGUAUAGCUUGACAUAUUUUGUAAAAUCUUCCAUGCAUUCUUUCAAACCCCAAAAGUACUCAUUAGAAUUAGCAUUACUCUCAACACUAAGAGACUCAGAUGCCUCAUUACUCUCUAAAGGAAAACCAGAUGAGGGAAGCCAAACAUGGUCACUCAUAGCCACUGUGUUUGAACAUUAAAUUUAGGUUUUUUUCUAACUCUAGAUCAAUACCAUUUUUUCAAAAUCUACUCAAUUGCAAAUUUUCCUUUAUUUUCUUUUUCCACCAAUCUUCACUUGCAUCAACUAUCCAUAACCUAUGAUUCCACCCUAGACCAAUUUCCAAGCUAAUCAAAUUCUUCCAUAAUUUCCAAUUAGUUCUAAGAGAAUCCCAUUUGUUUUUCAUUUGAGUUCUAUUGCAAUACAAUCCAGUUUCUUUAGUGGAUUCCUUAAUUAAAUUUUCAUAUGCUUUGGAAGUCACAUGAGUCCUAGGACGAUGUUUGGACCUACCGCCUUAAUACAUAACUCACAAAAUACAUCUAAAGUCUGAGGGUUCCAAAUAACCUUACUAGUUGAGUUAGUAGACAUAAUUGUGAACACUUAAACCUAGAAAAUAGAAUAAUAUUUCUUCAUCAAACAGCAGUAUAGGAAAGAGAUUAAUUAAGAGCAAUACCCAAUUUUCUUUUUAAAACAAAUAACAUUAAUUAAGGAUGAAUUAUGUCUAACAUUACAUAACUUGUUUCAAAAUGAGUUGUUAGUUUAAUAAACUUGUGGGUUUCUGUAAUUACAUACCCUGUUUCAAAGAAAUUAAAACAAUAUUUCUCAAUAGUUUAAAUUUUCUUUAGUUACCUUUAAGUGAAUCCUUUAAAAUUUAUGAGAAGCUGAAAUGAUUUGUUCAAAAACAUGUAUUGUUGGAAUCUACAGGAAUUGGUUACUUGUUUGUUGCUGCCUUUAAUGAUUUUUAUUAGGGAAAUUUCAUCCGAAAGGGAUUGUGCAUGUCUAUAAAAAGCAACUAAAAAAAAUAAAAAUGCAAUAAAAAUAGUGACUUCAAAGUAAAUAAAUCGCACGUGACCAAUCACCUAUUAAUUUAUUCUAAGCAAAAGCCCUAGCACAUUCUAAACAAAAAGGAAGAAAAUGAAAAAUUGUAUGUAACAAAGUAAAGGAAAACUCAAAAAAUGAAUAGCGGACAAAGGAAAACGCACCUUUCUUAGAUAUUUUAAAAACAAAGAUAGAAGAACAGAGGUGUAUGAAUAUGAUUGGUGUUAGAAUCACAUCGAUGAGAAUUACCGAUGUUGGAAUUGCAUCAAUGAGAACUGUCGAUGUUGGAGUUGGAAUCAUGCUAAUAAGAACGGUGUUUAGAGUUUGUUUUAUGGAAAAAUCGAUUUGAGUUUAAGUUAAAAAAUGAGGAGGGUUAUUUCCACCCUGCCCCCAAAUGUUUUGACAAUUUCCGCCGCGCACCCAUUUGUUUAAACAAUACCCGCCGCGCACCUAAAAUCGUCAAUUUCCCUGUCAAACUUAACAGUGCCAGGGCAAAAUAGAAAUUCCAGGUAAAAGAAAGGAAAGGAGAAACAAAAGAAGAUUUCGUGAUGUGAGCUACUGAUUACAUCAUUUCACUUCACUGAUUUUGUGAUGAGACUAGCAACAUGUAGCACUGACAUCUACUCUAGUUUGGAGCCAAAAUCAAGCUUUGGGAAUCGGUUUUGGCGGGUUUUCUUUCUUCAUCACGUGCUACCACAUAUGAAUAGCUUGGCUGUUAGUCAUUUUGUUUGCAAGGAGAAGGAGAAUUGCAUCAGUGGUUUCCUUUUUGGAAAGGCAAAGGUUAGUUUUCAUUUUAUCUGAUCUUAUUUAUUUCAAAAAAAGAAAUUGUUAUUUUCAUUUUAUUUGAUUAGUUUGUUUUGGGUUUAUUUAGGGUUUAUUUAGUUAUGGAUUUAUUUCAAUAUUUAUUAUUUAUUAUUUUUUAAAUUAUUGGUACCGUUGUUUCAGCUUAUGCAUGCUUUAAUUUAUCUUCUGUGCUAGGGAUUCAUGGUCUUGUCAGUAAAAUUUUUUGCUUCGUAGAUGAUUAUUAUGGCUGAAUGUGUUAUUAUUUGUUGAAAUUUGGCAGCUUUUGGAAAAAAAAAAAGCUUAAGUAUAUAAUCCAGGAAACAUGUGUUAAGUUCAAAAUUAUGAUCAAGUUUUAGAUAUAAAGUGCAUUAUCUUACCUUGACUGCCAUAUUAGAAAAAUUGAUAGUAAAUAUGUUUACAGGUGAAAAUGAAUGACAAAGAUGACACAACUGUGUGUGUCACUUUCAAGGACACUACACAUAAUCUUGGUGUAAUAGAUUUAGAUAGAUUCAGCAAGGUCUCCCUAACCAACAAGGUACUUGUGAAAGUGUAUGGGAGAAUGAUGAAGUUUGAUGAAUUGUUCCGGCUGACUGUUUGGGUGCCAUGGGAAUCAAAAGAUGCUGAAAUCUUUAAUGAUGAAGAUCUCUUUUUCCAGUUGAAAGAGCACCACAAGAUGCAACUCUACAAAAUGCAAUUUUAUCUUUCCCAACAACCAUCAUCAAACAAAUCAUCAGCAAAAAGAGCCUUAUUCCAACCUUCAGACACUUCAAAACAAAACACAUUACAACUUACCAUCCCAGGCACUCUAAAUCUCAAUAACCCUAUUUCAUCACCACCAGCUGCCAUUACAAAUGAAUCAAACCCUGCUACACAUACCCUUUCAAAAAUUGAUACUUCACCAGAUAGUGGUCAAUCGCAGUCAAGAGCUGAAGCUUCAAUCCAUACUGAUACCCCCAACAGUAAGAACCACAACGAGGCCAAUUGUGAUUUAUUUGAGGAUUUCCUUGACACCUAUUUUAGAUCCCCAACUUGUCACCAAAAUGACUUGUCCAACCAUAACUCUGCAGCAAACUCACCUGAACAGCAGCCUCGUCCAUCUCUAAUCUCACUUGAAAUGCCAUCACAACCAAUGACACUGAAUCCAGAAUCGCAACUAUAUCAAGCCUCUAAUCCGUUGCCUAAUUCUUCAGCUACCAACCAUAAUCCUGACAUCAAUGCAGCAACAGCCCCAUACUAUGACUCCGAUGAUAGUGUUUUCAGUCUGAACGAUAAUAAUGAAGACGAUAAUCAAUUAAAGGUUGUUACUCUCACAUCUAAUCCAGGGUAUGUGCCUUCCGAUGCCAGUGAUGGUGAUUGUAUUCUUUCUGAUUGUGAAAGUGAUGACAAUGAGUUUGGUGUCAAUUCUGAUAAUGAGCAUGAUGAUGUAUUGUGUAUAAUGGAUGCUGAUAUGAGAGCAAAUUUAUAUAUUCCGAGUCAUGCACCUGUGAUAUUCAGAGUUGGACUGUAUUUCAAGAACUUUACAGAAUUGGCAUGGGCAAUGAGACAGCAUGCUGUGGAGAAUAGGUUUAAGACUUAUAGGCACAAGUUUGAAAAGACAAGAAUCAAUGUUGGGUGUGAGUACUACAAGUGCCCAUGGUUUUUACAUGCUACGAAAACUAGAUUCGGAGCAAUGUUCAUGGUGAAAAGGCAUAAUGAUUUGCAUACUUGUGUUAGAUUGCUGAAGAAUCCUGAAUGCACUGCAGAGUUCAUUGCAUGGAGAUUUGGAAAUGCUAUCAUUGACCAUCCAGAGAUUAAUGUUAAUUUCAUACAAUCUGAGUUGAGGAGAAUGUAUGGGAUUAAGGUUGGCAAAACUAAACUUUACAGGGCAAAGAAAAAGGCUUUAGAAACAAAAUGUGCAGAUCAUGAAUCUAGUUAUAGGCUUAUUAGAUCUUAUGCGCAACAAAUUCUUAGCAAGAUGCCACAAUCAUUGGCCCUGGUUAGCGUAAUGAGAUACAAUGAUAAUGAGGCAACUACUCAUUUUGACAAGUUUGUGCUAUCAUUUCCAGCAGUUAGAGAUGGCUUUAACAGUGGAUGUAGACCUUUUAUUGGCAUAGAUGGAUGUCAUUUAAAGGGUCCUUAUAAGGGUAUCCUUCUCUCAGCAGUAGCACUUGAUGCCAAUAAUAGUAUAUUCCCACUUGAUGCCAAUACAGUUACUUGGACUUGGUUUCUAGGUCAUUUAAAGACAUUUAUAGGGGAUACAAGGCAAUUGACCAUCAUGUGUGAUCGCCAAAAAGGGAUUCAGAAUGCAUUGGCACUUGAGUUUCCUAAUGCUCAUGUGAGAUAUUGUGGCAGACAUAUAUUAUCGAAUCUAAAAGCUAAGCACCCUUUGUCUGAUUUCAAAGCACAAUUUUGGGCAGCCGCAAGAGCAUCAAGCAAAAGGUCAUUUGAAAAGGCUAUGGAAGAUGUGAAAAAAGCUGAUGUUGCUGUUUAUGAAACACUAAGAAAACUACCAGCAAAGUAUUGGUCGCGACAUGCAUUCGAUAACCAGUGCAAGACAGAUCAUGUCACCAAUAACAUGACAGAGUCUUUUAAUGCAUGGUUUGGAGUACAAAGAAACCUACCUAUAUUAACUAUGCUGGAAUGGAUGAGAAAAAAGAUAAUGAAAAGGAUGGUUAAUAGAAGACAAAAAGCUCAAGCUUGGGAAACAACAAUACCUGGAAGAAUUUAUGCAAAGAUGAUGAAGAAUUUGCAAAUAGGAAGUGCAAAUCCAGUUUGUCGAGCAAGUGAAUGGUUGUACGAAGUGGAUGAUAGGGGUAGGACUUACAUCGUUGACCUUGAACAUCAUGUUUGUGACUGUGGCUACUAGCAAUUGAGUGGCGUUCCAUGUGUCCAUGCCAUGCCUUGCAUUCUACAUGCAAAAAAGGAUAAUUCAAAAUUCAUACAUGGUUGGCUGAAGCAGGAUAGUUACUUGGCCACAUAUUCUGGAUUGAUUUACCCGAUUCCAGAUAAAACAUCAUGGCCAAUAGCUGAUGGUGAUGAUAUAUUGCCACCACUACUCAGAAGGCCUCCUGGAAGACCAAAGAAAAAUAGGAGGAGAGAAACUAAUGAAGUGCCUGUAGAGAGAAGAAGAUAUAGAAUGCAAUGCAAGCACUGCAAAGAGUUCGGACACAACAAGAGAGGAUGCCCUGUUAAUCCUCAAAAUGCGAACAAAAAGACUAGACAUUAUAAGGUAAAAGUAAAUGCUUUUAAGAGAAGCUUCAUUGUUGUAACUUUAUAUGAAAGCUAUCACAUGUGCUCCAUAUUAUAACUAUACUUAUAUGUUGUUUGUUUUUUGUUUUAUUUGUUUUAUCACAGAACAAUCUGAAAAGUUAUGUUUCCAGAACAGGAGCAAAAUUGACAAGUAAGACACUUUACCUCAUGCUCCAAUGACAUUUAGUUUGACUUUCACAGUAAAAGCACAUGUACAUUCAGCAUGAAUAUUGUUUUAUAAUUACUUGAGAGUGUAAAGUUAGAUAAAUAGUAUAUCUUAGGUCCAAAAAGCAGUGUUGUUGCUGUGAUUUUCAUAGUGAAAGCACAUGUAUCUAGCCGUUAUUUUAGAUUAAUUUAUAUUGGAAUAUGACAUAAAUAUUUUAUUUCAGGUUUACAAGGCAGUGACAGUCAUAGCCAGUCACAUGAAAAUAUCCAAGUUUCAAAGAAAAAAGAAAUGGUUAGUGAGGCUGGCAUAUCUGGUGCUAGAGAAGUAGUGAAUAUGCAUAUUACAGAGGGUGAGUCUACUGCUGUUUGGUUAGGGAUGCAAGGGAAAAAGAUAGUAACAGCUACUGGCAUGAUGCUGAAAAGGAAUGAUGGUGUAACAAUAGGUAUUAAAAGGAAGGACAAAGGGAAGGCACCUGCCUUCCCACCAUGGAGGGUAAGAGCCUAUAUCCAUUUUUAAUCUCACAUCUAAUUUAUUUCAGGUAUAAGUAACUAUAACCAUUGUAAUGUCCUAUUUUGGUAUGCAUUGAAUGCUGAACACUGGUGGAUAUAUUGGCAGCAAUAUUUUUUAUUAACAACUACUGAAGGUACACAUCUAAUUUUUAGACACCUUCCACAAUGCCACUUUGAACCAGGUCCGGACAGCUUCAUUUUGACCAAAGCAAAGUUUAUUCUACUGAUGAGUUGCUGUCAUCUUUUGUUUUUUUUUUUGUGUGCUACAAUUACAGCUUCAAUCAAUUAAUUGUUUGCUUCUAAGUUAUUUGGCAAGCAAUAGGACUGGUUUGUGGUAUUUUGUAAGUUGUUGGGCAUGGUAUACAGGCAAUUGAUAGGAUACACCAACAAUAGAUUUUGUUUUUAUUUUUUGGUUACUAUAGCUAAGACUAUGUAUAUUGCUGCCAAUGUGAAUGUAUGGAUCAAAGACAACUGAUAUAUCAAACUUAUGUUUUGCUUUAUUUAGCUUGCAUUACAAUAUAUGAUAAACAAAACAAUGAACAACAUGAAAAUCAUGAUUUGACACUUCUUCAAUUGCUUCAGCACUGCUUCGAUUUUGUUAAGUCUGUUAACAAGAGCACCCUGGUCAUAAAUAUCAGUUUCAUGGACAUUGUGAUGCACUGGUUGAAGUAUGUGUGCUAAUGCUCGAAUUUCUUCUAUCUCUUCCAUGGAUGGUGUCCACCAUUUGAAGAAUCCACACUUUGCAGUUCUAGAACAAUUGUAGUAUAAUCGGUUUGGAUUUGCUUCAGAUUCUGAAAUUUUUAUUUCAGCUCUCAAUCGACAGUAACAAAAUUCAUUAUGAAACCUUAUAAGACCACCAUUGAUGAAAUUCUUCUUUGAGGGGGAAUUUGAUGAACUAGAAGCACUCCUCAAUGCUGACAUUUUUCUGCAAUUUGAACUAUAUGUGUUGAAUCAUGGGAUAGAGAUGAAGUUUUGUAGUUAGCUUUCUGUGUAUGUUUGUAUGGUUAAUAAUAGCAAUGAUGAGCCAUUGAAGUAGAAAAAGGUGCUGCAGUGUUUUAUAUAUGUUCGAAGAUGGUAGAUUGGUAGUAUAGAAUGUGAAAAUGAAAAUGAGAUAGUGCAGCUAAAUUGAUUUAUAGCAAAUUGGAGUCAACUUCACCUUUCUAAAAAAAUGACCGUUGAAAUUUGUAGCCGUUAUGCCUGAAAUUGGCUAAUUCUCUCAUUUUGGUUAAAUAAUGCCACGUGUGCCAACAUCAUUCUCUUUAUUCAAAAGGAUAAUAAGGUAAUUAAACACUUCAUAACAAAUAUGACAUUAUUGUAAUUAUGAAUGGAUGGCUUGGGUUUCCUGACAAUUCACUCGUUUAAAUUCAAAUAAUGGGCAAUAUUGUCCAUUUGCUUGGUUUUGGACGGCACUGUUAAGUUUGACAGGGAAAUUGACGAUUUUGGGUGUGCGGUGGGUAUUGUUUAAACAAAUGGGUGCGCGGCGAAAAUUGUCGAAACAUUUGGGGGCAGGGUGGAAAUAACCCAAAAUGAGGUGGGUAAAAUUGAAAUUAAAUAAUAUGUAAGGAUAAUUUAGUAAUUUAAUACACAACUGAGAAAAAUUUCUGCUGAACUGUUAAAUCCCAGCCAAAAAGUGUUACUACUAAAAAUGAGCGGAUGAUAUAUGGAAAAAAAGAAGCUUCAUUUUAAAUUAAUGAACAAAAACAAUUUAAAGAUUUAAGAGAUCUGAUUUGUCGUUUCAUUUCACUAAAAUGUAUUGAUAGAUAAAAUUAGCUAUUGGGUGUGUCUUAUACUAAAAUUAAUCUUUUACGAAGUCCUUAGAAACAAUAAAAUACUAUUACAUAGCUCGGAAAGCGUUUGUAUUAAGUUAUAGAAUUAGGUGUCUCUUGCGCAUAUGUCUUCCCAUGAAUAAAAGCGUUCGUAUUAAGUUAUGAAAUGAUGGAUUAUUGUACCAAACAAACGGCUCUUUCCCUUUCAAAAUUAUUGUACGUAUUUUGCAAGGAAACCUCCUCUAUCUUUCUUCCAAUUAAUGUCCAGUUAAGACUUUCGUGUGUCCAAUUAAUGCCAAUCGUUUUCGAAUGUGUACAGGAUAACAACUUGAAGACUUGAGAGGGCCAGCGUUAAUUCAAAGUCAAGACUCAAGACUAGGUUAUUACCCUGCAGGAUUCUUGAUAGUGAGGUAAAAAAAAAAAAAAAGGUUGAAGGAGAUUAGGAUUUAAUGCUGAGUUUAGUUUUUAUUCACCAUUGAGUUAAUGAUUAGAAUUUAUUUUGUACUUUUUCUUUUAUUUAUCUUACCUAACAAUUAUUUAUUGAGAUUCUUGUCCAAUUGAAAGAUACUAGAGAAAAGGUUUUUAAAACUUUAGUUAUUUUUAUGUAUAAAACAAAAACUUUAAUUAUUUAGUUUCAAAAGAAAAAAAGGGUAAUUUUUAGGGACCUCCCUUGAGGUUUGACCUAUUAAGAUUUAGAUAGAAAAUAUGCCCCUAAUUACAGAGACCUCCUCUGCCGUCUAUACUCAGUUUCGUAUAUUGUCAGUAUAAGAGGGUAAAUUAGUAAAAGUGCAUUUAAAAUUGAAAUAAGUAAAAAGCUAAUUUGAAGAUUAGCCCACUGAAACACUCAAAAAAUCCCGAUGAAAAUCAGUUACCACUAACUAGAGGAUGGAUGAAUGCUUGCUCUCUUUCAUCAACCUAAUUCAUCACAAAACCAUUUUCUCUUUCAAUCAACCGAGGUCCACAUGCACUCCUCAUCUCUAAAUGCUUUGAAGAUGAAAAAAAUCAGAUUUUUAUUGCCAAGUUCCGCAACUUUAGCUUAGAUUUAUUAACAAGAAAAGCAUCGAUGGUGCCCUAAGGGUGGUGUCAGGUGAAAAUAGCUGACUAUUCGGCGUCGGACAUGACUGUUAUUGACUUGAAUUCAAAGAAGGUUAGUCUUUGAAACAAUUUUGGAUUUAAUUUUUUUGUUUUAAUAUGUUUUAUAUUUUAAAAUAAAAUUGAAAUUUUAUUUCAUUUUAAUCAUAGAUUGUUUUUUUUUUUUUUUUGAAAAUGAAAAUGGGCUGAAGUGUUGGAGAACGGUUGGCAUUGUGUUGUUCAUAAAAAAAAAUGAUAUCAAUUUGUUGAUGUAUUAGAGAAGACGCAUGUUGUUUGUUACUUUCAGACCUUAGCUAUAUGGAUUUGUCAAGUUAAGAACUAAUCAUAACAUGUGUUGGAAAUUAGUGAUUUUUAUGCGACUUCUUUGUCAAAUGAAAAUGGGUUAGCACUGUUAUGAAGAAUAUGGAUGCUAUUUGGAGGAAUUAACUUCUUAACAUGUGCUUGAACUAAAAAUGCCAAUGCAUAUUAGAACUUAGUGAAGUUAUAUGCAUUAAUAAUAUUGGAAAUAAGGGUUUGUUUGUGAUGCUUUAAAGAAGCUGAAAAGGAUAUUGCUUGUGCUCCUUAAUGUGGAGAAUUUUUAGUUGCUUGAUAAAAAAAAAAAAAGCAUUAGUGACAAAUAAAAUGAAGAAAUUUUGGAUGAUGUUUGUGUAAAAGAUUUAAAUUAUUUGUUUUACUGAAGCUGUACUGUGUUUUUAUUUGUGAUUUAACCAUUAAAACGGCUCUGUAACAUUGAUUAGAUGCUGCAUGUGCCCUUUUUAUAAAAAAAGAAGCAGUGGCAUUCCUAAGUGGAGUAAUGAGAUGCUAAGAUGGGAAUGUAUGACUUUUUAAUUUUGUUCUUGCUUUAAACUAUGACUAUAAAUCCUAAGUCUUCUAAAAUGAAACUCAAUUUUGCUUUUAAUAUGUAAAAAGCCAUCAUUGCCAUUUUUAGGUGACCGAUAAUGCUUCAAAUGAAAGUUGGCAUUGGUUUGUCAAAAUCUUUUGUUAAGCAGGGUGAAAUGAUUCAAUUUGAAUUGAAUAUGCGAAAGUUCCUAAGUGAAUAACUUGUGGUCUCAUGUUAUUUUUUUUUAGAUGAUGCUCUUGUGGAGGUCGAAAAGGAAAAGAGAGUCUUUGUUAAAAAAAAAAAAAAGCAGGGAACAAAUAUGCCUUUCUAUAAUUGUCUUCCUUUUAACAUGUAUGUCAGGAUUGGUGUGCAUAAAUGACCUUUAUUGACUAAAUAAUUUAAUCAUGAACAAGUAAAAAUUUAUUUUUUUUAGUAUUUUUCCUACUGAUCAUAUGUGAAUUGAAUCAAUUGUGUUGAAAAUGUUGAUCAAGGCAAAAAAGUUCUCAGCCUUUCCUACAUUCGAAAAUAGCAAGAAGGAAUUUUGUAAGCCCAACUGAAAAAGAUUGAGGUAACCUGUCUCUUCUUAUUCUAGAUUCUUUUUUUUUCUUUGUUUUACUUCCCAUUUCAUCUUCAGCAAAUCUAGUAAUUGGCAGGAAAUAAUUGGAAGGUAAGAAGGCUGAAUAUGCUGAAAAUUUGAAAAAUAAGCUAGCUAUACAUCACAAAGAAAUAGAAGAGAAAAGGGCAACGGUUGAAGUUAGUGGUGGAGAUUGAAUUCUUGAGUCAAAGGAGAUGGUUGAAAAAAUGGGUGUAACUAAGAGUACUUUAAUGAUCAAUGGAAUUAAACAAAUGUUAACAAUAGGUUGUUGUCUAUUGGAUAUACCAAAUUUGACUUUGAAUUAUUGUAUUAUGUUAAAUUUCUAAAUUUUAUUUCACUGUAUAGUAUUGCUAGCCCUAGUUUCCCUACGAUUUUUUUUUCUUUUUACAGUUGAUGAAUAUUUGAUGUCAAAUUUUUAUUUCCCAAGGGUGUUAAAAGUGUAAUGAUUAAUUUGAUAUUUAGCACUAAGGGUACUUAAUUUU
RNAcentral lists this long non-coding RNA (276426 nucleotides) under Citrus x clementina. RNAcentral describes it as "Citrus clementina (C. clementina) long non-coding RNA (CCLE_LNC004039)". The stretch from base 142611 to 142714 matches the Rfam family "Plant small nucleolar RNA R71". The record is from RNAcentral. Lineage: Eukaryota; Viridiplantae; Streptophyta; Magnoliopsida; Sapindales; Rutaceae.